RNAcentral lists this long non-coding RNA (292363 nucleotides) under Citrus x clementina. Its description in RNAcentral is "Citrus clementina (C. clementina) long non-coding RNA (CCLE_LNC006687)". Lineage: Eukaryota; Viridiplantae; Streptophyta; Magnoliopsida; Sapindales; Rutaceae. The record is from RNAcentral.
UAUGCAAACUAUCAAGUGUGCAAAUGGUGCUUGUAAAAAAAAUUAAUAUAAAAGGAUAAUAUUGUAAAAGUAAGUCAAAAGAAAUAAAAAGUAACAGUAGAGAUAUCAAUAAUUUAACGGCAGAGAUGUUUCAAGGUAUUUUUAAAAAUACAAGGACUAAACGAACACUAAUUUUAAAAUAUAGGAACUAAAUAAGCUUUUACAUGUAAUUAUAUUUUAACUUUACACUAUUAUAAAUACAUGCAUGAUUUUUUGUUAAUUCUUAUUAAUUUUUUUACUAUUCGACGAUGUUCGAGUCGUAGGAUAUGAUGGAUACCCUUCGGAUACGAAAAUCAGACCCUAUAAAGUAGCCCAACACAAUUUCAUCCACCUAAGAAUAUUUUGCUAAUGAAAUCCAACGGUGAAUUGAUGGGGUUGAUAAUGAUGAUAAGGGACUUGUCCAAUCUCCCAACCCUAUAGUAGUGUUUGACAAAUUUUUUCUUUCUCCUAUUAAGCAUGAAAAAUGGCCAUUUCUAUGCUCAGUAGGUGGACGGUCUUCAUCUUCAUUUCAUUCUUCCCUCUAACCACUCGUUUCCUAAAUAACAACAGCAGAGUUUGGCGGUCCUUUACAAUAAUAUUCCAGCAUAAUUAUUGCUUAAGUGCAACUUUUACAAUGUUUUUUUUUUAUAUUAUUAUUUUUCCACCAAGGUAUUCUGAUACAUCAUGUCAGUACCACGGUUUGGUAAAACCAUCAGUUUACUACCAAACAUUUAAACUGUUAGUAUUUUCCCACAAUUCCGUUAAAACUUAGUUAAUAAGUAACGAAAAAUUCAUAAAAGGUCAAUUUUACCCUUGGAGCGUAAAAGACCAUGUAAUUAACCUUUUAUGAAUUUUGUAAUUAAAUCAUCAUUUGUUGUUCUUCCUUCUUAAAGGGCAAAAAUUACCCUUUAUGAAUUUUGUAAAAUUGACCUUUUAAAAGACCAUGUAAUUAACCUUUUAUGAAUUUUGUAAUUAAAUCAUCAUUUGUUGUUCUUCCUUCUUAAAGGGGAAAAUCGUCUUUUACGCCUCAGGGGUAAAAUUGACUUUUUAUGAAUUUUCCGUUACAUAUUAACUGAGUUUUAACGGAAUGGUGGGAAAAUGCUAACAGUUUAAAUAUUUUGUAAUAAAUUGAUGGUUUUACCAAACCGUGGUACUGACAUGAUGUGUCAGAAUACCUUUGGUGGAAAAAUGAUAAUAUCUUUUUUUUUUAAAUUUGUUAUUGAUCCCUAUUAAUAGAUCUAAAUUGUGAAAUGUAGUAAUAUUGAUCAUACCAUCAUUUUCAUCUAAUUGUUAUAAUACGUGUCUCGAAAUGGCAUAAGUGAAUUAUAUAUAAUUUUUCAAGUAAUAGUCAAGCAUUAGGUUGUAACUAUACUGAAACUCUAUAGUCUGGGUUUGGUCGGAUGACUAAAUUUUAUUGAUUUUUAUUGACUUUUUAACCAUCCAACGAUAUUACUUAAGAUAUCGAAAUCAGACUUUACAAUAUAAGAACAAUGAUUAAAUAGACAAUACUGAUCAUGUCAAAUAAAGGAUACUAAAUUAAUUCAUAGUUUGGACACUAACCACUCAUUUCCUAAAUAACAACAGCAGAUUUCAGUGGUCCUUUACAAUAAAAUUCCAGCAUAAUUAUUGCUUAAGUGCAACUUGUACAAUGAUUUUUUUUGGUUCGAAAUCUAUCACUGUUAAUAGAUCUAAAUUGUGAAAUGUAGUAAUAUCGAUCAUACCAUUAUUUUCAUCCAAUUGUUAUAAUACAUGUCUCAAAAUGGCAUAAGUGAAUUAUAUAUAGUUUUCAAGUAAUAUUCAAAUAUUACCUUGUAACUAUACUAAAACUCUAUAAUCUAAAAUACUGUCAGAUGACUAAAUUUUAUUGAUUUUAAAAAUCAUAUAAUUAUAUCACUUAAGAUAUUACAAUCAGCCAUUAUAAGCUAAAAAAACCGAUUAAAUAGACAAUAUUAACCAUGUCAAAUCAAAUAAAGGAUACUAAAUUAGUUUGGGCACUAUCCACAAUGCCUUAAAAAACGGCGUAACGUGUAUUCCUCACCAUAGUAAAAGGAAAAUCAAAAUGAUAACAUACAAAAAUUAGGUAAAAUUAUUCAAAAGCAUGUUAAGAUUGAUGCAAAAAGAAGUGCCUUUAAACACAAUAGUCAAAGCAAAAGAAAAAAGAAUUUUAGGAAUCAUUCAGUGUAUUGAUGAUGAUUUGUCUUAGCUUUGGUCAUGUUAGGGGGGCAAAAAAAAAAGACAAUACAAUUGAAAGAAUUAAUAUUAAUUAAAAAGAGUUAGGUUAAGAGAUUUUCAGUGGAAAAAAGGGCAAUGGGACCCACCACAGAUACGGUCGUGGGGGUUUGGAGCGACCGAGCGAGGCCUGGGGCGGUCAAUGCGGAGCCAAAAGGACUUUUGAUUGACGCAAACCAUUUUGUUAUUUUCAUCCAAUGCGAAGAAACACUCUCCGAUACGCGUGACCCCACGCGCGCUCCUGUGGGGCCCUGUUUGCGACACUGCGGUGGGAGGAGGUUUUCGAUGGGACGGGCGGAGCGGGCGCGUGAUGUGGCUGAGGGUGGGGAUUGUCGCGGGUGGGGGACGCAGUGCCCCGCAAUUCGUGCGGUUAAGUACCUUUCUUUAAGAGAAACGAUGCACCGACUCGCUGUCAUGGCACGUGCGCACGUGACUCGCCCCUUAAUCUGAAAAUUAUAUUCUCUGUACUUAAUUUUAUUAUUAUCUAUUAAUUAAUUAAUGAAUAAUAAUAACAGUACAGUAAUAUAUAUUUUUUAAUUAAGAAGUGCCAGCUUUGAGGUGAAGUGAUUUGAGCGCUCCACCGUUCUUUUGAAAAGACAGCAAUACCCUUCGUUGCAUCUAAUUUUUUUGUCAUUUUAUAUUUUUAGUUUACUUGGGUUGAAAUGUAAUAUUAUUUUGUUGAACCAAUAAACUAAUAGCAAAUAGUCAAAUAAUCAAUUUUUUUUUCCAAUAACAAUUCCUUUAAUAGAGUUUUUUAGGAUGCUUGGUGUGUAUCCAAUUUUCUGCUUGUUUAAAUUUUUAAUUUAUUAUUCUUGUGUAACUUUUUUACGCUUAAUAAAGCUUCUUAAAAAAAAUAUUAUACCAACUUUCAGUCAAUUAAUAAUGAUUAUUAGAAUAGUAAUAUAAAAGGUUUUAGUUUGUAUUUUGUUUAUAUGCUAAUUUUUUUUUUCACUCCUAACCAACCAAUCACAUAAGAAUUGAUGAUAACUUGAUCGAUUUGUAGUUUUAUGUUUUUUACAUGAUAAUACUAUAGAAAAAAUAAGUAAAUAUUAAAAAUAAAUAAAUUGAUAAAAAAAAUGUCACCCACUUAAUACACACACACUCUCUCUUAAUUAGAAGAGAGCUAUAACAUGAAGAUUUCUUAAAACUUAUCUAUUUUAGUACUGCUCUUAUCCAAACAUGCUUUAAUUGUAGAAUCUAAUAAAAUCCAGUGUAUUAAUUUUAAUAAUGGUUGCACUUGCACCGUCUCUAUAUAAAUUAUGGGUAAUUCGUUAUUAUAUCUAGGAGAGAUUACCAAUCAAUAUAUAUUACUUAUCCCAUUACUAUUUUUAUACUAGUUGAUAACGCCUCUAAUGACAAGAUUUUACGGUAUUACCCUUAUUUUCAAGUACAUUUAUAUUCAUAAAAAUAAAAAAAGUGAAGUGCUAAAAAUAAGAAAUAUAUAAUUUCAAUGUGAAUAAGAAAUUAUUAAAUAAAAAAUAUUUUUUGUACUUUUUGUUAUUUGUAAAAUAUUUUUCUUAUAAUAAAUAUAUAUUUCUUGUUUCCAAGAUAAAUUAUUAACAAAUAAUUCAUUUAUCCCUCUGUCUUUUUUUAAUUUUUUGUGCCAAUGAAUUUUUUUUGAAAUUAUGAAAAUAUUAAAAACAUAAGUGGUAUAUAUUAAUUUUAGUAGAGGUAUCUACUUUUGAUUUAUCUAAAUUUUAUUUUCAUUUAACAAAUCAAAGGAAAAGGGUGUACAAAUCAGGGUCACGGCUAGGGAUGGCAAAAUCCUCCACGGGUUUAGGGCUCCAUGGAGUCCAACCCUAAAUGGGGAAAAUUUUGAAUAAUUUUUGAGGAAUGGGGUAAGGAAUGGAAAAAAAAUAAUCCCCAAAUUCUUAAUGGGAUGUGGUUUGGUUUUGUACUCCCCACCCUACCCCCACACCUAAUCCUCAUUAUAUAUAAAUAUGUUUUUAAUUCUUAUUUAAUAAUUUUUAUUUUAUCAACUAUAAUGUCAAUUAAUAUAUUUUUUUAAUUUUAUGUAAUAUAAACAUGAUAUGAAUAAAAGAAAAUCUUACAAUAUAAUUCUUUUUCAACUCUAAAAUAUUGUUAUGUUUUUUUUCUCUCUUUUAAGGUAUUGCUCUUUUCAAACAUUUUUCAGUUUUGAUAGCAUUUUAAGAUAUUGUUUUAAACUUUUAGAUAUUUUUAAAAAUAAUUAAAAUACUUUAUAAUAUGAUAAUAAUUUUAUUUUAAAUCUCUAAUUUUUAAUUUACUGAAAUCGUAUAUUUAUACUUAUUAUAAAAUAGACAAAUGGGGAAUGAGAUGGGGAUGGAGAAAUCAUUUACCACGUAGGGAUUCUCCAUCCCCACCUCACUAAAUUUAUUAAAGAAUGGGGUAGGAAAUGGAAGUAAAAAAAAUUAAUUCCCCACCCCCCCCACCUCACCCCAUUGUCAUCUCUAGUCACGGCUCACAACGAUCAAAAACCGAAGGGCAGUUUGGAAUUUUGGCAUUACCUUGACGAAGAAGGUAGGCCACGAAGGAAGGAAGGAAAGAAAGAAAGAAAGAAAAGUCCUUAAGGGGUGCGCCGAUUGUGGAAGCGCCUUAAAAAUAAUAGCCGUACGAAUUAAUAUGAUUACACAAAGUUUUUCCAGUCCUUACAACCCGACACAAAAGACAAUAUCAUUACUCAUGAUAUUAAUAAAUUAAUUAAACCCCUUUUAAAAUAUUGAAUCCAAAUCUAAUCCCCCACUCUCCUUCCCAAUACCCUUUUGACCGUUCAAGAUUCCGUCCCUCCCCAAUUCUCUUAUUUAACCUUCAAUCUGCUUUCUCUAUUUACCAUUUUCAAUGUACUUAUUAGUCAUUAGAAAAUAGAUUUUUCUCGAUCGGUCGCAUAAAAUAUUAAGUGUUACUAUUUGAAACAUUCACUUUUGGUACAAAUAGUAUAUCUUUUUCUGUUUUUUAUUUUUGUUCUGCUCCUUUACAUGUGUUUUCUUGUUUUCGAGUUUCUCUGUUUAGAUUCGAAUGAUAGUGUUAUGUUAUUUUAGCGACACUUGGGUGAUUAUUUAUUUAUUUUUGUUGAAAUGUGAUCUUCACAUGCAAGAGUAGAGGUGGGUAAAUCUAGAUUAGACUCAAAAAAAUUCGUUUGGUAUUUUAUUAGAUCUUUUUGCAGAGUCAUUUUUUUCCGAUUAUUAAACUUACUCCUGUUGGGAAAAUCUAAGCGUUGUAUUUAAAAUUGAUGUGCCAUAUGAUAUUAUUGACCAAUUUGAACCUUUUAAUGCAAUUUACUACUACUAACCUGCAAAUGCAGUAUGGGCAUUAGGUUCAGCAAUAAUAAUAUUCCCCAACAUACCAAAACUAGCUAUCACUUCAGCUGCGAUAAUAGAUGCAAGAAUUGAUACGCAUAAGAAUUUUUUAUUUGAUUGAUAAUUGUAUAAGGUAGAAGCUCAAAUUUCUUUCUUGCAUGCAUGUUCCCCCACAAGCACACACUGGAAGAAGAGAUGAAAAUAUACUGGCAACAUAUUUUAUCAAACGGGUGAUUUUGUCACCAACUGUGGAUCCUAUAAACUAAAAAUUCAUAACUCUAACCGCGAUGGGAUCCCGUUUAUAUGGCCUAUACCUAUUUGAAUAGCCUCCAUUGAUCCUUUCUUGCCUUGAUUGAUGGGAGUCAAUAAUAUUUUUACAAGGUUCAUCUUCUCAAUCAAAUUCAAUGGGAACUAUAGAGACCAUGACGUCAUCCAUCGAAUCCCAAGCACUUGGAUAAACUAAAAGGUCGAUUUUAUCUGAGCUAAUCAUUUUAAAUGUAUCAUAUUAGAUCUUUGCAUGUGGAGUCAUAUUUUCGAAUUUACAGUGAACAUAAUUCUUCUUCUUCUUUAUGUUGUUGCUAUAUUGUUAGGCUUUAUCAUAACUAAGGCUUGAAUCCUAGAUUAUCAUACAGAAAUACAUAGUAUUGUAUAUGAGGCUGACGUGGUCUAUCAUAUUAUUGGCCAAUUUGGCCUUUUAACGCAAUUUACUAAUUAUAAAAAUAACUUUGCACUUAGACACUGAAGCUAUCAUAUAUUACAAAAGUCAUUAUUUUAAAGAGUGGAUAAAACUAAAAAAACAAGGUGGAAAAAAAACAAUUACAGUGCCUUUUAUAUUUUUUGUGUAUUAAACCAUCUGGUAUCUGAAAAUUAUAUUAGGGUUCAAUUAAUCGAGAUUCAAGUCGGGUAGGACCAAUAGGGCGGUAAAACUCCUCCAAUAAGUAUUUUAACGCAACUGCAUUCACAAGAUUCGAAUCAAGGAACUUGGUUAAGGUAGAACAUGCUCAUACCAACUGAUCUACGCCCCAAGCUUGAAUGCGUUGUAAUUUAUUGUUUUAGCUUCAUUGACAUGAUUAAAAAAAAAGUAUUGGCAUUCGUGUUGGAUAAAAGAUUAUAUUAAUUUAUAUUUUUCAAAUGAUAUCAACGAAAUCAGAAAUAUCUAAUUAGAUAAAAGAAAAUGAUAUGUCCAGUCAGAAGAAAAAUUUUGUUAGCUGUAUAAUCCUUAUGGAUCUUUGUUUUGAUAAACAAAUUAGUGAAAUAAAUAAAUGAUGCAAUGAUGCAAUCUCUAAUCAAAGAGGUGAUCAAAUCAUUGUGAUUGUGGCAUAUAAUGAACCUGAAUCAUGAUGCAUAUUAUUGUGAAUCUCAUUCUAGAUUUGUUACCCAUACAAACUUUUGAUUAAUUGAGAUAUUCUUAGUAACCAUGAAAAAGAUGUUAGCAAAAUCCUCCCUAAAGUAACUUUAAGAAAUGUGGAACUAUCGAUUUCUUCAGUAAUGUUUUCUCUUGAAGAAUAGUUUAACUAAAAGAAAUUCUUUUCUUCAUCAUUGUGCUUUUAUCAUUGAACAUUUUUUUUCCUAUUCAUAGAUCAUAGCCUUAGUCAUUAGACCUUUAGGAAAAUCAAUGGUUUUUCUUUCUAAUUUUAUUUAAUAAUGUCUAUCUAGCUUUUAGAUGGUGAAAGUCUCUAGCUUUUAGAUGGUUUACUUUCACUUGGCCCCCUUUCUCAAUAAAUUGAAUAAUCCAUUUGCCCUAAUUUCCAUUUGAUGCUUGGGGACUGCCCAAUCAUAAAUUUAAGUCUAUCUUUAUUCCUUCUUGUCUUUUUUAUUUGAAUAAAAUUUUGAAACAUUUAAAGAGUUAAUUAUUUGAUGAAAAAAAGAAAAAGAAAAGGAAAAAAAAAGGGGGAAAUAAAAAGAAAGAGUUGUUGGAAUGAGGAGCUCAUGUGCUUGAACUCUUCAUCCAAUAAGGCUUUCACAAAAUCAGUACAUAACCAAAGCAAGGUCAGAGAAGGAAACCAAAUCAACCCAAAUGUGUGAAAUAAGAAAGCUUGCAAGAAAUUCCCAACAAAGAUACAAAAACAAAAUGGAUAACAAUGUAAAUUUGCCUUCUGCAAAAGACCACAGCCACUUUUUAUUUUUAUUUAAUUUUUUUUGCUGCUGCUUCCACCUCACCCUCAUUGUUGGGUUCUUCAGGGUGAGAAGGCAGCUGAUAAAAAGAUAAAAGCUGUCCCCACCAAUAUUUUUUUGCAUGGUUAAAACUUAGCAAAACACUUUAAGAAGCAAAUAAAAUAAAAUACAAACACAGGUUCAUUCUCUUUCUUGUCAAGACUAGCAAACCUCACCUCAUUACUUCGAGAUCAACAAAAAAAGAGAAUAGUAAUCAGGGAGAUCAAGAAAUAAAAAUGGCUUGUAGUUAUGUUAUAGCCACUUUAUAGAAAGAGAGAAAAUAAAAGUAAAAAGAAGCUAAUAAAUAAGCUUUCGCUUAUUUGCUCCUUUGCUUGCUAGUAGUAGCAGCAGUUGAAAGCAAGUGUUUGUGCAAAACAGAAAGUUUAAGAGAGAAAGCAAGAUCAUUAGAUCACAAAAGGGUCUAAUUCUCAAGUGUUUAGAGAACGAAAUAAAACAAAAAGUAAAAAUUGAUAUAAAUACAAAGAGAGAAAGAGAAAGAGAGAAAGAGAGAAAGAGAAAGAAAGAUGGUGGGCUCAGGAGCAGGAGAUAGGAGCAAAGAAGCAGUCGGGAUGAUGGCCCUUCAUGAAGCACUAAGAAGCGUCUGUUUAAACACAGACUGGACUUACUCUGUCUUUUGGACUAUUCGCCCUCGCCCGUACUUAUUUAUUUGCUUAACUCUCUCAUCUUUUUUUUUAUAAAAAAAAAAAAUUCUUUCCUCUUCAAGCUCUUGUACUUUGAGAUGUUUCCUCAACUGGGUUUGUUUUGUUUUUGAUGUUUUUGUUUCUGUUUGCAGGAGAGUUAGAGGUGGUAAUGGUUGCAAGGUUGGUGAUGAUAAUGGAAGCUUGUGAGUAUGGUCUUUUUUUGUUUCUUCUCGUUUACUUAAAUCCGUGUGUUAAAAAUACAAAAUUUCUUUUUGUUUUUGGCUCACUCGAGUCAGUUUAGUUGUAUUGUUUCUGGCCUUUCCUCUGCUUCAGAACAGAGCAUUGCUGUUUUUCUUGAAGAAAGUUAUAACUGAUAAACAUACAAUGUUGAUUAAAUUGGAUUAUUUUAAUGAUUAAAUGAGCUUAUAAUGGAUUAUGUCAAAUGGGUAUACGCUAAUUUCUGAUUUCGGUGUAAAGUUUUGAACUUUUUGCAAUAUUAUCUUGAGUCAAUACCAUGCGUGUUUAUUUAUUUAUUCAUAGUGAAUGCUUGUUCUUCUUAAUGUAAGAGUACUGAGAUUUAAUAAUGUUUUUUUCGUGAAGGAUGUUGAUGUGGGAAGAUGGGUUCUGUCGAGGAAGAGUUGCAGAUUGUUUGGAAGAGAUGGAUGGCGAAGAUCCUGUGAGAAAGGCUUUCAGCAAAAUGUCCAUUCAGUUAUAUAAUUAUGGAGAAGGGUGGGUACUGGGUAGGUGUUAUUAUUAAUUUUUUAUUUUUAUUCCUCUCUGUGUAUGUGUAAAUAUAACAAAGCAAAUAGAGUGAAAGAAUAGCUUGAAAUUAAAUUAAUUUAUGUAAUCUUUUUGAUUGGUGAAUCAUCUUUGUUUGCGCAGGUUAAUGGGAAAGGUUGCUUCAGAUAAGUGUCAUAAAUGGGUCUUCAAAGAGCCAACAGAAUGCGAACCAAACAUCUCCAACUACUGGCAGAGUUCUUUUGAUGCUGUAUGUAACUUUGCCCACUAUUUCUUUCUUUCCUUUUUUUGUUUUGUAUUUUAAUUUUAUUUCUUUUGUUCUCAAAUCAUUUUCAUGAAGAUUUUUGGGUGAAAAAAGGUAGGAUUUGGUAUUAUAUUGCUCCAUUAUUGAUGAGAUCGGGGCAUCAUUUUUUUUCUUUUUCUUUUUUAUUAUUAAUUGAUGCUAACCUUUCCUACUUGUUAAUAAUUGCAGCUACCUCCUGAAUGGACUGAUCAAUUUGAGUCUGGCAUUCAGGUCAGCACCAGCACCAGCACCGUCAAUUUCACUGUUGUCAGUCUUCGGUUAUUUUCAAUUUUCAAUUUUCCAUUUCUUGUACUUAGACUUUGUACUCCUCCAUUUCCAUUUACCAGACCAUUGCUGUAAUUCAAGCCGGUCAUGGCCUCCUACAGUUGGGAUCCUGCAAGAUUGUAAGUUUUAGUUUUCCAUUUUCCCUGUGCAUGCAUAAACUAGCAGCUUGGAUGAUUUUAUCUUAUUGAAAUACGAUGUCCCUCCUCAGAUACCUGAAGACCUCCAUUUUGUGUUAAGAAUGAGGCAUACAUUUGAAUCCCUAGGCUAUCAAUCUGGAUUCUAUCUCUCUCAGCUGUUUUCUUCGAACAGAAACAAUUCCUCAUCUUCGACAAUUCCUUCAAAGCAAUCUGCCAUUCCAACUCGGCCUCCUCCUCCGCUCUUCAACUGGGGCCAACGGCCAAUGCCAUCUACUACUUCAAUGCUUGCUUCACCCAAUUUUCAAAAUCCUGGUAGAGUUGGAUUCCCACAAACCAAAGAUGAGACUCAUAUGUUCCUUCUCCCUCAUUCAUUGGAAGCACCACGAAUGGACAAUAUGAUGGGAGAACAUGAAAAUGACAUCAAGUGGCCAAAUGGGUUGUCAUUUUUCAAUGCUCUUACUGCAAGACCUGAUGAUGCUAAGCUUUUGUUUAACCCCGAGAGCUUUGGAAACAAAUCCGAUCAAAGUCAUCACCCUCUCAUUCUGGAAGGGAAAGAUAUGAAUCCAAAUUCUGAUGUCGGUGCAAACCCAAAUGAGUUUUAAGCUUGGACAGUCAUCAGGAUAAAAACAAGUUUAAGAGAAGCUUUACUUUGCCAGCAAGAAUGACUUCAUCAUCUUCCUCUACUUCAGUCGAUCACCAUCAGCAUCAACCAGUGGAGUAUAGGAAUCCUGAGCCAGGGAUGUAUAACGACGUUAUGGAAACCUUCUUGGAAUGAAUUUAGAAAACUUGGUAUUAGAGGGUCAGAAAUUGUAUCUAGGCAAAGCUUUUAUGCUUCUUUCCUGCUGAAUUCCUGUGUUUGUUUCUAGUUCAGUUUUAAAUGUUCGUGUUUUUUUCCCUUUUAUCUUUGCUUUUUUUUUUCCCCUCUCAAAACUUCGUAAUUAUUUGUUGUAGCUUAUCCUAACGUAAGUUUUAGCAUAAAUUUUUAUCUCCCAUCUUUUUGCCCUUCCAGUUUUUGAUUUUGCUAUAUGAAAUAGAUGAAUUGAGUGAUAUCUAUGCUUCUUCUACAACACUGUUGCCGUGUUAGGUUAAAAGCCCUAGUCAAAUACGAAACCCAAGGGUUCAUGAAUAGAUUGCUUUUACUUCACUUCACCCAUCAGUCAAAAUCCUAGCUAGGGCGAUUUCAACAUCAGUGGUGUGGAGUGUGGACUGGCAUUUUCUAUGCCUAGAGCAAAGCUACAAACCAUUUUUUGACCACACCAAAAGUUUGCCUAAAACAUCACUUGUUGAGUAAGACAUGAAUAUGCUCGUAGGCAGCAGAAUAUAGUAUUUUGUUUAGUAUACGCGUGAAUUAUAAUAUAAAGAUUUUUUAACCGCAUGUAGAAUGAAGCAAUAUUAAAUUUGGAAACAUUAGUUAAUCAUUUUUUUAAGGACCGAACAGGCUAUUGUUUUUUUUCUUUAAAAGAAAAAAAUCUUUUGGCCUUGGCUAACAGAGGUUGAAACUGCGUAAGUUAUUUGCACAGUGCCGAUUGUUAUUAAAAAAAAAAUGCCAUGGGCAUGUUUUUACAAGCUUUUAUAUUGGGUUACAUAAAUGGUAUACGGCGCUGCCGCCUAAUUCUGUUGCUACUGAUAAUCGGUCUUUAAGUCAUGUUGCUCCUCUUACUUCCGCCCUGGAUGAGUUAGGGUACAAGAUUAGGAGGUCCAGGUUGAGUGUUGAGUAUUAUCUUGUUGUUGAGUCUAGAGAUCAGGAUGAUUCUCCUGUGGAGAGUCCAGUUGAUCAAACUGGUGAUGCUGAUGAUAUGAUUUCGGAUAAUUUGGGUGCUUAGAAGGUUUCCACGGGCUCUACUAUUUUUAGAUAUGUAGUCGAAGAUAUUCGGGGUAUGGUUAUAGGUUUCAGUUCCCACUAUACUGAUAUUCAGUCCAAUUUGAUGAGGAUUUUUGUUGUAAUAGAAAUCCUGCCGCUCACAAUCAUUUCUUGUUUGAACCUGAGGGUAUUGGGAGGCUUGGGGGCUUGAUCAAAGUCCCCAACCCGCGCGCCUCUGGCUCUAAAAAAAGAUUUUACUUUAGUCACCGGUUGCAACUUGCAAGCAUCACAAGAGGCAGUCCCUCCAUUAGCUAUUUCUUGCCUCUGUGCUAGUUGUUUUGCUAAGCUUUUUGGUAAUUUAGUAAAAUGCAAAACAUAAACACCUGGGAAGUUAACAACUCAGGACUGAGUAAACAUUGCCUCAUAAAUUGAUCCCAAUUUGAUAAAUCCUCCUUGCUUUAAGCUUUUGAAAGUAAUUCAAAACAAAACUUUUGAUUGCAGACCUUAAGUUUAUGAUUGCAAAACAAAGGGGAGAAAAAAAGAAAAGAAGAAGACCCAAACAUAAUCAAACUAACGAUCUAACCUCUUCAUCAGUUAUGACUAAGCUUUGAUCUUCAACUGCAAUGGGUGUGACCCAAAAGCUUGGGCCCAAAACUUGCUGCAGCUUAGCUGGGGGGUUUCGUGAGCCUCAUGAAGCUUAACUGCUUAAGCAUCUCACUCUAUUGUGGCUGACAUUUAUUCUAUGGCAGAAUUAAAGAAGUAUAGCCCCCUUCUAAUCUGAGAUUUCUCUCAGGCACAAUUAUUCUUGAAAUCAAAAAUAGAAAUUAAUCAGUACUUGUAAUUCAUAAGUAUCUUAUCUUUCCAUUAAUUGUUUUUGCUUUCUGUGGAAAAAAGAAAGAUAAACCUCAACCUUUGCUCCCAAGUAUCAGCUGCCUCAACACACCAAUUUUCACAACCUCCUACAAGUACUCAUAAUUCCGGCAAUGAUGUUCUCAAAACAAAUUAAUGAUCACAAAAUCAUUCACAAACUCAAUUGACUCAAUUAAUAUAUAUAUUUACUCGAAAUGCAUACAAAUGAUGUUCAAAAUCAGUGCAAAAAUCAGUUACAUGGGUGGCUAUGACUUAACGUUUGCUUGCAGGAUAUCAUCUUUGGUAGAUGGUUCCAUGGCAUGACACUCUCUGCAUGCGAACAAAAAUGACAUGAAAAAUCUUCUGCAAAUUCCUGCUGGCCGUUCAGAAUUCAGCUUCUUCAUCUCACCUUGUCUCUUUGAUCUCUGAUCAUUUUCUUUCACCGAACCCCGACCAUUUUUCCUCUGCGAAACGUCGCGUUUCAAUGCUGCAGGAACUGGUGUAAGAUACCGCCACCUUUGAGAAGAUCCAUACAGUUGUGUAGUAACCAUUUUACUUGCUGUUGUUGCAGUUGCUCUGUGUGCAAGCUUAUUAUAAUACAACAAUUUCCUCUCUGAAUUGUCACUCGAACUUGUUCUUGCACUGCUGCAACUACUGCUCCUGCUGUUUGUACUGUUGCUUCUUGAUGACAUGAGUGAAUCUUUGCUGCUAAUACUGCUUGUUCGACUCGUUGCACGAGAGGUGUUUUCUAUCACAAUGGCUGUAGCAGGUUGUUGUUGACACGGGAAAGAAUGAGGCAAGAGCCUGCCAUUGAAGAAAAGAUGAUCAGCUGGUGAGUUUCUCGAUGGAUCUUGAGAGGGAGAAUCAGGCGUCAAGCAACCAAAUUCAAAGUCGGAAUUUUGGUCUUGAUUUGGGGUGCUAGAAAAACAGAACAUCUCGCCAGAGCCAGACUUUUUCCGGCUGUCCUCCAUGGUGGUUAAUUUCUGUCGGGGAGCUAAUUGAGGUGCGUAUAUGAGUGAGGUUGCAUACUAGCAUCUGUGUAUAUAUAUGCAAUGCAACACAAUGCUUAUAAUGAAUGAUAUGAACAAGUUUUUUGGGGCCCUUUUGUUGGGUGAUUUUGAUAAUCUCGGUGGUAUAAAUCAUAUGUAGUCAUAUACUUGCCAACUCAACCUCCAAUUAGCACAUGGUAUUGUUUUUGGGUUGUAAUUAUAUUGUUAGUGUUGCUAAAUGAUGUAGCUUAGUGUGGCUUAGCAUCCUCAUGAAGAUGCCAUGUCAGCAAAAAUUCUUAGAAUAUGUAUAGUGUUAUUAAGUUCAAUAGUGGGAUACGAUCAAUUAAUCCUACCAUUAUCAUAUGGUAUUUGCUUAUUCUAUCCUUUUGUUGUGAGAAAAGAAACUUCAAGGAAAUGCUUUCUCUGGUACUUUGUUUGUUCUUAAUUCAAUAGAUUUUUUAGCCUUUAAUCUUUCGUCCACUUGCUUUUGUUUCUUUGAAGGACACAUCCUCCCAAAUAUACUCUUUUGAUAUGUAAAGCAAAAGAUACCUUGAAAUCUACCAAUGAAGAGAGAUAGAGACAGAGAGGAAGUGAGGGAGGUGGGCUAAUAAACUUAAUCAAUAAUAACAUGUUAAUUGGAUUGUUAUCCUUUUUGUUUAUAGGCUUUCACAAUUUCACAAGACCGAAUGCUUUGAUGGGAUCAACAAAGACUCAAAGAGAGCUGCUUUCUUGCGUUGUGGGAAGCAAAGGCUCCGUUAGGGACAAUCAACACGCUAAAGAAGAAUCAAAACUAUCAAUUACCAAAGAUUAAUUAAUUUCAUCAAACACUUUGAUAGCUCCUAGAAACGAGGACAAAUCAGAUAUUAGAAUAAUCCUUGUGUCUCCCGUUUGGGUUUCUGAGGAAGACACUCUUGGGCCCAUUUCAACAAUUCAUGUUCUAAGGGCCACCAGUCAGCCAAUUCAAGGCCUAACUUUUUGUCCCCACAAGCAAAGCAAGUCAUUUUGGAAGUAGGAUUAAUAAUAAUAAUAAUACUCUUCCUUUGUUGAUACUCUAAUUCUUAGAUGUGGUAGGUCUCUCUGGUUUCUCAAGAGUGGAUUUUGGUUGACUGGGAGACAACUUUUGACCAAGAAUUGUCCUAUGAUUUUUCAUUUUUUUGUCUGGGCUAUAUUUUGGUCCAAAUUAAGAGGUCAAACCCAUAAACUUAGCCCAAUAUGAGGAAACAGAUACAUAUUUCUUUUUCUUUGUUUUUUGGGGUGGGGGGAUAAAACAAAUACAUAUUUCCAGGAACCCAAAAGGGGAGUACAUGCUUGUGUUGCUACUAAAUGCCAAUGCAAUUGCCAACUGCUUCCUCAAUUGCUCCAUGCAUGAAAUCCAAGUGAACCUUGCAAGAGUAAUAUAUUUGAUUGCACGGCGGCUGCUAACUUACAUUAAUUAUAAUUUACAACUUAACCUAAAAUUAAUCUUUCACAAUCCUUAAAUUAUUUGAGUAAUAAUAACUUAAAGGUACCAGAUUAUUUUUAUUAGUGCUCUUAUAGAUAUGAGUAGAUAUUUAGGUUUCUCAGCACCAUAACAAAGUUAUUUAAGCAAGGCUUUUAGAUUUAUAAUAUUACCGAGAAUAGGGAUGGCAGAUUUACUCGGACCCGAUGAACCUGGAUAAUCCGGGCCGGGUUGAAUCUGUACCGGAGUGUAAAAUAAUCCGGAUCCAGAAUGAAUUUUUAUAACUCGGAUAUAUUCGGGUCCGAUUCCGGGUUUAGGCGAACCCGGAUAUUCGGAACCCGGACCUGGAUAUCUUAUUUUAAUAUUUUUUUAAUUAAUUUUAUUGAUUAAUAUAAAUACAAACAUUAAAAAAACCCCAAUUUUAUCUAGGUUGCAGCCUUCGCGAUUGCAGCCGACAGAACUCAGAAGCUUGGGUUACUUAGCUUCUUGCAGCCUUCGCGAUUCGCCACCGACAGAACUCAGAAGCUUGGGUUCGCCACCGUCGUCCGUCGCAGCUCGUACUCUCGGGUUCGCCAUUCAUGACCGUCGCAGCCUUGGCUACUUGCAGCUCCAAACAACGAUCCAAGUUUUUACCGUCGCAAGCUAGGGUUCGUGGUUCGCUACCGUCACAAGCUCGGAUUUGCGGUUUGCCACCGUCACAAGCUUGUGUUUGCCACCGUCGCCGUUGCAACUCAUACUCUCGGGUUCGCGACCGUCGCAGCCUCGGGUUCUUGCAACUCCAAACAACGAUCUAGGUUGCUAUCCUUUCGUUUUGAUUUCAUUGUACUUUGUUAUUUGAUUUUAUUUAUGCUUGAAAUAUUGUUGUUACAGUUAAAAGAUUCGAAAUGGUUUAUGCUUGAAUGAAUUGUUGUUACACUUAGAAAUGUAUUAAUUUUUUAUUUUUAGAAUUUUAAAAACUGAUUCAUUGAUUCGGGUUUAAAACCCAGAAUCUGGAAACCCGUUGUUUUUCGGGUUGAACCUGGAUCCGGGUGAAAAUACCGGAUUAAAAUCCAGAUUCGAGAGGAGAAAAUGGCAUCCGGAUUCGGAUCCAAAAUGACUAAACCCGGAUAUGAACCCGAAUUUUGCCAUCCCUAACCUGGAAUGUUAAUAAACUACAUAUUGUAUAUACCAUAAAAAAGGAUCUAAUUCUAAUUAUCAUCAAUAUUUUGUACACUCGAAAAAAAAAAUUAACAAUAAUUUGUUUUGCCUACGGAUUUCCAGCCGUUGACCACGUGUCGCUCACUUGCUCUUAUAUUGCACACACGUGUCAUUAACAAGCAGUUUUGUUUGCACAAUCCAUGCAAAAUGCCCAAUAUAUGAUAGGCUUACGCUGAGAAACGGGCUAAGUUUAAUUUAGAAUUUAGGGCAAUUUCACAUUUUUUGCAUUAGCAAAUAGAGUAAUGCUCAAUAUAUUAGUGUUAGGUAUUGUUUGACAUCAAAGUGUUGUAAUUUUUAAGUUAUAAGUAAAAAAAAAAUUAUAAUAGUAAAAUAAGAAUUAAUAGUUUAUGAUAAUUAAUGACUUUAAAAUAUAAAAUUUAAUAUAUAUAUUAUAAGUUUAUUUUUUAAAAUAUUUUGUUAUUUGUUAAAUAAUUUAUUGUUGUAUCUAUCCAACCAUAAUAACGAACCCAAUUUUAAUUAAUCCAACUUUUGUUUUAAAUAUUAAAAUAUAAUUUUAUAAGUUUUCCAGCGGUUGAGACUAGAAUUAAAGAUAUUUAAAAUCCUAAUAUUUUUUGUAUGUAUGUAAUAGAGUGGAUCGACUAUUUUUAAAUUAUCUUCUUUACUUUUGAAAAUCUAAAGAUUUCCAUUUUUUUUUUCAAAUGGCAAGAAAAAUAGACGGUGGGUUGGUGAAAUUUUUUCAGUCUUCUUAAUAAAAUAGGAAUAAAUUAAAAUUUUCAAAAAUAAAGAGUAUGAUUUGAAGAUAGUUAAUUCAUGAGGAGAUAAUUUGAAAUUAUCCUAAAUAGAAUUGAAAUGAGAUGCAAUUUUUAGGUAAAUAUUUAUUUAGUAUCUAUAUUUUGAUUUAAGUAACUGUUUAAUCUUUAUAUUUAAAAAUAAACCUCAAAACACCCUUGCAAAUAAAUAUGUUAUAUACUUACCCUUAUUUUUUCUUUACUUUUAUGAUAAUAUCCUUGUAACAAUUUACUUGACAUUAAUUAGUAUAUAUUUCAAAAAGUUAAUUCUAGCAAAUGAACCAAUAUUUAUUUAUUAGUAUAUCAACAAAUAAAUAUCAGUAUAAAAUAAUUAAUAUUUUUUGUACCAUGCAACUGUUAAAAUUUAUUUAUAAAAUAAUUUAAGUUAUCAAAUUAACCUUAAAAGUAGAAAUAAUAAUAAAAAAUUUACAUUAAUUUUAAUUUUAAUAUUACUUUAAUAAAUUAAUAUUUGUUCUCUUUUUAUUAAUGUCGUUAAAAAUAUUGUUACGAAAGUAUUAUUAUAAAAAUAAAGAAAAUAAAGAUGAAAAUAUCACAUAUUUAAUAAUAAGGAUACCUCAAAAUAUUUUUUAAAAUAUAAAAAUUAUAAGAAAUAUUUUAUUUAAAGUAGAGACUAAUCAAAUAUUUAACCGUAAUUUUUUCUUGGUAAUCAUUUCUUCGUUUACUGUGCUUUCUAUUUAUAGCCACGACCACGACUUCAACCGUUCAGCGUCGUGCGGCGUGCCAAACCCGUUUGUAGGAGAGAUGAGAUUACCCUUUCAUUUAAUUGAUUUCCAUUUGGAGUUAAAUGAUAAUAAAUAAAUAAAUAAAUAAAUAAAAUAAAUAAACGCUAACGCGUCAUUGUACAGCGAAGAACGCGGCAAAAGUCGUCGUGUCAACCGUUAAAGGAUCCUCAUCUUCUUCGCUCCCUCCUUCGCCACUGUGUCUGUGUUUAUCCCCAUUAUUUCAAUUACACACUCGUAUUAAGAAAUACAGAAGCAGCAAAAGCCAUGAUCGGUAAGAGAGAAAUCUUCAAUAAGAUGAAGGUAUCUUUUUAUCUUUCAUUACAAUUCUUAUUAUCAUAGGUACCCACUUGUCGCAUGAAGUUGAGAUUGACAUGGCACCAUUGUUUUUCAUGUUUUUGACUGUAUGGGUAGCAACUGGGUUCUUGUAAUUUAACCUUCUGGAUGCAAAAGAUUCAUUUUUUUUAAGAAUGCCCUUAAUGUUAAAAUUUGGUUCAGCUGAGAGCUGGAGAAGUCAGAGUUUCAGAAUUUGACCGCUAGUAUACAAAAUUGAAUUAAAUAUUAAGAUGGAUUCAGGUUCAUGCUUAGCAAUGAAGAGGAGGAUUGAGGAAAAUGGAAAAGUUCUGUCUGUGUAAGGUGGCGGUUAUCUUGAUUACUUAGUUUAUCCUUUCAGACAACUUAUUUUAGGCCACACUUUUAUCCUAGUCGAGGGGAUGCACUCGCAAUGCAUCAAGGCCAAUUCCAUUCGUGGCUUCCCACCCCAGUUUGUCCAAAUUAAGGAAUCCCCUCAGAAAUGUGUGUGAGAGGAGUAGAACCCUUGAUCUCUUGCUUCCAAUCCAAGGCUAAACCAAUGGGGCUGUGAUGUAGGGACUUUUUUUAAUUUAUAAGGUGGAUAGAUUAUGCGCUAACAUGGUUGUAUUGUUGAAUAAGUUUUUUAAUUUCAUCUUUAUUAUUGAUUUAAGAAGGAACAAGUUGUAUGUAUCAACCACCGUUACCUUGUCUUACUUCAAAAACAAAGUAGUGGAUGGUUAAUAUUUUAUAGUGUCAACACUUUUCCUCCCUUUGUCUUUUUCAACUAUGGAGCUCUUUGUGAUUGCAGGAGAAAGUAUUGGGCUCAUCUCCUGAUUCUGGAAAAGGAAAGAGUAAGAUGAAAAAGCAUGUAACUCAUGGCUACCACUUAGUAAAGGGAAAGGCGGGUCAUCCCAUGGAAGAUUAUGUCGUUGCGCAGUUUAAGCAAGUUGAUGAGAAUGAAUUGGGUUUAUUUGCCAUAUUUGAUGGUCACUUAAGCCAUGAAAUUCCUGAUUUUCUGCGGACACAUUUGUUCGAGAAUAUCUUAAAUGAGGUAACUGAUUCUUUCGAAAAUCUUAUUCCAAAUACUUUGGAGUAGCGAUUCGACUGAUGUAUCAUGCCUUAUAACCGGGUAUUAAACUGUAUUUAGCUCUCUUCCGAAGAUGAGAAAUGGGAUCAAAGCAGCCGUUGUUUAUAAUGAGUGUAGAAUUGCCACAUCAGUUCAUUUCAUAGUAGAACUUGCAUUAAAAAAUAUCCAUUACUCCAAUGUAGUGUCUUUUCAUGCUCGUUUAUUGGUAAUUUUCUAUAAUAAUGUCUCAUCAUGUAUUUCUGAUUCAUUUGAUUGGAUGACAUUUGCAUAUCUUAGUUCUAGUUUUAGUGUAUUGAUCUAGCUAAUUGUAAGCUCUGCUAGCUAAACAUUACAUACAUGAAUGUCUUUCUUUAAUUAUUGUCCCUCUUUUCCUGAAAUCAGCCUAACUUCUGGCAAGAUCCAGAAAGUGCAGUCAGGAGAGCUUACUGUAUUACUGAUACUACAAUUUUGGAGAAAGCAGUUGAUUUGGGUAAAGGUGGUUCAACUGCAGUCACUGCAAUAUUAAUCAACUGUGAGAAGCUGGUAGUAGCAAAUGUCGGUGAUUCUCGGGCAGUCAUAUGCAAGAAUGGUGUGGCAAAACAAUUGUCAGUUGAUCACGAGCCAAGCUCAGAAAGGGAGCAUAUUGAAGGCAGAGGAGGCUUUGUGUCAAACUUUCCAGGUACCAGUUUUACCUAGAGAUCAGCUAAUUUUGUUCUGUUUCCACCUGGGUAAUAACGAGUGUUCCCUCAAGGCUUUUCUAUAAUUUGAGAUGACUUACCAUUGCAUAACUGUGAAAUCAGUAUAUCAUGGCUGGUUCUGUUUACCGGGGGAACAUUUGCUUAAAUGGGGAUUUGUGGUUCUUUUACUUGUAGACAUGGUGUUUGAUCAUUAGCAUGACAAAUUUUCUUUUACGAAUUCAGGGGAUGUUCCACGUGUUGAUGGACAAUUGGCGGUGGCAAGGGCAUUUGGUGACAAGAGCUUGAAAAUGCAUCUGAGUUCAGAACCACAUGUGGUGAUGGAGACGAUCGAUGAUGAUACAGAGUUUAUUAUCUUGGCAAGUGAUGGAUUAUGGAAAGUUAUGUCGAACCAAGAUGCAGCAGAUGCCAUCAAGAAUAUAAAAGAUGCUCGGUCUGCUGCAAGGCACCUUACUGAAGAAGCACUUGCUAGAAAUAGCUCAGAUGACAUUUCCUGUGUUGUCGUAAAGUUUAACUGAUAGUAGUAGAUGAGAUCCCUCUCCUGUUUCACAGAGGACUGUCUUUAGUUAUUUGUUAUGCACCUUGGUAUAUUGGUGAACGUUCAUCGGUAUACUGAUCUGCUGUGCCAUAUAAGAAAACCUGUUUGUGUUCUUAUUAGGAGUUUAUUAGAUGCAAGAAGCAUGCUACGGACUUGUUUCUUGUUGUUUAUACAGUUCCUGAAGCAUAAAUGUAGCUAAUACUUUAAAGAUGUUAACUGUAAACAAUGUCAUUUGUUUGCAUUCGCUCAAUUAUCUGUUCUGAUAUGAUAUGUUCUGCUCAGAUAAUGAUGCAAGUAGCUAUGAUCCUUGUUAACUUUAUAGUUUAUAGGAACUAAGAAACCUUGAACCCUAGUUCCGCAUCAAACAGUAUGUCUAGAAUUAAAAUGAAGCUGAGAUUGAAGUUUGCAGUGGACAAUUUAUUUGCGUAACGAUUGAUUCCUCAGGAAUCAACAAGUUCGGAUGGUAGCAUUUAACAUCAUAUCUAGAAUAGCAGUACAAAAACUCUUAAGGCCAGUCACCAAAAGUAUAAAGUAUUUAUUGUUACCACAAUUUAUUCGAAGGGUGCAUCACACCGGGAGAAUCAAAGAUAAUUCUACUUCAUGCAUAGCCUAGAUACUGCUGUUAGGAACCACCGUAUGCCGGCGCUAAAGGAACCUUAGAAUGACAGAAGAGAGGAGGAGCCUAAGGAUGACAGAAGAGAGGGAGCAUCCUGCAAUGCAGAAAGUUCCGGUCUUAUUUGAUCUAGGAAUGCUUGUAAGGUCUAUUCACUUGGACAGGUGUCUACAGUCUAUUAUUUUCGUCAGCUUGUCUGAACUGAUCGUCCUACUGAGGACCUACCCCUCUGCAGCUUGAUCCUUCACCAGUUGUUUCAGCUGUGCUCUUCCGACGCCUCUCAUUGUGUCCAGCCAAACGCCUACGGCAACUCCUUUUCGUUUCAUCAAAUUCAUAUAGCUCGUGGAACCUGCAAUACAAAGCAAGAGACAUUACAACCUAGAAACUGAAACAUUUUUAGAAUCUGGAACUAGACAAGAAAGCCUUGGGAGAUUUUAAAAACAUUAUUCUUGGCAAGGGUGGCUGUUUGAUAAAGGAUCAAGAAGCACUGAAGCAUGUACCGCUAUGUUAGCACUUAAGACUUAUUCAUUUAGCACUAGUUUGUUCAGUUAAUGGUGAAGAUGUAGCUUCUCGAAGUGGUCAAAGCACAUUUAAGAUUUCUAACCAACACAUCCAAGCAGAAGCUGAUCACAAUAGCAAAGAAUCCGUAAAAAUGGUACCUGCUGCAUUGCUGACAAAACCUUUGCCUGAGACCAGCAACAAUCACAACAGGAGCCUUGGAAUGAGUUUCACAGACCUUGUGGCGCCUGUGGUAUCGUCUUGCAUCGGUUAAAUCAGUUCCGCACUUCUCCACCAUGCAACAAGGUGAUGAAGUCCCGGCAGGCGCUGCUCUUCUUCCGGUCGCUUUCUUCUUUCUUUCAUCGUCUGCAUAACAAUCAACACCACCCUCUUCUUCUUCCAUAUCGUUGUCCAUAUCGUCCUCAAGAAAGCAAUCCUUGACAGUCUUUUCCUUUAGCUAGCGAUGUGCUUCAAGGCUUGCCGCAUCCAUUGAUAUAGCAGGUGUGUUUUUACGAUGGGAGUGAAUUUGAUGAUGAAAAAUGUUGAAGCAAAAGUGGGGAACUAGAAGCAAUGAAGUGAGUUAAUGGAAAAGGUGAAAAGACUGGAGGAGGACCACACCCUGCUUUUGUUGUUUUUUGUAAAUGAUUAGAAGCUUCAAAAGAAAAAUUUAUUAAUUGGGUUUGUUAUNNNNNNNNNNNNNNNNNNNNNNNNNNNNNNNNNNNNNNNNNNNNNNNNNNNNNNNNNNNNNNNNNNNNNNNNNNNNNNNNNNNNNNNNNNNNNNNNNNNNGAUAUUAGUGCCAGUUAGGCACAUCAAUAAUUAACACCCUAGGUGGUCCACUUUCCUGAAAAUGAUAAAUAAAUCAAGAAGUUCAGAAAUUUUAUUGAUUGAUUAUUUUUGUUUAAUUUCAGGACAUAAAAUUUUGUCUUAGACAUCUGGUAAAUGGAUGAUACAAGGAACCUAAGCAAACUCUGGAAUUUUGUACAAGUUAGAUAUUUAUACUAUUUUGAGUGCACUUAACCAAUGUAUAGAACAUUAGCCAGCUGCAGAGAGAGACUUGUAAAGAAACUGUAAAUUUCUCUUAUCAACAUUUUAUGAAACUGUCCUUUUACGGUUGGUAGUAGGACAGAUACAGCAAAUGGUUAGGUACAACAUUACCUGAAGAAAGAAACAAAAAUCAUAAAGAUAGAUGCAUUAUCUUUAACACUUUCUCAUAGAAUUUAUUGACCUGUACUCCAUUUUUUUGCACAUCAACAAUCAUAUAAACACUAAACUGGGGUAAAUGAGAAUGAUAAAUAAACUUUCUCGAGAAGUUAAAUGCUUGGAAAAGUGUUUUUUCAUUGCCAGUAGAGCUUUGAGAGAGACAUCGAAUUCCUCAGUGGCCUGUACAGCACUAAUGGUUCGCAAAAUUCUGCUUCUACUAGAGCUGGACAAGUAAUGCUACAGAAGAGUGCUCUAUGCUUUUCUAUAGAUCAAGAGUCUUUACUUCAUGCUUUAUGCCCACUUUAUCUUCUUCUGUCGUUGCUAGAUGUGAACUUAGCAGCUACUUUGAUGAAAAUGAACUUUAUGUUUUCAUGCCUGUGUGUAUUGAUUCCUUCAAUUGUAUCCAUCAAAUGUCAUUUCAUUUGGAUAAAUUUUAAGAUUGCCCUUUUAUCUUAACAAGAAGCCUUUCCUUUAAGGAGAUUUCGAUGAAUUUUUGGAUCAAACUCAAUCACCAAUGUUUAUUUAUCAAACCAAAAGCAGAUUAAAGAACUAUGCUCAAGUUAUUUUUUACAGUGUCAAGGAACAAAAGAUACUCAGGAAAGAAUGAAUUACUGACAUUGACACAACACAAUGUUUCACGUGGCUAUUGUAAUGAAAAAUUGUACCAAAGUUUAGAGUAGAUAACUACAACUCAAAAUCUUGGAAGGAGAGAGAGACAAGAGCAAAAGAGGUUAGAUACUCUACUUAAAGAGGGUUUCCGUGGGUCACUUGUAGUUGUAGAAAUUGAAUGAAAGCUUCCAGAACUAAUGCUGAAUCAGCCACCACAUUUUCCUGGCUUAUUUUCUUUCUUAUGGGUCCAUAUAUUUUCUUGGAAGUACUUAAGAUGGCUUCGUAUUUUUUAAGAUAAUAGUAACUACAACUGUCUUGCGGUUCAAACACAGGAUUUCCUGACAACUCGCUUAUUCAAAUUCCAUUGAGGCAAUAAAACACUCCAUUGAUUUUUCAUGCAACAGCAUUAGUGUUGAAGUCCGCAUUUUAAUAGCUAGGUUUGAAUUUAAUUAUAUUUAUCUAUUUAAUUUUUUAUCUUUGUUUGUGUGAAUUUAUUUUAAUUAGAUUAUUUGAGAUAAGGUAUAAUUCUUUUUAUUUUUAUUUUAAAUAAAUUAUAAGGAAUUAUCUAUCUUUAUGAUAUAAUAUAUAUUAUAAAAGCAUGUGUUUUUAUAAAACUUAAACCCUUCUUAUUUCCCUAUGAUUUAAAACUCUUUAAUUAAACAAACGUAUAAAAGCAAAAAAAUUCUAGGGUUUUCUUUUAUGCACGUUUGAAAGAAAUUUUGAGGUAUUAAUCCUUCUUUAAUACGUGCUCUCUAAUAUGAUCUUAUGUGUUUGAUAAUGAAUGCAUGCAUUGUUCUCUUUAUUAUGAGUUACGAGCAGUGUGUUUUGAUUAUUGUUUUUUUCCAUUAUUUUUAUUUGAUUUUUGUACAAAAGUUUCCAUAAAAUUAAAGUGGACAUUCUAAGGUUUUCAAUGAUAUAUUUUGUACAAAGAGAUUCCAAAUAACCAAUUUGUUGUUAAUUUUCAAAUUUGGAACAGUGGUGCUGGAAAAUUUCGAUUUUCAGCAGUGUGUUUGAAUUUGCCGAUUUUUCUGACUAUCCAAAUAAUCUUUGAAAAUUAUGUUGAUUUUUUUUUAUCCUCAUUAUGUCACUUUAUUUUUAAUUUCAUAAUUUUUGGUUUAUGUUGAGCUGCUGCAAUCCUGGAGAUUGCUUUCCAUAAUUGCAAUAGUUGAUGGUAAAAUUAUUUUAGGCUGUUAAAAGGCUUUAGAAUGACUUAUAAAAAUUAUAUUCGUAUAAUAUUAUGAGUCCUCUAUGAUUUCAAGUUUAUUAGACUAAUUUUCAUUCAGUUAACAUUAAGUUAUGAAUUUUUAAGUUGCAAAACACAAACCUGAAAGUUUCUAGACAAGUUUGCUAGUCUCUCAAUAUAAAUUCGUUUAAAAUGGUUUUACAUCUUCAAAACUUCUAGAAAUUUGAUACAUUAUUUCUUGACGUUUUUAUUGUUGUAAAAUCAAGUGGUCUAAUUUAUGAGUUUUAUUAAAUAUUUUAUGAAUUUUCUAAUACAACUACCUUUGUUUUUAUCACUGCUGGAUAGUGUGAAUAUUUGCAUGUAAAAUUCUUUUUGCAAUAUAUUUAUGAUUAUUCAUUUUUUAAAUCUUUAUAAAUUCGACACAUGUGAAUGAGGAAUCACCGAAUUCAGUCAUAACAAGCUCACCAACUUCAGAUUUUAUGUUUUUUUUUUUAAUUUUUUACAAUUUUCUGACAUAUAAUUAGCUUGGUAAAAAUUAACUUGUAUAUGAUGGUCAGGUUGAGACAGUGGCCACCCAGAAACUUAAAUUGGGGGGGUUUAGUUCAAAAAAUUAUAUUUAAUUUAGGGUUUUUUUUUUAUGUUCACUUGAAUAUAUUUUAAGUCUCAUAAACUCAAAUUCCAUUACUUUCUUUUAAAUUCUAAAUUAUAAUAGUAAUAAAUUAUUUAUUUUAAAUGCGUGAAAGUAUCAUUUUUCUAAGUAGUUUCCACAAAAUAUUUUAAAAAAAUAAUGUGGUUAUUGGGAUUUGAACCAAGACUUUAAAACCAUCAAAUAACACUUUUAACAUUAAACUACAAGUCUUUUGUUAUAUGAAAAAUGUGUCUAAAUUUUUUUUAUUUAACUCUUUUAGAAGGGAUUUGAGGUACAUUUAAAAGAAAAAUUAAUGGCCAUAAAGCCCCUCUUGGGUCUUAGUUGGGUUCGCCCAUGGGUUGAGACUAGCUUUGAUAGUUUAGUACUUAUUACUAGACUUGAUUAUGUUGGAUUUAUAUUAAGGUUAUAAUGAGUAAUAAUAUUGAUAACAAUGUGUCUUGAUGUUUUAGGAUGACAGUGAGCUCAUGGUUGAAGUUACCAUCUUUUUAUUGUUAAAGAUCGAGGUAAGUAAAUUCAUGCAUGAUAUAUGCAUUUCAGUAUUAAAUUACUUUUAAUUCGAGUUAUGUAUUAUGUUGAAUGAAAAGUACAUAAAAUUGAUUUGUUUUAGUCUAUUACAAUAUUUUGUUAAGUAAAAUCAUUCUUUGAAAUUAUUUAUAACAAAACUUAAUUUAUUAAAAACUUGUUUUAUAAGUUGUCUUAAAAACAAAAACUUUAAUUAAAUUGUUUUAAGUCAAUUACUUUGAAAUAAUUAUUAAUUAUUUAAAUGUGAUUUACGGAAGCUUAUAAAUAAUUAAAAGUUGAAGAAUGAUUUUAAAUAAAUUGACUCAUUGUUUGUAGUGAUAUUAUGUUGUGUUAUGUUAUGGAAGACUAUCCUGAUUUUGUGCUCGUAUGAUUUUAAUGUUAAUGAUUCUUGUAUGUGGGAUACGGUGCCGCCCUGAAUGAUGUUAUUGGCUUUGUUGAUCAGCUACGAUGGUAGUAAAACUUCCCCAAAAAGCACUUCCUUCUAGCAACAAAACAGUCACUAUGAUUCUGCAAAAUAUAGGACCACCAUCAGUCUAUCUUUCUUUUCUUUCACCUCCCACUCUUCCGCGUCGCUCUUUUGAUAUACAUGCAGAAACAAACAUAAUGGAUGUCACACCAAUUUAUGGAAUGAUUCAAGUGCCCAUCACUCUCACUAUUGAGUUGGAUUUUGGUCCAAAAUUCCUUCUUCGUUCUUCAGUUUCUAAAGCACCAUGUGUUAGAAACCUCAUUGAUACCUUCAUUUGUUAACUCCAAAUUUUUCUCCUUUCCCUUUAUAUCAUGAUAAACCCUUGUGUGACCACUAUUGGUUACUUCAAUUGGUAAAAUUUAUCGAUCUACUUGUAAAUUUUUUUUGAAAUAAUAAAACGUCUCGGAAUCCCGCAUUCGAUACUUUAAUAGAUCAAUUUUACAAUGCAUUUAAAUCACGUAAGAAUUGGCAAUGCCGCCAAUUGGCCUUUCUUCAUUUUCUUAAAAUAUUUUCCUUGGCUUUAUUCUGCAUUGCGAUUUUUUUUUCUUGGUGCAUUUUUCAAUCUUACUGUUUUCAAUCCGACAAACCUAGCUAUUAAAAUCUCAUUUCAAUUAGAAUAUUACUAGUUAUCAAAAUCUCAUUAAAUUGUUUCAAUUAGAAUACAACCUAAUUAUCAAAAUCUCAUUAAAUUAUUUCGAUUAGAACAUAUCCUAAUUGCAUUGGUUUAACCCACUAAUAAAACGAUAUCUAUCAUUUAUUACCCGCUUCCACUACCCCAUCUAGUAUUUAUCUAUCCGCUUCCACUACCUUGCUACGUCAAAACUACAAGUGAAGAAGAACUUCAUAAUCUCAUGCAUUCAGCUGGUAUCAGUUAUUAAUAAAAAAACCAAAUAGAGAUAAGAUCUUUAAAAUUAUAAUUAUUCCAAAAUUUUAAGCUCUAAUUUGUUGUUGUUGUUAUUAUUAUUAUUUAGUUAUUUUUCUAAGUUUAAUGGUUUUGUUGAAGUUGAAUAUUAUAUGAGAUGAGUGUUCGGAGAAUUUAUUUAUUAAUUUUCUUCGUAAGUGUAAGAAGAAUUUAUUUAUUUAUUAUGAGUGUAAGAAUUUGUUAGCAAGCAUUCAACUGUAUUUGUUUGUUCACUCUACGGAAGCAGUGUCUCGUGUUCAAUUAAUCGAAUUAUUUAAAAAUAAUAAUAUUCAUACCUAAAAGAGGCCAUGCAUGUCACAUUAUUCAUGCAUAGCCCAAAAGACAAAAGCAUUUCGGAGCCACUAAUUAAAAGCGCUUUCAAAUUGCUUGUCAUCAAUCAGAUGCCUUAUCAUACCCAUAUGCUCGUUGAAAAAAUAGCAUAUUAGUAUGUUAUUUUGAGGGCACAUUUUGAGUGGGAUUCACUUAACAAAAGUGAAAAUAUUGAGAGGUUCAGAUUUUACUCUGUGAAAACUUCAAAAUGAUAUAUCUUUAUUUACUUAAAAUGAUGUUUGGUAGAAUGAGAAAUUGACUCUCAAAGUGCACCCCUGAAGUUGAAAAAUUGAAAGGAAAUGAAACUUAUCGCAGAAGGGAAAAAUAAGUUAAGGGAUCUGUGUUUAUAUAUAGAUAUUUAUCCAUACAUGAGCAAGAAUUGUAGGGAUAGAGGCUCUCUCCACACGCGCGUGCACGAGGCGCAAAUCCGAGAUCGAUUUGGUUGAACCCGCUCAUCCUACUUACACGAAUGUCGGCCCCAAAUCACCUAGACCCGCAUGGCCACAUUUUUUAUUUCCUUUUAAAUUUUCUAAGAGUUUUCACAAUUAAAAUCAAAAGUAAUUUUUGAUUUAUGAAUAAAUAUUAAACUGUUACACAAUUGAAAUUUUUGAAUUCAACAGGCUGUUACAGAUUUGAAAUUUUCAAUUCAAUGAAAUGUUACAGAAACUAAAAUUAAAUCAUAUAUUGAAUUCGAAAAAUUAAUUUUAUACAAUAGUUAUGUACCCUCAUGUAUAUAAAAAUACAAUCUUUCUCUUCUAUUUUAGAUGCAACAAAACACACAUAGCACUUAAAAUUUCUUUUUCUUUCUCAAACGUUCUGUUUUGAUCGAGAAUCUACACUGUUGUUGUUAACCGAAAUUAUUUGUAUGUGCUUGACAAAUAAUUUAUUUCCGUUGUAUCCUAAAAAACAAAUACCAACAAACCUAAAAACACCGUUAUAAGUGAUAAAUCUGUUUUAAGACCUCGGAUUUUCCCGUUUAAUUUUUUUUCUUCCGUUUAUUUGUUGUUGUUUCCACGAUUUCCAGCAGCUGUUUUAUUAAUUUUUGCUGUUGUUUCAAUUCUGUUGGUAUAGAAUUCCCGUUCUUUGAUAACUUGAUUAUUUUUAAUUGUUCACUCACUGCAAUUUUUUUUUUUUUUUCAAUACUGCUUUGUUCCUCUGAUCUUCAAUACUUCUAUACUCUUGUGUAUCAAUAGGAUCAGAAGUCUUUUUAGCAUCAAAUACUGAAGGAUCUCUGUGAAUGUGAUCAUGAUCACGAUCACCAUCAUCACCACAAAUCACAUUGUCCUUGAUCUUCUCAGUAGUCUCCUUAGCUGCUUUCCAGGCACCAUCCAUUAUCUGCUUCGCCGUGUCCCCAACAUUCUCCGCUGUAUCCACUGCCUUUCUUGCUCCAUCUUUCACCUUAUCAGCUACAAAUCCUGUCACCCCACUCGGUCUGCCCUCGUCCUCGUCUAAUGCUUCUUGCUUUGCCUCGUAUAGGCCAUCCCUCGAGGCCUCGGUCCCGGCUUUAUGGUCCGUCGAUUCUGCCACUGCAUUGCUACCCUGCAUUUUAAGAUCAUUGAUGAACACUAAUACCUCAACUGAGUAUACAUACAUACUUAUUGAAUGUUAAGUACCAACAAAACGAAAUUAAAUUCGAACUGUUGAUAUAGGCACAAGAGAUUUUACGAAUUGAACCAAUUAAGAACAAGCAACAGAUCAACAAUUAAUAAUUUUUUUAUCACUUCCGAGACUAAUUGAUCUCUUAUAAACUCAACUUGCAAAAAUUAUAAUAUGCCUAAUAGAAAUUAAGCUAAAUUUAGCAAUCAAGAAACUAGCGUAUAAGUGUAACAAAACUCAAUUCGACCUCUAGAUUAUUAAAAACAAAAAAUAAAUAAAUAAAGAAAAAGAAGGCAUGCACAUCUAAAUCUAUUAAGAAUUUUUUUUUUUUUCCCUUACUUCACUUUAAGAAUCUAAUAAAUAAAUGGAGAAAAUAUCAAUGUAGAUGCCCUCUAAAAGUAGUAAAAGCAAGAAAUAGUAAAAGCAAUAAAGAUAAGGGCAUAUGAAUAAUAUACAUGAGCAUGCUCAUAAGCAGAGGAAAGCCACCGAGAUCUAGAGAUUCUGCUCGCGGAGUGGAAGUAGUGAUUAGGAAAGUCUUUUGAUGAGGUCUUAGAGAUGUUAAUGGUAAUCCUUUUUCCCCAAAAUAGUGCUGCCAUUUUCUUAACCUCUGUGUGCUUGCUUUUGCUCGUUGGUUCUUCCCUGUCUCCAUUUAUUCUAUGCUUGUCCUCGAAUACGAUGGGAAUGUCGUGUUUAUUGACGGACACGUGGAUCGAAUUUUGACAUGUGUCACAGCUCUAAUUUCACUAACUAUUGUAGUUUCUCAACACAUGUUGUUUAAUAAUUUUUUUAUUUUAUUUUUUAUUUUUAUGCUUAGAUGAUUAAUUUUAUUUGCACGGUCCACUGGGCUCUAAUUUUAUGUCCCACUUGUUUUUUUUCGGAUCAUCGAUGGUGGUGGGCUUGUUAUUGAAACGUAUACCGAAAAGUUUAAUUUUUUUUCGGUUGUCACAACUUUUACCGGAGCACGUUCGUCCCUUUACUGAAUCUACCUGCGUUUUUAAAGUGCGUAUGGUAUAUUAUAUUUUAUUAUAUUAUAUUACAUUAAUAAUGUAUUAUAAUAAUAUUAUAUAAUAUUUGGUGCUAUAUUAUACUGUAAAUUUAUAUUAUGUUUGGUGUUGCACUGUACUAUAUUAAUUUUUUGUGAUUAGUUUAAUAUUUGUUAGUACUUAAAAAAAUACUAAAUAUAAAAGUUUUAAAUUUUAGGAAUUUAACAAUUUUGUUAGUGUAAAUGUUAAAAAAAUAUUAACUUUUCAUAAAGAUCGAAGCUUAUAUCUUUUAAUUUUCGGAAGCAUAGCAUUUAUUUUUAGUAUUUUCUAAAUAUAUAACUUGUUAAAUAUCGAAGCAAAUAAUUUAAUCAAAUAAUUUCUAAAUAAUAUAACAACAAAAAUAAAUAGUUAAAACCUAUACGAUUAGUUUAAAAGUCAUCUUAGGAUGAUAGAAUGAAAAUCUAUGCACACCACAAAAUAAUCACGAAAUAAUAAAGUGACAUAGUUGUUAUAACUUAUUUACUAACAAAAUAAAUUGUGCUAAAUAAUCCAAGUAAGAGUUUUGUAGCAUAUGUAAUAAUAUUUUAUAUUAUUAUUAAUUUUAAAUUAAUAUAUUGAAAUUUAUUCGUAUUUAAAUAUUUAUUAUUUGUUAUAUUAAAUUAUUUAAAAAUAAUUAAUUUUUAUAUGUUAACUAUCAUAAUAUAAUUAAAUAAUGUAAUAUUAUGUUAUAUUUUAUGUACAAUUCAAGUAUUUAUUAUUAGUCAUAUUAAUUAUAAAUUUAUUAAUAAAUUAUAAUGUAAAAACAAAAAAAUAAUAUAAUAUUAUAAAUUAAAUUAAAAUAUAAUAUAAUAUUAUUGAAUAAUAAAUCAUAAAUUUAUUAAUAUAAUGUAAAAUAAAAAUUAAUAUUAUUAUUUUAUUACUAUUAUUAUUAUUAUAAAGUAAAAGUAAAAAAAAAAAGUGGAAAAAAAAAAAAGACAAGCUAAUGCGGCAACCGCCACAUUAGCACGGUCCCUUAAUGCAUUGCGAUUUCUCAGUUCUCACCAAACAAAGGAUAGCAUUAGUUUAGUGAAGAACAGUUUUAUAAUGCCGUGUAAUGCUGUCUUCCAAACACACCCUUUAAGGAAAUCUUUAUCUGAUUCAUGAGUUCCUUCAAACUAUCACGUUCUCCAAUGCUGUGGGUGCGAGGGUUAUAACUUCUUUGUAAUUGGAAACUAUUGUCAAAAUCCCAAUCAAACUCCCCAGAAGGUCACCUUUAGCAGGAUAUGAUCGAGCUGAAUUGAACUUCGGGCUUAGUCUAUGAUCCAUCUGAUCCGGCGAUUAAGAUCCAAGAGCGUAUUCAAGUAUUGGUGUGGCUCAAAUUUACUCCUGUUGUAAAUUUGACUCUUUAACAUUGGCUUGGCUUGAGCAGCUGUUGAUAAUUAAUCUUCCAGUGUUAAGAUAAUAGAAUUAGUUAAGAUGGUUUAGUUAGUUAAGCUCAGUUGAUUUGUUUAAUCAAGUUUGUUAUUAAUGCUGACUUGGCAGCUGAGCUGGAGGAAGGUUGUUAUGCUGUUAGCUAAAGCUUAAACAGCAUGUAGAAGAUUCGAAAUGCUUGUAUAUAUACAUCCUUGUAAAACCAUUCAGAUUAAUGAAAUGAUUCACAUUCGUUCUCUCUUGUUAUUUUCUCUCUGUAACUUUCUUAGAAACCAAACAAAUACUUUACAAUUUAACAUGGUAUCAGAGCCAAACUAAAAGCAAAAAUGGCGUUCUCAAGCUCAAAUCCAAACACAGCAAUCUCUGUUUCUUCAUUCACUUUCACUUCUCCUAUUAAGCUUGAUCGAUCGAACUACACAAUCUGGAAAUCUCAGAUUCUCUCUUCAGUACGUGCAAAUGGUCUUGAAGAUCAUUUCGAUAGCUCCAAGUCAUGUCCAGAUCAAUUUCUUCAAAGUGAAUCUGAGAACUCUGAAAUUGAAACUCGAACAAGUCCUGAGUUCACUGCUUGGAAAAGGAAGGAUCAAAUGCUGCUGAGCUGGAUGCUGUCUUCUAUAAAUCUCGAGAUCCUCAGCCUUGUGGUAAACUCUGAAACUUCACUUGAACUUUGGACUAGUCUUGAGCAACAAUUCGGAUCUGAAACCUUUGCUAAAAAGGUUCAUCUUAAGAUGAUGCUUAACAAUCUUAGAAAAGGUUCAAUGUCUAUGACUGAAUUUUUUGGAAAACUGAAAACAAUAACUGAUGAUUUAGCUAUAGCUGGAAGCCCUGUUAGCUCUCUAGAUUUUAUUACACAUCUUAUCUCUGGGCUAGGUCAACCAUACUACCCUGUGGUUGUGUAUAUCGAGGCAAAUCUAGCAAAAAUGACUGUUAAUGAAGCUUACUCAAUGCUUUUAACUCAUGAAGCUAGACUAGAAGCACAUCAGUCAAAUGCUAGCAAGGAAGCUAAAUUGACUUAUGCUGCAAAUGUUGCUCAAACUGGAACUAAUACUAAGUUUGGAGGACAGAAUAAUGCUAACUGGAUUAGGAAUGUCAAUAAUAAUAAUGGUGGCAGAGGAGCCUUUGGUAGAGGUUUUUCUCAAGGCCGAGGUAGAGGAAAUUGGAAUGGAGGCUGGAAUAAUAAUGCUCAGUCUGGAAAUUAUCAAGGCAGAGGAGGAUUUGGUGUUAACAAUGCCAAUAAUUUUGGUGCUAAUAAUGGAAAUUUUGGUGGAAACUUUGGUGGCUUCACUAAUGGAAAAGGUGCUUCAGAUCCAAAUGGAGCUGCUGUAAUCUGUCAAAUAUGCUUUAAGCCAAAGCAUACUGCAGCUGAAUGCAGGAACAGGUUCAAUAAAGAAUUUGUGCCUUAUUACAAUCCAUAUUCAGGCUAUAAUUCAUAUCAGAAUCCUGGACCAAGAGCUUUCUAUCCAAAUUCAGCACCAAGAGCUGCUUUCCUGGCAACCUCAGAAGGUGACAUGGCUGAUCAAGGUUGGUAUGUUGACAGUGGGGCAACACAUCAUCUCACCAACAACCUGCAGAACUUGAACCUUGGAAGAGAAUAUUCAGGUAAUCAGCUACUACAUGUUGGUAAUGGCCAAGGUCUGAAAAUUACACACAUUGGAUAUACUUGUCUCCCCACUUCCUGUGAUUCUUUUCUGCAUUUACAAGAUAUCUUGUGUGUACCUCAUCUUACUAAAAAUCUCAUAAGCAUUUCCAAAUUGCUUGAAAAUACCAAUUUAACCAUUGAGUUUGUUGCCAAUAUGUGCUUUAUUAAGGACAAGAGGAAGGGAGUGCAUCUGGCUCAAGGGAUUGCUAGAGGAGGACUGUAUAAGUUGCUGUCUAAGGAUGACUGUCUCUCCAGUUCAUGUGUCACCAGUCAUAAUCCUAGUUCUAUGCUUUCUGUUUUUAACCAAUCAGCUUGUAACUUUUCUGGUUUGUCUUUGAAUAAAGUUUGUACUCAAACAAGUAAUUCUCAGAGUCAUUUGAGCACUGUUAACCCAGCUAUGUUUGCUAAUGUGUUACACCAAAGAUUUGGUCAUCCUAAUAAACAUGCAUUGAAAAACAUAUUAUCCUCUCUUGCACUUCCUGCAUCUAUUCCUGAUUUUUGUGAUGCUUGUCAAUAUGGUAAAAUGCAUCAACUUUCCUUCUACUCUACAGGCAUAAAAACAAAAACUCCUUUAGAACUUGUAUAUACCGAUCUUUGGGGUCCAGCAUCUAUACCAUCUCUACAUGGAUAUAGAUAUUACAUUAGUUUUGUGGAUGAUUACAGCAGAUACUGCUGGAUUUUUCCAUUAACCCUUAAGUCAGAAGCUUUAGAUACAUUCAAGUAUUUCAAAACCUUAGUUGAAAAACAACUUGGUUUCUCUCUAAAGUCUUUACAAUCUGAUUGGGGAGGGGAGUACAGAAGCUUUGAAAAAUUUCUUGAGGCAGAAGGGAUACAUUUUAGGCAUAGUUGUCCUCACACACAUCAUCAAAAUGGUGUAGUUGAGAGAAAGCAUAGGCAUGUUAUAGAAACUGGGUUAACACUUCUUGCACAAGCUAAAAUGCCUUUAUCUUUUUGGUGGGAGUCAUUUCAUACAGCUUCCUUUCUUAUUAACAGAAUGCCAACCCCAGUGUUGAAUAAUGUUUCUCCUUUUGCCAAACUUCAUGGUAGACCACCAGAUUACAAGUUCCUUAGAACUUUUGGUUGCUCUUGCUUUCCUCUUCUCAGACCCUACAAUAACCAUAAACUCAAUUUUCAUACACAAAAAUGCCUAAUGAUUGGCUAUAGUCCUAUACACAAGGGAUAUAAAUGCCUGGAUUCCACUGGUAAAACAUACAUUGCUAGACAUGUUCAGUUUAAUGAAUCAGAAUUUCCUUAUUUUGAACUCUUUCCUACAAAGUCUGAUUCACAACUCUCAUCCAUCCAACCAAGUCAAGUCUCUUUUUCAAAUAUUCCAAUUACAGAAGUCAUUCAAGACAGCAACAAUGCACAAUCCUAUGCUAUUCCCUCAAAUCCAGAUGCAGGACCUGAUUCAAGUCACUCCCAUACAUCUUCAGCACAUUCAUCUCCAAGCCAUUCAUCUCAAAAUUUAUCACCACACAUCCAAGUUCAUCAGCCAGUACAGACAUCUUCAGUUCAGAACAUUCAUUCCAUGACUACCAGAUCAAAAGCUGGUGUGUUUAAGCCCAAGACAUACUUAACAGUAGCUCAAGAGCUUGAACCUUCAUCUGUUAAAGCAGCUCUAGCAGACUCCAAAUGGCAACAAGCUAUGCAAGAAGAAUUUGAUGCACUACAAAAGAAUCAAACCUGGGUUCUUAUUCCUCCAGAAACAGCUGGGAAGAUUGUUGGAAACAAAUGGGUAUUCAGAAUUAAAUAUAACCCUGAUGGCAGCAUAUCAAAGUACAAAGCCAGAUUGGUUGCCAAGGGGUUUCAUCAGACACAAGGGGUGGAUUUUUUUGAAACUUUCAGUCCAGUUGUAAAGCCCUGCACCAUCAGAAUAAUUCUGAGUCUUGCUGUCAUGAAUCAUUGGACAAUUAGGCAGCUAGAUGUUAAUAAUGCCUUCCUUAAUGGCAUUCUUAUAGAGGAUGUUUUUAUGCAUCAACCUGAGGGUUUUGUUCAUCCUCAAUUUCCAGCUCAUAUCUGCAAACUCACUAAGGCACUUUAUGGACUCAAACAGGCUCCAAGAGCCUGGUAUGACAGGUUGAAAGCUUCUUUAAUUCAGUGGGGUUUUGUGACAUCCAAAUCAGAUACUUCCUUGUUUGUUCAUCAUGUGGCAGGAGAAAUUAUUGUGGCACUAAUCUAUGUAGAUGAUAUUUUGAUCACAGGCUCAAAUUCUCUUUUGGUAGAAAAGGUGAUACAUCAGUUGGGUGCCGAGUUUGCCUUGAAAGAUCUUGGGGAGUUUAAUUACUUUCUCGGUCUUGAGGUAACUCCAAAUGUGGAUGGUUUGCACUUAUCACAAACUAAGUACAUUGGUGAUUUGCUCAAGAAAGCUCAAAUGGUGAACUGCAAGGGCUGUUCAACACCAAUGAGCUCAACAGAGAAAUUAGUCAAAGACAAGGGUGAAGUGUUUGAGAAUCCUUCUUUAUACAGAAGUUUGGUUGGCUCAUUGCAAUAUGUUACACUAACAAGGCCUGAAAUUGCUUUUACAGUGAAUAAACUCAGCCAAUAUCUUUCUAAUCCAUCAGUACUUCAUUGGCAAGCUUGCAAAAGGGUGCUGAGGUAUCUGCAGUAUACAGCAGAUCAUGGUUUACAAUUUUACUCAUCUGGAUCACUUAGUCUUACAGCUUUUUCAGAUGCUGAUUGGGGAUCUGAUCUGGAUGAUAGGAAGUCAGUGGGGGGAUAUUGUGUUUACUUAGGCAACAACUUGGUUUCAUGGUCCUCUAAGAAACAGCAUAUAGUAUCUAGAAGUACAGCUGAAUCAGAAUACAGAGCUUUGGCUUUGACAACAGCUGAGGUAUUGUGGAUCACAUAUCUUUUCAAAGAACUAAAAGUGUCUUUGCUGCAGUCUCCAGUUCUCUACUGUGACAACAAAAGUGCAGAAGCCCUUGCUAGCAAUCCUAAGUAUCAUUCUAAAACUAAACACAUUGAACUUGAUCUACACUUCAUUAGAGAGCAUGUAUCUAGAAAGGAGCUGCAAAUUAAUCAUGUUCCAAGUUGUGAUCAGGUAGCAGAUAUUCUAACUAAACCAUUAGCAUUUGAUCAAUUUCAUUAUCUACGGUCCAAGCUCAAUGUUCUUCCCAGACCUUGAGCUUGAGAGGGGCUGUUAAGAUAAUAGAAUUAGUUAAGAUGGUUUAGUUAGUUAAGCUCAGUUGAUUUGUUUAAUCAAGUUUGUUAUUAAUGCUGACUUGGCAGCUGAGCUGGAGGAAGGUUGUUAUGCUGUUAGCUAAAGCUUAAACAGCAUGUAGAAGAUUCGAAAUGCUUGUAUAUAUACAUCCUUGUAAAACCAUUCAGAUUAAUGAAAUGAUUCACAUUCGUUCUCUCUUGUUAUUUUCUCUCUGUAACUUUCUUAGAAACCAAACAAAUACUUUACAAUUUAACAUCCAGAAAAAAGAGCAUCCAUUAUAAGUGGUGGUGCGAUAUUGUUUUGUAGAAUGUUGUGAGAUGAGACAGGGAUGUGAGGCUUUUAUUUUAAGAUUAGUACUCUAAUCCCUCAUGAGAACUGGGCAUCAGUUGUGAUAAUUUUAGGACACAUUCUGGGGAUUAUUUUUAUCUGCAACUGUAGUUAUGAAACAAAUUUAAGAUUCUAUACUGGGAUUGCAUGGAUUGCAGCCAUGCUAACAUCUUAUAUGAGGUGCAGUUAUGGCCUUGCCUGCUUAUUAGGACGAUUCUUCGCAUAUAUAGUAUUUUGUGAGCAAGUUUGCUCUGACUAGGUUUUCCUUUCUUGCGUGAACUGGAUGGUUAGGUUGUAUUCUGUGGGUUUAUAGUUUAUGAGGAAAGUGUACCUUAGAUUUUCAUUCCUCUUCCAUUAAUCACAUCUGGACUGAAUAUGUACAAAAAAUUUCUUCUACCCACUAGACCCCCAGAAAUUUGAGAUAUAGAAUUUUAUCGAUCAGAAAAUUUGGGUUUCAGUUGAUCAUAGACAGUUGUUAGUUAAAAAUUAUGGAUAGAAGAACAAACAUUUUCAUGUUUUAUUUUCUUUUUUCUUUGUGAAUAAAUGAAGAAAACAAAAUUGAAUGCUGUAUUUGUUAAAUAUGUCAGUAAGAAUUCCUAAUCCCCUCUAAUAAGAAUUCCUAAUCCCCUGUAAUUUUAUUUUUGUCCAGGAUUGCGUGCAUGAAUCCUACAGAAACUCUUUGCCACUUCACAGUGUUGAAGUGGAUGAAGAUCGCUCUCCCCUCGAGAGUAGUGGUCCUUCAAGGGGCAGCUAUGAUAUUCUGACAAUUGAGGGUACUUUUUCCAUUUUUCAUUUUUUAUUGUCUUAAAUAGAAAUCAUAAGUAUUAGCAUAUAAUUGCAUAGAUCUAUUUAUGAUCUGUAGGCUUCUUUCUUCAUAAAUUUACUGAUCGCUUUUUCCAUUUUUUUUAAAAUUUAAGCAUCUCUGUUUCUCAGGAAACAGAAAAAAAAAGAAAUGAGAUCAUAAUUAAUAUAUGAAUGGUUUGUGUCUUAAGCGGGCUUUACUAAUUUGAAUGAAGUUUGAACCAGAUGUUUCCCCUAUUGAAUCAGCAAGGGCAAGAUUUCUACAAAUUAUUGUGGAUCAUUUUAUUAAUGACCAUGUGAUUGAAGUGACUGAUUCUGGGGCUGAAUAUUCUCAGCAGCCAGGUCAAGACAAAUUGAGUAAGAGGAAAAACAGAGAUGUCCAGUACGAAGGUGAUCCAAGGUUUGCUUUGCCCUUGAUGUAUGUUGCUAAUAUGUACGAAACCUUAGUUAAUGAUGUAAACUUGAGGCUUGCUUCCUUCAAUGGUAUUCGUGAGAAGACCAUUGGGGUAGCGCUUGAAGCAGCUGGUGGUUUAUACAGGAGUUUGGCCAAGAAAUUUCCUAAGAAAGGUAUUACCUUUUUUUUUUUUGGGGUCUAUUGGUGAAAACAAUAAGUAAUUUUCUGGAUUCUUUUGAACACCGAAAGAAAUUGGUUUCUGUUCAUUCUUUCUACUCAGCACUUUGGCCAUGCCAGUUUGUGUGUAAUAUCAAUUCCCUGAAGAGAUCAGUUUCUUCGAAUGUAGCAUUUAAAAGAAAUAUCAAACUUUGAAACUGACUGAAUUCUUUUAUUUUAAUUGGGCUCAUUUUGCUGUUUACUUGUCAUAUCUUUUACCUAUAGGUUCCUGUACAUACAAACGAAGAGAAUUGGCAACUUCUCUUGAAACAAGGACAAGAUUUCCAGAAUUAGUAAUACAAGAAGAGAAACGAGUUCGUUUUGUAGUGGUCAAUGGAUUGGAUAUUGUUGAGAAACCAAAUAAUAUGCCUAUCGAAGAUGCUGAGUGGUAAGUGAUUUCUUGCUCUUAUUUUUCCAUAGCAUGCCUCUUUCAGAGUUCAGUUGUCCUAUUUAUCAAAUUUUCAGUAGAAAUGAAUUUUCUUUAUUGAAACAUUUAGGGCACUGAUUCUUCAUGGGCAGUGCUAUUCAAAGACUGUUUAAGCUGCUUGCAUUCUAUAGAACAUGUGCAAAGAGAACAUGGAUGUGUGGGCAGUUUAUUGUUACAAGCUUUGUUGGGCUCCUGGUGGAAAAUGUGUUAUUUUACCCUAUAUUGGGUUUAGCAUAUUUGUGUUAGUGGGUUACUUUUGGGUUGUGCCGAGGUAAAAAACUAAAGGCUAAUUUGGGAUUGUUGUUGGGAUGGUCAAAAGCGAUUUUUGAUAAGUUAAAAGUUGAUUUUGGUGUUUGAUAAAAUAAUUUUACCAUUCUAAAACUGAAAAACAAGGAACGGAUGGCUUUUCAGAAUAAGAUAUUGAGCAGUAGGUUUUAUUAUUGAAUAUAAUUCCAAAUACAUUCUCGUCUAAAUUAUACAAAUCCAAAAUUGUCCUUACAUAAAUUAUUCAAUUCCAACUUUAAAUACAUUGAAAAAAAGAAAGUAAAAAAGUCAUUAAGAUAUAAUACCAUUUUUUUAGUAAAAAAUAAAUAAUGUAAGUCAACUUUCUUUGUUUAGAUAUUUGAAUCUUUGUAUCUUUGUUCCUCUUACUUUAAUCUUUUUAAUAUGGCUGUGUUUUUUAAUUUGUUACUGUAAGUUCUAUUUUAGAUUUCGUGCUUUACAAUUUAGAUUCUAUCUUAAGCUUAUCACAUUCAACACCACAAUCUUUUUAUUUGAUGAUUUGAUUUGAAAUUUGCUGCAUUUUUAUUUUUCCCUAAUUGAUACAUUGUUGAAGGUUUAAGAGAUUGACUGGCAGAAAUGAAGUAGCUAUCUCUGCUCAAGACUAUAAAUUUUAUUCUCCAAGACAUAAGUACAGGCGUGUUGCCUCAAAUUCUGUAUCUAACAUCCCAGUUUUGCCUGUAAGAUUGACUCCCUUUUUCCCCUGCAAGCAUGAUGUACUUCAUUGUAUCAUAAUAUUGUCCAAACUGUGAUGUAUCCUAUAGAUAGGAUAUCUGAAAACUUGAAGCAUUGUCUUUAGGUUUCCAUAAUGCUAUUAUUUCAUAUUUAUCACUAUUGUUUUAUUCAUGAUUUUUAAGGUUUAAAACCAUCCUUGGACUCUUACCUAUUUCCCUGAGCUUGUACGUUGCCUCUUGGAUCCAAUCAGAAGUAUGGUUCAGAGUAAAAAAGGACGAGUUACGAAAGUUAGUUGGUCAUUAAAAUAACAUAAAAGAUGAUUAUUUAUAUANNNNNNNNNNNNNNNNNNNNNNNNNNNNNNNNNNNNNNNNNNNNNNNNNNNNNNNNNNNNNNNNNNNNNNNNNNNNNNNNNNNNNNNNNNNNNNNNNNNNUUUCUUAUUUUUAGUAUUAAAUUUUUUUUAUUCUAAUUUCCAUUGAUAUGAUUGAUUUAAUUUAUAACUAAUUUAAACAAAAGUAGAUUUAAAAACAAAGAUAAUACUGUAAACAUUUUUUGUAAGGAAAUUAUUGACUAUUAUGGAAACCGUAAGAAGAUAAGUGGCAUAUAUUAUUGGGAAAAUGACAACAAGCCCCUAAUGUUUGUAAAAAGGGACAUAAAGCUCCUUAACAUUUCAAAAAAGACACAUAACCCUAUUUUUUUUUAGUAAAUUCUAUUUAUUUUAUAGUAAAUUUAUUUUAAUUUAUAAUUACUAUUAUGUCUCAUAAUAAAUAAAUAAAUAUAUUGAAUUAAGGCAAUGAGCCCCCAAUUCUUACUUCGUGUUUGCCCAAUCUACCUUUCAUCCAUAUAUAAGUUUAUUUAAUAUCGCAUUUUGCCUAAUUUAUUCAAGAAGAAAAUAAGUUUAAUUUUAAUUUUAUUUAUUAUUCAUCAUUUUUUUAUCAUCUUAUUUUUGGAAAAAAAUAUAUUAAUAAUCUAGAGUGAAUAACUUGGGUAAAAAUUAAUUACAUCUUAAUUUUUAAUUUUAAAUAAAAAAUUAUUGAUUUCAUUAUAUGCAUCAUUAAUGACAUGUCAUAGGUUAAUAUACUGAUUUAUUUAUUAUAAGGACAUAAUUGCAAUUAUAAAUUAAAAAUAAAUUUACUUUUAAAAAAAUUUUAUUAAUAAAAAAUAGGAUUAUAUGACUUUUUUAAAAUGUUAAGAGAUUUUAUGUCAUUUUUCACAAACGGUAAGAGCCCAAUAUUCUUUUCUCUAUAUUAUUUUCAAUAGAGUACUGGCAAUCUCUCAAAUUUAACACAUAAAUCCAUACAGUGAAAAAAUUCAUUCUAAUUGCAGGACGAGCUAAGAUGGGAAAAUAAAAAAUUCUAGACUUUCAAAUUGCUUGUUAUAAAUAGCAUAAAUAACAAAAACAGCCUGUGUAUACAACAUUUAUCUGUCAGUACAGAGCAGUGACGAAUUGUUUUAUGAGAAACCAGGUCACUUGCUCAAGCUUUCACCCCAACCUUUGAACAACUGUUGCUUUACAGGUAUACCACUAUAACUCCCCAAACAAGAAAAGAGACUUACAAGUUACAAAAGAAAACACAGUAUCGAAUUUCUUUCCUAAGCAGCAUCAAUUCCGAUACCAUCUAGCCAUGUAACAACUUCUUCGAUGAAGGGUCUCCGUCUUGGAUCCUGGUCUAUGCAUUUACAGGCAAUCUCAAGCAUUUCUAAGAGCUGCUUCUCACGAUCCUUGUGCCAUAUUGAUGCAUCUAUAAUUUCAACCUCCCUUUUUUCGGACUUCAUCUGGAAUACCCAUGAUACUAAAUCCCUACAAUUUUUUCCUUUGCAUACUUCAACAGGCCUUCUACCAGUAAGAAGCUCAAGAAGAACGACGCCAAAACUGUAAACGUCACCCCUGCAUGUUGCUGUUAGUGUCUGACUGUAUUCAGGAGGAAUGUAGCCUAAGGUGCCGACCAAAUCUGUUGUGACAUGAGUAUCAUAAGGACGAAGCAGCCUGGAGAGACCAAAAUCAGCCAAAUGAGCUUCAAAUUUUUCAUCCAGAAGUAUGUUGCUGGAUUUUACAUCUCUAUGAACUAUAUGUGGCUCGCAAACCUUAUGCAAGUAAGCUAAUCCACGAGCAGCGCCUUGAGCUAUCUUAAGUCUCACAUCCCAUUUAAGUACCGAAUCCUUAUCAACACUCUCAUGAAGCCAAUAGUCCAAGCUUCCAUUCUCCAUGUAAGAGUAAAUUAAUAAUCUGUCAUUACCAUGCCGACAAUAACCUUGAAGAGAAACAAGGUUUUUAUGCUGAGCUCUUGAGAGGGCUUCCACUUCUGCUUGGAAUUCACGCUCCAUCUGACCGCAAUCCCCAGAAAGCCUUUUCACUGCAGCUUUUGUGCCAUUGGUAAGAGUCGCUUUGUACACCAGGCCAAAUCCACCACAACCAAUUAUGUUUGCUUGGUUGAAAUUGUUUGUAGAUUUUAACAAGUCUGAAACAGUGAGAUCCUUGCAGUCAGAGUUCUGGAAAAGCACCAAUUUCGAUGAAGCAAGUGCUUCAGAUAAUCUCUGCGGCCGGCCCAUAUCCUCAUCAAGAUCAUCAAUUGGGCACCCACUAUCUCUCCUUGACAUCUUAAGCAGCGUAACUGCUAAUAGUAAUGCAAUUCCAACACCGAUACUGAAUGUUAUGGCAAUGAUGCUGCCUGGACCAAACUUACUGUUUGAACCAGAUGGAAUAACAGGCUUCAGCUUAGCAUGCAUAGAAUCACAAGGCGAAUCUAUUUCCCCACAAAGACCAGGGUUACCCUCAAAGCUUGAAUUAGGAAAGCUAUAAAACUGUCCUCCGGUUGGAAUUGUUCCCUGCAAGUGAUUAUUUGCCACGCUAAACUUUGACAGGAAUGUGAGUUUCUCAAAUGAUCCUGGGAUUGACCCAUGUAGAUCAUUGGACGACAAGUCUAAAACUUCCAAGUUCCUUAUCUCCGAAAUGGAACUAGGGAUGGUUCCAGUAAUGUUGUUCCUGCUCAAAUCUAACACAUGGAGAUGCUUCAGUUGUCCAAUUUCAGGUGGGAUUGUUCCAUUUAUCCUAUUAUUGCUCAAAAAUACUGAUGGGGGGAAACUUGAAGCCUGGUUGUAUGGCAGACCAUUAGUGCUCCGGUUGUGCUUUACAUAUAAUGGAAUGCCAGCAGAAGCGGUGGGGUUGGACGAAGUGCAAUUUGAAGAAAUAAGGCUCUUCAGUUCCGUUAAGCUUUUUGGAAUUUCUCCCGUAAGAGUGUUAUUUGAGAAGUCCAAAUAGAACAAAUUCUCCAUCUGACCAAUCCAAGGAGGAAUAUUACCAUCAAAGUGAUUCCAUGACAAAUCGAGAACUUGUAAUUUCUUGCACCUCAACAACCAAACUGGGAUGUGGCCCUUAAGACCACAAUUUCCAAGUGCUAAAACCAUCAAGCUCUCAAAACCACCCACAUUUUCUGGAAUUUCCUCACCAACAAAAUUCUUUGUAAGGAUAAGAGUGGUGAGAUUUUUGCACUGCUGCAGAACAGAUAGUGUGCCGGAUAGGUGGUUAAAGCUAUUGUUUGACAGUGAGAGAAACAAAAGAGAUGUUAGCUUUCCAAAGCUCUCAGGAACUUGGCCACUUAAUUCAUUCUUAGCCAGACUCAAAAUUUUCAAAUCACGGCAAUCGGAUAGGGAAUUUGGAAGAGGCCCAGAAAAAUGGUUGGUAGCAAGAUCAAGGGUACAGAGACUAGACAAUCCAGAGAAAUUGAGAUCAAUAGGGCCAGUUAAAGAAUUGUUUCGAAGAUCAAGUACAUGGAGCUUUGAGCAUAGAGACAAACUCAAAGGCAGUGGUCCAGAAAACGAAUUUGAGUGUGCAACAAAGAACUCUAGUUGUGUCAGGUUCCCCAAUACGUUAGGAAGUUUACCUGAAAACUGAUUUCCAAAAAUAAUCAAUUGUCUGAGACUGGUAAGAUUACUGAUUUUCUCACUUAACUGGCCCGAGAAGUUGUUCACAGAAAGUGAGACAUGCUGCAAUGAUGACAUUGAAUACAAAGAAUCCGGAAGGUCACCUCCAAGCAAAUUGUUAUCCACAUGUAACUGUUUGAGAGAGGGGCUGAGAUCCAAGCCUUGAAGACUGCCCAUGAAAUGAUUCAUUGACAGAUCAAGAAUCUGAAUCUCUUUUGAGGCACUCCAGAUUCGAGAAUUAAGCUUGCCAGUGAAUGAAUUAUUGCUUAUGUUGAAAACAGCAAGAUUUGAAAACUCCCCAAGUUCGAAUAAGCUUCCAUUGAAGGAAUUGCUAGACACAUUCAAUGACUGGAUCAGGUUCAAACCAGCAAGCAUUCCCGAAACUGGUCCUGAUAGCAUGUUAUGGCUCAAAUCAAGAACUUCCAGCUGCUUCAAAUUUGAGAGCUCAACAGGCACUACCCCUUCUAGAUGAUUGCAAGAAAGGUCAAGCAAUUUCAGCUGAUUCAAAUGGCCUAAAGAACGUGGAAUAAUCCCUUUCAGACCUUUUCGGGGCAGAAUCAACAUGGUCACUCUCCCAGCAUUUGAUCCAGUGCUCCCAUGUCCACAGACAACACCAUCCCAUUGACAGCACAUGGAUUCAUUAGACCAUGAUGUGAUGAUAGACCCAUUUGUGAGGUUUCCAGCAAAUUCUUUUAGAGCCAACAAAUCACUUGGAUCACAAGACUGAAAAGGGGUUUGGAGACCCAAACAUGAACAAACAAAGAAAGCUAAGAACAGCCAUUUGAGGCAAGUCAUUGGAACAAAUCCCAGCACCACCAUUGCUGAAACCAAAGAACCCCAAUUUAAAACAAGGCUAAUAGUAAUACAACCAUAGAGUUAUUUCACUCUGAUACUGUUGAGAGCACACAACUUUUAACAUACGAGAAGAAGUCCAAAUAAAGAACCUUUAACUUACAUUCCCACAUCCCAAUAGAACGAACAGCGCUCAACUUGCAACUUGAAGAUGAAGCAUCAAUAUAAAGACUUCAAAUUGAGAUCAGCAAUUCCCACCUGAAACCAAAUCCCCAAAAUAAAGAACUAGUUUAAUCUUAAUAUGUUGAUAAAAGCACCCGAUAUAGAAAGAAAACUUGCAAAUGAAGAAAAUUGAAUGCCAAAAGUAGUAAAGAACCAACUAGCAACAACUUGCAAGUACAGCAAUAACACUUACCAUAAAAGAAGAGAGAAUGUCAAUCGCCACAACCGGUAAAGCCGCCAAAGGAUAUCUCAAGUCCCCACUAGGCAUUAAAACCCUUGACCAAAACCAAGAGACCUAAAAUAAAACCAAUCCAUGUACCACACAUCCCAAAACAACCUCAAGAAAAGGGGGGCAAAAAAGAAUCAUUUUAUUUUUUUCCCAAAUGAAUCAACAAUUAGCAAGAUCCCAAAUCCAAAAAACUAAACACUAGAGAUUUGAAUGUGGUGGGUGCACACAUGCAAGGUGAAGCCGUGAAGAAGAAGCAGAAGAAGAAAAAGAUAGCUAAUAAAGGAAGAAACUUUAGUGGUCUAAACCCAAAAACCAAAAUGCCCCAUCACUUGUACAUGAAGUAAGAGUCUCCGGUGAAGCCAACAUGAGCGGUAAACACUUUUUUUUUUUUUUUCCACAAAUGGGUUCUUUCUCAAAUUUCAAAACUGGACGUCUCUCUUUCUUAUUUUCAAACCCAAAGCCGAAAAGAAAUACAUGAGAUAGAGAAUCUAGAGCAAAGGGAAAGGAAGAAGAUACAGUUCAAAUCGAAAAUAGUCAGGAGGGACAACUCAAAUAAAGAAAAAUAGUGAGGGAAGCAAAGUGCCAAGUGCAGUACAGAAAAAGGAAAGUUCUUUCUCUUUCUCAGUCUCGAUAGAAUCUAUAUUUUAUUUGUUUAUUUAUUGGACAAAGACACUGAGCUCUGAGCAGUGACUUAAGGCUUGAGCUCAGUGUUUGAACCUUGAGCUGACUUUUUUGGACAAAUUUUAACAGUUAAUAAGCAAGUGUGAGUGUGUGACCAUUAAUAAGCUAUCUCUGAACGUCAAUACCUACAUUUGUCUGUUUCUUUGAAAAACUAUUACAUUGUUUAUUUCAUUAUGUUGGAAUAAAUUUGGAUUCUUGUCCCGCGUUUUCAAGAUGCGCGAGUUCACACAGAGAAGCUUUUCAGGAUAUAUUAUUGUAAAUUAAUUACUCUUUUGUUUAAUAUAAUUUUUGAAUACUAAAUAAUUUAAUACAUAAAAAAAAACUGUUGUAUUUAGCUCAAUAUUAUGUUUAUUUCUUUUUUCUCUUUAAGGCUUUAAGCUAUCCAAAGUACUUUUUUUGUGGCUAAAGUACUAUUUAAUUUUUUAAAUUUUUCUUUCAUGGAUGUUUUUAUUUUUUUAUUUAUUACUUCGUAAACAAAAAUAAAUAUUUAAACUCACAUAUUAGCAUAUUGCUUUGCAGAGUGUGUUAGAUUCUUCUUUGAAGGGAUUGAUUUCAUUUCAUAUUAAUUUUUGAAAGAGAAAUUAUUUAAUUUUCAUUUGUGAACGGGGUGGGAGUAGAUUAAGUAUAUGUGAAAUCCUAAAAAAAAAAGACUAAAAAUUGUAUAAAUGUCUCAUGCUAUUAAAUCUCUCAAUUCAAUUUAUGAAAAACCAUUAACAAAAUGUGUGUAACCUUCAUGCUUACAUGGAGACACCAAAUGCAAGGAGCAGCAGAAAAUAUAGUAGUAUAUCGUGGCUGGCGGUGGAAGCACGCGCUUGGAUAGCAAGUGAAAUUGCGAAAAACGAUGAACAUGAAAGGGCCAAGGGAUGACCGGCUAUAACCGGUGGGAGUGAGCGGCGGUAGGCGGACGUCACGGGCAAAUGCCAAAUGGCGUAGAUUAAGAGAAUGUAUUAUUAGUUCAUGUGAACUCACCAAACCCACCUUUUUUUAUUCUUCAUCUUUUUUGAAAAAAAAAAAUAAUAAACAGUUUUAUAACGUUUUCUUUUAAAUAAAUUAUUAAAUAUAUAUAAAAUUUAUCUUAUUCGGAAUGAAAAUAAGGUUGAACGUUCCUUGUUAAUUAGAAAAAAAAGGGAGAAAUAUCUUUUUUUGUUUAUAAAAAAAUGUCACUAUGGAGAUUGGAGUCUCCUUUCCUUUAAUUUAAUUGAAAAUAAAUAAACAAUUUUAAAAAAUUUGAUUUUAAGAACAGAAAGUUCGGAACUAAAAAUCAUUGAAAUUAAUCUGACUCCAAAACCUAUGAAGCUCUCAAUAAUUGACAGAAACGAACAAAUUAAUAAAACGAUUGUGUUUGGUGUAGGGAUUUGAAAUAUUAAUACCAACCCCCACCAAACUUGGACUUUUAAUGAGGAAUGUACACAAAUAGUAUAUGGUGGCCAGCAAAAUUCUUCGGAGAAAAAUGCACAUUUUUUUAUUCGAGAUUGAAUUUCUUUCAUUGGAAUUCUUGAAAAGAUUAUUUGUCUCUAGAAAAAGAUGGAGAACGAUGGGAGGUGGUGAAGCAGACAUUAAAAAUUUCCUUGCUAGCAUGUGUGAACUAUGAUGCAAUAUGAUAUUAAUUUUUAAGCUUUAUUGGGUAUUGUGGUAGUUCGCGGUUUUUAAUUCGUAACUCAUGCGGAAUGGAGUCUUCAGGUGUCAAUAUAUGUAUAAUUUCGUAGAAAUAAUCAAUUUUCUUGCUUUAGUCAAGUUAUAAGUCUUUACCAAAUAUUUUGAUGGUCUAAUUUUAGUAGCAAAACCGCGAAAAAGUUAUACGAAAAAAGUGAUAAAUCUUAAUAGUUCUCUUUUAUUGAAUUACUUAAUUGAAAAAUUAAAGUGUUUAGGUAAGAAUCAUAUCUUAAAAAAAAAAAAGAUACGCUUUAACACAGUAAACAUGAAAAGUGAAUGAUUUGAUUUUCAAGUCAUAAGGAUUGGGAGAGAUGAAAACACAUUUGAAAAUUGAAAUGUCCUAAGAAAUUGGUUGAUUUGAUUUAAGGUCAUAAUGAGGAUACUAAGAGACCAAUUGGAAGUUGAAAACAGGUCAAAAAAUUGGUUUCCAGACAAGUCCUUUGUAAGAAUUGGUCGAAUAAAAUAAAUUUUGGCAUUACAACCGAAGUCUUGUCCACCAUAUUAGUUAAAUUACUAGUGAUUUUACUUUAGUUGAAUUAUUAGUAACAUUAUGGGUGUGAUUUUUUUUCAACCUAAGUAUCGUUAAAUGAUGUGAUUUAUUGAUUUCUAUUAUUAUUUUUUUAAUAAUUUGAUAUGACCUAAUUCUACAUGAUACUAUACUAAUUAAAUAUCUGUCCAAAAAAAAAUUUUACUUACUAGGUGAUAGUUUAGAAGACAAUAGUAAAUUAUCUAAAAGUUAAUAAUGCCGGCAGUGCAUUAUGCAAUUUUAGCAGUUCAUGAUGGCACUUUUCUUUAUUUGAGACUUUUUAGUAAAAUGUGAGCACUCAUGAUUAGUCUUGUUAAGCAAGACUUACAAAAAGCCAAGAAAUUUCGUCCCAUCGAUUGAUGACAUUACCCACGCAAUUAAGCACAGCAAUGAUGGCCAUGUCUAAUUUCAUGGGCUUUUCUACUUUUUCAAUCGUUGACAUUGCUCAAAAGCUGGAAAAGGGCAUCAAAAUAUAGUCCACUUUAGCAUGUUUGUGAUCAUGGUCAUUGGUAAUGGAUGACAAAAUUUAUAUCGAUUUCACUGAUAUUUUGUGAAACUACCAAGGUUUCGGUUAGAUAUUAGGGUCCGACUGUGGCAUUCAAGAAUACUGUACUCCGAAUCUUGGGCAUUAUUAGAUAGUCAGAAAAAAAAAAGGUCAAUAAAAUUUAAUCAUUUAAUGUGCACAAGUUAUGAGGCAUGGUACCUAUAAAAUACUGUAUUCGUAGCCUAAAUAUUAGUAUCGUACAAACAAAUAACUCUUUAAACUAGAACUUGCAUUUGUGGUAUUGAGAAAUUAAAUAAAUCACAGGUGAAUUAUUUUAUAUUUUGAGAAGCAAUCCAAACAGGAAAAAUGGGCAAGUGUUAUAAGAAAAUUUAUUAAAUUUGGGAAAGUAAGUAGAGAGAAAGAGAGAGAGAGAGAGAGAGAGAGAGAGAGCAAGGCAAAGCUAGAGUUGAGAAACUAAGGGUCUACAAUAAAAGUUGGGGAUGCCUAAGCAUAAAUAAGAUAACACUAAAGCUGGACUAUAAUGAAAAGAAAUAAAAUAUGUAGGGGCCAAUGUUGCGAACCUAUUUAUAAAGUCUCAACGCCACCUUCGUAAAAGGCCAUAUCCAACAUGGAUCUGCAGUCAUUAGGCCUUCAGAAAACACGCCGAUACUUAAAUAAAUGUCCAAAAUGAACUUUAUCGUGGGCUUAUCCGUGGCACAACAAGGUCCAAUAAUAUUUAUAAAAUGCAAAUUUCACAACACUUAUAGUAGGGGUUGACAAACUCAAUCCAAUCUAGUGGACCCGAUUCAAUCAAAUCAAAUUUAAUUUAAUUCUAAUGGAUUGAAUAAAUUAUUGUGGGUUAAUUGGAUUAAUUUUUUUAACCCAAUAAUAAUUGGGUUGGGUUGGUUUAAUUAUGAUGAACUCAACCCAACCUAUACAAUUACAACAAUAAUGAUGACAACGAUAUAUUAAUGUUAGUGGACAUUAUGCUAGCUAAUUAUCUAAAAGGUUUGAAUUUGGAAUUCGAGAAAGAGAUGUAGGAAGUCAAAAAUAAAGUUUAGAAGCUCAUUAUUGAAAUUUUCUUAAUUUUAAGGAAGUUGGUUUUUGACCUUUCUUUAUCGAACUCUAGACAAUGAAUAUAAUUUUCAUGUUAUAGCAAAUUUAUAUUUGAUUUCAAUAAUCUUCAUUUCAAGUUUCAUAUUUUUUAUUUAAUUUUUUUAUUUUGAUUUGACAUUUAACCCAACCUCAUGCUUUAAGUUUUGGGUGGAAUUAGGUUAAACAUGUUUAUUUAAUUAGAUUAGGCUGAUUUUAUCUCAACUUAUUCAAUAAUAGGUUGGGCUGGAUUUUCACAAACUCUUUCCAACCCAACCUAGGGAUGACAAUCAAACUCGGGCCCAAACUGAACCCAGAAAAUCUAAUUUGGUUUCAACCUGCACCAAAUCAAUUUUCAUCUUAAAUUCGAAUGAAAUUUUGAGAACCCGAAUACUUCUUAGUCUGGAUUCAGGUUCAAGUGAACCUACAAAUCUGGAACUUAGAUCUGGAUAUUUUUUAUUUUAAUAUUUAUUUUUUAGAAAUUAUUCAAUAUAAAUAAAAAAAAAUAAAAAGGAGCCCUAGCAUAACACUAGUGGCAACAAUCUACUGUUUCCUCUUUUAGUCUCUCACUCUUUCUUCAAAUUCUCUUUUAAUUCUCUUCUUCAAAUCAGAUUAGUCACUGUCGUCAUCACCUCGACUAUCACCACCUUUCCGCUGCAGUUGUGUUAAUCUCGUUAGCAUCACCAGCCUUCUUUGUCGCGACCAGCAAAACAGGUUGAAAUCUGCCUCGAUUGUGGUUGUGUUUUGUGUUCAUCAUCAUAUUCAUAAGCUGGGGUUGUGAAUACUUGUGAGUCACCUUUUCUCUUUGCAAUUUAUGCUUUUUUAUGCUUUGAUUUUAUUAUUUAUACUCCUUUUGUAAUUUAUGUGCUGUUAUGCUCUCUUUACAAUUUUAAUAUCUAUACUAUGUGAUUUUAAUAUGUAUACUCUGUGAUUUUUAAUAUCCAUACUCUGUUAUGCUUCAAUUUUAUUAUUUAUAGUUUAUUUAAUUUUGAAUUAUUUUGGAUUGUUGUUGUUAAUAGAACAUAAAUGGUAUCUUCAAAAUAUGUAUAAUUUUUACGGUUAAGAAUAACAUAUAAAUUGGAAGAAGUUGCUGGAUUAGUUGUUAAUUAUAGAACUAAUUAUGUCUUGACAUAAUUUUUGUAGGGCGACAAAAUCAUGAUGGAAAAUGAACAAAGAAUUGAUCUGGAUGUCUAUAAAAAGAGUGAUGAAAGUGUGUGUGUGUGUGUGUGAGGGUUAGGAGAGAAGAAGAAAAUAAUGAUGAUACAAUUGUUAAAUUAGAACCAAAUUCAAUAGCAACAGUUCGAAGGAGAAGCUGUGGCCGUGGCCGUAGGGGUAAUACUACUCCUAUCACUUCACAAAAACGAAGUGGCGGCGACAGAGUAAUCUCUUAUGCUUGGAAUCAUUUCAAAAAAGUUAAGUUAGGUGAGGAAGUUUAGGUGAUUUCCAAUUACUGUGGGUUAGUAAUGCAAGAACAAUAUUUGAAAGGUACUAAUCACUUGAUGAAUCAUGCGAAACGUUGUCCUAGAAGGUCAUUAAAAAAUGUGCAGCAAAUGCACCUAUAUUUUUCUUCUAAAGUUGAUGAAACCACUACUCUUAGUAAUUGCAGUUCUAAAUCAAAGUGGGAUAUGGCAACAAUAAAGCUUGUUGUAAUGAUUAUACUACAUGAGCUUCCUUUAUCAUUGUUGAAUAUGUUGGGUUUUAUGACUUGUUGAAACUACUCCAACCUUCUAUUGAGACUAUUAAUAGAAAUACCAUAAAAGCUGAAAUUUUGAAGCUUUAUGAUGUUGAAAAAAAGAAGGCAAUGAGUAUUUUAGAAGUUUGUGAGAGUAGAAUUGUAGUUAUUACAGAUAUGUGGAUUGUCAAUAACCAAACAAGGGUACAUGACUAUUACAGCACAUUACAUUGAUAGCUCAUGAGUGUUGUGAAGUCGUAUUAUGAGGUAAUAUUCAUUAAAACUUUUUUUAAGCAUAAAUUAAUGUACUGUUUAAUAUUUUAAUUAUUUUUUCACAUGUUAGGUUUAUAUAUGUGCUAGCUCCACAUAGUGGUGAGGUAAUGUACAAUGAGUUGUUUGAUUGUUUGAUAAUUGGAAUGUAGAUAGAAAGUUGUCCACUAUAAUUGUUGAUAAUUGUGCUCCAAAUGAUUCCAUGAUUGACUUGUUGUUAGGGAAAUUUUCUACUAGUUCAAUGAUUAUGGGUGGCAAAUUCUUUCAUAUGCGUUGUUGUGCUCAUAUAUUGAAUUUGAUAGUAAGGUAUGCUUUAUCUGUGACAUAAAAGGGAGUUUAAAAAAAUUAGAGAUAGUGUUCAUUACUGGGCAGCAACACCUGCUAGAGUUGAAAAUUUUGAGAAUGCAAAAAAAGAAAAAGAAAAAAGAAUUAGGUAUUAAGGAAACCAAAAACUUGGUACUUGAUUGUUAAACUAGAUGGACCUCUACUUACUUGAUGCUUAGUACUGCAUUGUUAUAUAAAGAUGUAUUUGAUAGUUAGAGUGAAAUUUGUCAAAGUUUAUGUGUGAGUAUCUAAAAGUUUUUAUAAGUUGACAAAACUUUUUUCAGGGACGCGAUAUCUGACAUCUAGUUUAUUUUUUUGCCAAGAUCUGUGAAAUUAGAUUGUCAAUGAAUGUAUGGUUGCAAUUACCUAUUGAUGGAAUAAAAAAUAUGGCCACUAGGAUGAUUGCAAAGUAUGAUGAGUAUUGAGAUGUUAUUCACAGAGUUCUUGUAGUGGAGACUACGUUAGAUCUCAGGCGUAAAAUGCUACUGAUUUAACUUUUUAUUCUUAAAAUACAUGGGGAAAAAACUGAAUCCGAAAUUGAAAGGGUGCGUAAGUUAUUUGUUGAUUUAGUGCAUGAGUAUGAAGUAAAGCAUUCAUCAAAUUCAGGUGGGGGGGGGGGUUAAUGGUUCUGCCAAUUCUCAAGCUGCUACAAUAGGGGAUUCUAUUAUGUUGGACUUAGACUUGGAUGAAAUGGUUGAUGAGUAGGGCAUCAUUCAAAAAUGAAAACACAUAAAAUACUCAUUCCAAAUCAGAAUUGGAGCUUUAUCUCGAGGAAAGUGUUUUGCCUUUAACUAGUCAAUUUGAUAUUUUAUCAUGGUGGAAGAAUAAUCAAGGCAAAUAUCCUAUACUUGCAAAGAUUGCAAGAGACUUUUUGGCUAUUCAUGUAUCAACAAUUGCUUAUGAAUCCACUUUUAGCACUGGAGAUAGACAUCUGAUCCCUCAUCGCAGUAGACUUCAUCCAUCUAUAGUGGAGGCAUUGGUGUGCACUCAAAAUUGGUUUUGGCUUGAACAAAACUUAAAAGAUAUAGACAAUUUAUUUAUUAGAAUCAAAUGAAUUUGUUGUAUUAUUUUUGUUAUCAAUUUAUCAUUAAUUGGUUCUCUUGUUUAUUAUGUUUAUGAUUUGUACAUUUUAAAAAAAAUAGAAUUCCAGAGAAAGCAAUACUUUCUGUGGAGCAUUUGAUUGAUGAAAGUUUGAUAAAUGAGCAACAGUCAAAUGAAGUAGAUGAUUGAGAGUUUAGUUUUUAGACUAGUGGUUUGAAGUUUGAACUUUGAAUUGUAUAUUUAUGUUAUGGAUUUGUAUUUGUGGAUGUUUAUUGCUUUGAAACCUUGAGUUUUAGAUUUUUAUAUUUGUAUUGCAUUUGUUUUAGAAUUUGGAUAUGUCAUAUGAUUUAUAUUUUAUUUUUUUGCAGAAUAAAUUUAUUUUUUUUCUCAUAACAAGUUGAGUUUAAGUUAUCCGAGUUCAAAACCUAGAAUCUGAAAACUUAAAUUUUUUUGGGUUGAACUUGGCUCGAGCCCGUAUUGAAAAAAGCAGGAUUCAAAUUCAGGUUUGGUACAAAGAAUUGUGUGUCUGAGUCCAAAUCUAAAAAGGCCAAAUCCGGAACUGAAAAUUGCCAUCCCUAACCCCACCCGUGCCUACCCCUAACUUAUAUUAUCCAAAACAUUUCCAAAAAGGAAAUGCAUAGAAACCAUUAAUUGUUUUAAAAGAAUUGAAAGUGUACGAAGGUUGGUAAACUUAUCCGAAUCCCAAUUUGAUCUUGUUCUAAUGGUAGAAUAGCAAGCUCACAUCAUCCGGAACAUUAAAUAAAUCAGCUGACACUGAUAGUUUAAUUUUUAAUUAACUAAAUUAAAAAAAUAAUUUCUCUUAAAAAAAACAAAAAUGAUGGACCCAAGCCCAAACCCACCAAGACCACUACUUUGCAUUCACUUUUAUUUUUAGUUCCCCNNNNNNNNNNNNNNNNNNNNNNNNNNNNNNNNNNNNNNNNNNNNNNNNNNNNNNNNNNNNNNNNNNNNNNNNNNNNNNNNNNNNNNNNNNNNNNNNNNNNAAAAGGGGGGCCCCAGCCCCAACCCCCCCAGGCCCCUUUUUUUGCUUUCUUUUUUUUUUUUUUUUUCCCCCCCCCCCCCCCACCCCCAACCCCCCCCCCCCCCGCCCCCACAAAAAGGAUUGGCCAAUCCCAAUACCAUUUUUCAAAGAGAAAUUUACAUAUUAAAUUUAGAUAAUCAAUGGAUAAAAUCGUGAUAUUCAGGAUUCUAAUUAGGAUUCAAAAUUUUAAUCGAUUGAGGAUUGGAAUGUAUUUUUUUGUCCUAUUUUACUAUUUAUGAUCAGAUUGGAAAUGAUUAUUCCUCCCAGUUCAUGAUGGAAUGGGAUCAAGAUUGGCUACUCCCAAUCGGAAGGUCCCGAUUGCUAACUCUAAUGUGUAUGUUAAAAAUCAAAACGAUGUACAAUUGGAGAAUCAAUCUACUUUGAAUUCCCUAGAGUGUUUUUAUUUGUAUAUUCAAUAAAAUCUUAAAAAAUUAUUAUUUUUGAAAAGAAAAAAAUAACUAAUUGAAUUAUAAUCUAAUAAAUAGUUCUUGAAUUGGGUUAAUAAAAAAAAUAAUUUAAUCGAAUAUUAAUUUAUUAAUAUUUUACUGUUCAACUUUUUCUAAUAGUCUAUCAUUGUGCAAAGUUCCCAUAAAAUUCUUUCAAUUUUGCUCCAACAGUGAGAAUUCAUAAUUUUUAUCCUUUCACAGUAAUUUAAUGCACUCUAUGACAAUGAAUAUGAUCAACUAAGGUCAUAACAUCAUUCCCCCCAAAAAAAAAUAAAAAAAAAUUCAAGAGUGAACAUCUGAAUUCGAAUCUACACCAACAAAAGGUGUCCAGAUAAUAAAUAAUAUCCAAACUAAAUUGAUGUAGCAGCAUUAAAAUAAAAUUAAAUAAAUUGCAUAAAAGUUUAGAAUUCGAAGAAGAAAAGUACGAGUGCAUGACGUGUUAUUAAUCGGAUAAAAUGGAGGGUCUGCUUACGUUACACUUGCUGGAAGUAACAGCUAACGACAUAACCAGUUGACUCAUGUAAGAACAGCACGUGGCGUUCAGAAGUCAUGUUAAAAUACUGUACAAAUCAGUCCCAAAAAGCGUCAAUUGUAAGAUUCCGUACAAUAGCCGGUUGAAGUUAUUUGCGACAUAUCGAUGAAAUUUUCAAAUUUCAAUUAUUUAUUUAUUUAUUUUUCCGUCAAGGCACGAUCCAGGUCUAGCUUUCAAACUUUUCUCAAACAACUUAUUCAUUCAUAAUUAAUAGUCCAACCGCAUCAGUCACCAUUUGAAUUGUAUGUUAUACAAACUUCUUUGAAUCAAUUAGCUAAUGCUCUGUUUAUCGAAGGACGCAACUUCUCCCCCCUCUACCAUAAUCAUCGAAAUAACUCAAACUAUCCAAAAAUAAUAUAACGUUUCCCACGUGAUAUGUUGCAAUGUAUUUAAUUAUUAUAAAUUAAAAAUUUAUAAUCUCCAAAAACAUGACAAAAAUCCUACCCAAAUAAAAUAUUCAUGUUCAUUUUUCUUUCGAAAUCUUGUUCAUCUUCAUCUAAACUCAUCUCCAUUUUAUGUUGUUCCCAAAUCACAGCCCGUUUCUCAUGUUCUUCCAAGGAUAACAACAAUUUCCCUAAAAACCUGCAUACUACAGAUAAUUUUACGGGUUUGAGUUUGGUAUUUCAAAUUUAUAUUCAUUAUGAGUUUCAAGUGAGUUUGGUAUUGAGAAAAAAAAAAAUCUCUGUAUUUUUUUUUAAUUAUUUAUAUUUUAAAUUUUAAUCAUAAAGAUCACAUUAAAAAAAGUUAAUUAUAAAUAUAUUUAAGCUAAAGUUAUUACUCGUGACCUAGUUAAUUAUAAAUAAUGAUCUUCACUAACUCUAUUAAGUCCCAUGGCUUAAUAGCGCAUCCAACAUGAAAAAAAUAAGAACCCCCCACUAGAAACAAACUACAUAUAUAUAAGAUAGAUACAAUGAGCUUUUAUAAUUUUUAAGUUAAAUAUUACUAAUUUUAAUAUUACUAACAUUUUAUUUUAUUUUAUUUGUUAAUAUUGUCGACAAUGCUUAUAUAUUGAUUAAAAGACGGGGUAAGGCAUUUAUCUUAUUGAUGAUAAUUUGCUUACAACAUAAACAUGUUCUUUUAGAUUGAUAUAUAUUGUGCAUUUAUUUUAGUGUAGAAACUUUAAUUUCUCAUUUACAUUGAUAAAAUCUAAAAUUGAAUAUUUUAUGUGUAUUUUUAAACUAAGGUAACUUCGUAGUUUGAAUUAUAUAAUUUAAAUUUUUAUGUAUUAUUGAAAUUACUUUUUUUAAUAUUUGUAAGUUUAAAUCUAAGAACCCACAAGGUGAUGCGAAUUCCAUAAUGAAACUUUGAAACCCACUGUUAAUUUGAAGUUUCAACUUCCCAAGAAAGUUUUAAACAGAUUUAAGACCAACAAAACCUUGAUCCAAUGCUUAAGAAAACAUGAACCAAAGGUAUAUAGAAUGAUAUUGACGCCACACUCAAGAAAUAGAUGAGAAGAUGAGUGAUAAUUCUAAAUUUAGAACGCCACAAGAAUGCAAAUUCUUGAUAAGUUCACUAGUUCUCAAAAGAUCCAAAGAAAGAAUAAUCUUUCAAAUUCAAAUAACAUUAAUCUCUAAUUUUUUUAUAUAGUAAGGUUACUGAGUUUAAAUAGACCAAUAGAAACGCAAGAUCCUAAAAAUACAAAUGAAAAUAUUGAAACAACCUUCUAAGUAUAAGUUUGUCAAAGGAUGCUUCAAAAGUCUUCACCAAUCCACCAUAAUUAAUGUUAUAUUUGACAAACUUAAUGCUAACUUACUAUAAUUAAUACUAUUAUUGACAAACUUAAUUUUAGUCCACCAUCAUUGAUGGUAGACUUACCUUACACAUUGGCAAACUUAAAACAAAACAAACAAAUGAAGUUGAAAAACAAAGUAGUCGUUGAAAAUCUCAAGUCUGAACAAGCUGUAAUGAAUUGGUCAUAACUCCUUUUAGAGAACUCCAAAUCUAGCUCUGUAAAAUGCAUUGGAAAGCUAACUUAAUUAUAUUUCCAACGGUAUAUAGCUUGCACAUUACUUAUGGCUCAAUCAAUGACAGUUUUAUUCCAAAUUUGACAUUUCUGCAUUUGAUCCAAAUUGUGUAUUUGGUUGCCCAAUAGCUUGAAUAAUGCCCACAAUGCCUUGUCUUCUCUUUAAGCCCAAUUCAUGAUGUCUUGCAUCUUGAAUUGCAUUUUCAAUCCAUAUUUUCUCAAUUAAUCCAUUUAAAGCAGCUUGUAUCUUUUUAGUUUUAGCUCUUGUAAUUGGGCCUCAAUGAAUGUGCAAAGGAUCACUUGAAUCUUUAAUGAUAUUCCCUUAAUGGUUCUCAUAACAAGAAUUGAGGGUAGGUUUAGUAAUUGUUAACAUUCACUAAACAAAUAUUUUUAGAAAAAUAAAAAAACUUGAUGUGGGUUGUGGGUGAACUUAGUAAUUUUUUUUUUUUUUCGGAUACGGGGUGGUGCCCAUUACCAUCCUUAUUUAGCGUUCCCUAAUCUAAGUGAAUUUACAAAAUGGAACAAUAGAAAAUUGAUUAAUAAUGUAUGGAAAAGUAUUUGGUGAAUUCGAUUCUCCGGUACAUUCCUCUAAUUUUCAAACCCUUAUACGCGUCGUGAUUUUCUUUUUUUCCCUCUAUAAAAUUUACUUGUUAACCCGUUAACAAGUAAUUUUUCAUAACUCUUUCAUCAGGUUGCCCACCUUUUGUUUAAUACAUUCAUUUGACAGUUGCACCUGUACUGCAUUUCAACUUAACUUCGUUCCCAUCCGUUGGAUUUGAAAAUCACGUAUCUAACGAUCCAUAAUGGCAGGCUGUUUGUUACAGAAAAUUUAAUAUAGGCGCUGCCUAAAAAUGAGUAAUUUUUAAAAACCUCCCCUGAGGUUUGGGCUUGUUGCAAUUAGAUGGCGAGAAUUGAUUUAUUUGUAAAAAACCCCCUACCGUCAGUUAAGUUUAACAUUGACCGUUAGUUAACCGUGCAAAGACAAUAUUACCCUUAACAAUAGUUUAUAAACGAAAAUAACUAAAAAAAAUCAAAAUUAUUAGCUAUUUUACACUUUUUAAAUUAUUGAUAUUUUCUUAAAGUUCUUAUAAAAAAUUAAAAUUAAAAAAUUAAAAAAUCCUCUUUAAAUUAUUGAUAUUUCCUUAAAAUUCCUACAAGAAAGAUAAAAUUAAAAAUUUAAAAAUGAAAUAGUCAUAAUCUUUACCUAUGAUAUUGUAAAUUUUUAGAAUUGACAAGGAUAAAAUUGUCAAAAAAUAGGGUUUGUGCUUUUUGCACCAAUAAUUUUAGUUUUUUUUUAGUUAUUUUCGUUUAUAAACUAUUGUUAAGGGUAAUAUUAUUUUUGCACGGUCAACUAACGGUCAAUGUUAAACUUAACUGACGGUAGAAAAUUUUUUACAAAUAAAUCAAUUCUCACAAUCUACUUGCAACAAGCCCAAACCUCAGGGGAGGUUUUUAAAAAUUACUCGCCUAAAAAUGGAAACAAGUCAUAUGUCAUAAACAAACUGCACAUCAAAAAAAAAAAAAAAACUGCUGAUCCAGAAAACACACCACGAGCAGAAUCAGCGCGUGAAAUACACCUCACGCCCCGUCUACGUAUUAUUAAGCAAAAACCCACGUCAACACUCGCGGAGAGGGACCUAGUAACUGUUGAAAAUGGAGGAGAAGAUGAAGGUGAUGGGUGUGGUGGGCAGCGGCCAAAUGGGCUCCGGAAUCGCCCAGCUCGGCGUCAUGCACGGCUUGGACGUGUGGCUCGUCGAUACGGACCCAGACGCGUUGGUUAGAGCCACCAAAUCAAUCUCAAGCUCCAUCCAAAAGUUUGUCUCCAAAGGCCAACUCUCCCAGGCAAGCUCUCUCUGUUUUGUUCUUGUUACUUUCAAUUUUGAUGAGUUUUAUUUAAUGAUGUUUGCAAAAAUAUUACAAAACUCAUGCUUUCUAGGAGCUUACCGAUGUUUUGAUUGAUCAAUAUAGUGUUAUGAUUUUUGUCCAACUCAUAAUUUCAAUCACUAACAAAUAAGUGAGGUUAGCUGCUUAGGCUUGAGUCGUAUAUUUGGACUUCUCAGGAGUAUAAUUAUCUUAUCUAAUUGUUCCUUAUGAUUGGUUGUAACUGGAAAGUUCAUUUGGAAAUUUAUUGUUUCAUUGCUUCUGUUGUCGAAUUAAUGCGAAAUUACUUCGUGCUUUUCAUAUACAAGAACAAGAUGGGCUUGCUAUGUUUUUUCUUUCUUUUGUGUUUAAUUUUGGGGGAGAAAAUCCUUGGCCCUUGUAAAUGUUAAAUGCUACAUAGAUACGAAUGAUACCUACAUAGUUAGAAAUUCCUUUAAUCUUCUUGUGAUUUUAACAACGAUGGCUUUGCCCAUAGGACAUGCUUAAUUUGAUGUUUUUUUUUUAACUUUUUGUCAGGGACCGCGGAAUUUAUUGUUUGUUAGUAUAAUGUCAUUCGGUUGGUUGCGGCUGUCGCCAAAUUUAUUAGUUGAAAUCUUGCUUUCUGAGAGUCUGAUUUGCAUUCCUCAAAUGGUAAAAACAGUUUCAGGGAUUGCUUGGAAAUUUUUGCAAGGAUUUGGUUGGACCAUUUGUUUAUAUUUUUAUGAGUAUGCUUAACCGUUAUCAUCCUCUGAAUGUUGGGUAAUUAAGAAUUUAGCUGGUGCUCCUAGCCUGCACCACUGGCGACCUUGUUGAUUUAUUAGAUUGAAAAAGUUUGUCAUCUUUAAUUAGCCAGGCAGUGGGUACUGAUGCUCCGAGACGUCUAAGGUGUACAUCAAAUUUGAAAGACCUUCAUUCAGCAGAUAUUAUAGUUGAAGCUAUUGUGGAGUCUGAAGAUGUAAAGAAGAAGUUGUUUUCUGAGCUUGAUAAGAUUACAAAAGCUUCUGCUAUUUUGGCUUCGAAUACAAGCUCCAUAUCUAUAACUCGGUUAGCAUCUGCGACCAGUAGACCAUGCCAGGUGAUGCUCAGAAUAUCUGAUAACAACACCUAGUUACACUAGCCACGCUGUUAGAUUUAUUUAUUUGUAUUAAUGUUGAAAUAUCUUAUUUAGUAACAUUGGAGUAGAGUAUGUUAGUAUUAGUGUUGGAAUUGCAUUAGCAUCUUUUUUUGUUAUCUAUUGUAAAAUAUGAUUAAAUGGGUGCAUUUUCUUCAUUUUCUUUUUCUAAUUGGUACUUCCUGUCAGCUGUGGCAGACGGAACUUCACUGAACUAUUCUUUUACACUUAACUUUUGAUCUUCCAGUCUACCACUUGACCUUAAACUCAAGUGUAUAAGAGUUUUUGACAAAAAUAUUUCUCAUGUAACCCAAAAGAGUUGAAUGAUGGAUAGCUGGUUUAUACAAAUAGUUUUGUGUCGGAGAUGGAUCAUCUGCUAAUUUAAUCUUAAAUUAGAAGUCUAAUUUUCUAAAGCUGUCUCCCCAUUCUCUCUUGUUGCCUGCCUUUCCCUUUACUUGGAACAUAAAACCUCAAUUCAUUAUUGCUUGUUUCUGAUUUUGUGUAUGUAUUCUCGUCAUCUGUUUAUUGCAUUAUAAAUUUGAAUUCUUGUUUGUGCAUUGCAUUUCACUACAAUUAAAUUAACAUUUUUACCAAUUCUGAGAUGUUAGAUUUAGAAGUCUCAGUAAGUGGAAGCGAGAUGCUAUUGUUGCAGGUGAUUGGCAUGCAUUUUAUGAAUCCUCCUCCCCUAAUGAAACUAGUUGAAGUCAUACGAGGGGCAGACACAUCAGAUGAGACAUUCCGUGCAACAAAAGCCUUGGCAGAGAGGUAAUUGGAUCAGAUAAUAUUCUCCAUGGAACUUGACUUUACUUUUCUACUUGCUCUACCCAUCUCUUGAAAACAAUCAUCUUCCCACCAUCCAGUUCAUGUGCACAUGAAGAAUACCCUGGAAAGAGGGCCAUUGAUGGGCAUGCCUCUGUUUAUCUCAUAUUUGUCCGCUAAUUACACCACUUUGACUGCUGGAUUUGCAGGUUUGGCAAGACAGUGGUAUGCUCUCAGGAUUAUGCAGGCUUCAUUGUAAAUCGAAUCUUAAUGCCCAUGAUAAAUGAAGCAUUUUUCACUCUUUAUACUGGAGUGGCAACAAAGGAAGACAUUGAUGCAGGGAUGAAGCUGGGAACAAACCAACCGAUGGGUCCAUUACAACUUGCAGAUUUCAUUGGGCUAGAUGUCUGCUUGUCAAUAAUGAAAGUCCUUCAUACUGGUCUGGGGGACAGUAAAUAUGCUCCCUGUCCUCUUCUCGUGCAGUAUGUUGACGCAGGUCGGCUUGGAAAAAAACGAGGUAUUGGAGUUUUUGACUACCGUAGAGUGCCUGAAUCAGUAAAACCAAAUGCUCGUCUUUGAAAUAUGUUGUAUUGUUAGAACAAUAAGGUUGGUGGAGUGCCGUAGUAAAUAUUGUAAUGUUCAUCUUUUCGUUCAAGAUGAUUGUGCAACACAUUAGCCUAAGCUAGCCAUCCCACAGGGAGUUAUUUCCUUUUUCAUCUUACUUUUUAUUGUUGUCAUCUAUGUAAUAAAGUUAAAAGGGGGUCUCAUAUUGGGAGAAAUUUCUUACAGUAAUAGCAAAGUGGAAAAGUAAACUGAAACAUUUUAUUCAUAAAUUCCAGUGUCCCGUGCUUUCUCUUGUAUUUAUUAUUUCCUUCUCAUGGUUUCCUAUUUUUGCCCCAAAUCUAAUGCUGAAAUUGUCAAAUAGCUUUUUAGCAAUUUACCAAUGGCUAUUUAUUUCAGUUUAGAAAACCUUUGGCAAUGGAUUACUUACGGGUCAGCUAAACAUCAGAUCAAUUACUAUGAAGCUUUGUUAAAUGUUUUUCUGAAUUUGUGAAUGACUCGUGCUGCUUCCAUUGUUUUUGCACAACUUAAACAUUUAUCCCUCUUAGUAAUUUGAUAGAACUUGGUUGUAAAAUCUGCAUUGAAGGUGAUAUGCAUAUGGCCCAAUAUCUAAUUUGGUGUUACUGAGAUCCUGAAUCUGCAGUUAUAAUUGUUGUUGCGUUUACUUAAUCAAGUAGAUUGGAAUUGCAGCCAUAAAAGUUUUGCAAGCUUUGGCAGAAAGUGAAGGAGCUUUGGGAUCCAAUAAAGCAAACCAGAAUCUGAGACAAAAUUCAUUCUAAUGGUACUAUGGUAGAAUAAACCUUUGCAUGUUCAAGGAUGAAAAGUAGAUAAGAAAGUGAUAACAUUAUUAUACUCAUGCUUAUCUUCAAGCUGCUUAUUCAUUCCAUCUUUGAAAUGCAUCAGCCUCCUUCUAACAGCAUAAUUUUUUGACCUUUAACCACAUGGUAAUGUCAAAUUUAUUGCUUGCCAGCUUGGAGAAUCUUUCUGUGUGAGACAAAGAAAUCUAAUUGAGCCCCUAAAUUUCAAUGCAAGUGACCCACAAAAGAGAGCCUAUUGAGAGUUAUUACCUCCAUCUUGACCAUUGAUUAUCUAAUGGCCGGGCCCACAACACUACCCCUUGCCUAAAGUUGUCAUUAUCGAUUAGCAUUAUCUUUCUGUAAAGAGAUUGAAUUGGAAUCCAAUGAACAACUAAAUUAUUGAAAAGAGAGAAACAAAACUGGACGACAUCAUUAGAUAAGAAAGCACAUAGAACGAAAUUGAAGAGCCUAGACAAAUUUUGAGACCAAGGCUUGCCAGUAGCAAACUAGCAAUGAAGUUCUUGUUCCAGUGUCCAUGUUGCUCAUGUUUCUGUUUUAUGAAGCCGAAGGCUGGCAAGCCAAAGAUCAAAGAUGCCAAGGACAAGGAAGUGAAGGAAGCAAAACCACCAAAGGAAAGUGAAGCCAAGACAGAAUAAAAACUGAAGCUCCAUUACGCUAAAAAUUAUGCAUGGAUUUACUAUGUAUGUCUCUCUUUCUUCUCAUCAUGUGGAAGUAAUUAAUUGUCUGAAGCUGCAUUUUCAUCCAAAGUUCAUGUGAAUACUGGCUUCAGAUCCUUUUAUAAUUGUAUGUUGCCUCUGCUUUAUAUCAAUUGCAAUGUAUAAAAGAAUAAUAAUAUUUGGUAAAGCCCCUUUGCCUAUGUUACUAUAAUAUGUAUUAAGAUUAUGUUAACUUCUCAUCUUAAAUGGAUUCAAUUUUCAGAUUCUGGAGGUCUAGUUUGACUGUUAAAAUGCAGAAUUUUGUUUAACGUCUUUUGGUUAAGAUUUAGAUUGUUCAUUUCCAUUGCGUUAUUGAGCCUUGGUUUAUGAUUAAGCUAGGAAGUAAGAAGCUUAGAAAAUGUUACACUAAAUUUUUGGAGCAAUUCUGAAGUGAUUACUGUUUGGCACGUGUUUGUUAAACAGUCACUGUAUUAGUUUGAGGGACAACUUAGGCAAUUUGUCAACAUCAAUUAAUUUUAUUUUUUUUAUUUAAUGCCUUUAGAUUUUUAUAGUUUGUAAUUGGCAAGUCAAUCUAAAAUAAACUGGGGCCUUAGGCAAAAAAAAAAAAAAAAAAAAAUAAUAAUAAUAGAAUAAUAUUAUAGGAAAAUAUGAAAAGAUAUUAAUAGAACAUUAGGUUGUAAUAUUACUUGUUAAUAUAGCAAUGUGCGAAUAAAAUCUUAACAGCAACACCACCUUCAUUUUUUUUUUUUCUUUAAUCACAAGAAGAGAUAAUGUUGAUAGAAUAUAAUUAAUAUAUGAAAGAAUUUCACAGGAAAAAUGAUUAAGUUUUCAAUUUGAAUUUUGAUUAGACAAGUAUGGUAAGAAAAUAAAGAAAUAUUGAUGACCAGGUAGUAUCACGCUUGCCCAAUUAGUUAUCCAAUCUAUUUCCAUUUAUGCAAUUCAAACGCUGAUCCUGGCAUCCUGCCUACGAGUAUCGAAACUAAAAUCGAUCAUGCUUGCAAGAAGUUUAUUUGGAGCGGCAAGAAUUCUCAGCGGAACAUGAGUCUUGUUAAUUGGGAUAAGGUUUGCCAACCUAAAAGUUGUGGUGGUUUGCGCUUUAAAAACCUUGGCUUGAUGAACAUAGCGUUGUUGAUGAAGGUGGGAUGGAAUCUUGUUGCGUCGCCAAGUAGUCUGUGGUCGCAACUGAUGCUUACUAAGUACGGUUUGGAUCAUGCAAACCUUCCCCGUGUCUUGCCAAGUUGGGGAAGUCUAUUGGGAAAGUUUGCAAUGAUACGAUGAUGGGGAUUCUUUGGAACAUAGGGAAUGGGAGGAAAGUUCGGUUUUGGUGGGAUUGCUGGGUUACUAAAACUCAACCUCUGAUUUUCUAUGCUGGUGCUUCAGUUCCUAACAAUAUUAUAAAUAAGAUUGCUGCUGCGUUUGUGGAUGGCAAUGGUAAUUGGCAGUGGGGGAGUUUUGACUAUUUACCUCCAAAUAAUAUCCUCGUUUGAGAGAGGAGAAGAUCAAGUAUAUUGGGCUAGUUCAAAUAAAGGGAUAUUCAUGGUGAAUCGACCUACCAUGCUAUUUCUAAGGCCAAGUACAGUGAGAAAGAUCAGAUUUGGGGUAUUGCGUGGAGUUGGAAGGGUCCCCAAAGCGUUCGUAUUUUCCGGUGGCUCGUCCUCAUCUUCGUCUUCAUCUUCGUCUUCAGAGGUGUCAGCCACUGAUGACUUUGAACGUGAGGCGAGGAGUUGUUCCAUAGCUUUGAAGUACUCAUCUUCAGUUUUGGCACCUGCCAAAAGAGACUGGGCUUUGGAUUUUUGGGUUAAGAAUGUUUGUUGGGCUUUAGAGGUGGUUAAGGAUGGUUGGAGGAGGUUUUUAGAGGAAAGCCAAUCUUUGAUCAUGUUAACAGUCAGUUUGGACUGUUCAUCAAAUUUUGACCACCAUUUGACUUUAAAGGUUCUUUGGAGGAUGACUUGGGAAUCCUGGGUGUGGAAACGAAGGUUCCAUGAACAGACCCAAGGUAAGAAGAAAUUUGCACAAAAGUUUAGAAAGGGGGGAAAUCUUUUCUCUGAGUCAGAGGAUAAAUAAUGGGCUUUGAAGAGGUUUAGACAAUUUGUGGCAUUUGGUGUUAGGAUUUGUGGAGUUGAGCCAAAAAGAUUCCACCAAUGAUGAAACCAAUUUGGGAGGCUUUGAACGGUUAUUUUCGUGUUGAAGAAGAAUAACCAUGAAUGAGAUUUUUUAGGGUUUUGGAUAAAAAAGGUGUUAUACCAUGCUUGUUGGUAAUCCCAAUAGGAAAAAGUCCGACAAUGUGGUAAACGGGUCUCAAAAUUUAAAGGGAAGGUUUUAAAAUUGUGGAGUAGGUCACCCCACUGAUUUGGGCUUAAUACUUUUAGGAUUGUGGCCGUGGAAUAAGCCGGUUCUGGAUGGGCUUUGUCAAGGAAAAAGUGUUUGAAUUUAACUGAUUCAGUUAUCUCCAAAAUGCUUUGAUAAUAAGACUGGGGUUUUGUUAAAUCCCAUGGUUUGAAAAACCAGCCUUUGGGAAAAAACUUUGAAAUGCUUUGAAAAGGAUCAGUAUGGUAAAAUCCAUCUUCCAUUGAAAGGAUAUUUUGAAAAUGGGUUUUAUCAAACCAAUCGGAGGUUUUCUUUGAAGGUGUUGGCUGAGAAAGCACAAUUUGGGAGGAUGAGCUUUCAGCAGAGACAACAACAUUUUGGGAAGAGGGUUUUGUAAUUUCAAUUUCUUUUUGGGGAGAAAUUUGGCUUUGAGAAAGGUUUUGGAGGGCGAGCAUGAGCUCGGGUGAUUUUGUAAUGGAACUCAUCUAUUGUUUUACUUGGUCAUCAGAAAAAAUAGAUUUGUAUUGGGCUCCAUGUUCUUCAACCAUUUCAAUCCAAGAUUUAAUGGGCAUGGCAGAAGAAAGUAAUUUUUCUUUAGAAGGGGUUGACUGGGGUUCUUUGGAAGGUUCUUGGGAACCAGUGUCUUUGAGAACUGCUUUACCUUUAUUCUUCUUUGGCGGCAUUAUCUGUUUUGAAGAAAUUUCCGAGUUAGAAAAUCAGGAACAGAAUUUUUGUCACCUUUAAUAAAUUCAAUAUCAAAAUCAAAAACACUUAAAAUAGCUUGCCAUCGUGCAAAAAUUUGUUUUGAUGCAAUGUUUUGAACAUCUUUUUCUAAAACAUGUUUUGCAGCUUUGCAGUCAAUUCUAAGUAAAAAUUUUUGAUUUAAUAAAUCACUUUGAAAUUUUGUAAUGCAUAAAACAAUGGAAAGGAUUUCUUUUUUGAUAGUAGAAUAGUUUUUCUGGCAAUCAUUCCAAUGAGCAGAAACAUAUUGAACUCUAUGUUCUUUAUCAUUAUCCCUUUGUUUCAAUAUACCUCCAUAACCUAUAUCAGAUGCAUCAGUUUCAACAAUUUUAGGUAAUGCAGGAUUAGCAAGAUAUAAACAUGGGAUGCUUUUCACAGAAUUCUUUAUAAGCUUUACAACCUUGGUAUGUUCAUCUGUCCAAGGAACAGGUUUUUUCUUUAAUCUAUCAUGCAAGGGUUUAGACAUCCUGUUAAUGUUAGGACAGAAAUCAAGAACAUAAUUUAAACUACCAAGGAAUCUUUGUAAUUGGGUUUUGUCCAAAAUCUUGUCCGGGAAUUUAUCCGCAAACAAAAGUGACCUUUCUAUAGGAGUGAUGGUUCCUUUAGAAAUAUGAUGUCCUAAAAAUCGGACUUUUGUUUGAAAUAAAGAAAUUUUUGAACUAGAAAGGGCUAACCCAGCCUUUCUUGUAACAAGAUGAAAAGUCUUUAAAUGUUUGAAGUGUUGAUCAAUUGAAUUUGAAAAUAUUAAUACGUCAUCAAUAUAAACAAUACAAAAAUCAGAAUAAGGAUUAUAAAUAUCAUUCAUAAUUCUUUGAAAUUCUGAGGGUGCAUUCUUUAAACCAAAGGGCAUAACAGUCCAUUCGUACUGUCCAAAUGGAACAGUAAAAGCAGUUUUAUAACGGUCUUUUGGAUGAAUUUGAAUUUGCCAAAAUCCAGACUUCAUGUCAAAUUUUGAAAAAAUAAGAGCAGAACACAAUUUUUGGAACAANNNNNNNNNNNNNNNNNNNNNNNNNNNNNNNNNNNNNNNNNNNNNNNNNNNNNNNNNNNNNNNNNNNNNNNNNNNNNNNNNNNNNNNNNNNNNNNNNNNNCUUAAGCUCCCACUUAAGUCGUUUCUGUAAUUUCAAAUCUUGACAAAUCUUUAAACCUUCUUUGUUGACAAAACUGACAAGUUCACCAUAGGUGAGCUCAUCAUACGGAAUACGGUUGUCAUAAAGGGCUUUGAUAGAAUUUCUUACCUUUUCACCCAAAAGGGUAGGUAAUCCAGCAAGAAAUUUUUCUUUCCAAGUAGUAUGAUUUGCAUCAUCUCUUAGAAAUAAUCUGGUGAAAAAGGAGGUUUUGUAGCUUUGGAAUUCACUAAGUUUCCUACAUCUCAAGUUAUGUAGUAGCUCAGCGUUUUUAUCACGGAGGUGAGAAGGGUCACCAAUGAAAUGGAGGGAAACGGUCAAAAUGAGAGUUGCAACAGCAUCCUGGAUUGGAUUGUUGAACUCAUCAAGAAUAGGAGCUCCAUUCUCAUCGGUUUGGAUAGAAUUUAGGAUUUCUAGUUGUUGCCGAUUAGUGAGAAGAUGAUCCCACCAACCUUUCAAUUGACCAGUAAAACCGGCAAUGAGGAUUUCCGAUAUGGCACGAUCAGAAGUUCCUGCUUGGGUUUUAUAGGCAUUGGCUGCCAUUGUCAUUUGUUGCAACAAUCCUAGGAUAUUAUACUCAGACAUGCCAUCGAUAUUCCACUCAUAGACUGAAGAUGCAUUAUAUCGGGAUUGAUUUAAUGCACUUGGCCUAUUAUCUAUUGCUAGAUCAGGUGGAGUCUUGACAGUGGGAAGGGCUAAUUCCCAAUGGAUUUUGUUUGCUUUAGGAGUGGAUUCCUCUUGGAAGGCUUCAACAUCCGAAGAGGCUAUAGAAGUUUGGUCAUCUUUUUCUAAUACUCCAAUUUUGCUAGAUUGAGGAGUAUCAGGAGCUAUCUGGGCUUUGCUAGAUGAGGAAGAAGCAGCUUCUAUCCUAUCUAGUUGUUCUCUAAUGGCUUUAGCAAAAUCUGAUUUUGAUUCUUGAACAAGCCUUUGGCUAGUUUUCGAAACCUGAAAAGGUUUGAAAAUAGGUUCCUUAAGCUUUUUAUCAGAAUCUGAUUUUGGAGGAAUGGGCUUUUGACUAGGAGAAACAGAUAUGGUUGACUGUUGGAAUUGGUUUUCUAUUCUAGUCAACUGUUUUCCUAUAGUAUUUAAGUUAGUAUUACAGAAAUUAUUCUGUUGGAUAAUACUGCUUAAAUUACUAUCAGUAUCAUUGGGUUUAGGGAUUUUAUAAGGUGAAGCUCUAAUGUCAAUGGGAGGUUCGCCGUGGUCAACGGUUAUACUCCGGAGAGGUGGAUGCUCAGAAUCGACUNNNNNNNNNNNNNNNNNNNNNNNNNNNNNNNNNNNNNNNNNNNNNNNNNNNNNNNNNNNNNNNNNNNNNNNNNNNNNNNNNNNNNNNNNNNNNNNNNNNNNNNNNNNNNNNNNNNNNNNNNNNNNNNNNNNNNNNNNNNNNNNNNNNNNNNNNNNNNNNNNNNNNNNNNNNNNNNNNNNNNNNNNNNNNNNNNNNNNNNNNNNNNNNNNNNNNNNNNNNNNNNNNNNNNNNNNNNNNNNNNNNNNNNNNNNNNNNNNNNNNNNNNNNNNNNNNNNNNNNNNNNNNNNNNNNNNNNNNNNNNNNNNNNNNNNNAAGUAAUAGAACAGUCGAUUCCGAGCAUCCACCUCUCCGGAGUAUAACCGUUGACCACGGCGAACCUCCCAUUGACAUUAGAGCUUCACCUUAUAAAAUCCCUAAACCCAAUGAUACUGAUAGUAAUUUAAGCAGUAUUAUCCAACAGAAUAAUUUCUGUAAUACUAACUUAAAUACUAUAGGAAAACAGUUGACUAGAAUAGAAAACCAAUUCCAACAGUCAACCAUAUCUGUUUCUCCUAGUCAAAAGCCCAUUCCUCCAAAAUCAGAUUCUGAUAAAAAGCUUAAGGAACCUAUUUUCAAACCUUUUCAGGUUUCGAAAACUAGCCAAAGGCUUGUUCAAGAAUCAAAAUCAGAUUUUGCUAAAGCCAUUAGAGAACAACUAGAUAGGAUAGAAGCUGCUUCUUCCUCAUCUAGCAAAGCCCAGAUAGCUCCUGAUACUCCUCAAUCUAGCAAAAUUGGAGUAUUAGAAAAAGAUGACCAAACUUCUAUAGCCUCUUCGGAUGUUGAAGCAUUCCAAGAGGAAUCCACUCCUAAAGCAAACAAAAUCCAUUGGGAAUUAGCCCUUCCCACUGUCAAGACUCCACCUGAUCUAGCAAUAGAUAAUAGGCCAAGUGCAUUAAAUCAAUCCCGAUAUAAUGCAUCUUCAGUCUAUGAGUGGAAUAUCGAUGGCAUGUCUGAGUAUAAUAUCCUAGGAUUGUUGCAACAAAUGACAAUGGCAGCCAAUGCCUAUAAAACCCAAGCAGGAACUUCUGAUCGUGCCAUAUCGGAAAUCCUCAUUGCCGGUUUUACUGGUCAAUUGAAAGGUUGGUGGGAUCAUCUUCUCACUAAUCGGCAACAACUAGACAUCCUAAAUUCUAUCGAAACCGAUGAGAAUGGAGCUCCUAUUCUUGAUGAGUUCAACAAUCCAAUCCAGGAUGCUGUUGCAACUCUCAUUUUGACCGUUUCCCUCCAUUUCAUUGGUGACCCUUCUCACCUCCGUGAUAAAAACGCUGAGCUACUACAUAACUUGAGAUGUAGGAAACUUAGUGAAUUCCAAAGCUACAAAACCUCCUUUUUCACCAGAUUAUUUCUAAGAGAUGAUGCAAAUCAUACUACUUGGAAAGAAAAAUUUCUUGCUGGAUUACCUACCCUUUUGGGUGAAAAGGUAAGAAAUUCUAUCAAAGCCCUUUAUGACAACCGUAUUCCGUAUGAUGAGCUCACCUAUGGUGAACUUGUCAGUUUUGUCAACAAAGAAGGUUUAAAGAUUUGUCAAGAUUUGAAAUUACAGAAACGACUUAAGUGGGAGCUUAAGAAGUCUAAACAAGAAUUAGGCAGUUUCUGUAAACAAUUCAAUUAUGACCCCUUUAAAACUUCUAUUUCCAAAGAUUGUAAUGGUGAGUGUUCUUCUAAACCUCGCAGGAAACAUUACAAAUCCAAACACUUUAGAAAACCUUUUCGUGAUUUUAGGAAACUUCCUUAUAAGAAACCUUCGAGGCCUUAUAAGAGACAAAGUUUCUCUAAAAAGAAAGAACUUAAAGCCAAACCUGUGACCCCAUUCAAUUUCAAAGAUGCUACAUGUUUCAAAUGUGGCAUGAAAGGUCAUACUGCAAAAUUUUGCAGAAUGAACAAGAGACUUCAUGAGCUUGACCUCGAUGAAGACAUUCUUUCCCAAUUAGCUUCCCCUCCUUGUUGAAUCUUCUGAUUCUNNNNNNNNNNNNNNNNNNNNNNNNNNNNNNNNNNNNNNNNNNNNNNNNNNNNNNNNNNNNNNNNNNNNNNNNNNNNNNNNNNNNNNNNNNNNNNNNNNNNNNNNNNNNNNNNNNNNNNNNNNNNNNNNNNNNNNNNNNNNNNNNNNNNNNNNNNNNNNNNNNNNNNNNNNNNNNNNNNNNNNNNNNNNNNNNNNNNNNNNNNNNNNNNNNNNNNNNNNNNNNNNNNNNNNNNNNNNNNNNNNNNNNNNNNNNNNNNNNNNNNNNNNNNNNNNNNNNNNNNNNNNNNNNNNNNNNNNNNNNNNNNNNNNNNNNNNNNNNNNNNNNNNNNNNNNNNNNNNNNNNNNNNNNNNNNNNNNNNNNNNNNNNNNNNNNNNNNNNNNNNNNNNNNNNAGUGAUUCUGAUACUAUUCAACUCCUUUUACAAAAACAAUUACACGGAUAAUUCAGACAAUGAAUCUAAUCCUGACGAUGAUGGUGAUGAUAUUAAAGUAGAAAAUAUUGAGUCUGUACCCAAUGAUUUUCUGUUUGUUUUAAAACAAAUCACCACAAGAAAGUAUUUGAUUAAAGUCACUCUCAUCUUUUCUGAUGAUUUUGCUAUGGACGCCAUUGCCCUUUUUGAUACUGGCGCCGAUUUAAAUUGCAUUAGAGAAGAUAUUGUCCCCAAAAGAUUUCAUGAAAAGACAAAAGAAAAACUUUCUGCCGCUAAUAAUUCGAAAUUGAAUGUUAGCUCCAAAGUUGAAGCCUCGAUUUAUAAUAAUCAAAUUGAAUUUAAAACUUCUUUUGUCCUUACAAAUGAUAUUCAUCAUGCUAUCAUUUUAGGCACUCCUUUUAUAAAUCUCAUAACUCCUUAUGCUGUCAACUAUGAUGGUAUAUAUUUCAAAGCAAAAUCUAAAGAACUGGUUUUCCCAUUUAUUGAAAAACCAAAAACUAGGAAUCUAAACAUUGUUAAAGCUUGUUCUGUUUAUCAGCACAAAAUCAAUGCCAUUCUUAAAUCCAAACAAGAUGAUUUGUUUUGUUUACAAAAGGAUUUAAACUUCCAAAGAAUUGAGAGUCAAUUGCAAAAUAAUUUUAUUCAAAGAAAAAUUUCCGAUUUUAAAAGCCUUAUUGAAAAAGAAAUAUGUGCCGAUUUACCUUCUGCUUUUUGGAAUCGAAAACAGCAUUUAGUAGAUUUGCCUUAUGAAAGUUCUUUUGAUGAAAAACAAAUACCCACCAAAGCACGUCCAAUCCAAAUGAACAUGGAAUUGGAGCAACAUUGCAAAAAAGAAAUCAAUGAUUUGGAGUCAAAGGGACUCAUUGUCAAGUCAAGGUCCCCAUGGUCUUGCGCCGCUUUUUAUGUAAAUAAAAAUUCUGAAAUUGAAAGAGGUGUACCUAGACUUGUGAUAAAUUAUAAGCCCUUAAAUAAAGCCUUAAAGUGGAUUAGGUACCCCAUACCUAAUAAAAAGGAUUUGCUCCAAAAAUUGUGUUCUGCUCUUAUUUUUUCAAAAUUUGACAUGAAGUCUGGAUUUUGGCAAAUUCAAAUUCAUCCAAAAGACCGUUAUAAAACUGCUUUUACUGUUCCAUUUGGACAGUACGAAUGGACUGUUAUGCCCUUUGGUUUAAAGAAUGCACCCUCAGAAUUUCAAAGAAUUAUGAAUGAUAUUUAUAAUCCUUAUUCUGAUUUUUGUAUUGUUUAUAUUGAUGACGUAUUAAUAUUUUCAAAUUCAAUUGAUCAACACUUCAAACAUUUAAAGACUUUUCAUCUUGUUACAAGAAAGGCUGGGUUAGCCCUUUCUAGUUCAAAAAUUUCUUUAUUUCAAACAAAAGUCCGAUUUUUAGGACAUCAUAUUUCUAAAGGAACCAUCACUCCUAUAGAAAGGUCACUUUUGUUUGCGGAUAAAUUCCCGGACAAGAUUUUGGACAAAACCCAAUUACAAAGAUUCCUUGGUAGUUUAAAUUAUGUUCUUGAUUUCUGUCCUAACAUUAACAGGAUGUCUAAACCCUUGCAUGAUAGAUUAAAGAAAAAACCUGUUCCUUGGACAGAUGAACAUACCAAGGUUGUAAAGCUUAUAAAGAAUUCUGUGAAAAGCAUCCCAUGUUUAUAUCUUGCUAAUCCUGCAUUACCUAAAAUUGUUGAAACUGAUGCAUCUGAUAUAGGUUAUGGAGGUAUAUUGAAACAAAGGGAUAAUGAUAAAGAACAGAUAGUUCAAUAUGUUUCUGCUCAUUGGAAUGAUUGCCAGAAAAACUAUUCUACUAUCAAAAAAGAAAUCCUUUCCAUUGUUUUAUGCAUUACAAAAUUUCAAAGUGAUUUAUUAAAUCAAAAAUUUUUACUUAGAAUUGACUGCAAAGCUGCAAAACAUGUUUUAGAAAAAGAUGUUCAAAACAUUGCAUCAAAACAAAUUUUUGCACGAUGGCAAGCUAUUUUAAGUGUUUUUGAUUUUGAUAUUGAAUUUAUUAAAGGUGACAAAAAUUCUGUUCCUGAUUUUCUAACUCGGGAAUUUCUUUAAAACAGAUAAUGCCGCCAAAGAAGAAUAAAGGUAAAGCAGUUCUCAAAGACACUGGUUCCCAAGAACCUUCCAAAGAACCCCAGUCAACCCCUUCUAAAGAAAAAUUACUUUCUUCUGCCAUGCCCAUUAAAUCUUGGAUUGAAAUGGUUGAAGAACAUGGAGCCCAAUACAAAUCUAUUUUUUCUGAUGACCAAGUAAAACAAUGGAUGAGUUCCAUUACAAAAUCACCUGAGCUCAUGCUCGCCCUCCAAAACCUUUCUCAAAGCCAAAUUUCUCCCCAAAAAGAAAUUGAAAUUACAAAACCCUCUUCCCAAAAUGUUGUUGUCUCUGCUGAAAGCUCAUCCUCCCAAAUUGUGCUUUCUCAGCCAACACCUUCAAAGAAAACCUCCGAUUGGUUUGAUAAAACCCAUUUUCAAAAUAUCCUUUCAAUGGAAGAUGGAUUUUACCAUACUGAUCCUUUUCAAAGCAUUUCAAAGUUUUUUCCCAAAGGCUGGUUUUUCAAACCAUGGGAUUUAACAAAACCCCAGUCUUAUUAUCAAAGCAUUUUGGAGAUAACUGAAUCAGUUAAAUUCAAACACUUUUUCCUUGACAAAGCCCAUCCAGAACCGGCUUAUUCCACGGCCACAAUCCUAAAAGUAUUAAGCCCAAAUCAGUGGGGUGACCUACUCCACAAUUUUAAAACCUUCCCUUUAAAUUUUGAGACCCGUUUACCACAUUGUCGGACUUUUUCCUAUUGGGAUUACCAACAAGCAUGGUAUAACACCUUUUUUAUCCAAAACCCUAAAAAAUCUCAUUCAUGGUUAUUCUUCUUCAACACGAAAAUAACCGUUCAAAGCCUCCCAAAUUGGUUUCAUCAUUGGUGGAAUCUUUUUGGCUCAACUCCACAAAUCCUAACACCAAAUGCCACAAAUUGUCUAAACCUCUUCAAAGCCCAUUAUUUAUCCUCUGACUCAGAGAAAAGAUUUCCCCCCUUUCUAAACUUUUGUGCAAAUUUCUUCUUACCUUGGGUCUGUUCAUGGAACCUUCGUUUCCACACCCAGGAUUCCCAAGUCAUCCUCCAAAGAACCUUUAAAGUCAAAUGGUGGUCAAAAUUUGAUGAACAGUCCAAACUGACUGUUAACAUGAUCAAAGAUUGGCUUUCCUCUAAAAACCUCCUCCAACCAUCCUUAACCACCUCUAAAGCCCAACAAACAUUCUUAACCCAAAAAUCUAAAGCCCAGUCUCUUUUGGCAGGUGCCAAAACUGAAGAUGAGUACUUCAAAGCUAUGGAACAACUCCUCGCCUCACGUUCAAAGUCAUCAGUGGCUGACACCUCUGAAGACGAAAGACGAAGAUGAGGACGAAGAGCCCUUUAUUUCUCUCGGAGACGAUAAUGAAGAUGACUGUUUUGGCAUUUUCUCUCCAAUAAAGCAUUGUAAAUAAUUAUUUGAUUAUUUACUUAAAAAAAAAAAAUUUUUUUUAUUUCUGUAUUUUCGGGUGGUCCCCUGGACACAAGUGAGAGCGCACAUGUCUCUUCACCCGUAUUGUAUUUUUCUACAAAGAGUCUACUAUUCAAAGCUACGAUCCAUUUGUUACUGUGCACUUAAAAUCCCGCUACAGUGAACAGUGCAACUUUCCAGAGUUUACUGUGCACUUAAAAUCCCGCUACAGUGAACAAUUUAAAGAUUUUGUAUAUAAACCGAGAGGAAGACUUAGACUCCUCAGGUUUUUCAUUUCUCUCUUCAAAGCUUCUCUCUCUUCUUCUCUUCCUUCUCUCUAAAACCUCUCUCUCUCUCCCCGAAGGGUUCCAAAGAAGUUUUCUGCUUACACAAUAGUUCUAUCACAAGAGCUUUGGGUGAUCAGACUAGUUCUUUACCUUCAAUCUUCCCGUCUUUCAAUCUUCCCUUCUGGAAAGAUUUGAAAAUUUGUAAAAGCCAACCAAAGCAAAGAUGUAUGUUUAAAUUUCAGUUCUUUAAAUUUUUAAAGUUCAAUGUAAUUUAAAUUUUCGCAAUUUACUUUAAAGCAUUUACUUUUCUGCAAUUUAAUUUUAUGCACAUUUAAAUUCCAGCAAUUUUUUUUUCAAAGCACUUUUCUUUUCAAAGCAUGCUUGCAGACUGAUCUGUAUCAGAUCUGCCAUAUAAAUUCUACAUUCCUCUGAGGCAAAGAGACCGGAUCUCGAUCCUCAGUUGUAAAUCUUCUCUUCUCCCUCAAUUCCUUCAGAGCACCAUUUCCGGGAUCCGGAUCUGGUACUGUGUAUGUACCCAAACCUUUAAAAGAACCUAAUCUAAAUCUGAUAAUAGCCCAAUAAAAAGAAUCAACCACGUUUAAAGCAACUUAACUUUAUUUGGUAAACUAAAACUGAUUUGGUAUAUCGGCUGGAAACCCGAACGUGCGGGCUAUUGAUCUGUUCUAAGUCAGAUCUGGGUCCAAAGGCUUCACUCUGUGUAGCAUCGAUCUGGUUUAACAACGCCACGUAUCAAUUAGUUAUUAAAAUUGACUAACCGCGUUCAAAUUUGUUUGAACAUUGUAUGAUCCAAAGAACUCCAUAAUCAAAGCUGGUAAUUUAUUAUUUUAUAAAAUUUGGAAAAGCCGAUCCAUUAAUUGGUUUAUCUAAAGUUUUUAAAUAUUGAGAUCUAACGAAAGCACAUCCAUGCACAAUCGAUUAAAGAUGAAAGCUGAAUUAACGAGGAGGCAUAUCCAGAUUGGGUGCGGUUGUGAUUGUUGUGGCUAUUCUUUGGAGGAUAUGUUGCAUGUCCUUCGCGACUGCAUGGUAGCUAAAAGGGUUUGGAACCGUAUCAUCCUUGUUAAUUCUUGACAUCAGUUUUAUUCUUUGAAUCUAAGGGAUUGGCUGUGUCAAAAUUUGAAGAGCAAACGGCUGUUUGGUUCAGAGUUGAAUUGAAGUACUCUCUUUGGUAUGGCUAUUUGGCAGCUUUGGUUUUGGCGCAAUCAGUUUCAAUUCAACCAUUUGUCUUUAGAUAGCACGUAUGAUCAGUAGUGAUAAUAGACCUGGGAUUGUGGGCUUCUGUGCGGUUCGUAUCAGGAUCGAGGCCUCAGGCAAACACUCAAAGCCUAAUUAGGCCGCGUUCGGUGGAUUCAGGGAUACUGGUCCCGGUUCCAACCCGCCAUUAUUAUUGGUCGAAUAAUCUUCCUUGAAGUUCAUUAAGAAUUUCCAACUACCACAAAAAAUUUGUACCUGUAUCCCUCUUGCACAUUAAAUAAUGUCACGUUGUAUUCAUGUCUCACUCACAUGUUAUUCAGUAUUUAUUUUCUUUUCGUCAACUGUUUAUUUACGUUAUAUUAUUGCUUCCCUGUUAACAGAUAAAUAAUGGGGACCUAUGAAGUUGAUAGUGACGGAUUCCACAACCUUAGUAUUUUAUCUUUUUUUUUUAAUUUUUGUUUUAUUUUUAUUUACUUUCUUAUUAAGUUUAAAAUCAUUCCAAUCCUUAAAACAAUAUUUGUUAACUAGGUUAGAAUUAAAUUUAUAGAGGUUUGAUUUAGUUUUUCCUAUUCUAAUAUAUUCAUGUGCUUGUGAUUAAAUUUUAAAAUUAAGUUUUUAAGCACGAUAGCCGCUAGAAGCCUUAUUAGGUCCAGUUAUUUAUGCAUAUUGAAAUAAGAAGAAUUCAGAAGCUCAAAUUAAAUUUGAGAAUGAGAAAAGUGUUGAUUAGUAAUAACGUCUUGAAUUAGGAGAUAAAAGUUAUUGCAAGAAAUUUUUAACUAAAAUUCUGUUAUUCAAAUUGCAUUAUAAAUAAAGUAUUUUUUACACACAAAAGGACAGGUGCUAGUAAAUAUUCCAAGAAAAAAGAAACUCGAUUGUAAUCAUUAUUUUAAUAGUGAAAAUUAUUUUCUCUGCGUAUGGAAGUAGGCCAAGUGCUGAACUACGUGAAACUAUUGUGUCUCAUUCACUAUUUUACUCAUACCUCUUUAAUUUUUUAAUUGACAAAAAAUCUGCGUCAACAAAUUCAUAUUAUUUUAAUCAAAUUUUUCACUCUACUAAAAAAUAGCAUUUAUAGUACUUCUCUCUCUUUAAUAAUAAAAAUUUUUUAAAAAUUAUAAUAUUAAUUAAAGAAGGACAAGUUAUUCUUUAAUAUUGAAAAGAGAGAAGAAUAAUCUUAUUUAAAGAAUUUUGUUUAAAUUUUUUUUUGGAAAAGCUCUUAUGCACUUGCACAAUAAAUUAGGCCGCUAUAUAUUAUACAGCAAUGAAAAAGGUCUAAAUCAAUUUUUUAUUUCAAAAUUCAAAUUUUGAUUAAUUAAAUAAAGCUGUUGGAAAACAUCCGACCAUACCAUGGAGCCCAUAUGAUUUGAUUAAGCACAUGCAAAAUUUUACUAUUUAGUUAAUAUAGAGAUCAAAAGGAGAUAGAUAGCCAUCUAUAAAACAAAGAGUUGUGUUUGUGUUUCCAUAGCCAUCACCCAAAAUAAAAAUACACUUAGCAAUAACGCACCAAAAUCCUUUUCUUGUUUUUCAUUUAUGCAAAGAAAACUGAGUGUACGUGGAAAGGAUUUUCUUUUGAAUCAUUCAGUGUCUUUCUCACCAACUUGAAAGUAGCCCUGCCAUCUUCUGCAGCAAUGGUAUGGUAAGUUUCAUUAUUUUUUUUGGAUCCUAAGUUUAGCUUCAUUGUACUAAAAACAAAUAUAAUCAUUGAUGGCCUACGAUGUCUGUAUAAAAGAAUGUGAUAUGAAUGCAACUUAUUGUGAUGAAAUUAGGAAUUGACAGAGAAUUUAAAACUCUGUACUUCGAAGAAAAAAUUCUUUGUUAGUUCUGAAUUGAAGAUUCUAGAGUUAGAAAGAUUCCAUUCGACAUAUAUAAAAGCGAUUCAAAGUAAAACAGUUGCCUGAGAAAAUAGCUAGUGGCACCAUGGCAUGUGAUAUUUCCUUUUUUGGUUUCAUGAUCUUCAGUGUGAAUACAGAAGCCAUUAGCUUCAACUUCAGUUAUGGUCUCAGUGCCGCUGUAAGGUUAGAAUAGCUUCAUACAUAAUUCCUAGUCCACGUUAUGUGGUUUCUACGGAUUUUGUGUUCAAAAAUUGAAAAACUCAUGCUUUGUGUGACAGUUCAAGGGUGUCUAAUGAAAUUGGGAACAUCCUAUAUAAGAGUGCCAUGGCUGUGACUUUCAAGCUUGAUUUGUCCUCCUUUGCUUUUAUAAUUGAUAUUGCUCUGGCUUUUUGGUCACAACUAUUGAAACCAAAUUAAUAAACAAGAUCAAUUUGGAAUCCCCAAGAAUCACUCUAAAGAACUUGAUCUUUGAUAAAUCUCUAAACAUAACUUAAAGUGAGUUGGCCUGGUAAUUGAAAUCAAGAACAUGAUAAAAACAGAAACAAAUCAAACACAUAUUGCACAAAAGUUUAUAGUGGUUCGACCAUUUUCUUGCCUACAUCCACUGUGAAAAGAGAAGCAAGCUUUCACUAAUUUCUGAGUUUACAAGAUACAAUAAUGAAGAGUAUGUGUAACUGAAUGAAUCUUCUUUCGGUAACAGAUCAUAACAUUUAUUAUAUAGAAGCCUAACCAUCUAGAAAGACCCCCAAGAGACCAGCCCACAUUUUUGGGUUUCCCAGCUAAGCUAAGUCAGCUGCAUCCGCGCGAAUAAUGAAUUUAAUGAUCUCUUGAACUGCUUAAGGACACUUGUCAAGUGUUUAUAUAAUCUGUUACUCAAAACGCAAAUGUGGUUGUCAUUUGAAUUAGUAAAACACGUGAUGUUUCAUGUGUAUAACUAAUUCAUCCAGCCGACAAAGCAUCCUUGUCACCAGCUUCUCUGAACUGCUAUGGCUGACAUGUCGUCACUCUCUCACACAAGCAUAUGACAUGCCAGAUACACUCCCAUAUCCAGAUUUGAGCUUCACAUCUUCAACAUUCUCUACCUUGAACUCAAAUUAGUUACUCACGAGCUUCAACUUUUCACCUCACAUUUGCUUGUUUAGAGCUUGCAGAUUCCAGCUAAGUUCAUACAAAACUCAAGCUUAGCAAUUGGUACAACCUUUGUCAGCAUAUCUGCAAUAUUGUCAUCAGUGUGGACUUUCAACAGCUUCACCACCCCUCUUGACACUUCUAACAUGACACAGUGAAGCUUAAUGUCAAUAUGCUUUGACUUUUCAUGAUGCACCUAGAUUUUGCUUAGGCAAAUUGCACUUUGACUUUCACAAUGAACACCUAUAUGCUUUUGUUGAUACUUCAACUUUGUAACCAUUCUGUAAGCCAAAUUACCUAUUUAAUGGCUUCUCUUGCUAUAGUAUAUUCUGCUUCAAUUGUUGACAAAGCAUUAACACUUUGUAGUGAGGCUUUCCAAUUUAUGGUACAGUAGCUGAGUGUGAACAAAUAUCCUGUCAGAGACCUCUUUUUAUCAAGGUCCCUUGCAUAAUCAGCAUCCAUAUAACCUUCAACAUUCACUUCAAUAGCCAUUUUGACUCCAUAUAUAAGACCAUAACCAGCAGUACCAUUUAGAUACCUCAGAAUCCAUAUAACUGCCUUCCAAUGUUCCUUACUUAGAUUUGGCAUAUAUCUACUCACAACACUUACAACAUAAGAGAUACAUGUCAUAUCUGGCCUAGUUAGAACCAUUGCAUAUAUCAAACACCUUACAACACUUGAAUAUGAGAUUGAACUCAUUUAAGCCUUUUCAUCUUCAGUUUUUGAACACUGUUGGCAAGAUAGUCUGGAAUGGCCUGACAAUGGUGUCUGAACUGGUUUUGAGGUCUCCAUUCCAAACCUUUCAAGUACUUUCUUGAUGUAGUUAUGCUGUGACAGCCUUAAGGAUCUUCUUGGCAGCUCCAAGAUCCUUCAUCUCAAAUGUACUAUUCAACUGCUGCUUUAACUAAUUUAUUUGAUCCAUAUGUUUGCAGGCAAUGAGCAUGUCAUCAAUAUAAAGCAACAUAUAAAAUUUACCACCAUCUCCUAGAUCUUUAUGAUAUACACAACAAUAAAAAGAACACCUUUGAAAACUGUUCUCAAUUAUGAACUUGUCAAACCUCAAAUACCAUUAUCUUGGGGACUGUUUUAGUCCAUACAAAGACUUCUUUAGAUGAAAAACAUGAUCUGCCUUUUCUGGAAUCACAGAACCUUAUGGUUGUGCCAUUACAAUCAUUUCAUCUAAUUCACCAUGAAGAAAAGUAGUCUUGAUAUCCAUCUGUUCUAGAUGCAUGUCAUCUACUGCAACAAGUGCUAAUAGGAUCCUCAAUGAGGAGUAUCUCACCACUGGGGAAAAAACUUUAUUAAAAUCUAUGCUUUCAUUCUGUGUGAAGCCUUUGGCAAACAACCUGACCUUAAAUCUUUGUGAUUCCACCCCUGGUAUUCCCUCUUUAAUCUUGUAAAUCCAUUUGCAGCCGACUACCUUCUUCUCUGCUGGUCUUAGUAUUAGAUCCCAAGCAUGGUUCUUAAUCAAUUAUUGCAUUUCCUCAUCCAUGGCUGCCAUCCAUUUCUCUAAGUCCUUACUACUGAUAGCUUCAGAGUAAGUUUUUGGUUUAUCAGUUUCAAUGCCUUGUGCUGCUGUCAAUACAAAUGCAAUUAAAUCUGCAUAUGCAUAUCUCUUAGGUAGCUUUAUGUCCCUCAUCUUUUUGUCUUUGGCAUAAUUGAUAAUCUCUAACAUCAUUAUCACCUUCUGAUUCUUCUUCUGGUUCAAGAACAUCCCUGUCAGGUACAUGCUCAGGCCCUGCUCUUGAAUCACAUUUUAUGUCUGAGCUUGGCAACCUCACCUCAAAAGAGAUUUUCUGAUCAUUUCUCCCAGGUUUUGCAACAGUUUAUUUUGUUGAGACUGGAUUUUGUCACAUUUCAGACUCAUUAAACACAACAUCCCUACUGAUUAUAACUCUUGGUGGCUUCAAAUCAGUGCACCAGAGCUUAUAACCCUUCACCCCAGUAGGAUAACUGAGAAACACACUUUUUAAAGCUUUAGGCUCUGACUUCCCUUGCUUGACAUGUGCAUAUGCAGGACACCCAAAAACUCUCAUAUGAGAAUAGUCUGCUGGUUUACCAGACCAAAGCUUAUAAGGAGUCUUGAAAUUAAUUGCAAAAGAUUGACUAUUAUUUACUAUGUAACAAGCGGUAGAUAGAGCUUCAGCCCACAGGUUCAUAGGUAACUCUGAAUGAAUGAGCACGCACCUAACUUUAUCAAUUAGAGUCUUAUUCAUAAUUUUAACUAGCCCAUUUUGUUAUGGGGUGUGUCUUACUGUCUUGUGUCUAACAAUACCAUGUUCAGUACAGAAAUAAUCAAAUUUCUGGUUGCAGAAUUCCAAACCAUUGUCAGUUCUCAGCCUUCUAACCUUCAUGCUUGUCUGUGUUUCAACUAGUGUUUUCCAGGCUUCAAACUAUUCAAACACAUUUUCUUUACUCUUCGACACAAACACCCAAACCAUCCUAGAAAAAUCAUCAAUGAGAGAUAGGAAAUAACUAGCUCCACUUAAAGAAACAGUCUGUGUUGGCCCUCACAGAUCAACAUGGAUAUAAUCUAGAGUUUCCUUUGAUACAUGAGUACCGGUAUUGAAUUUGACUCUUGAAGACUUGCCUAGGACACAUUCUUCACAGAAACUUAAAGACUCUAUCUUAUCUUGACCUAAAACCCCAUGUUUUGACAGUUCUCUCAAGCCCCUUUCACACAUACGGCCCAACCUUAGAUGCUACAACAUUGUCUUAUCUACAUUUUGGUUUGAAACCCUAACUUCUCCUACAACAGUUGGCCCUUGAAGGACAUACAGGCCAUCGUUCAUAUUUCCUUUCAUUAACAUCAUUGCCUCUCUCAUUACUUUUAAGGUACUUGAUUCAAGCCUAACUAAACACCCUAUUUUAUCAAGCAUGCCUAGAGAAAUAAGAUUCGUUUUUAAUUCGGGCACAUGUUUCAUAUCUUUUAACUCUCUAACCAUGCCAUUAAACAUUUUCAGUCUAAUUGUGCCUUUGCCAACUACCUUACAAUAAGCAUCAUUUCUCAUUACAACUAUUCCACUAUCACAAGCUUUAUAGUUUAUGAAAAGAAUUUUGUUUGGGUACAUAUGAAAGGAACAACCAGAAUCUAACACCCAAUUACCUUUGGUCUGGCCAUUAGUGGCAAUAAGAACUCCAACAGAGUCAAAACUAUCAGAAUCUUGUAUUUCUAAUGCAAUAACAACAUUUCCAUUCUUCUAAUUUGUAUCUUUAUGCUUGUUUUUCCUCUCAGGACACUCCUUCUUGAAAUGGCCUUCCUUGUGGCAUUGAAAGCAUUUUAAGUUCUUUGGCUUGGAUUUGAAUCUUUUCUUUUUUCCCUUGCCAUUUUCUCUCUUUUCUAUUCUACCCAUUACCGUUAAACUUUCUCCCUCCCUAGCUUCUCUUUUUAUUGCAGCCUUGAAACUCAUGGUUUCCUUAACAUCCACCAUAAAGAGGAUUUGUCUCCUAUACAUCAGUGUGUUUACAAGAUUUUCAUAGAAACUUGGCAAAGAGCAGAGUAAGAUCAUGGCUUUAUCCUCCCUCAUCAAUUUUCACAUUGAUGUCUUUAAGAUCCAAGAUGAUCUUGUUGAAAGCAUCAAUGUGAUCAGUGAUUGAUGAUCAUUCUUCCAUUUGCAAGGUAUACAUCUUUUUUUUUGUGGCCAACUUUUAGCCAUUGAUUUUUUUCGUAUAUAAAUCUUCAAGCUUCUUCCACAACCCUAUAAUUGUCUUUUCACUAUCAACCUCUUUAAGUACACCAUCUCCAAGGCUUAGAAUUAUAGCAUUGUGUGCUCUGUCCAGCAAAUUAGAUAAUUCUUCAUCAUUCACAUUUCUUAGCUUCUUGGAUGAUGAUGCUUCAUCAAGUGUAACAUCAAGUCCUUGAUGCACUAGUAGGGCCCUCAUUUUGAGCCUCCACAAAUGAAAAUCAUUUCCCCCCUGUAAAUUUCUCCACUUUAAGCUAUGUUGAUGCCAUUAUAUAAAUAAAAAACCUAGAGACAGGCUCUGAUACCAAUUUGUUGAAACCAAAUCAAUAAACAAGAUCAAUUUGGAAUCCCCAAGAAUCACUCUAAAGAACUUGAUCUUUGAUAAAUCUCUAAACAUAACUUAAAGUGAGUUGGCAUGGUAAUUGAAAUCAAGAGCAGGAUGAAAACAUAAACAAAUCAAACACAUGCUACACAAAUGUUUAUAAUGGUUUGACUAUUUUCUUGCCUACAUCCACUGUGAAAAGAGAAGCAAGCUUUCACUAAUUUCUGAGUUUACAAAAAUACAAUAAUGAAGAGUAUGUGUAACUGAAUGAAUCUUCUUUCGGUAAUAGAUCAUAACACUUAUUAUAUAGAAGCAUAACCAUCUAGAAAGACCCCUAAGAGACCUGCCCACGUUUUUGGGUUUCCCAGCUAAGCUAACUCAGUUGCAUCCCGCGCGAAUAAUGAAUUUAACGAUCUCUUGAACUACUUGAGGACACUUGUCAAGUGUUCAUAUAAUCUGCUACUCAAAAUGCAAAUGUGGUUGUCAUUUGAAUUAGUAAAACACGUGAUGUUUCAUGUGUAUAACUAAUUCAUCCAGCUGACAAAGCAUCCUUGUCACACAGCUUCUCUGAAAUGCUAUGACUGGCAUGUCGUCGCUCUCUCACACAAGCAUCUGACAUGCCAAAUACACUCUCAUAUCUAGAUUUGAGCUUCAACAUUAACAUUUGGGCUAGUUUCUUCACUGACAGCCAAGAAAUACUUCAAGAAUUUGCCUCAAUGACACCCUUUCUUGUAAUCUCAAUAAUAUUUGAUGCUAUGUAGGCCAUCUUAUCAGUUUGUCACAUACAAUUCUUAUAAUUGUAAAGAGUAUUCUUAUAAUUGUAAAGAGUCUCCUAUAUAUAUAUAUAUAAAUUUUGAUUUUUUGCACAAAUAGGCUAAUGUUGUAGGAGUGGCAAGAGGAUGUGGUUGGCAAAACUUGGCCAUGAGGGUUACUUUUGGCAACAUUAUGUUUCAUUGGAAUGCCACUUGCAUCACUUUUUAGAUUUAAGUUGAAUCUUUUUGUUAAGGUGAGACAAAAUGGAUUGUAGUAGCUUGUUGAAUUUUUUUUUUACCCCCCUCAAUUAAACGUAUUGGGAGGCUAACAACAUUAAGCAAAUAAAAACCACAUAUUUUGGGCCCAGAGUAGCUGCCUGCAAUAAAGAGCUCUCACAAAUAAUUCACGUAAAUGACACUUCUGAAUUAGGAGAAUGAUAAGAAAAUAGAGUCUUCACAUAGGACUAACAAUCAUAGCUAAACUAAUAAUGAGUUUAUUAAAUGGAAACAAGGGUGUUAAAAAUACUUGCCUAGUCUAGAUCUGGAUCGAUGUAUCCGGAUUGGGAAUGAAGCCAUUGACACCGGACAUAAUAGAUGGGAAAACACAAUGUCACACACCCAAGAAAUCACAAGCUCACCACCAUAGCAAACAACAAAAGGAUACAGAAAAAUUCACCACCUAAAGUUGUUAAGCUAAGGAUACAGGGCUUAAAAAUACUCACCACUCAUUGGAAUCCACCAAAGAGAUACAGAGUUUGAUAAUAACUCAAAGUUCAUUCAAUUCCAAAAUUAAUCUUUUUCCUUUGUUUACAACUACAUAAGCUUAAAUAGCUUUCUUGGAACAAUCCUCCAAGCAUAGAUUUACUACAAAGAAACCCUUCAAAUAACUUGACUUUAAAGACCAACAUUAAAGCUAGACAUUAAUAAAACAUUGGUAUGCUUAAAACACAACAAAGAACAUUAAAAAAAAUCCAAGUCCCGAAAUAUUCUUCUUGACUCAAAACUGAACAGUCUGCACUUAACUAAUCAUAACUUACUGUAGAAAACUCCAAAUUUAGAUUAGUAAAAUUCAUUGGAAAGCUAACAGAAAUAUCUUUCCAAUGAUGUAUGGCUCGAAAAUUAAUUCGAUCUCAUGCAGUACAGUUUAAUUCCCAAAGAUGCCCCUUCUGCACAGACAUUCUGCUAACUUGAUUAAUGUAAGAACUUGAGCUGCACUUGGUAUAACUUGAUUACCAAAUAUUUCAAACACUCCUGUGUUAGCCAUACUGGUCUCGGGCAUCACUUGAUAAGUCCGAGAUUCGGCCCGAAACUCGGAUUUUAUUGAAAAAAAUAUUAUAAAAUAUAUAUAAUUUUAAAUAAUUAUAUUUAUUUGACCGAUCUAUUACAUAUAUGUAAAGCUUUAAACAGUUAUAGUUGAUAUUUUACGUCCAAUUUCAUUAAAAUAAAUUUAAAAAUUAUAAAAUUAUAAAAAUUAUAAAAAAAGUAUUCUUAUCUAAUAUUAUAGAAUAUAAAAUCCGGGUAUAAAAACACGGAUUACAAAACCUGGCAUGGUUCUAAAAAACACAUCCAAGCAAGGUCCAAGCAUUAUCAUACGUGGACUUGAACUCGGAUUUUACCAACCCUAAAUGAGAAUCGGAAUGAGCUAGAAUAGUAAUGAGCUAGAAUCAAAAGAGCUGUAGAAAUAAGAAUAAGAAUGAAUUAUAUUAUAAUUGAUGUGUUUACUUUGUUUAAAAAUCGGAAUCGAAAUGAGUUACAUUAUUUUAAAUUACUAAAAAGUCCUUAAUUAACUAUUAUCAUAAUUAUUUUUUAUUUUUUAUUAUUAUGAUUAUUAUUAUUAAUAAUUAUUAUUGUUAAUAAUAAUCUUAUAAUUAUUAAUGUUAACAAUGAAUUAAUUGUAAACUUUUAUAAUGAUGAUGAUGAUGAUUUAUUUAAUAGAAGUAUUAAUGAUAAAGAAUAUUAAAGUUUUGUUAAGAUAUUUUGUCAUUAAAUUAAAAGUUAAAUUAUUUAAUUUUUUUCAUUUGGAUCUACACAUCUUAUAAUCAAAUAUAAAUUAUAAAAAACAAACAAAUUGAAAAGUCUAAAAACUAGGAAAUAAUUAAAAUUUAGACCUUAGACCAAAAACAAAUAAAUUGUCAUACUUUUCAUUUUUAACAACUCGAUAUCAAAUGAGUCUAAAUAGAGGGGGAAAAAAAUACUAUUUAUUAAAAAAAUUAGGAUAAGUGCUUGCUCCAAUGCAAUCCUUACAUUUUGUUGAUUAUUUCUCAUAAAAUGUUGUAUCUUAUAUCAAUAAUCUUAAUAUAGUAUUUUGAUUCAACAUAAAAUAAUCAAGCGUGCACGGUCGCACGCGUCCCAUGCUUAAUUUGAGUCAAUAGCUAAUUUCUUGAGCUAAGAAUUUAAGAUAGUCAAAUUUUUUAAAAUAAAAUACAUUUGAUCUGAAUAGUAGGGGUCCGCUUAUAAUACAGCCGCUGCAUGCUAUAUAGCCGUUUUUAUUUUUUAUUUUAAAAUUUAUUGCCCGAUUGAUUUCUUCUAUAAGCAAUCCAACAGCUUCUAUAUUUUACGCAUGAAGCGGGCUAGGAAGUGGGAACUGGCAAAUAUUAGGAGCAAUUAUUAGAUAGCUACCCCAAUUUUAUCUAAAUAUCAAAGUUAUCAAUUUAAAUUAGGAAAAUGUCAGAGACCCCUCCUCAACAUGAAAAAUUUGCAUUUUCUUAUGGCUGAAAAAAUUACUCUAAAAUAUGUAAUGUAUGUAUUAAUGAGAAUAAUAUUAAUAAUAAUAUUAAUAUUAGUGUAAAUCAUAUAUAUAUAUUUCUUAUUUUCCAUCUAACUAUUGGAUAGUUUGCAAAUAAUUAUAAUUAUUCAUAGUACCAAAUAUCAUAAUUAAUCAUCAAAUAUUGUUAUCUUCAAUAUUAGUUGUACUAGUGACUAAUAUUAAUCGUAUAAAUAUGUUGUUGGGGAAAAAUCAGUUUUUUAUAAAAAAAAAAAACUUUUUAUGAUCAAUCUCAUACAAUAUAUAAGAAUUCGUAAUUUAGAGAUCGCACCUUGAAAAUCUAAGAAGAUGAACAAUCUUUGCUUUUUCUGCUGCAGUGAAACUAGGCUCCCAGAUCACGAUCUGUCACCACCACGCCUAUUAGAUCAUGAUUUGUUACUAUCAUGCUUGUUAGAUCACGAACUAUCACCAAUGAUCUUCCAGGUUAUGACUCAGGUUUGAUCUACACUUGACGUAUGGGCGCUUUUAUCACCAUUAAAGCAACUAGCACGAGAAAAUUUUUCUCUCAAAAUUAGAGAGAAAAAUCUUUUUCUCUGAUCUGUAUAAAGUGGCCGCUCUCUUUCUUUUGGGAGAAAAUGAGCCAUUUUAUAUCUCUAUCUAGUGGAAACCCUAGGCUCAAUUUUUUAUAUUAUUUAAUUCUAUUAAAUCAAGUUUGAUUUAAAUUAAAAAUAAUAAACAAAAAGAAACGUUACUUCUUUCUUGUCAUAGGGGCCCACCUUGUAAAAUAAUACAAGACCCUUUAAAUACAAGUACAUUAUAUGGAGCCUCCCACUAAAUAAUAUAUUUAGGUUUUUAACCAAAAUAACUAGUUAUCUUGCUUAUUAAUCUAGUAGUAACGCAGUCAAUUAAAUGAGCUAACUCGGGGAUCAUUUGGGAACAUACAAUAGUGACUAUAAUAAUUAGGCCUGUAAUUAAACUAGCCCAAUUAUUUAAUUCCAAAUCUAUUCCACUAAAAGAUUGGAACUAACCUCCAUAAUUGCAUGCUUGAAUAAUAAUUAGUCCCAAAUCACAUUGAUUCUUUACUGCAUAAUCCUUUGGACCACAUCGUUAAUUAAAUCGAUAUCUUAACUGUCCAAUCGAUUUAAUUACAUCUUAUUCCUUGAUAUUUACUGAUUUUCUCUAAUGAUCAUUUUCAACAUACUAAAUAUGUUGACACACUCUGACCAGAGAAUUCUAUGAUCAAGUGCCGAAAACCCAUCAAGAGAUGUGUUGUACAAAUUUUAUAUUGUUAAUCUAUAACUCCAAUACUCAUAAUUGCUCCCACCAAGAUACCGAGUAAUCUUGAUCACAAUUGUGUGUCGUGCCCAUUGGUAACUCAAAUGGAAUAACAAUUACAAUCAUGAAAUCAUAACUAACUCAAGAUUAAGAUUACAGUAAAAUCAAUGCCUAUGAGAUUUAAUAAGUCUGACAGUCAUUUCAAGGUUAAUUAAAUCUCAUAUGUGAUCCUGUUCAAUGUAAUCGUACUACAUUAAUAAAUUCAUACAUGAUUAAGACAAAUCAUUCAAUGAAUUCAUUACAGUCUAUACCUAAAUAAAAUGUCCAACUUUAUUUAUCAACUGUGAACUAAAUUUAUUUAAUCAUAAGAUAACUUGUAUUUAUGUCUUCUGUGAAUCCACAUGGUGAUCACGUAAAUACAUAUAAUAUGAUUAAAUGGACUUUAAUCAAAAUAUUAAUGCAAUUAAGAUAUUUGAAUAAAAUACCACAUUUAUUUUAUUAAUCAAAAAAAUUAUUUAUUAUAAUUAAAUAAACACAUAUGCUUUUAAAGAGCAUAUUUUCCCAACAUCUGAACUGUAUGCAAGGCAUAUAUAAUGUACCAUAUAUUUGAUAGUUGGACUAUACUCACAAAGAUUCUCUUACACAAAUUACUUUAUGCAAAUUUAUCAUAAAUUAAUUAAAUUAUUGCAUACUUUGUAAUAUUCUUUUGCUACAUUUUAAAAUUUUUGCAUGUAACAUAUUUAAUCUUGUGUUAUUACUGGUGCUACAGUUAAUGGUAGUUAAAUGAAAAUAAGAAUUACCUUCUACUGCCCCCCUUAUAUUUUAAGGCAUGUCUAAACCCCCCUAAAGUUAUAACAAUGUUAGUUUUAUAUAUCAUUUUACUAUUCUACCCUAGUCUUAAUGUGAACUACAAAAUUUAAAUAUUUUGAAAAUAAAAAUCAAGAAAAAUAACUUAUAUACCUUAAUGAUCAAAUUUUAUUUUAUAAUGAAUUGUAAAUUAUAGAGAAAAAUUAUACAUAGGGAAAUAUCAUAAAUAUCCCUAAUAGUUGUAAAUUAUCCAUUUAAAUUGGAAUAACAUUUGGUUAUAUAUGAUCACUAGAGCACCCACAUAAAUUUGUUUUUUUUUCUUUGUGUGUGUGUGUCAAGUAAUUUUCUCCAUAAUUUAUAAUUUAUUAUUAAAUUUAUUUAAUCAUUAGGGCUAUAUAAGUAUUUAUAUUCUAAAAAAAUUUAAAUUUUAUGACUAACAUUAAUACUAUGUGUAGAAUAGUACAAUAAAUGAUACAUAAAUUGCAGGGGAGUUUGAACCUAUUUUAAAACAUGAGAGGUUUUUAUUUUCUCUAAAAAUAAGGGAUAAUCUUCAUUUUUUCAUAUUGUUAAUAACUAUCAUUAUAAUCAUUAUUACUAGGAUUAAAUUAUAUUCAGCUUAUGAUAUUUUUUUAUGAUAUUAUACAUUUUUAUGAGAUGUGUGUAUAGUCUAUAUGAUACUAAAAGUUUUAAUAAUGUUUAUAUAUAUAGUCUAAUUGAAUGUGUUUUGUUAAAGUGUGUAUAAUCUGAUUUUAUUUUUUAACCCCGCUUGAAAACCACUUAGCCAAGUCAACAAGGGAAAAUUUUAUAAAAAUUAAAUUUUAAUAAUAUAAAGUGUAAUUUUGUUGGGUAUUAUCACAAUAAUUGUUGUUGAGUUGACAUUGUAUUGUACCCUUAACUAAAUUAGCAAUGUAACUAGACAACUAUAAUUUUAGUGUAACACCUAGAAUAANNNNNNNNNNNNNNNNNNNNNNNNNNNNNNNNNNNNNNNNNNNNNNNNNNNNNNNNNNNNNNNNNNNNNNNNNNNNNNNNNNNNNNNNNNNNNNNNNNNNNNNNNNNNNNNNNNNNNNNNNNNNNNNNNNNNNNNNNNNNNNNNNNNNNNNNNNNNNNNNNNNNNNNNNNNNNNNNNNNNNNNNNNNNNNNNNNNNNNNNNNNNNNNNNNNNNNNNNNNNNNNNNNNNNNNNNNNNNNNNNNNNNNNNNNNNNNNNNNNNNNNNNNNNNNNNNNNNNNNNNNNNNNNNNNNNNNNNNNNNNNNNNNNNNNNNNNNNNNNNNNNNNNNNNNNNNNNNNNNNNNNNNNNNNNNNNNNNNNNNNNNNNNNNNNNNNNNNNNNNNNNNNNNNNNNNNNNNNNNNNNNNNNNNNNNNNNNNNNNNNNNNNNNNNNNNNNNNNNNNNNNNNNNNNNNNNNNNNNNNNNNNNNNNNNNNNNNNNNNNNNNNNNNNNNNNNNNNNNNNNNNNNNNNNNNNNNNNNNNNNNNNNNNNNNNNNNNNNNNNNNNNNNNNNNNNNNNNNNNNNNNNNNNNNNNNNNNNNNNNNNNNNNNNNNNNNNNNNNNNNNNNNNNNNNNNNNNNNNNNNNNNNNNNNNNNNNNNNNNNNNNNNNNNNNNNNNNNNNNNNNNNNNNNNNNNNNNNNNNNNNNNNNNNNNNNNNNNNNNNNNNNNNNNNNNNNNNNNNNNNNNNNNNNNNNNNNNNNNNNNNNNNNNNNNNNNNNNNNNNNNNNNNNNNNNNNNNNNNNNNNNNNNNNNNNNNNNNNNNNNNNNNNNNNNNNNNNNNNNNNNNNNNNNNNNNNNNNNNNNNNNNNNNNNNNNNNNNNNNNNNNNNNNNNNNNNNNNNNNNNNNNNNNNNNNNNNNNNNNNNNNNNNNNNNNNNNNNNNNNNNNNNNNNNNNNNNNNNNNNNNNNNNNNNNNNNNNNNNNNNNNNNNNNNNNAUUUUUAAAAUGUAAAUAAUGAUAUUUAUUUUUAAUAAUAUAUUGUAUUAUUUUAAAAUUUUAAAUAAAUCUUUAGGUUAAAUAGAUUUUAUAAUUAAUAAAAUAUAUGUCAUGUAUUUAUAAUAUUAAAAAUACUUUACAAUAUUGAAAAUAAUUUUAAUUUUUAAUUUUUAAUUUUUAAUUUUAAUAUUAUGUUUCUAUUUAUUAAAAAAAUUAGUUUAAUAUAAUAUAAGAUUGUAAAGUAUUAAAAUAUUUUUAAAUAUUGAAAUUAUUUUAAAAUUUAUAUAUUGUUAUAUUUAUUUUAAUAUUAUGUUUCUAUUUAUUAUAAAACAUUAGAGUUGAUUUUUUAAAUUAAUAAAGUCAAAAUGUAUUAUAGUCAAAAGCGGUCUUAGGUGGCGUUUUUUUUUUUACCUGAAAUCUGAAUAGACCCGAAUUAAUCUGAAUUCUGAAUAGAUCUGAAUGUCUGAAUUUGAAUAACAUGUUUGUUUUUUUGUCUGAAUUUCGAAAAAUAAUUAUUAAGUUGUUUUUUUCAACUUAAAAAACUGAAAAUAUGUAUUUUUACAUUUGUAUCCUUAUUAAAUUUGAAUGUCAAAUAAACAAUAUAUUAAAUACCACGAUAUUUUAACAUUUAUAAGUAAAACUAUAUUCAAGUGAAUAUAUAAUGAUUUUAGAAUUUUAAUAUAUAAAAUAUUAUAAAUUUUAAAUUUUAUCGUAUAUAAUAUAAGAAAGAAAAAACUAAUAAGAUGCCUAAAACAGUUGAUUUGCUAUUUCAUUUUGAAGUUGUCGCAUGUAAUUUUGAUCUUCAAUACUUGAGGAGUUGAUAACAAAGUGAGGAGGGAUUCCAUGACGGCUAAAAAAAUAAUGAUGAGAUUAUUAUGUGGGGUAAAUGUCUAUGGGUGAGUUUUGGGAUAUAUAUGAAAAAUAAAUUAUAAAGCAGGGAUAUUUUUGACAUUAGAAAGUAAUUGACUUAAUUCAGAUGUCUCCAUUAAGUAAAAAGCAAAAAAAAUUGGCUUAUUUUAUUAAGUCAAAAUUAUCUAAAAAGUCUCAUUAAGUUAUAAAAAUAAACACCUCUAAUUAACUUAAUUAAUUAAGUUAAGUCACUUUAAGUAAUUAAGUUAAAAAACAAACGCCACCUUAGUGUCUCUUAGUGAAAACUUGGGGAUUUACAUGACCAUUUUUCCAAACCUUGGGAAGUGACCUUUUCAUAAUUUACACUUAAUUGCAUAUAUUAUUAUAUGAUUUAAGCAUGAUAAUUAAAAUUUUAAAGCAUACUAUAUUAAUUUGAGUAAUACUCACUUAUAAAUAGAUAUUAUAUAAUUCGGGUAGUAAUCGCUGUAAAAUAUGAUAUACAAUCAAUUAUUACAAAUUUAUUAUACUAUUAGCAUACAAGAAGAUAAACUAUCACUAAAAUAUAACAAUUAAAAAUAAGGCAAGAUCAAUUAAGCUAUAAAUUACGUAUCCAACUAUAUAAGUAUAUUGUUAAAUAAAUUUAAUUUUUAUGACUUAUAAAAAUGAUUGCAAUUUUGAGCAAUAAAUAAAUAGUUUUAAAAUAGCAGUCAACAUUAUUUUUAAAUUAUAAUGUAGAAUUUACCCAUAAGAGAAAAAAUUCCUUUCAAUACUUAAUUUACGAAGCAAAAUUAAUGUUUUAAUAUAUUUUCUUUUUUUUCUUGAUUGCAUUGAUUUUCUAAUGAGUUUUUUUUAACAAAAUAUUGUUUAAUUUGAAUUGCAUUUACUGUGCUUCAAGAAUUAAUUAAAAAUAAAUAAAUGGCGAGUUAGCUUAAUUGGAUUCAAAGUAAAUACUAAUUUUCAAAUCUUAAAAUUUCAAUAUAAAAUUAAAUUUCACUAUUCCUAGGAUAAUCACAUAAUAAAUAAAUAAUUUAUAUUAACAAAAACAUUUGAAAAAUAAAAAUUUGAGCAGUACAAAUUGCAUAUGCAAUUGUUAAAAAUGAAAAUUUGGUUGAAGUGAUGAGAAAUCAAAGAAUUUAUGUUGGAAAGAAAAUGAGUACAAUUAAUUUGAAAUAAGAAAAUAGGCAUAUCUAUAAUGAUCAAAAGCUCAAGUAUACAUAAGUUGAGUUUAAGAUAUUUCGUGAAAUCAAGAAGAUCAAAAAGAGAAAAAAAAAAUGUUCCAACAGAAAUAGGGUUACAAUAAUGAAUUUUUAAUAAAUUGUAGUAAGUUGAUAUUUAUUGAAACAAGAGGAGUAAAAUGAAGUUCACCUUAAUAAUAUUAUUUGUUUUUUUUUUGUAAUAAAGGUUUACUUUGAAUUUUAUAAUAUCAACUUGGAAAUUAACUUAUAAUUUUAAAACUUAACGUAAGUACUGGGGAACUUAAAACAUAAAAGUAGUGAACUAAUUAAUUGAAAUAUUUGAACCAAUAAGUGAGAAAGUUUAACCAAAAUAUACGACUAAUCUAAACAAAUAUAAAAUCUAAAAAGUACAAUUGGUAUUUAACCUCAUUUAUUAAAAUCUCACAUAAAUAAUAAGAAUAUUCAAGACAAAACUAGUGAAAUUAUUAGUUGAAACUCAUGUAAUAAUAAGGGAGAAAGUUUAACCCAAAGUAGGGACUCGAGAAAUGAAAUUUACUUGUAAUUUAACCUAAAAUAUUGGUACUUAAUGAAUUUAGUAGGGAUAUUAAAUAUAAAACUCAUGGAUUGAAAAUUUGAAACAUAUAAACCCAUAAUUGAGAAAGACUAACCAAAAUUAGAGACUAAUCCAACCAAAAAUAAAAUCUUAUAAGCAAAUUUAGUUGAAAUGCAUGAACCUGUAUGAGAGAAAAUUUAACUAAAAUCAGGAAAAUUAUCCAACGAGAAAUAAAAUAUAUUUGGGAAUUUAACCCAAAAUAUUAGUAUUUAAAGAUUUUAGUAGGAACACGGAACACUAAACACAAAACAUGAAUUGAAAAGUUGAAACAUAUAAACCUAUACUUGCGAAAGAUUAACCAAAAUUAGGAACCAAUCCAAUCAAAAAUUGAAUUUUACAAAGUAAAAUUGGUAUCCAACCCAAAUUAUUGGAAUCUUAUCUAGAUAGUGGGAAUAUUUAAUACAAAAUCACUGAAACUAUUAGUUGAAAUACAUGAACUUAUAAUGUAGAAAACCAAAAUCAGGAACUAAUUUGAUGAGAAAUGAAAUUUACUUGGAAUUUAACUCAAAAUAUUGAUUUUUAAUGAUUUAAGUUGGAACAAUAAGCACAAAACUAAUGGACUGAAAAGUUGACAUAUAUUAGCCUAUAAUUUAGAAAGUUUAACCAAAAUUUGAUACAAAUCCAACAAAAACUUAAAUGCUACAAAGUAAUUUGUUAUUUAACCUAUAUAGUUAAAAUCUUACCUAGAUAAUGGGAACAAUCAACACAAAACUAGUGAAAUUAUUAGUUGAAACUUGUGUACCAAUAAAAAAGUUUAACCACAAUUAGGAACUCGUCCUACGAGAAUUGAAAUUUACUUGUAAUUUAACCCAAAAUAUUAGUAUGUAACAAAUUUAGUAGGAAUAUUAAGCACAAAAUUAGUGGAUUGAAAAGUUGAAAUAAAUGAACCAAUAAAUGAGAAAGACUAACCAAAAUUAGGGACAUGUGAUAAGUGCAUAUUUUUCAUAUAUUUUGCUAUUAAUUUCUCUAUCUUUUUCUUGUUUUGGUCUUAAAUAUUCUAGUUAUUUUAGUUAAUUUUUAAUUUAGUAAAUUAUAUUUUAUUAUGUUAAUUUUAUGUUAAUUUUUAUAAUUUGUUAUUUUAGGUGCAUUUUGGGAAUAAUUUGUGCUUAAAGGGAUCAAAGCUAGAGAGAGUUGAAGAUUGUUAAUGCUCGCUGCCGUGGUGAUAAAGUCGAAAGGAGAAGAAGAAACAAUUAAAUUGAUUGGCUGAAUUAUUAGCUAAAGGACAUGAGAAAUAUUAGCCAAAUUAAAGAGUGCACGUGAGGGAAGCCAAAGCAAAUUAAAAGGCUUAACCUUUGGCUUAAGAGUUGGAAAAGUCGGUGGGGCCCAUUUGAAGACUAAAUAUAAAAGCCAAACUUUGGUUUUAGAAAGUGGCGGCUUUACUUUUGUUUUUAAUCCUUUUCGUGAGAGGAUUUAGAGCAUUAUAAAAGGAGAGCUGCCAGAGAGCAAAAGAGGAGAAUCGGGAGAAGAGAAGAGCAGCAGUUGCAGGUUUGGAGCAAAACUGAUCCAAUUCAGCAAGAAGAAGAAUUCGGGUAGCAAGAGAAAAAUCAACAGCUGGAAUUAAAUUGAAGAAAAAGGCAGCCGCUUAAAUUAAUCUCCAUGAUUGGUUUUGUCAAUUCUCUUAUUCCUAAUUUAAUUAUGUUAGGCUAAAUUUUUAUUUGGUUGAGGGUGAAUUCAAAACCCUAAACAUGCUAUGCAAUUAAAUUUAAAUUCUAUCAUUUAAUUUAUUUAAUUGAGAUUGUUUAUGUUCUUCUAUAAUUAAUGUUCAUGGUUUAUUCUUGUUUUAUUUGAGUGGCCAAUUAGAUAGGACUUGAAUAAAUAUUAUUGCUAGAUUAAAAUUCUUGAUCCGUAAUUGUCUUGAUAUUUUAAUCAUUAGUAGCAGGUUGGAAUUAAUGAUUUCAAUUGGAGAACAUAACCUAGGUUAAAUAAUCCGAGCUUGUGUGUUUAUUGCCUAGAUCAACCUAAUAUCUUUCUUUGUUUAAUGCUUCCAUUAUCUUAAAUUUAAAGAGCUUAUUUUAAAUUAUUUAAUGGUUAGAGAUUAGGUGAAAAGCUUGUUUUACCUAACGACACACUAAGGAAAGAUUGAGACUAACAGAGCUUAUUGUUGUCUACGGUUGAUAGUUUCAAUAUAAAUUGAUGAUAGAAUUAAUAUAUUAUGUGCAUGUUUGGUGGUGGCGAAUGAUCCUUUAACCAAAGUUUUCAUCAUUAUUAUUUCUUUCUCCUUUAAUUAGAGUUUUUAUUAAAUUCUUGUUCGUAAUUUUAAUUUCUUUAUUUCUUACUAUUUAGUUAAAAAUUCAUAAAUCCCCCUUUUAUUUUUAAUUGGCAUUUUCUUUAGUUAGAUUAAUUUAUAUUAUUAUUACUAUUACUAUUAUUACUAUUAUUACUAUUAUUUUAUUUUAAAUCUUGCUUUGGAGUUAAUAAUAAAUAUAACUAGCAUAGUCUCUGUGGGAUCGAUCCUUACUCGCUCUGUACUAAUUAUUUAUAUUAGUGGUAAGGUUUUAAAUUUGGUGCACCUUAACGACACUACCAACAUGCAAAAUAAACUUGAAACAUCUACCUAUUAAAUUGAUAUUUUAGCCAAAAGAAUUGGAAUAUAAUUAUUUUAUAAUUUUUUAACAUUUAUUNNNNNNNNNNNNNNNNNNNNNNNNNNNNNNNNNNNNNNNNNNNNNNNNNNNNNNNNNNNNNNNNNNNNNNNNNNNNNNNNNNNNNNNNNNNNNNNNNNNNAAAAGGGUGGUUCCUAAAUUUAAUGAAAUCCAUUAAAAAUUCAAUAUCAAUAAUAAAAGUUUAGUUGGUGUGUAUUAUUGUGUUUUAAUAUGGUCGGUGAGAUUGAAAUAACUCCCCAUCUUCCAUCAUGUCCAUAACUAAAACCUGAGCCGCUGCCCAUUUCUCUCCACUCUAACAAGUGGGUACUUUAAUUAUUAUUAUUGAGUAGUCUUGCAAAAUUGAGUGAUAAAAUUUGUUUAUCAUGAUUAAAAUAAACUCAUUAUUUAGAUAGAAAAUAAAACUUAAAACAUUUUUUUAGUAAGAUAAAACAACACAACCUCAAUCAAAUACAAAUUUUAUAAUUAACACUCACCUCUAUAUAAAAUUAUGGUAGAAUUUACUUUUUGAAUUGGAAUGGAAAUCUUGAAGUGUGAGAAUUCUGAGAUUGAGAAUGUAGAGUGAGUGUAGGAGUAAAUUAUUUACUUACACUAAAAUGAGAGUAUGAAAUAAGAAUCAUAAUUAUAUUUAUAUGUUUAUUUUAUCUUAAAUUAGGAGUGAAUUGCCAAUGGACUUUUGGCCCAGCGAUGAAUCUCUACUCUCACAGUUAAGAAGGAUUGUGAGGGUAAGGGUUCGAGUUAUGUAUAUCUGAUUGUAAAUAUCAGUGUAAUAUCUGCUAUACUAGCAGUUGUAAAUAUCUGUAUAAUACAGUAAUAUGAUUUGUAAUCAGUAUUAAAAAAAAUUAGGAGUGAAUUGUUUUAAAUUAUAGUUUUACUUUUAUUUAAAGAAUUGUGGUUUUUAGUUACAAAGUAAAUAAAAAUAUAUAUUUGUAAAGGUAAACUAUUCAUUUUAUUAUUAAUUUUAAUAAUAUAAAUUGAUAAUAGUUAUUACUAUUCUUAAUUAUGUAAAUCAUAUUUUUUUAAUAAUUUUAAUUUUAAUUAUGUAAAUUAAAAAUUAUUAAUAAGGAAAACACAAAUAAAACAUUAUUACUAAUAGUAUAGUACAAAAUUAAUAUUUUUCUUAGAAUAAAUUAUUUAUUAUUAAUAAAUAAAUAAAUAUAAUACUAUUAAAAUCAAAUAAAUAUAAUAAUAUUACAUUUAAAUAAGUUUAAUAUUAUUUUUUUAUAAACGUAAUAUUAUUUAUAAUAAUAUUAUUUAAAUAUAAUAUUUUAUUUUAAAAUAAAUUUAAUAUUAUUUUAUUUUAAUAAAUAUAAUUAUAUUAUAUUCAAUAAGAGAUGGGUAAAGAAAAGAGGUGAGCGCGGAGUGGGCGGAAAUCCUGCUCUCUUUAAAAAUGAGUGGCUAGGAGAGUCAGACUUUCACUUCUCUCGUUAAAUGACUGAAGACUGGAACGGGUCCACACUUCCACUCGAAUAACUAAUCACCACCAAUGUCAAUUUGUAUUCAUGUCUCUGACGGAGUUGUUAACUAAUAUAAUAAUAUUAUAUAUCUUCAUUAUCUGAUGACUGGUUUGUAUUGUUUCACGUGUUAACCAUGACCAUAAAGGUCAAAGUAAAGAAAAAUACAGCUGGCAAGAUUUGUCGAGAAGGGAGACCAUACCAAUACGCAGUAAAAAAUAUCUCCCGUGAGAUCUGUGGAGAAGAGAAGAAGGCUAGUUAAAACUACCAAGAGAAAAAUGCUAGGGAAUACAAGAAGUUCAGAUAAUCCCAAACUGCCUUUGUUAGGAAGCAGUGAUGAUGAUAUUAGUAACAGUCAUGGAGAAGAAGAAGAAAGGAGGUGGUGGCGGAAAUGGAGGAAGGUUUUGGACGUGGAAGAGGCCAAGGAUCAAGUCUUGUUUUCGCUACCAAUGAUUCUGACAAAUGUUUCUUACUAUGCGAUCCCUUUGGUCUCUGUCAUGUUUGCUGGUCACCUUGGUGAGCUUCAGCUCGCCGGUGCAACUCUUGCCAACUCUUGGGCCUAUGUCACUGGAUUUGCUUUCACUGUAAGCACUACCCAAAUCACUUUUCUUCAUCUUUUAAGUUUCCAAGUUUUGAGAAAGCUAUAGCUUAUAGUAUAUUAUUGUGAUUAGUAUAUUGGAUAAGAAAUAAUAAGCAUAUAACAUAUUAUUGUGAUUAAUUAUUCUCCUUUGUUGAUUCAUGUUUUUCAUUCUCUGUUGUCCUAACAGCAAGGACUAAGUGGAGCACUUGAAACACUCUGUGGUCAAGGAUUUGGUGCAAAGCAGUACAGGAUGUUGGGCAUAUAUAUGCAAACAUCUUGUAUCAUAUCUUGCUUCUUCUCAAUUAUCAUAUCUUUCCUGUGGUUCUACACAGAACCUAUACUUAUUUUACUUCAUCAAGAUCCGAAUAUUUCAGAACAAGCAGGUCUCUAUAUGAAGUAUCUCAUUCCGGGACUAUUUGCAUUCGGGUUUUUACAAAACUUUCUGAGGUUUCUUCAGACACAAUCCAUUGUCAUGCCAUUGGUCUUCUGCUCAGCUCUCCCCUUUGCAAUCCAUUUUGGCAUUGCAUAUUCUUUAGUUCAUUGGACAUCCCUUGGUUUCGGUGGAGCUCCUCUAGCAUGUUCAAUUUCGUUGUGGAUCUCGACACUUUCGCUUGCAAUUUAUAUCCUUUGUUCAAAGAAAACUGAGCGUACAUGGGAAGGAUUUUCUUUUGAAUCAUUCAGUGUCUUACUCACCAACUUGAAAGUAGCCAUGCCAUCUGCUGCAAUGGUAUGGUGAGUGUCAUUAUUUUUCUUGAUCCAAAGUACAGCUUCAUUAUGCUAAAAAGAAAAAAAAUAUAAUCAUUGAUGUCCUACAAUGUUUGUAUCAAAGAAUGUGAUAUGAAUGCAGCUUAUUUUGAUGUAAUUAGGAAUUGACAGGAAAUUUAAAACUUUGUACUUCGAAAAAUGUUCUUUGUGAUAGUCCUGCAAUGAAUAUUCUGGACUUAGAAAGCUUCCAUUCUCUAUUAUAUAUACAAGCGAUAUAGGAUAAAACAGUUGCCUGAGAAAUAGCUAUUACAUUAAUUUGCAGGGUUAAAAUCUGGCGGACUGAUUAUUUGAAGCAAUGGGGGUAUGAAUUAAUGGAAUUCAUUAUAAUACCAUGAUCUUGUUAACAUAUAUCAUUUGAACAUUUUUCAGCUUGGAGUUCUGGUCUUUUGAGAUCCUUGUGUUCUUAGCUGGAUUGAUGCCAAACUCAGAACUCUCUACGUCAUUGAUCGCAAUGUGGUAAGCUUAACACUUUAACCAUUAUUAGUUUUUUCUGUAUUAAUUUCUUUUGAUGCUAUUUAUCCUAAGAGUACUGAUGAUAUCUUGACUUGAUGUCUUUAAUGGUAUAUUUCUCUACUUGGUUUUGUGAUCUUCAGUGUGAAUACACAAGCCAUUUGCUACAACUUUAGUUAUGGUCUCAGUGCUGCUGCAAGGUUAGCAGCCUAUACAACUCCUAGUCCAAGUUCCGUAGUUUCUACAUUUUUUGUGUUCAAAAAUUGAAAAACUCAUGCUUUGUGACAGCACUAGGGUGUCAAAUGAAUUGGGGGCAGGAACGAUCGAUCGAGCUAAGAAUGCCAUGGCGGUGACUCUCAAGCUUGUUGUCCUCCUUGCUCUUAUCAUUGAUUUGGCUCUAGCUUUUGGCCAUAACAUUUGGGCUAGCUUCUUCACCGACAGCCGAGAAAUAGUUCAGGAAUUUGCUUCAAUGACACCCUUUAUGGUGAUCUCAAUAAUAUUUGAUGCUAUGCAGGCCAUCUUAUCAGGUUUGUCGCGUAAUUUUUCCAAAGAGACUCUUAUAUAUAUGUAUGAGCUUUGAUUUGUGACACAAGUAGGCUAAUAUUGCAGGAGUGGCAAGAGGAUGCGGUUGGGCAACAUUUGGCUGUGUGGGUUAAUUUGCACAUUCUAUUUCAUGAUGCCACUUGCGUUACUUUUGNNNNNNNNNNNNNNNNNNNNNNNNNNNNNNNNNNNNNNNNNNNNNNNNNNNNNNNNNNNNNNNNNNNNNNNNNNNNNNNNNNNNNNNNNNNNNNNNNNNNNNNNNNNNNNNNNNNNNNNNNNNNNNNNNNNNNNNNNNNNNNNNNNNNNNNNNNNNNNNNNNNNNNNNNNNNNNNNNNNNNNNNNNNNNNNNNNNNNNNNNNNNNNNNNNNNNNNNNNNNNNNNNNNNNNNNNNNNNNNNNNNNNNNNNNNNNNNNNNNNNNNNNNNNNNNNNNNNNNNNNNNNNNNNNNNNNNNNNNNNNNNNNNNNNNNNNNNNNNNNNNNNNNNNNNNNNNNNNNNNNNNNNNNNNNNNNNNNNNNNNNNNNNNNNNNNNNNNNNNNNNNNNNNNNNNNNNNNNNNNNNNNNNNNNNNNNNNNNNNNNNNNNNNNNNNNNNNNNNNNNNNNNNNNNNNNNNNNNNNNNNNNNNNNNNNNNNNNNNNNNNNNNNNNNNNNNNNNNNNNNNNNNNNNNNNNNNNNNNNNNNNNNNNNNNNNNNNNNNNNNNNNNNNNCUGUGGCCUCGCAUCCCAAGCCUGCUCCCUCUUUCUGAUUACGUUGCGAAGAAAGUGGACUAAAAUGGACGUAGCAAUGAGCAGUGAAAUAGACGGGCCAUGUCCAAUUUAAGCUUAUUGUUGUAUUUUGGGAUUAGGAAGGUUGUGCAUUUUGUUCAAUCCAUGAACUUUUUUUUUUGAACUUCAUGCUGGAAAGGAUUGGAAUACCACGCCACUAUAAUAAAUAAUAGAGGAAAAACUGCACUCUAUGUGUUCCCUAUAAAUUCACACUUUUUGUUCCCUCUUCCAUAAUCCUAAAUUCUCAACAACAUUUUUAUUUCUCAACUGCUCAUUACUGUUUGCUCAUACACUGGGAUUCAAACUCUUACUUAGGAGAGAGUCAUAACUAUUGGUAAAUCUUACUUUCUCCCCGCUUUAUUAGAUUUUUAUCUUUAUGUUCUAUUAAGAAUUUUAUUUUGCAUGAUUUUAUAAAAUUAUAAACCUUUAUGCAUGAUUUAGGAUGUGUUCUAUUAAGAGUUUUCAUUCCCACCUCACUGAACUUAUUAGAGAAUGGGGGUUAAAUUCUAAUGGGGUGUGUAUUUUAGGUGGUGUCCCUACCCCCGCAAUCUCAUCUUAGCCCAUUGUCUUCUCUAAUUCCGUAAAAAACCACAAUUCUACAAUCUCACCUUGUCAUCCUUAGUUCUGUGUAGAACCACAAGAAAGAUAUGACAAUUGAGAGAAUGAGCAUAAUAAGAUGCAAAAUAUUUGCAGAUUUAUUCCCAACAUCCUGUAUGGAUUUGCACCAAAUCCUUCACCACGUAGUGUUUCAAAGUGCUCCACUUAAUACGUGAUGGGAUAAGAACAGAGAAUGGAAGAAACUAUAAACUUCUCAAAACCAGUAAUCUUAACCAAAAUCAAGAAAUUAAUACGAUUUGAGUGCUGACAGUGACCAGUUGCAUUGAUAUUUCACAUUUUACAAAACAAUUUCAAAUACCAACUUCAAUUUUUUGAGAUUUCAUCCUCACGCCCGCAGCCUCAUCUCCUCAAUGCCCAUCUCGAUUGACUAUGCAUCAAUUAAAAUUUAGUUUUCGUUAGGAAAGGCUUAUAGCCCCCCUAUUUAACAUCUUCAUCACGUGCUAAGUCUGUUGGUUCUGCUAAUAUAUAUAAGUUGAGCCAGUAAUUACUCAGAGUCAAAAUUAAUAUAAAAAAAGAUAUAUCCCUAAUAAAUUUUGCCUAUUAUCCUUUAAGCUCCUUAUUCUUCCUGCCAAAAACCGAGAAGGCUAUUCAAAGUUCAAUAUUUAAUUAAUUAGACUUUUUGACAAUUAAAAAAUUUGACACAGAUUGCAAAACAAAACUGAACAAUCUCAUUGAUAAGUACGAUGACCCAAAGAAAGAAAAACAAGUCGUAGUCACAGUUACUAAAAACACUAUAUAUAGAAUUUAUAAACUCCCAUCACAACAAAAAAACAAUUAAUAUAAAAGAUCUCAAGUAAAUUAUAUAUUCAUCUAUCAAUAGAAAGCCGCCUUCUCACCUCUUUAUUUAAUAGGGGCUAGACCGGAAUAUUAAACAUAAUUUAAACUAUAUUUUAAAAAAUAUUAAUAACUCUCGUUAUCUUAUUCAAACCAUAAAAUCAAUGUAAUCACCAAAUAAUUUUAAUUUAGUAUUAUGGGUGAUUGGGUGUUGAUUUUCUUGUACGAGACAUCUUGUUUUCACAUAAGAGAUUUUAUCAUUUCAACUAAAUGCCAUCCACAAAUUAAUUUGUAAGGUUCAAAUCACACAAAUAGAUAAUUUUCUGAAUUAGUUCAUAUAUUUUUAAAAAUAUAAUAAAUACCAUUUUUAUUUCACAGUUGAUGAAUUUAACUUUUCAACUAUAAAAUAAUAUUUCUCCAUUUUUGUUUUGUAAGCAUUCAUUUUCAUUUUUCAAUUCUCAAACAGCAAAUAAACCCUAAUUUGAAUUAACUUUAAUCCCUAAGAUCAUUGAAUAUCAUAAUUUUCACAUCAUCAUAAUUUAGAGAAAACAUAUCUCUAUCCAUAGCAAUUUUUCUUGAUCAAAUCUCACUGCCAAGAGUUAAAGAUUGGCAAAAUUGAUUUCUCUCUCUUGACCUCUUUAGAGUGACUUACUUUUUGAUGGAGAAAAAAUUAACGUGAUAUCCUUUUUAUAUAUUGGGUGGAGAGAUGACCAAUUUUAAUAAAACUCCAAUUUCUACUUUCCAUCAAAGCGGGCAGUUAGUUUUUCCCAAUUGACCAAUAGGAUUUCAGCCCAUAGUUUAUUUUAUUAUUACUAAUUUAAUAAUGUGGCAUGUGGGUGACUAUAAAAUAUUCCAACAAUGUUUGUUUUUCUUUUUUCAAUAUGAAUAUAAUUGUUAUGUUGUUUUUUUCCCCUCAAAACAAAACAUGUUAAAUAUGAUAUUUUGAGUUUUGAGAUAUGUACCUUAUAAAUAUUACAAGUACUUAUAUUUAUUUGUUAAACACUUAACAAGUUACAGAUAAAUCAUUUUAUUAAUAAAAAAAUUUGAUAAUAUGUACCUUAGCAAAACAUGAAAAAAAAAUGCAUCUAACCAAGUAUUUUUUAACACUAAUAUACAAUACUCAUAAUGUUAUUGUGAGGUUUGCUGGUGAAUCAAACUCAUCAGCACUAAAACGGUGGCGUUUUGGCAAAUAUAAGAGCACUUAUAACUCACGGGAAAAGCAUGUGUGUGGUCACUUAUGUUUAGAGCGUGAAACGGCAGUUCAAUUGUGUUGUUUAAAGAGAAGGCUUUUAAGUGAUGCACGUGACAGCCGUGUGAAGUAACUUGAUUCAGUUCAUUAAGUUUGUUAUGCUACGUGUAAUCAGGUUGUUCGAUAUGGGUUUAGCUAGGUGGUUGCUCUGUUAGCUUUAAGAACAGACAGAUGUAACAGUUGAGCGUUUAGCGUGUGUAACCAUGUUAAGAGAGAGAGAGAUCAAGAUCAAGGGAUGUGUGAUAAGAGUUCUCUGAUAUCUUGUAAACAAUCUCUGUAAAUUGGGAUCCUCCAUUGUUGAGUAAUAAGAACUCUGCAUAAAGCUUCUCCCGUGGAUGUAGGUUGUGCCAUUUGAUGCAACCGAACCACGUAAUUGAUUCUUGUUUUGUCCAUGUUUGUUUCUUUUCUUUUUUGCUCUCUUAGUUCUUGUGUUACGUUGGUUCUUUUCUGGAUUCAUUCUUCAAUUCGCGUAUCUUGGGUAGUUCUUUAUCAAAGGUCCUGGGAAGUGAUUUUCUCUUGCAUAUUAAAAGAGCAAAUUCAGUCACUAAAAUUGGUAUCAGAGCUUGGUAUCUUUUGAUCAAGACCAAGAAUGGCCACACCGAAGAUAGAUCUAGAAAAGUUUAAUGGCAAGAAUGACUUUAACAUGUGGAAAAUUAAGAUAGAAGCCUUGCUUAUCACUUAAGGUUUGGGAGAUGCAAUCGAACCUAUUUCCAAGAAGGAUGGAAAAGAAGUCUCAUCUUCGAAGACUCUAGAGGAAGCAGCAGAAAUAGACAAGAAGGCCAAGAGUAUUAUAAUCCUCAGUCUUGGAGAUGCUGUUAUCAGAGAGGUGGCUAAAGAGAAGACAAUUGCUGGAUUAUGGGCUAAAUUAGAAAGUAUUUACAUGACCAAGUCACUGGAAAAUCGUCUCUACAUCAAAAAGUUCACUCUAAAAAUGAUGGAAGGGUCAUCAUUGGAUCAUCAUAUAGAUGAAUUUAAUAAGGUUUGUGAUACUUUAGAAUCUAUUUGAUGAGGGUUUGAAUAAUGAAAGUAAAGCACUUCUUUUAAUAAGCUCCUUACCAAAAUCAUAUAAGCAUUUUUUAGAUGCGUUGAUGUAUGGAAGGCAAACUUUGACUCUUGAUGAAGUUAAGGCUGCCUUUAACACUAGAGAGUUACAAGGAAACAAGAUGCUGUAGAGAUUGGUGUUGGUGAAGGUUUGGCAGCAAGGGACAAAUUUGAUAAAAAAAGAUGAAAAGAAAAAGAAACAAGGGAAGUAGAAGAACAAACAUAAAGGCUGGAAAUGUUUUCAGUUUUACAAAGAAGGGCAUCUUAAAAAAGAUUGCCUUGAAAGGAAGUUUAAGCAAGAAGACUUGAAGAAUUAUAGUGGAAAUGCAACCAUAGUGGAAGAGGAAGGAUAUGAGUUAGCAGCUGUGCGUGUAGCAACUGAUUGCAGCUAAAAAGGUAGAUGGAUCUUGGACUCUGGAUACACUUUUCAUAUGAGCCAUUUUAAGGAUUACUUUACUGAAUACCAUGAAUUUGAUGGAGGUAGGGUAAUGAUGGGGAAUAAUGCCAUGUGUGGAGUCAUUGGUAUCGGUUCUGUUAAGCUUAGGUUACAAGAUAGAACUCUGUUGAUGAUUAAACAGGUAAGGCAUGUGCCUGACCUUAAAAGGAACCUUAUCUCCUUGGGAAAGUUUGAUCAAAUGGGGUAUAACAUAAGGCUUCAAUAUGGUGAUCUAAGGGUAAUAAAUGGCUCUAAAACUGUCUUAAAAAGAAUAGGAAGAAUGAAGUGUAUGUCCUAGAUAGUAAGGUUAUAGCUGGUGAAUCAGGUUCUCUCUGGAAGUAUCAAAACUGAUAACACCAGGUCUAUGGCACCUUCAGGCUCGGUUUAUAUCUAGUGAGAAGAGGUCUAAAAGGAGUCAGAGAAGCAAGGUCGUAUCAAGUCAAAGAAAAAAUCAGAAAUCUAGGUCUCUUCAGUCGAAGACUAGUGUCGUCUCGACAAAUCUUCAAGAGCAGCUUUAAGAGAUCAAACAAGAAGUCAAAAAAUUUCCUAGACUAUAUACACUCAGACCUUUGGGGAUAAGCUUAGGAGUUAUCUCUGGGGGGGAACAAAUACUUUGUAUAUUUCAUUGAUGAUUUUUCAAAAAAGGUCUGGACUUAUGCUCUGAAACAUAAGUAUCAGGUGUUUGAAAAUUUUAAAGAAUGGAAGAGCCUGGUUGAGAAUCAAACUAGUAAGAAAGUUAAGAAACUGAGGACAGAUAAUGGGUUGGAAUUUUACAAUCAACAGUUUGAGAGUUAUUGUGCAAAUGAGGGCAUAAUAAGGCACAUGAGAGUAAAGUUUAUGCCCCAACAAAAUGAGUUAGCAGAGAGGAUGAAUAGGACACUUAUGGAGAAAGUAUGAUGCAUGCUUAUUCAGUCCAAGCUUCCUAAGUCCUUGUGGGCAAAUGUACUGAUGACAGUCAGUUAUUUAGUAAAUCUCAGUCCCUCUUCAGUACUGGACUUUAAGACACUUUUUGAAAUGUGGCAUGGUAAACCAGCAAGCUAUGAAGGCAUAAGAGCAAUUGGUUGUUCAGCCUAUGCUCAUGUAAGACAGGGAAAGCUUGCACCAAGGGCAUUGAAAGGAGUUUUUGUGGGGUAUCUAGAAGGGGUGAAGGGUUACAAGAUCCAGUGCACUGAUUUGAAUCCCCCAAAGUGUAUAAUCAGCAGGGAUGUAAUCUUCAAUGAAUAUGAGUUGGUAAACAAAACUCAACUAGUUGAAGUUACUAACCCAAACCCAAAGCCUCUUGAGAUGUUGGAAUUUGAGGUGGAGCAACUUGAUCAGAGGAACACAGAAGAAGCAACAAGUUUUGAAGAUGUUGAAGGUGAUUCAGGUAAAGCACAAGCACCUCAGCAACAUGUGGAGACAGAAUUAAAUCCUCAGGAAUCAGAUUAUCAACUUACCAGAGACAAAAAGAAAAGGCAAAUCAAACUAACAAAAAGGUUUGGUUAUGCAGACCUAAUUGCCUUUGCUCCAGUUGCAGCAGAUGAAGAACCAAAGACCUUUAAAGAGGCAUUACAGAGCUCAAAUAAAAAGGAAUGGUUGGCAGCAAUGGAUGAUGAAAUUGCUUUUUUAAACAAAAAUAAAACUUGGGAAUUUGUUAAGAAGCCAGUGAACAGAAGAGUGGUUGGAUGCAAAUGGAUCUACAAGGUUAAGGAAUGUUUAACUCAGGUAGAACCAAGGAGGUUUAAAGUAAGACUUGUAGCAAAUGGGUAUACUUAGAGGGAAGAAGUUGACUUUAAGGAGGUAUUCUCUCCAGUGGUUAGACAUGCUUCAAUAAGGGUGAUCUUAGCCUUAACAGCAGUUGAAGACAUAGAGCUUGAUCAACUCGAUGUCAAGACUAUAUUCUUGCAUGGGAGGCUACAAGAAAAGAUAUUCAUGAGUCAACCUGAAGAAGACCUUAAGAAAAUGGAUUGUGUUUGCUUGUUAAAGAAAUCACUCUAUAGGCUGAAGCAAUCCCUUAGGCAAUGGUACCUCAGGUUUUAUGAGUUCAUGGUAUUUAAUGGGUUUAUAAGGUGCAACUAUGAUUGUUGUGUUUAUUUCAAAAUGAUAAAUGGAAGUGUAUAUGUGUAUCUACUGUUAUAUAUAGAUGACAUAUUACUGGCAAGCAAGGAUAGACGAGUAAUUGAAGAAUUAAAAUUGCUACUUAACUCAGAAUUUGAAAUGAAUGAUCUGAGGCAGGCUAAGAAAAUUCUAGGAGUAGAAAUCAGAAAGAACAUGAAGAGUGGAUUGCUAUAUCUAUCACAAGAAAGUUACUUGAAGAAGGUGCUGACAACUUAUGGAAUGACUGAUUCAAAACCUGUUCAGACACCUUUGGCUUCCCAUUUCAAACUCAGCAGCUCUCAGUGUCCAUCUACUGAAGAAGAAAAAUAAGAGAUGGUGUCAAUCCCCUAUGCAAAUGCAGUAGGGUGCUUGAUGUAUACCAUAGUCUUAACUAGACUUGACAUAGCACAUGCUGUCAGUACGGUAAAUACGUAUAUGGCCUCACCUGGAAGGGAACAUUGGAAGGUUGUGAAGUGGGUGAUGAGGUACCUUAAUAGAACCUUGAAGAAUGAAAUGGUGUAUGGAAGAGACAGGGGAAAGGAAGAUGGCUUGUUGGGUUAUGUGGAUUCAGAUUAUGCUGGAGAUCUAGACAGAAGAAGGUCACUGACUGGAUAUGUGUUUAUGCUGAAUAGAUGUGUGGUUAACUGGAAAUCUACAUUACAACAUGUGGUGGCACUCUCUACUACAGAAGCUGAAUAUACAGCUGCAAUAGAAGAUGUUAAAGAAACCUUAUGGAUUAUAGGGUUAAUAUAUGAGUUGGGAAAAAUGCAGAGAACAAUUUCAAUUUUCUGUGACAGUUCCAGUGCUAUUCAUCUUUGCAAAAAUCCAGCACAUCAUGAAAAAACAAAACAUAUAGACAUCAAGCUACAUUUCAUAAGGCAUGAAAUCUCAAAGGGUGAUGUCAAAAUGGUCAAAAGCCAUACUAAUGAAAACCCUGCAGAUAUACUUACAAAGACUGUUCCUGUAGCUAAGUUUGAGCUAAGCUUGGACUUAGUUGAAUUAGGUGUUGUCUAACAAUACUUAAUGUUGGAGAAGGAGCAUGCAAAUGAGUAUUGAUUCAAGGUGGAGAAUUGUGAGGUUUGUUGGUGAAUCAAACUCAUCAGCUCUAAAACGGUGGCGUUUUGGCAAAUAUAAGAGCACUUAAAACUCACGGGAAAAGCACGUGUGUGGUCACUUAUGUUUAGAGCGUGAAAUGACAGUUCAAUUGUAUUGUUUAAAGAAAAGGCUUUUAAGUGAUGCACGUGACAGCCGUGUGAAGCAACUUGAUUCAGUUCGUUAAGUUUGCUAUGCUACGUGUAAUCAGGCUGUUCGUUUUGGGUUUAGCUGGGUGGUUGCUCUGUUAGCUUUAAGAACAGACUGGUGUAACAAUUGAGCGUUUAGCGUGUGUAACCGUAUUAAGAGAGAGAGAGAGAGAGAGAUCAGGGGAUGUGUGAUAAGAGUUCUCUGAUAUCUUAUAAACAAUCUCUGUAAAUUGGGGUCCUCCAUUGUUAAGUAAUUAAAACUUUGCAGAAAGCUUCUCCCAUGGAUGUAGGUUGUGCCAUUUGGUGCAACUGAACCACAUAAUUAAUUCUUGUGUUGUCUGUGUUUGUUUUUUUUCUUUGUUGUUCUCUUAGUUCUUGUGUUACGUUGGUUCUUUUCUGGAUUCAUUCUUCAAUUCGUGUAUGUUGGGUAGUUCUUUAUCAAAAGUCCUGGGAAGUGAUUUUGUCUUGCAUAUUAAAAGAGCAAAUUCAAUCACUACAGUUAUUUUAGUAUAUUAUAUGUGUUUUCUUACUAAUUACAUAUGCCAAAUAAGAAUUGUUUAAUAUUUUAAUUAAUAUAUUCAGAAUCUAUUCUAAAACUAGUAAUUAUAAAUACAGAGAGUUGGAUUUAUUAUAAAAUACACUCACCUAAAGUAAUAUUAUAUUUAAAACUCUUGUUCACGUUUAAAAAAAAAUUGAUAGUUGAAUAUGCACUAAGCAAAGAAAAAGAAAGCUGAUAAAUAAAAGAAAAUAAUACAAGGAUUAUUUAUAUAAUAGAAAAUUAAUUUAUUUAAUAGAGGUAUUAAUAAAAAAAUUAAAUUCUAUUUAGAUGUUUUACCAUUGAAUUAAAAAUAGGAUUAUUUAACUUUUUUCAUCAGAACAUUUUAUAAUCAUACAUAAGUUAUAAAAAAAAAACAAACUAAAAUCUCUAAAAACUAAAAAAUAAUUAAAAUUUAGACCUCAAACAAAAGACAAACAAAUUGUUAUACUUUUUAUUUUAUAACAAUUCAAUAUCAAAUGAGUCCAAGUGGAGAAUUAAAAAAAUACAUACUAUUUAUUAAAAAAAAAAAGGAUGCGCGCGGUCUCCAAAUUAAGCAAACCUUGCACUUCUUGCUUACUUCUCAUAAAAUGUUGUAUCUUAUGACAAUAGUCUUAAUAUAAAAUUUUGGGUUAACAUAAUCAAGUGUGCGCAAUCGCACUCAUCUCAUGCUUAAUUUGAGUCAAUGAAUGUAGCUAAUUUCUUGAGUUGAAAAACUUAAGAUAGUAAAAUAUAUUAAAAUAAUACAUAUUUAAAUUUUUAUCUCAAAAGGAUAGAUUAAAUUAUUAUUGAAAAGGACAGGAGAAGGAGAGGAAAGGGCCAUUAUGAAACUAUGGUGUGUUUAUUAAUUAGUAAGCUGGGCUGGAAUCAGAACUUGUAAGUUACUAAACUGAUUUUAGUUGAUUAUUGUCAUUAUUUAUUGUAUAUUGUGAUUAUUAUUAUUAUUAUUAUUAAAAAUAAUUAUUUAUUAUUAUUUUUAAUCAUUAUAAUUAAUACUUAUUAUUAUUGCUACUAAUAAGGAUGAUGAUGAUGAUGACAAUGAUAAUAAUAAAUAGUAAUAAUUAUUAAUAAAUUUUUCACAUAUGAGAUUUUAUCAUUUCAACUAGAUGGCAUCUACAAAUUAAUUUGCAAGAUUCAAAUCAUCCAAAUGGAGAAUUUAUCGAACUAGUUCAUGUAUUUCUAAAAAAUAUAAUAAAUGCUAUUUUUGUCUCAUAGUUGAUGAAUUUAACUCUUCAAUAGUAAAAUAAUAUUUCUUAUUUUCAUUUUAUGAGCAUUCAUUCAAAAAAAAAAAACUCAAACUUCAAACAAAUUUGACAUGCAACAAUUGCAAAAUAGAUGAUAAUCAAGUAGAAACAUAAAGUGAUUUACAAAUUACAACAAAAUAAGACCUUUUGGGUUUUAAGACACAAGGAAUAAUUGAGCAAUUUGUUCAAACCACAUGGAUUUAAAAGGUAUUUUCCUUAUUUGUCUAAUUUUUUUUUCAUAAACUUUAAAAUUAUACUCUUUAAAUAUCAUUAACUUUUAUUUCAUAAUUAUGUGCUUUUUUUUGUUUGAAAUUUAAAUGGGUCUAAAUUUGGCAUAAAUAAUAGAUUUGAAUGCAUAUAUCUAAAUGAUAUGUUUGUUUUUCUUUUUCCAAUAUUAAUAUAAUUGUUAAAUUUUUUUCCAAAAGAAAAAAUUUUUUAAUAUGAUAUUUUGAGUUUUGACAUAUUUACACUUAUAAAUACUAUAAAUACUUAUAUUUAUUCAUUAAACACUUGAAAAUUUAUAAUAAAUUAUUUUAUUAAUAAAAAAAGUUUAAUAAUGUGUACCUUAACAAUGUAUGAAAAAACUAUGUAUUUUUCAUCAUUAAUACAUUGAAUUAUUGAAUAUUUUAACAUGAUUGAAGUUGGUUACUGUCCAAAUCAAUAGUUUUUGAAGCGUAAGUCUUAAUAUCAAUGUGCAAUGGAAGCAAAUAGAUAAUUAAAAAAUUUUAGCAUAAAAUUAUAUUCAAACAUGCAUUUAGUUAAAAUAAAACUAUUAUUUGAUUAUUUUACUUUGUAUUUAUACAAGAUUUUACUGUAUUAAAUUAUGAUGGUCCUUAAAAGAAAAAAAAUCAGAAUUUAUUUAUUUACAUUUGGGACUAUUCAGGAUAAUGGGAUGAAACAGAUAUUUAACGAGACAAGAUUAGGACAAAUUUUUGUCCCAAAAGAAAUAAAGGGACAAGAGUGAAUUUUUUUUUUUAUCUCAUUUGCAUAUACGUCCCAUCUCGUCCCAUUGCGAACGCUACUCCCACCUCUCUCAUGACAAUAAGAACUCUAGUAAUUAUUCUCAGUUUUAGAUAAGGACCACCAUUAUGAUUUACAUUACACCUCUUAUUUAAGCAAAUAAACACAUCAUUCAUUUUCAUUCCUUGAUUCCCAUUCUUAUUCCUCAUAAGUAAACACACCAUAAAUAAAUUCUAUUAAAAACCUAAAAUAAUCUUAAAAGUUUGGUUGGUGUGUUAGUGUGUUUGAUAUGGUAGACGAGGUCGAAAUAACUCCCCAUGUUCCGACAUUUCCAUAACCAAAACUUGAGCUACUACCUAUUUCUCUCCACUCUAACAAGUUGAUAUUGUAAUUAUUAUUAUUAUUGAGUAGUCUUGCAAAAUCGAGUGAUAAAAUUGCAUAUCAUCAUUAAAAUAAACUCACCAUUUGGAUGGAAAAUAAAAUUGAACAUUUUUUUUAUAAGAUAAAACAAUAUCAAUCAUUUUCAUUUCGAUUUUGAUUCUCUAAUUUAGAGAGUAAACGCACAAUUAGUACAAUAUUUUAAGUGAACAUAAUCAAGUGUGUUGCAGGCAUACUAUGCUUAAUUUGAAUCAAUGGCUAAUCACAUAUAUUAUCUCAAAAGGAGAGAUUGAAUUAUUAUUGAAAAGGAUGGGAGACGAAAGGGACGGGAGAAGAAGAGAAAAGGGCAAAUCCCAUAAUUAAUGGGAUCUAUUAAAAAUUCAAAAUAAUCUUAAAAGUUUCGUUGGUAUUUUAAUUGUGUUUAAUAUGGUUGGAGAGAUUGAAAUAACUCCCCCAUGUUUGGACAACAAAUCCAUAGCCAAAACCUGAGCUGCUGCCCAUUUUUCUCCACUCUAACAAGUUGAUAUUGUAAUUAUUAUUAUUGGUAGUUGUUGGUUAUUUUUAUAAGCAAUUACUACUAAUACCAAUGUGCAAGUAUACAUAACAAGUAAUAAAGUAAUGAGUAUUUAAGAUCGUCUCCACAGGGAUUGAUGUUACUCGAAAUACUAUAGCAAUUAUAAUAGUGCAAAUCAACUUAAGGCCGAAAUCAACAAUCAUAAAUUAAGUUCUAUCGUAAUUGAUGUUUGUGAGAGAAUUAAAUAAAAUAAUACCGUAAUGAAAUACUAGAUAAAAUGUGUCUAAGAUUCAAUUGAGAUUAUGGCAGUUGAAUGGUCAAACUCUCUUUAUGGGUUGAAUGUUUUUCAUCAAGUUAGUACCAGUUGUUACGGCAAGUGCUGUAGCACUGGGCAGAAUUAAUCUGCAUCCUCAGCUAUCGUAUAUUGGAAGUCUCAUACCCUUAAAUCUAUUAACAAUUACCAGUUGCUAAUCUACUUAUGGUAUGUCAUUAUGAUCUUUAGUCUCUCCACCUUACAAGGUGAACACAUAUGUCUAGUGUGUCACAAAUCUUAACUUCAAGUAUUGCCCUUAUGAGAUUCAAGAUAAUUUAAUUCAGGAAACUUAACUUAAGAUCAAGUAAUACUAUAAUAAUAUCCACUAAGACAUGCCCUUUUGCUGCUCUAUCUUAACUGAAACUAUUAAAUAGGUGGUCAACCGAAAUAACAGUUAUAUUCAGAAAAGCUAAUAGAGUAAAAUGCUACAGCAACGACAUAACAACACAUAAGAACAGUCAAGAACCCAUUGAAUUGUUUAUCAUUCAACUACAAACAAGUCUAGUUCAUAUUCUGAAUGAGAAAAAUAAACAUAAAUAUAUGGAUCACGAGAUACAUCAAAACAAUUAAAGGAAUAAGAUAAUUAUAAGUUGAGCACGGUGAAAGACAAAUCCAAAUAAUUCUGUACGAUUCUUCAAUGUUGCCGAAACAACACUCUCCAAUUCUGAUCUUCUUCUUUUUUUCUUUGUAAUUAUUCUAAUGAUAAUUUCAUUGCUGCCUUUCUAUGUCGUGCACGCCUCCCUUUUAUAUUGCAAAUUAGGGUAAACAAAAGCCCAUGAACGUGCAUCCGUUAAAUUAAGAAACAUGCAGAUUGCGAUUCUGUGGCUGACCCGCACCUAAGUUUUCUCCCGCAUUGCUCCCAGAUUGCUACAGUACAGGUUGCUCUAAAAUUCGCAACCACACUGCACUAUUCCUGAUUGUGCUUUACUUCUUUUGUGGCCAUCUUCUUUCCUCUUCUUGCUCAUCUAAUGUCUCAACAUCCCCUCGUGAAUGAAGACUUUCUGAAAACCUACAAUUAUGCACUUGUUUUUAACACAAAUUACUUUGAUUUAAGCAAAACUUAUUAAGACCCAACUAAAAUGAAUGUUUAUACAAAAUAUAACCAAAAUGUAAUAAAACACCUUAUUUGCUCUUUUAGUGACCUUGAUUUAAGUCUAGAAACGAUGUAAUAACUCUCAUUUCCUAGAGUUAUUACACCCCCAAACUUAAACCAUUACUUGCCCUCAAGUAAUGACACAUACUAACACUUCACGCAAACAAUCAUGCACACAACUUUAGCUCUUUUAUCAAAUUUGCAAGGAUUAUUGCACCUUCAGAUCACAAUCCCAAUCAUGCAAAAUGACCAUAGUAAAUCAGUUCUAGACUUAAGCUUCUUUUUGUCCAUAGUGUGUGUGUGCUCUUUUGAUUGAAUUCCAGAGAUGCUAUAACAUCACCAAGGGACUGCAUGAAUUUCAGCAGUGAUAACACUUCAUUCAUAAAUGAGGUCGCAUAAAUUUCACAUACUCAAACUGUGAUGAUUUUAAGAUUGAUAAAUUGAAGAGUAUUUAACCUCUUCACUGUAACAUUUAUCUUUCAUGUGAAUGUCAAUCAAUUGUAAUGAUGACACCCAAUUACUCAAACCAUGCCCAGAUCAGAGUUGCUGCAGCAAUAUCUAUAAUAUAAUCUUAUCUAGAGAUAUCUUUUACUCAAGGCUGAACAUGGGGCUCAUGAACAGACCUGUCUACUCAACGCCUUAGAUAGAGGACUUCUUUUUCUUUUCUUUAUAUAUAUAUAUGCUACAACAUUGCUCAUAACUCUCGAUAUCUUUGAACACAAUUCUGCAUAUGGGGUACAUACUCAGAUCUGGUUACUCAGCAACUUGAGCCAUUGGAACAUAGUUUAUUUCAUAGAUAUCAUAGACAAUCAAACUUGCUUCUCCCCCCAAACUUAAGAUCUUUUCUAUUCUUUUGGCUCUGCUCAAGUAGUCUCAUACAAUUCAACUAAAGUGUAAGUGUCGGGACAGAAUUUCACUUCCAUCUAUAAUUAUCUCUACUUGGCAUUCUCAUAAAUACUGAAUAACACUCAAUUUAUCUUCAUUAGAUUUUCAAAUCCAUACACUAAUAUUAGAUAAUAGAGCUUCAUGUUAGCCUAAAGGGCUACACAUAAUGUAAUUUUGAUGAUAACAAACAUGUGUCUUAAGUAACAAUAAUAAAUAUUGUAUUUCACAUUUACACUUUUUUUUUUAAGGAUAAUAUUUAUGCAAGUAAAUCAAGUGAAAUCAAGAUUGAAGACACUCAACGGACAACGGCGAAAUCAAGAAUAAAGCUUAGAGCUCAACGGACGAAUUAUUGCGACAAAUUCUUGUAAAGCCGGUAUGAUUUAAUUGAUGCAUGAUUUAGCAUUUGAGAAGCUCAAGAGAUUAAUUUAAUUAAAUACUUUUCAUAAACUAAAAUAUUUUAUUUUUAUAAAGUAAAGUAUUUUGUGGAUUUGAGUAAAAUUGGACUUAAAUGUUAAGAUUUGAAAUCUUUGAUUUUAAUAAGUAUCAAAUUUCGGAGUUGGAUGUUUUUACAAAUAUUUUAAAUGUUUUGGGCCAUACUAUAAUUUAUGAAUAUUUUGAACUAAAGUGAAAGGUUUUGAGAACUUUGAAAAAUAUGGGUAUUAUGUUGAAAAGGACCUUUGUGCGAAACAAUAAAAUCUUUGGGGCCAUAUCAUAAUUUUAGGAAGUUUGGGAAAGAAAAUUAUUUUUGGGAAGUUCUGAAAUUGGACCUAUUUGUAAAGUUUUCUGACGUUUUGGGCCAUAGUAUAAUUAUAGAAAGUUUUGGGCUAAAGUGUAAUUUCAAUGAACAGUGUUACUGUAGCAAAUUCAAAAAUAACGGUGAUAUUACUGUUCCUGAGCGGCUAGCCGGAUAAAUCAAGCGGCUAACCGCUUGAGCGCUGGAAUUUGCCUAUAACGGCUAGUUUUUGGGCUUCCACUAUAAAAACUCAACUCAAACUUCAUUUUAAGCAUCAAUACAUGCAAAUAUAAGAUCAUACAACAUAUAUUGAGCUUCCAAAACGCAAAUCAUUAUUGAUUGAAUCAUUGUUGAGCUAUUAGUUGCAUAUCAACUCUUAAAGAGAGUUUUUGUUGUAAUUUUCAUUCCUUACCAAAUUGUGAGUGUUUAAGUGUGGGAAACACUUGGGGUGAAGAGAUUGGGGAGAUAAUCUCUUGGUUGUAAAGGUUCAUUGACACCUUGGAAGUCAAUUGUAAAAACUUGAAGCCUUGGGAGGCUUAGAUAGUGAAAUCCUCGAGCUCGGUUGGCUUGGAGGCGUGGACGUAGGCGGGGAUUGCCGAACCACGUAAAAAUCCGCGUGUUUGUUUUUCUCUUCCCUUGCUCUUUUUAUUUUUACGCUUGCUUGAAUUUAUUGUUCUCUAUUUCAUUAAGGCGUUAGAUUGAUUUAUUGUGCGAAUCGUAUUGCAUUAUUUUUAAAAACCCAAUUCACCCCCCUCUUGGGUUGCGUUACUUGCAUUUCACUUCACACAACACAAACAUAAACACAUGCAUUCGGAAAUAUAACCCCCCCAAACUUGAGAUUUGCUAUGUCCUUACAAGCAUACAUAACGAAGGUACAUGAAUUGACAAGGAUAUGAAAGACCUUAGAAAAUACCACACGAAUUGAUAAAAAGAAGGAAAGAAUUUUUUUUUAUGAUGAAUUAAAUGAACUAGCAAGGAAAGAAUACUCCCUGUGGUGGGGACAUCAGCACAUGAGGGGAUGUUAUCAGUGCUUCUUGGAUGCACUGUGCAGCUUAUCCUUUGGUGAAGUUUGUGGGGAAGUAGCUGGCAAUGUCUUUGUCUUUUUCUGCACGGGGUUGGUGAGAGGAGUUGUGGCUGGGGUAGCUAGUGUGCUUGUCACUGAUUCGGUCCGUUUUGGUUGUGGUGAGGUUUUUGUAGCAGUGCCUUUAGACGUACUAUCUUUUCUUUUACUGGAUUGUCACGGACUGGUACGAACAGGCUGGCUAGGAGUUUGCUGUGGAGGAAUUGGAGUUGAUGCAUUAGCUGUCUGGCCUUCAGCUGUGAUGGUAGCAAUGAUAUCAAGUAGCUGCUUGGCUGCUGCAGGUGUAAGCGUAACUCUGGUUGCUGCAGCAGCUAGUUCGGCAUCAACUUACUCCAUUUCAUCUUCAGAGGCUGGAGGUGUUUCCAUUUUUGCUUUACCCUUGUCCACAAGGACUGGAAUGGACGGUUCCUCUUCUGGGUCUUCCUCAUCCUCUUCUUGAAUAAUGUGCCUUUUCUUGGUUUUGGACUGAGUUGGGAUGGAAGGUUCCUCACGUUCUUUCUCAGAGUUGUCAUCUGCCUCUGUGGGUGAGCUAUCAGUCUUAGACUUGUCACAUUCUUAUUCAGAUUGAUCAGAUAGUUCAGCAUCUUUUGAUUCUACCUUUGCUUGUGGUUCGGCUGCAGCCGCUUCUUCUGGUUCAUUUGUGGCAGUGGCUUCUUCACUGGCUUCUGCUGGAGCACCUGUGGUGUUGGUGUCAAAAUUGUACUGCUCGAACAAUGAAUUAGGGAAGUUUCGGUGAGUGCGUUUCAUGUACAGAGCAAAUUAGUGCAGUUGGUUGUCCAGGUGCUGUAGAUAACUCCAAAACCGAUCGUUUUCCCUCUAUUGAGCUUCAACACAUUGAGUUAUACUAGUGUUGAGUGCCUGGAUUGUCUGUUCUAAACCAAUAACUCGUCUUACUCCUGUUACAACAACUGGUUCAGUUGUUGUUCCAGCACUCUCACCAACAACUCUCUCAAUGGUCCGUGCCGUAAAGGCACCAUCAUUCCUGAUAUGGUCAUCUCUUGCGUCAAGAUGAACACCGAAAACUACACAAAUGCUGGUGAUGAGUGAAGGAAAUAGCAAGACAGCAGUUCAGUGAGUCUUAACUGCACAAUCCCAGAUUUAUUUUGCGAUGAUGCUACCCACAUCUUAGGAAGUCCUCGAACAAUGACAUAUAACAAGACCAACCUCUCUUGUGAAACCGUAGUAGUGUGACUGGUUGGCAUAAGCCUAGAUUUCAGAAAUUUCACCCACACCUUAGCAAUAGGUUUUAAAUCUAUUCUAUUAACUACACGCCCUUCCUCGUUAGCCCAUGAUGCCCCUUCGAUUGUAAGAGUUGUGAAAAUGGUGUUACAUUUUUUUGGGGUCAAUUUAUCAAGCAACUUGGCAUACUCACAAUUAAUUUCAGCAUGUAAAUUAUAAAAAAUAUUUAUAACACGGGAGUCUAAUAGAACAAGUAUAUUUCUUACCCAAAUAUUAUGCUGAUCAGAGCUUACCAAAUUGGCGUAAAAUUCUUUGACUACUGGUAGCACAGGAUCUCGAGGGUGGUUGCAAAGCUCUAACCAUCCUUGCUUUGCGGCAGUAUUGUGUAUUGUUUGCACAAUUCUGGUGAGUCGUUCUGGAAAUUGAAACCCUUUUUCUUCCAGAAUUUUAAGCGGCUCUAUGAAAUUUUCAUAUUUUUUUUCGGCGUGGUAACUCUGGAAGCGUGACGGAUCUUUGAGGCGGCUGGCUUUUUUCUUAUACCUCGGCAUUACUGUAGCAGUAGCAAAUUGAGGCUAAUGUCCCUGAGAGUAAAAUGAGAAGAAGAGGUUAGGAAUUAUGAGAGUUGUACUUUGCAAAGGAGAUGAGGAAUAGUACCGUAGAUCACUAAGCACAGUGACUCCAUUUUAUAGUGGACUUUAAGUGAAGAUAAAUCCGGUAACUAAAGAUAAAUGAGGGAAGAAAAUAUUUUUAAUUUAAUGUGUAUAUCCCGAAAGCAUAGGCCAGUGAAAUUAAGGCAUUAGUUUCGAAGAUUUUUUCGCAAUUUCUAUCCAAAUCCAUGCCUCCAUCUGUUAUGAUUUAUCUCCAACGGUUAGUGAGAGGCUCCAUCUUUUAAUUUACUGUAACGGUAAAAUUGGUUGCUGCUGCAGCACCCAUGCGCUUACUCUAGCAACGGUUACAUACUCCACACUAAAGCCCUCUGACACGUGGCUCACCUCUGCACUUUGCCACCAUACAACCUCACUUGUCAAUAUGGAAUUCAAUUGUCACACAUACUUCCCAUAAACUAAAAUUAAUUCUAAAAUUAAUUAAGAAUAAAGAGAUCAAAUGAUAGCAAAAGUAAAGAAUGCAAUAAUGUGAAAGGAUAAAACUAAAUAGCUAGAAUGGAAGAACAAAAUUAAAUAAAAUGGUAAAGAGGGAGAGCUGUCAACAAAACCAAAGGAGAUCAAAUUUGGUUUGAGGUGGCUGUCUCCACAAUGGGCUGCCUCCCAUGGAGCGCUUGAUUUAAGGUCCUUCAGCCUGACCUUCUUUUAUUGUUCAAUAGCUAGGUUCUUUAAGGAGUAACACCUCCUUUGAACAAUCUGCCGCUGGAUGUAUGUAAUGCUUAACCCUGUGUCCAUUAAUUUUGAAUUCUUGACCUGUUUGUUCAUCUAGAAGAUCAACAACUCCAUGAAGAUAAAAUUUUAACAGCUUAAACGAGCCAAACCAUCGUAACUUGAGCUUUCCCGGAAAUAAUCUUAGUUUUGUAUUGUGGAGCAACACUAAUUGACUAGGGUUGAAUUGCCUAUAUUCAAUAUGCUUGUCGUGCCAGUGUUUUUUCCUCUCUUUAUAGAUUCUUGCAUUUUCAUAUGAAAAUAGUUGUAAUUCAUCUAGCUCACAAAGUUGAAGCUUUCUUUGUUCUGCUACAGCAUGAAUAUCUCAAUUUAAUUUCUUCAGUGCCCAGUGUGCUUUAUGCUCUAGCUAUAGUGGCAAAUGACAAGCCUUUCCAUAAACAAUUCGGUAAGGAGACAUGCCGAGUGGAGUUUUGUAUGCUGUUCUGUAGGCCCAUAGAGAGUCAUGUAACUGUAAAAACCAAUCCUUCCUCGUUAGGUUCACCACUUUUUCUAAGAUAUUUUAAUUUCUCUGUUGGACAUUUCAGCCUGACCAUUAGAUUGUGGGUGAUAUGUUGUUACUACCUUGUGUCUGACUCCAUAUUUCACCAUAGGUGCAGCAAAGACUUUAUUGUAAAAAUGUGUACCCUCAUCACUAAUAAUUGCUCUAGGAGUGUCAAACCUGGAAAAAAUAUUUUUCUGAAGAAAAGCCACUACUGUUUUAGCAUCAUUGGUAGGUAAUACUGCAGCUUCUACCCACUUGGAGACAUAAUCCACAGUAACAAAGAUAUAUAAGUUCCCAAAGGAUGAUGGAAAAGGUCCUAUGAAAUCUAUUCCCCAGACAUAAAAAACUUCCACUUCUAGAAUGUUGGUCAAUGACAUUUCAUGUCUUUUAGUUAUGUUUCCUGUUCUUUGACACAUGUCACAACAUUUAACAAAUUCAUAAGCAUCUUUAAAAAUAGUAGGCUAGUAAUAACCUGAUUGCAGAACUUUAGCAGCUGUUCUGUGACCACCAAAGUGUUCUCCAUAUGCUGCAACAUGGCAUGACUUUAGUAUUUGUUGUAUUUCUCCUUCGGAAGCACAUCUUCGUAUUACUUGAUCUGAGUAUAACUUAUAUAAAUGUGGAUCAUCCUACUGAUAGCUUCUAACAUCAUGAAGAAAUUUCUUUUUCUCUUGAAACUUCAGCUCACGUGGUAGCAUCCCACUUACUAAGUAGUUAGCAAAAUCUGCAUACCAUGGGGAUACUGACUGCCGCAAUAUCUAUGCUUGCUGUAUUGCCAACAACUGUUCAUCAGGAAACGUUUCAGUGAUGUCUCUUCUUCUCAAUGUACUAGUGUCUGCUUCCAGCUGUGACAAGUGGUCUGCUACUUGAUUCUCAGUCCCCUUUCUAUCUUUAAUUUCUAGAUCAAAUUCUUGAAGCAAUAAGAUCCAUCUGAUUAAUUUUGGUUUGACAUCCUUCUUUGAGAUUAAGUAUUUGAUGGCUGCAUGGUCUGUGUAAACAAUCACUUUAGUACCCACCAAGUAAGUACUGAAUUUGUCAAAAGCAAAUACUAUUGCUAGCAACUCUUUUUCUGUAGUGGUGUAAUUGAUCUGAGUUUGAGUAAGAGUUUUGCUUACAUAGUAUAUAGAGUGAAAAAUCUUAUCAUUUCUUUACCCUAAUACUGCUCCCACAGAGUGAUCACUAGCAUCACACAUCAGUUCAAAUGGUAAAGUCCAAUCUGGAGAUAUAACUACUGAAGCAGUUAUCAAUGCUUUCUUUAAUUCUCCAAAUGCUUGAAGGCAAUCUUUGUCAAAGUGAAAAGGUUUGUCAUAUUCCAGCAAUGAGUAUAGUGGUUUAGCUACCUUGGAGAAAUCUUUAAUAAAUCUUCUAUAAAAUCCAGCAUGACCCAAAAAACUUUUAAUACCCUUUACUGGAGCUGGAGGUGGCAGUUUAUCUAUUACUUCUAUCUUGGCUUUGUCUACCUCAAUGCCAUUCUUGAAUACCUUAUGUCCUAACACUAUUCCUCCUUGCACCAUGAAAUGACACUUUUCCCAAUUGAGUACUAAGUUGGUCAUCUCACAUCUUUUAAGAAUUUCUUCCAAGUUGUGUAAACAAUCAUUGUAUGUUUCUCCAAAAACUAAGAAGUCAUCCAUGAAAGCUUCUAAAGUCUACUAUACCAUAUUAGAAAAAAUAGACAUCAUGCAUCUUUGAAAAGUUGCUGAAGCAUUGCAUAACCUAAAGGGCAUUCUUUUGAAGGCAAAUGUUCCAUAAGGACAAGUAAAUGUAGUCUGUUCCUGAUCCUCUAGAACUAUAGUAAUCUGGUUGUAGCCUGAAUACCCAUCUAGGAAAUAAUAUUGUUAUUUUCCAGCAAGUCUGUCCAAUAUCUGAUCUAUGAAUGGGAGGGGAAAGUGAUCUUUCCUUGUAGCUUUGUUGAGCUUUCUGUAAUCCAUACAGACUCUCCAUCCAGUCACUGUCCAUGUAGGAAUAAGUUCAUCCCUCUCAUUAGCUAUCACUGUUAUCCCUCUCUUCUUUGGAACACAUUGAACUAGGCUCACCCAUGAACUGUUUGAUAUUGGAUAUAUAAUUCCAGCAUCCAAUCAUUUGAUGAUUUCUUUCUUCACCACUUCUUUCAUAAUAUGGUUCAACCUUCUCUGGUGCUCCACCAAAUUGCUGUAGAAAUCUUCUAACAGGAUUUUAUGCAUGCAUAUUGAUGGGCUUAUCCCCUUGAUGUUUGCCAUAGUUCAUCCAAUUGCUCUUCUGUAUUUUCCAAGCAACUCUACUAGACUCUGUUCGUAACCUGCAUCCAAAGUAUAAGAAAUGAUUACAGGGAGUGUGUUGUUUUGACCAAGAUAAACAUACUUCAAAUGUGAAGGUAACAAUUUUAAUUCAAGACUAGGAGGUGAUUCAAUAGAUGGUAAAGUUGUUUUUACUUCCUUGUCUAAAAGAUUCAGGUGUUCAAUAAAUCUGUUGUACUUAUCAGAUAGCUUUUCUUCCAUCCAAUCUAUCUGAUUUGCUGCAAUAUCUUCCUCUUCUACAUCCUCAAAGGUAGUGACUUUGUUGAGUUCAUUACUGCAGCAUCUGUCCAUUCUGUCUGCUACAAUAAAAUCCACUACACUUAGGAACUUGCAAUCUUCUACUUCAUCAUGGUUCAUCAUAGCCUCUAGUACAUUAAAUGUGACUUGCUGAUCAUUUACUCUCAUGGUGAGCUCUCUUUUCUACACAUCUAUCAGAGUCUUUCCAGUUGCUAGAAAAGGUCUUCCAAGUAUAAUGGGUACCUCUUUAUCAGCUUCAAAGUCCAGUACAAUGAAAUCUACUGGGAAGAUGAAUUUGUCAACCUUCACCAGUUAAUCCUCUAUUUUUCCUUCAGGGUAUGCAUGAGAUCUGUCAGCUAAUUGCAGAUUGACUGUUGUUGGUCUGCAUUCCCCUACUCCCAGCUGCUUAAAUAUAGAUAAUGGCAUCAAAUUAAUACUAGCUCCCAAGUCACAAAGUGCUCUGCUAGCAUACCUAGUUCCUAUAGAGUAGGGUAUUGUAAAACUUCCUGGAUCUUUAACUUUUGUAAGAAUCUUACUUUGGAGCAUUUGAUUGCUCUCCAGUGUUAAAGCAACAGUUUUAAACUCUCCCAGCCUUCUCGUUUUUGCCAAGAUGUCUUUUAGAAAUUUCACAUAAUUUGGCAUUUGCUCCAAUGCUUCCACAAAAGGUAUAUUUAUUUGUAAUUGUUUUAUCACUUCUAGAAAUUUACUGAACUAUUUGUCUUGUUUUUGGUUCUAGAACCUUUGUGGGAAAGGUGGUGGAUGUCUAAACUGCUGUGUAGCUUCAGGAGGUAUCAAACUCUGUUUGUUUAGUUUGGUGUAGGUUGUGGUUACUGGUGUUGCAACUUCCUUUUCAGCAUGUUCUGGUUGAAUUUCUUCUACAGUUGUUGUAGCUUGGCCCAUGUAACUAGUGUCUUGAUGGGAGGCUUGUUGUAACAUGCCUCCAUUUUGAGGUGGUUUUUGUGCUGAAUUGAAUUCCAUCCCAUUUUUGGUCACAUCAAUUGGGAUAUCAACAUUAUUUCCAGAUCUCAAAUUAAUUACUUUGCAAUGUUCUUUGCCCUCUCUCUUAAGGCCUUCUGUGUUGCUAGGUAAACUUUCUUGAGUUCUGCUGCUCAUUGCUGUGGUAAGUUGUCCGUUUUGGUUUUCCAAGUUUCUCAAGGAUACAGCUUGACUCUGCACAAUUGCUUCAUUCUUUGUAAUGUAUUCCUUAAUCAGUGCUUCCAAUGAAGUGAUUGAAUCCUGACUGAUAUGCUUUUGCCCUUGACUCUGCUGAUGAAAACUAGGUGGCUGUGUAUUUAUAUUUUGUCCAUUUAUUGCUGGAGCAUUUCGAUUCUGACUACUCCAUGAGAAAUUUGGAUGUUGUUUCCAGCCAGGGUUGUAAGUAUUUGAAUAUGGGUUGUUCUGAGGCUGUCGAUUGAAAUUACUCACAUAGUUUACUGAAGCUGGAUUUCCAAGACAAUUAUCAAAGUCAUGUUCUUCGCCAUAGUAUACACAACAAGUAAUAAAGUGAUGAAUAUUCAAGAUCGUUGUUGAGUGUUAGAAAAUGCGUAUUUAUAAAGGAGAAAACCGUCAUUUUACAUUUCAAGUCUUACUAACACCUUUACUUUUAUGAAUUUAACCUUCUUUUGAUUUAAUUCUAUUUGUUUUAUUUUAAUUAAGUAUUUUAUGUAUUUUAGGAGCAUCAUAGUCAUUUCAUAAUAAAUGAGAGAUCAGAUGGCAAAAUGGACAUCACUUUUGAACUCAGGACGGUCAAAAACCUUAGGAGGAGCAUAAAAGGAAAAAUAGCACUGUUCACAUGUACGGUACUAUUCACGUGUACGAUACUGUAUACGUUACUGUUCACGACACUGUUCACAUAGACGGAUGAUGACGUGGCAUUGACUAAUGAUGUGGCAUUGACUGAUGAGGUGUCACGAUCCUGUUGGGCUAAAAUUCUUAUGUACUGUUGAUGGUGACGUGGCAGCAUAUCAGUGGACGAAAAAUCUCGCAUACGGUACAUGCAUCACACAGGAUUAUUUUCAACCAAACCGCGUUACUCUUCAUCCAGGUCAAACCGCGUUACUAUUCAUCCGGGUCAAACCGUGUUACUGUUCAUCCGCGUGGUCAAACCGCGUACUGUUGACUGAUGACGUGGCGCAAUCCUGAGUGUCCAAAUUGUUUUUAAUCCGAUGGCCAUGAUUUACUCCAUGUAUCUAUAAAAAGGGGGCCUCUCCCCCCUAAUUUGAUACCUCUGAAUCCAUUUUUGGACUCUGUUUUCUGUAAUUCCCUCUCCAUCUUGUAUUUUCUUCGUAUUUUAAUAAAUUUCCAUUUUGCCCCUAGUUCAAUUAUGAGUGGCUAAUUUUCUUUCAAGCUUGGGUUGAAGGUGAAGUCUCAACAUGUGUCAUGGGCUUAAUUUGGUAAAUUUAUUUCUCCUCCCCUCUAGUUUUUGUGGAUGUUUUGACCUCUCGUCGACAAAUAAUACUAAUCUUGUCUAGUAACGCCUUAGUUUUAUCGGCCCUCUAGUACAAUGUUAUUAUUAUUUGGCACGAUAAGCCCUUAGCACCAUAUUGAUUAGAGCGUGGUUCAUGAGGUGUGGAUUCCCCCCUCAUGAUUUAAUUGGCAUUAAUACGGAUUAUUUAGCCCAUGAUGCAUGUUGAUACGGAUCCAGAUACCCAAGUACGUCAUCUCAAUAUAUUUCUCUUCAAUUUAUUUUCGCCAUUUCAAUUCCAAUUUUAGAAUUUAUUCUUGUCAUUUCAAUUCCAAUUUUAGUAUAAUCCAAAUCAUUUUCACCACAAAUCCAACCACCCAUUUACAAAAUUAAUUCUACAUAUAAUUAAAAUCCACCUCCUCGUGGGAUCGACACUCGUCACCAUUGAUCUACACUACAAUAGAUUCGUGCGCUUGCGAGUACAUUAAAAUUUGAACAACAAUCGUCUCCACGAGGAUUGAGGUUACUCGAAAUGUUAUAGCAAUCACAAUAGUGCAAAUCAACUUAAAGCCAAAGCCAACAAUCGUAAAUUAAGUUCUAUCGUAAUUAAUGUUUGUGAGAGAAUUAAAUAAAACAAUACCGUAAUGAAAUACUAGAUAAAAUGUGUCUAAGAUUCAAUUGAGAUUAUGGUAGUUGAAUGAUCAAACUCUCCUUAUGGGCUGACUGUUUUUCAUCAAGUUAGCACCAGUUGUUACAGCAAGUGUUGCAGCACUGGGCAGAAUUAAUCUGCAUCCUCAACUAUCGCAUAUUGGAAGUCUCAUACCCUUAAAUUUAUUGACAAUGACCAGUUGCUAAUCUACUUAUGGUAUGGCAUUAUGAUCUUUAGUCUCUUCACCCUACAAGGUGAACACCUAUGUCUAGUGUGUCACAAAUCUUAACUUCAAGUAUUGCCCUUAUGGGAUUCAAGAUAACUUAAUCCAGGAAACUUAACUUAAGAUCAAGUACUACUCUAAUAAUAUUCGUUAAGACAUGCCUUUUUGCUGCUCUAUCUUAACCAAGACUAUUAAAUAGGUGGUCAACUGAAAUAACAGUUAUAUUCAUAAAAGCUAAUAGAGUAAAAUGCUACAGCAACGACAUAACAACACAUAAGAACAGUCAAGAACCCAUUGGAUUGUUUGUCACUCAACUACAAACAAGUCUAGUUCAUAUUCUGAAUGAGAAAAAUAAACACAAAUAUAUGGAUCACGGGAUACAUCAAAACAAUUAAAGGAAGAAGAUAAUUAUAAGGUGAGCACGGUGAAAGACAAAUCCAAAUAAUUUUGCACGAUUCUUCAAUGUUGCCGAAACAACACUCUCUAAUGUGUUGUUAUGUCAUUGCUGUAGCAUUUUACUCUAUUAGCUUUUAUGAAUAUAACUAUUAUUUCGGUUGACCACCCAUUUAAUAGUUUCAGUUAAGAUAGAGCAGUAAAAGGACAUGUCUUAGCGGAUAUUAUUAGAGUAUUACUUGAUCUUAAGUUAAGUUUCCUGGAUUAAGUUAUCUUGAAUCCCAUAUGGGUAAUACUUGAAGUUAAGAUUUGUGACACACUAGACAUAGGUGUUCACCUUAUAGGGUGGAGAGACUAAAGAUCAUAAUGUCAUACCAUAAGUAGAUUAGCAACUGGUCAUUGUUAAUAGAUUUAAGGGUAUGAGACUUUCAAUAUGCGAUAGCUGAGGAUGCAGAUUAAUUCUGCCCAGUGCUGCAACACUUGUCGUAACAACUGGUGCUAACUUGAUAAAAACAGUCGGCCCAUAAAGAGAGUUUGAUCAUUCAACUACCAUAAUCUCAAUUGAAUUUUAAACACAUUUUAUCUAGUAUUUCAUUACGGUAUUGUUUUAUUUAAUUCUCUCACAAACAUCAAUUACGAUAGAACUUAAUUUAUGAUUGUUGACUUCGGCCUUAAGUUGAUUUGCACUAUUAUGAUUGCUACAGCAUUUCGAGUAACAUCAAUCCCUGUGGAGACGAUCUUGAAUAUUCAUCACUUUAUUACUUGUUGUGUAUACUUGCACAUUGGCAUUGGUAGUAAUUGCUUAUAAAAAUAACCAACAAUGAUACACUUGGUCAAUGUGUGAGCCGGUACGUUGAUUCUGAUUAUGCUGGUGAUUUGGAUAAACGAAGAUCAUCCACCAGAUAUAUAUUUACUUUUGCUAGAGGACCAAUUAGUUGGAAGUCUAUACUACAGUCUACAGUUGCAUUGUCGACCACAAUGGCUGAGUACAUGACAAUUACAUAGGCUGUUAAAGAGACUAUUUGGUUACAAGGUUUGCUUGAAAAUUUGGGAUUGAUACAAGAUCACGUUAAUGUAUAUUGCGAUAGUCAAAAUGCUAUUCACUUUAUAAAGAACCAUGUUUAUCAUGCACAUAUGAAGCAUAUUGAUGUACAAUUUCACUUUGUGCGGGAAAUUGUUAAUGAGGGGAGGAUUCUUCUUCACAAAAGUAAGACUGCAGAGAAUCCCGCAGAUAUAUUGACCAAGGUGGUGACAGCGAUCAAAUUUGAGCAUUGUCUAAACUUGAUCAAUAUCCUACAAGUUUGAAAGCAAUCGGAGAAGACAGAAACUAAAUGAUAGUUUGUUGAUAGUUGGCUCAGAUUUAUAAAAUUUUCACCGAGAUGGAGAAUUGUUUAAAAAUCAAACAACAAAAAUCAAACUUUGCUUUGUGGGCACCAAAUUCAAUGGCCAUCAAAGUUGAUUUUUUUGUUUCAAAAUUCAAUUUGCCAAUUUGACAAAUUGGCCAAAUUGAAUGCAAUGGUAGGUGAGCAAUGCCUAUAAAUAGAUUGGGGAGGUUAGAGCUUGAUCAUCCCAUUUUGUGUUGAGAGCAAUUACAAGUGAAGCGAUGUGCAAAAUUUGAGAGAGUUUUUACUUGUGUGUUCUAGUGAGGAUCCAAUUGGGUGUAUUAGGUUAUUGGGUUUUGAUAAUUUUUCCCACUUUUGUAAAUUCUCAUUUGUUAGUAAAAUUAUCUUCCAGUUUUUUUUCUCGUGGACGUAGGAUUUACGUCAAACCACAUAAAUUAUUGUGUCUUAUUUUCUUUGCAUUUGUUUAUCACAUUUAUAUUUCUCCAGAAGUCGCAGUCACCAGAAUCUUAGUAAUUGCUCAACCACACGCAGUGAUAAUGAAGAAGAAGAAGAAGAAGAAGAAGAAGAAGAAGAAGAAAGGAGGUGGUGGUAGAAGUGGAAGAAAGUUUUGGACGUGGAAGAGGCCAAGGAUCAAGCUCGUUUUCGUUACUAAUGAUUCUGACAAAUGUUUCUUGGGUUACAACCGUCUAUGCCAGCCCUGUCCACUCUAUUAGAAAACUUCUUUUGCAUGACCUUAAUGAUGUUGCAAGAUGAUCGUCGGAGAAGAAAGAAUGAGGAGGAACAAAACUGAUAUGAUUAAGUGCAUAUUUGAUAUGACUUAUUUAAUGGCCAUAAAUGCUCGUUUAAUUCAAUAAACUCUUAUAAUAAUUUUUGUUAUUUUUCUAAUAGAGCUUUUGAAAAUUAAAUAAACUAUUUUUCCUCUACUAGCAAAACCUUAAAUUUUGGAUUUUUUAGAGUAAAUGUUGAAAAGUUUUUUUUAAAUGUUAAAAUAUCUUAAAUAUCUUUGACUUAUUUGAUAAUCUUAUUUUAUUCUUUUCACAAUAUAACUUUAAAAAACUUGUCUAUUAAAGUAAUUUCAUAAAUUUUUAAUAAAAACUCUUAUUGACAACCAAACAACAAAAAAUUUCUUUUUUUGGUAAAAGUUCUAUUUAUAAAAAUUCUACUAAUAAAAAAAUCUACUUAAAUAAACUCUAUUUGAAAAAUUAUACCAAAUGGAGCUUAAAGAUGACAACAGGAAUUGGAUUUAUGACGAACCUCAAAUUAGAACCUAUGCAAUGUCCUCCUUCAAGAGGCUGUAUACCAAGGAUAAAGAUCUUCAUAAAAGUUAUCCGAUUGUGGGGGAUUUUCCAACCGUUGAUGCUUAAAAAUGGAGAGAUUAAAUGCAAUUCUUGUUGAUUGGGAGAUAAAAGAAGCCAUUUUAUCAUGCAGCCUUUUAAAGCUCUUAGAAUUGAUGGUCUUCACGCAUUUUUUUAUCGCUCCCAGUGGCAUAUAGUUGGCGCAUCAGUUUGUAAUUUGGUGAAAAAUGUUUUCAACGACACUGGAGUUCCUCAUGCAAUAAACAAGACCUUGAUUGUCUUAAUUCCCAAAAAUGAUCAGCCAAGCAGCCUCAGAAUGUAUAGACCGAUUAGCCUAUGCUCUAUGAUCUAUAAAACAAUUACUAAAAUAGCUUCAAAUAGGCUGAAAACCAUCACUGAAAAUAUUAUUAUUGCUCAGGAAAUCAUUCACAAUAUGCUGCGAAAGAAAGGUGAGCGUGGCCAAAUACUUAUUAAGGUUGACCUUGAGAAAGCUUAUGAUCGCCUCAGUUGGAGUUUCAUCCGUGAGACCCUUUGUGAAGUUAGGUUACCUGCUGGCUGAAUUUGUUUUAUUAUGUAUUGUAUCUCAUUAGUUACAAUGCAAAUUUUAUGGACUGGUCGAUCUACUUCCAGAGGAAUUAGGCAGGAUGACCUUUUUUCGCCUUAUAUUUUUGUUCUCUGUAUUGAAAGGCAAUUACCGGGAUUAACCGUACGGUCCAAAGCAGUAGUUGGAAGCCCAUUCACCUUUCUCGCUGAGGUAUUCCCAUCACCCAUCUCUUCUUUUUUGGAUGAUCUCCUUCUUUUUGCUGAAGCCUCUUGUGACCAAGCAACGGUGAUCCAUGAAGUCCUUUACAGUUUUUGUGAUAUUUCGGAUGAGAAUGUCAACAAUAAAAAAACUCAGUUUUUUUUUUCUUAUAAUGUGAAGCCUGCUGAUGUGAACAGAAUUGGUCCGACACUUCUCGAUCACAAAAGACUUAGGAAAAUACUUGGGGAUGCCAAUCCUCCACUCUUGUGUUAAUAAAGCUACAUAUCAGGGCAUUUUGGAAAGAGUUGAAAAUUGCCUUAGUGGUUGGAGUGCCAAGUUGUUGUUUCUUGCUGGUAGAAUUACUCUCACUCAGUCUAUGAUUCAAGCCUUACCCAUCUAUUCCAUGCAACCUACAAGAUUGCCGACUAAUAUUAACAACAAGAUUGAAAACGUUUGUCGGAAGUUUAUUUGGUGCGGCGCAUCUGAGUCUAAGAAGCUUCACCUUGUCAAUGGGGCCAAUUUAUGUCAGCCGAAAGAAUGUGCGAAUCUGGGCUUUAAAGACUUGCAGCUAAUGAAUGAUGCACAGUUAAUGAAGCUGGUUGGGUAUUUUGACUUCUCCAAACAAUUUUUGGGUUCGAGUGGUCUGUUCUAAAUAUGGUUUCGAUCCUCAUUCCCUAACUUUGACUCUUCCCACGAGAUAUGGCUCUUAUGUCUGGAAGGCUCUUGGGAAGAUUUGGCAUUACGUUGUUUGUGGCAUGCGGUGGAAUGUGGGGAAUGGUUUGAAAGUUAGCUUUUGAUGGAAUAUCUGGGCUCUUGAUGUGCCACUCUAUGGCCUCUCAAUUACUCAGAUUCUUGAGGACUAAGUUAGCAGUUCCGUUGUUGAUUUUAUCAUGCCUAGUGGAUCGUGGAAUUGAAACUUAUUUUGCCAUCUUCUUCCGAAUCAUGUGUUGUUGAUGUUAGGAAAUUGAGCUUCCUCCCAAGAUCUCUUUAUCAAGUAACAAAUUAAUAAGAAAAAUUAAAUGGAGGAUAUACCAAUCACACAACACAAGAUUGACGUGAAAAACUUUAAAUUCGGAGAAAAAACCACGGCCGUUGUCAAAAAGACAACUAGAGAAAAAAUAUUCACUAUGUGAAAAAUUAUUACAACCACACUUUCAGAAAUAAUUUUCUCUCACCCACAAGAACUUUAUAAUUUUAAUUCCUUAAAAUUACUCAAGCUCUAAACUUUGUUUCUUCACAAAACUAGAUGCACGAACCAAAUGAGCAGCACCCCUUUUUAUAUCCAAAAUUGGCUAUUAAAAUACUAUUAUAUUUUCCACCGCCAUUAUCUUCUUCAACUCUUCCUUUUUCUUCAUCCUUGUCAAAGUUGUUUGCUUCUUUUCUUCAUUCAAAGAUUUGAAUGUCAACAUUCAAAUCUUUGAAAGUUGACAAUGGCUGGCACCCCAUCUAGAAGGGCGGUGCCAGCUUACCUCUUUUCACAUUCUCCCACUUGGAGAUUUGAUUGAGAACCAAUCAAUCUUCACACCGAGUUUACUAUUUUCACCUUAGUCAUAAUCCUCACCAUAGAGAAUUAUCAUACUCCACCAUAAAGAGUAUACCACUUAGAAUUAAUUACCAAUUCUAAGAAUUUUACAUCGGCACAUGUCGAAAUAUCCUGCUGAAAUUUAUGGUGCAACUUCCAUGUUGGCCUUCUUGGAAGCUUGUCAGCCAUCAACAUAAAUUCCACCACACACCCUACAUCAAUACCAACCAUACCUUGUGUGUAAAUCUUGUGGACCCGCUAGUAGUAACAUAUCCCCUUUCAUGGUACCAGCAGUAUACCAUGAGGAUGUCAUCAUCAUCCAUUUUACAAGGGACCAUCGUCUCCCACGAUGAUGAGAGACUUACCACUAGCAAUACUAUCAGUAUCUGAUUUGGAGCCACUAGCCGAUCCUGCUCCAUUUCUACCAUGACAAUCUCUUUUUAAGUGCCCUGAUUGUCCACACCCCCAGCAGACUUCUUUCUUCUUAGAUUUAUCUUUCUUCAAAUUCCUUACAACUACCAAAGCCGAGACAUCUGUAGUUUCAGUACUUUCACCACUCAGUCUUCUUUCUUCUGAGAGUAAAGUACUAGUAACUUCUUCAAGAUAUAUUGUCUCCUUCCCGUACAUCAAAGUAGGUAACAGGUGUUUGUAGGAAGUUGGAAGUGACCAUAGAUUACUAAGCGCCUUGUCCUCAUCUUCAAUUUUAACUCCAAUGGCUUCUAGUUCUGACAUAAUACCAUUGAGAACACUAAGGUGAUCAAAAAUUUUUGUACCUUCAGUCAUUCGCAAUGUGUGAAAUCGCUCCUUCAGGUACAAUCAAUUUGAGAUGCUCUUUGUCUGAUACAACUUUUCUAGCUUCUCCCAAAGUUCUUUCGCCUACAUUUGCAAGAACAUUCUUUGCUAGACACAGUCGUAUGGCACUUGCAGCUCUAUCAUCUAAUUCUUCUCAAUCUUCAUCACUUAUACUAGCUUUUCCAGAGCCACUACUAGAAGCAGGGGAUGGCUUCUCCUUCAAUGCCUUAUGUAACCCAGAUUGAAUCAACACAUCUUUGACUUGAACUUGCCACAAGCCAAAGUUAAUUCUCCCAUCGAAUUUUUCUAUUUCAAAUUUCACCGGACUUGAAAAUUUCAAUCCUGACAUAUUUGCUUUGCAGAUCAGCUUUUACUCUUCACCACAGCUUGUUUGGCUUGGCUCUCACUGCUUCACGUGAAUAGUACCGUAUACAUGAACAGUGCCCCGACACCAAAACUUCAAUCAAUGGCUCUGAUACCACUAUUAGGAAAUUGAGCUUCCUCCCAAGAUCUCUCCAAGCAAUUUAUCAAGCAACAAAUUAAUAAGAAAAAUUAAAUAGAGAAUAUACCAAUCACACAACACAAGAUUUACGUGAAAAACUCCAAAUCUGAAGAAAAAACCAUGGUCGUUGUCAAAAAGACAACUAGAGACAAAAUAUUCACUAUGUGAAAAAUUAUUACAACCACACUCUCAGAAAUAAUUUUCUCUCACCCACAAGAACUUUAUAAUUUUAAUUCCUUAAAAUUACUCAAGCUCUAAACUUUGUUUCUUCACAAAACUGGAUGCACGAACCAAAUGAGCGGCACCCCUUUUUAUAGCCAAAAUUGGCUAUUAAAAUACUAUUAUAUUUCCCACCGCCAUUAUCUUCUUCAACUCUUUCUUUUCCUUUUUCAUUGUCAAAGUUGUUUGCUUCUUUUCUUCAUUCAAAGAUUUGAAUGUCAACAUUCAAAUCUUUGAAUGUUGACAAUGACUAGCACCCCAUCUAGAAGGGCGGUGCCAGCUUACCUCUUUUCAUAGUUGAAGAUUGUGGCGAUUAAGCCUCCUAAUCCUUGCUGCACGUGUGAUCAAUUCUAUUGGGCCUUCUCAAACUCGGGUACUUUCAUGGUUAAAUCAGCUUAUAAACAUCUUCACCGAAACUUCCUUAAUGGCCAGGACUCUAACUGGAACCUCAUCUGGAAAUGGAGGGGACCCCAGAGAAUUAGAACUUUUCUUUGGCUUGCUGUUCAGUGGAGAUUAAAAUGCAAAGCUGAGGUUUUCCGACGUCAUAUAAUUUCAGAUGUUGCCUGUCCUCACUGUAAUGGUUAUGUCGAAGAUGCAGUUAAUGUGUUACGUGAUUGUAUUGUGGCAAGGAGAAUUUGGAGGUUGCUUGGGCCUUGUAAUGCUCACGAUAACUUCUUUAAUCUACCUUUUCGUGAUUGGAUUAUGUUGAAUUUGAAGAAUAAUAGCCAUUGGGAUGGUAACUAUGCAUGGUCGUGCAUUUUUGGGGUGGCCAUUUAGAGAAUUUGGUUUUGGUUAAAAAAAACUGAUGUAUGAAAGAGCCUCCGUCAGCAUUGAUUCCAUGCGUAUGGACAUCAUGUCUAGAGCAGAAGUGAUCCAUAGACGGACUAUUACCUUUGAGGUCAAGCACAAUAGUAGAAUGGAGAAAUAUUUUGGUUGGGUGCCUCCAACUUGGCCUUUCUUUAAGUUGAACACGGAUGGAGUGAGGAAGUAUUCAGGGGUAGCAUCUGCCGGUGGUUUAAUCAGGAACACUGUUGGUGAAUGGAUAGAAGGCUUUAGCAUAAACAUUGGGAUAUGUUCUAAAUCACAAUUGCUGAACUUUGGGUCUUUAUCAGGGCCUUACUUUAGCUUGGAAUAAGGGUACUUGGGUGCUUCAAGCUGAAGUUGACAGCAUGUGUGUUAUUCAAUUAUUGCAGACCAAAGAUGUUGUCAUAAUGCUUCUUCUCCUCUUAUUAGCGGCAUCCUAAAGCUUUUAUCUCGUAACUGGCAUGUCUUGCUGCGUCACGGUAAUCGUGAGGCGAAUUUUGAGCUGAUUUCCUUGUGAAUUACGCUUUGUCACUGCCUAUUGGUCUCCACAUUCUUAGCAUUUCUCCUGACUGUGUUGAAGCUUGGCUUCUAGUGUUUGUAUAGGGAAUAGGCUCUAUUUCCUUGUGAAUUACACUCUGUCACUACCUAUUGGCCUUCGCAUUCUUAGUAGUCCUCCUAAUUGUAUUGAAGCUUGGCUUCAUAGUGUUUGCAUAGGGAAUAGGUUCCCUCCUUUUGUUAAGCCUUUUGAUAGGCUCGUUUCUUUUACCCAAAAAAAAAAAAUUACAAAGGCCUUUUUUGCCCCUUCGUUUAUGUGAAGUUCCAAUUUCAAAUUCAUCUUAAGUUGGAGACUUCCUCAAAAUGGACAAGGGAUACUCUCUUUGUCCUUCCCCCACCCUGGCGGAUUUAAAAAAAUAAUUUACCGGGGGUUAAAUUAAAUAACAGCAAAAUGUAAAAAUUGAAACUUAAAUAUAUAAAAUUUUUGGUAACCCACUUACUAUUGUUCUCUACGCGAUUUCAUAUUCUGAAAAUAUUGUGCAAUAGACUCAAUAUCAAUACUAUUAAAUCCAUCUUUUUUCUACACAAACAAUCAAAUUAUCAUUCAUCUAUUCAUCUCCUAUCCGAUUCCGAAGUUCAUUCUUCACAAAUUUCAUUGCUCAAAAUUAUAUAUAUGAGUACUUAUGUAAAAAUAAAUUAAUUACAAUUGAAAAAAUUAAUUUACUAAUAGUUGUAAACAAAAUCACUAAAAAAAGAAAUUGUAAAGAUUAGAAUUAGUCACUUGAACAAUUACAAUUUAUAUAGAGAUGUGUUGACAUGUGAACAAAAAAUAAAAUACGAAAUUCUUAACUUAAUUUGAAAAAAAAAUCGAAAAGAACAUGUUUAUUCUCACUGCGAUUAUGAGAAUAAAGAACAGAACUGAUGCCUGCAACUUCCUCUUUUCUUCAAGACAAUCCCUAAUUACAAGUUUGGCAAUCACGGUUCAGUUUUGGGAUUAUUAAUAUUUUGGGUUGUGGGUUUUAUUUUUUUAAGUAAAAUUAUUACUUUAUAAUUAUUAAAAUAAUAGUUUAAAUUUUAAAGAAUGAGAUUAUCUAAUAAUUUUUACAGGGAUUAUUUUAAAUUUUAAAUUUUAAAUUUUCUUUUAAACAAAAAAAAAAUUUCAGUGGGGGCUUGAGCCCCCAGUGGUCCUGCACUGCAUCCGCCCCAGCCCCCACCUCAUAUUAUUAUUUUAUUAGUGAUUGAAAUUAAGUUUUGUAUUUAUUUUUCACUUUAUUUAUAAUUAAGUUUAUUUUUCACUAGCUUAUGAAGGUAAUGAAAGAAAAAAAAAUAAGAAGAAAAUCCUAAUCCCUUCAAAACAGAAGAAAUUAUUUAAAAUUUUCUAACCAACUUUCGAGAAAAUUUCUCUUUUCUGGCCUUAUAUUUUCUACGAUAGAGUUCUCACCAGUAAGUUCAUGUUGCAUGGAGGCUGGAGCUAGGAGAAAAGGCCAUAAACUCUUCUUCAUCACUAGAAUUAUCUUGGGCGGCAUUUGUGAGAUAUAGGCAGAUUGGGGGUAGUUAAUCCUAUCUUUGACCAGUGGAUUCCACGUGGAGUUAAAGCCAUGUUUCCUUCCCUUAUAGUGCUUUUGAGAGGUGAUAUGCAAUCCUUGUCGAUAUGUCAGCCAGCACCAAAGCUUUUGUAACUCUGCUUUUUGCAUUUAUCGGGUGGUCCAGCUGCAGCAAGAACGUGCUCCCCCACAAUUAUGGAUUCACGUGACAGAAAUUUUGUUUAAUAUUGUCGUGACCAAUAAGGGUUAUUUUUACAUACCUCUCCUGAUACUUCACUUAAUUUCAGUUUAAUAGAAAAUAUCUCUGUAUUUUUACAUCCCUCCUCUGCUGUUAGUAUUUCUGUCAGUAUAAUAUCAGUAUAUAAGGUUACAUUUGUAAAAGCGCAUUUAAAUUUUAAAAAACUUAAAAAGUUAGCUGUAGUGGCAUUGGUAAGUGAGAAAUACCAUUGCAUCUGUCCAUUUCAUUACCCAAAAGAAAAAUCGCUUCACGAAAAUGUAAAUCUUACGAAAAUCUCAUCAUUCACACAAACAUUCACCCCUCAGCAGCUUAAGUGUGAAAACAAGCGAGUGUUAUUGAGUUUGAGGAUCAAGAAUCAUCACCAUUUUGAACUUACCCAUGAAGAAGACAAGCUUCAAUGCUAAUAGAAGACUGCUGAGGGGCGAGUUUCCGCGGCUUUUCACAGCUCCAAUACCAGUCGAGGCUGCGUUUUUCCUCUCUCCUCGUGAGCCGAGAAGAUGCUAAUAGAAGACUCCCGACAAGCGCAGUCCGUGGCCAAUCGAGGAGGCGUUUCCGCGGCUUCGAUCGGUGGCUUUCUGGACACUUUCCGACGGCAAAGACGGCAUGGAGAUGACCAGCGACUCAAGGGCUUCCGAUCGGUACCAAGCUCGACUGAAACGGUGGCCCGAAAUGGGAGAUCCGACCGGAUCACGGUCGCAGGUCGGGUUGGAUCCGAUUCUUUUUCCUCUCUCUCCUUGUGAGCUUCUCUCUUUUCUUUUUCUUUUUUUCUCUCUAUAUAAAUGGCUGGGCAAAAGUCAAAGAAAAUAUGGUGUGGGUGUUUGUACUCAAAAUUCACUUGUAAUCAUGUCCGAAUGAUUAGAAAAAUUGGUGUUGUCAUGUUGUGGAUGUUUGUAGUAAAAGAUUAAUGGGUUUUAAUGUAUGUUGAAUUUGUAGAAAAAUUAAUUUUUAUAUUAAUUGAUUUAAUUUUAUUCCAUGGCUUCUGCACUCCUAUUCUCCUGUGCAAUGGAGAAGAAAGAAAAUUUUUUUGACCCCAAAUCUCCAACUUCUAAGCACCGAGAAAUUUAUGUUUGAUUUCAAUAUUUUCGGCUUUUGAAUAGCUUUUGAAUAUGCUUGCACUGUCAACUUUGCUGGGAAAUUGUACCUGUCAGCUUUUAAAGGGUAUUUUCAUCCUCUUGUUAGUCCACUAACAGUCAACUGACGGAAAUACUAAUUGCAGGGGAGGGGAGUAAAAAUACAGAGAUACUUUCUAUUAAACUGAAAUUAGGUGAAACCUCAGGGGAGGUAUGUAAAAAUAACCCUGACCAAUAAUAAUUUUAAGCUAAAAAUGUUUAGUAUGUAAUAAAUUCACAUGACUGAACCAGGCAACGACAUUAGCGUCAUCGUCAUCUUGUGGUGCAUAGGAAGACUUGGGCGCACCGAGAAAAGCAGCAUCAUCACACGUCGAGAGCUGCAGCAGUGUUGUCUUUGUCAAGAACAGCAGCAGCGAUGCCAAUUUUUUUCAUAUAAUGCCUAAACUCCGAAUUUGGUAGAAGUUAAAAGACUUUUUGAAAAAAUAACUUGAAAACUGAGUAAAAAAGGUACAUAUACAAAAUUUGGCUUGAUUUUAGUGUUGCAAGUAUCUAUGUAAAUUUUUAAGAAUUUUGUUUGGGUAUAUUGAAUAGUUUUCUAAGUAUGUAGCAUGAAUAUAGAUUAUUAAUUUAAACAGUUGAACAAAGGGAAUUUUUAGUAUUUUAACGAGUGCACGGAAUAAAAAUUUAAUAGACGAGUGUUAAAAGUAGUAUUUAAAGUAAUAGAGUAUUCAAAGUAAUAUAAUAUUAAAAAAAUAAUUUUAGAUACAAAUAACCACUAAAACAAAAAAGACUUUCAACUGCGUUGCAAAUGUGCCGUUAAAAGUUAAGACGGCGUAAAUUUAUAUGUUAUUGAUUCAUAAGGCGUGGAAAGUAAGUAACUUUUCACGGCAUACAUUACAUGCUGUCAAAUUUACUGUUAAAAGUAAAUGACGGCAUAAAUUAUAGGUCGUUAAUUAUCAUUUAGACGGCAAUAACUAUUUCACUAAUGUAACCAAAAUUAUACUUUUAGUUAAAAAUUUUAACUGCGUUUACCAAUAUGCUGUAGGUAUUAAAGACCAUAUUUGUUUAUUGCCAUUGAAAGUUGGAGAUAAUUACGUAAUAAUAUUAGUUCAUGGUAGAGCAAAAUUGCCACUAAUUAUUUUAUUUAAUUUUUAAUAAGAAAUCUUAAUUCUUUUUAUACAUCACAAAUUUAAUAAUGUUAAAAUAAAAAAUAAAAAUGAUUACAUCAAACUAAAAAUUAUACAUUAGCAAAUUGUCAAUAGACAACUAACAUGUGAAUUCAAUGGAGUUGACAUAACGUAAAGUAUAAAAGUGGGACAGAAAUAUUAAAACAAAUUAAGAAAAAAAAAACAGUUCUUUUCCCUCCUUGAAUAAAAAUUUCUUUGCCACCAAUAAUGAUCCUUUUAUACAGUUCUAAAAUCCCUGAAAACGAAAGCAAAAUCAUCAUUGAAGCAAAAUUCAGGAGGAUUUGUCUAAUAUAAACAUCGAAUUAAGAGAGAAGGUAUAUGGAAACAAAAAAAGAAAAAAAAAACAAUUUUAAACAUGUUACUCAGUGAAGAAAGUAUUUCAUUGGCACUAUGAGUCUAUGCUUCUUGAGAGUUACCAUACCAAAAUUUUCUAGCCUAAUUAAGAUUCUGAAGAAAAAAUAAAAUUAUCGUAAACUUGUUGAUAAGAAAAUUAUAAAUGCUUGAUCAUAUAUAAACAUCCAAUAGCUACGUUAAAUAGUUAAGUAAAAGUAUUACCACUCAGUUUAAUGGAACAGGGCAAUCAAAGUGUCAUUUUGAAGCUACACUUACAAUGAGACCAACUUUCUUACUUUAUUCGCUCAGCAUCUAAUGAAUCCAAUUGUAGAAGACAAGUUUGCAUAUUAUUAAAAACAUAUAAAAUAAAAAUAAAAAGUUUCUACUACGUGGAGAUAUUUUAAGCAACUUGUAAUCACACUGUUAAAAUUAGAUACUCACCAUUGGGGAGAGUUGUCUAUUGCCUGCAAAAAUAUCAUUCACUUUAUUGCAACUUGAAAAAUUUUUAAACUCAAAAGUCGAUUAAUAUCUAACAUCAUUCACCUUGUUGUUUAACAACAUACAAAAAGAGAGAGGUUAAUUAUUUUGAUAUAAAUUGACAACAUAUACCAAGUAGCCAAAAGGAGCAAUUAAAGAUUAAAAAUACCAAGUAGCCACUAUCAAAUUCAAGAGCUAGCUCUUACAAAAUAAAACAAAGUGAAACCAAUACAAGAUUAUUUUUUUAAUAUGAAAACUUAUGUAAGAUUAACAAUAUAAAAUAAUUUUUAACAAACAGGUCAAACAAAAUAAAUUGAUUAAGGAUCAAAAGAUUCAAACUGAAGUAAUACCCACAUUGAUUUCAUCUAAUGUAAUUGAUAGAACCAAAUUUUAUACCUUUCUUGAAUAUCUAAACCAAAAAAAAAAAAAAAAUAACAAAUCUAAAUCUACUAGUUUCAACAAAACAAACCCUAAGUAGAUUGAAACUAACAUGCAAACUAAACCCUAAGUAGAUUUCGAUGACACAAACAACCUAAAAAUAAAAUAAACCAUUAAAAAAAUUAAACAAUAGAAAGUAUAAUAAAUCAAAACACAUACGUGAACCACGUUGAUUAAAUCAGUACAAGGUAUGCGAUUAUAAAAUUGAAAGAAGAAAAAAUCACUGCAAGUAAAUAUUAAUGGAGCAGAGCAAGAGAGAAGACGAGCUAGGAGAUUGAUUAGGAUAUAAACUGGAUAGUGGCAGCCCCUAAUUCCUAAUCGUGAAGAAAUCAAUUAAGAAAAAUAAAAGAGAAAGAAAGGGGUGGCUAAGGAUUGAAAGGGUGAUGAUUUUCUUUUAUUGGUUUAUAAUUUUUUUUUACGGCAUAUUUCAAAUGUCCUAGUAUAUUUACAAAUCAACGGCGAAUACAUCCAUGCCAGUAUAAUAUUACAAUUAACGGCAAAAUGAUUUGCGCCAUAAAAAAAUUAAUUUAACGACAUUUAUUUAUUUAUUAUGCCAUUAAACAUUAAGUGACCCCCUUGUUUGAUGCCAAGUAAUAAAAGUCUGCCAUUAAUUAAUAUUAUUCGGGGUCUCCUAUGUUGCCACUUGUAGGUUAGACAGCUUUUGUCUUUUCUGACUUAGUAAUUGUAAAUUUCGUUGAGCUCCUUACUCUCUGUUUUAUUUGAUUGAAACUCUUAGAGUAUCAAAUUCGCUCCCUCACAAUUUUUUAAAUUCCCAAAUACCCUCCAUUUAAUUAAAAAUAUAUAUAUAGCAAAUUUGAAAAAAAAAACAAACAGCAGGCACAACCAACAUUGUAAACCCUUGAAGCCUCCAUCAGAACCAAGAGGAAGAUUUUCCAGUUGUAGCUAAGAGGAAGCACAACAUUGAGAUCGGGAUCGGGAUCGGGAUCGGGAUCUAGUUCGCUUGUCGUCGUGAUCUUCACCGUCCGUUAUUUGGCCCAUUGCAGUAACAAUCUCACCACUAUCUCAUAACCAGCCAUCUUCAUGAUGAUGAUAAUGAUGUCGACACCAUUGAUGAUGAUGCCGCCAUCAAUUCCGAUUUGUUGUUGCCGUUGAUUAUGAUGAUUUUGAUUAUUACUGUUAUUUUUUACUGGAUUAUUAUUAUUAUUAACAAUAAAAAAUAUUAUAAUUAAUUAAUAUAUUAACAAUAAUUAAUAAUAAUUUUGAGUUAAAUUGUUAAUAAUAGUAAUUAACAAUAAUUAUUAAUAAUAAAUAAUUUUUGAACAAUAAUAAUAAUCAUGGUAAUUAAAUUUAGGGGUGGGCAAAAUCGGGUUCGAGUCGGGUUCAGAUCAACCCGAUCGGAUUUUGAGUCAUUCAGGUUUGACAAAAACUAAUCCGAAUACAAUCCAAACUUACAACCUGAUCCGAUUUGAUUAGAUUUAUAUUCAGAUCAGAUUGGGUGAGGUUGUAAAUUCGGGUAGGAUCGGUUUCGGGUUGGCCAAUUUUCUUGAUUUUGUUACUAACAUGUAAAAACACAUAAUUGCAACAAUUAAAUACUAAAUAUUAAUUGUUUAAAUUAACCAUAUAUAUCAUCAAUUUAAAGCUUAAAAAAAAAGCUUCAAAAAAAGCUUCAAAAGUGAAAACUCAAAGUUUCAAAGGGGAUAAACUCGGGUCAGGUAUCGGGUUGAAGGUUGGAGCGGCAAAAUGCAGAUUGGUAGCACCUUGUAGUAUAUCGAUGGUACUUGCAGCAGAUCGGUGGCACUUGCUGCAGAUCAGUGGCACUUGCAGCAGAUAGGUGCCCACGGACGCACAGCAGCAGACUGAUAGACGCGUAGCAGCAAACCGACGGACACGCAACGAAUCGAGCAUGGAGACGCGGGUGAGACUGUGACUUGUGUGGCGGCCUCCAUUGGCAACUUGGCGUUGGGCCAACACCAUUGGGGGUGACUACGCAUGUGUUUUGUGUAGUGAGAUUGGGGAUUGUGUAAUGAGAUUGGGGAUUGAGGAGGGUUGUGAGUGUUUGUGUGUUGUGAAAAUGAGAAUUUAUGAUUUGUGUGUGUGGCUGUGUGCUUUAGAUUUAGGUUUUUUUUUUUUUUUCUAACAACCUGAUCGGGUUUUCUUUAUAACCCAAUCCGAUCCGAACCUGAAAUUUUUCGAGUCUGGUAAUUUGCCCACCCCUAAUUAAAAUGCAAAAUAACAAUUAUGAUAAUAAUUUAUUAAGGAUUUUAUAACAAAUUUGUUACAAUUUAAUUUAUUCCGAUGUUGAUUCUAAAACAAAGUAAACACAUCAAUGACAAUACAACUCAUUCUAAUUACGAUUCGUGUAGUUUAAGUAAAUAUCUUAUUCUGAUUCCAAUUCUUCAUGUCAAUUCCAACCCAUUCUGAUUCUAACUCAUUUUGAUUCUAGUUCAUUUCGAUUCCUAUUUAGUAAAUGUACUUUAAAAUUGUAAACGUUUCAUAUAUUUUUUUUCCGUUUCUUCUUCCUCUCUCUCACUCUCUCUCUGUGAUGAGUCUAAUGGUGGCUUCAAUUGUUGAUAAAGGUUGUUGAUAAAGAGAAAAUGCUAGUGUAGAAGGAUGGAUUCAAAGGGAAUUUGUUUUUUUUUUGUUAUUUCUUUUAUCGUGAAAAUACUAAUUAUUAUGAGAUGAUAUUAUAAAGAAGAUGAAUGGUCAUAUCCUUGAAAAUUUUGCUGAUGAGAAGUUAUGGAAGAUGUGAUAUCGUAAUUCCUUAAGAGAGGAAAACGUUUUUUUUAGUACUAAUUUAAGAAUUUUUUUAUCUUUUUAUUAAUAUUAGGGUGCGUUUGGUACACGUAUUGUAUUAUGUUGUAUUGUAUUAUUUUAAUGCUGGUGUAUUGUAUUAUGCUGUAUUGCAUUAAUACUGUAUUAUAAUAAUAUUGUACAAUGUUUGGUGCUACAUCGUACUGUAUUAAUUUUUAGUUAUACUAUAUUUGGUGUUGCACUGUACUGUAUUAAUUUCUUUUGGUGAUUAAUUUUAAUUAUAUAUUUAGAAAAUAAUAUCUACUAGUACUUAGAAAAAUACUAAAUAUAGAAGCGUUAAAUUUAAGAAUUUUUACAUCAAUUUUUUUGUUUAAAUAAAAGAAUCAUAAUUCUUUAUGUAAAACUAACAAAUUCUAAGAUUUACAAUGAUAAAAAAUUUAUUUUUUCAAGAAUUCAUAAAUAUAUAACCUAUUUAGUAAAAAAAAUAUUUUAUUUAUUUAUUUAUUUUAAUUUCCUCUCUCUCCUCCCUUUGUCUUCUCCAUAUCUUUUUCUUCUUUGUUCAUUUUUGUUCUCUUUUUCUCUUUCUUCGUCUUCAUUUCAUUUUCUUUUUUUCCUCCUUUUCUUCUAUUUUCUUUGUCUUCUUCAAUUUGUUUUCCUUUUUUUCUUUUCCUCUUUUUCUUCUUUCUUCUUCUUCUCUCGGCUUUAUCUUCGUCUUCAUUUCAUUUUCUUUUUUUUUUCUCCUUUUCUUCUAUUUUCUUUUUGUUCUUCAAUUUGUUUUUCCUUUUUCUUUUCCUCUUUUCCUCUUUUUCUCCUUCUUUCUUCUUCUUCUCUGGGCUUUAUCUUCUCCACAGUGAAGGCGUCUUCAUGGAGCAAUGCCUAUGGUGUCGCGCGGCACUGUAAAAGUAUCGGUGAUGGCGUCGAACGAUGAUUGCCAAGUCGAUUUGGUGGUGCUAGAUUGGGUGAUAUGAAUUUCAUCGCGAACAUGCUGUAAAAUUUUCUCAAUUUUAUUUUCUUAAUUUGCUCUAAUACGAUGCGGCGUAAACCCGAACCCCCCCUCAGGUUUGGUUUAUGCGAACUUGACCGCAUUAGUUUCCCAAGUUAAUGCAAUACCACACCAGUUGAAUUUAACGCCAAACAUGAGUUAGUAUUAAGUUAAUACAAAACAGUGUUUUAAUACUAUGUUGUGCGGAAUACCAAACACGCCCUUAGUGUGUUAUGAUUAUUAAUGUGUCAUGGUUGUAAACAGAAACUCUUUUAAUACUUACAAAAAAAUAGUAAAUGAAAAAGAGUAUAAGGAGAUAAAUUGAGUUUUGAUGGUAUAAGUAAGCCGAAUGUGUCAUAAUUCUUAUGAAUAAAUUAUAAAAAAAUAGAGUGUAAGGGUCUCAAUGAAGUGAAAAAAAACAAAAGCUGUUGUAACGUACAGUGGCAACAUAGUAAAGGGAAAAAUGACACGUACAUCCUCAAAGUUUUAGAAAAUGAUCACAACAUCCUUAAGUUAUAAAAAAUGGAAACUAAUAUCCCAUCUUAACCAUUAUACCCUUUUCAUCUAUUAUCCCCAAAAAAAUGGCUUCAAAAUUUUUAAUAAAUACAAAUAUUAUAUAAAUAAUGUAAUCUAUGUAGUAGAUUAAUAAUAUUAAAAUAUUUUAAUAAAUUUAGAUAUCUAAAUUAUUGUAUUUAUUUUAAUUUUUUAAUUUAUUGUAGAGAUUUGAAAUGAACAUUUGCAUUAAAUACAUUCUACAAUUGAAAAAAAAUGACAUACUAAUAAUGUUAAAAUUAUUAUUUUACAUAACAUUCAAAAUAAUUUAAAUUUUAAUACAUUUAUUUUAAUAUUAUGAUUCCAUUUAUAUUAUAUUUUAUUUGAAAUAAAAUAAAAUAAAUUUAAUAAAUUAUAAAAUAUUUCUUAAAUAUUAAAUUAUUUUAAAAUGUAUAUAUCAUUAUAUUUAUUUUAAUAUUAUAUUUUUAUUUAUUAAAAAAUAUUAGAAUCUAUUUUUUGGGAUAUACGGUCAAAAAAAAUUUUGGUGUCUGUUUCAAAAAAUAUGAGGAUGUUGAUGAUUAUUUUUUCAAAUUUUAAGGGAGAUGACCUUUUCCCACAUAUAAACUAUUGGCAUCGAUAUCCUGGCUGCUGCACUGAUACCUUAGUCUUUAGGUGCCGCAAACGUUCCACUGCGAAAAGUGUUCGUACUCAGCCCCACUCUUAUUUGUAUUGACCCACGUGUUAAACAAGACCAUAAAAGUAAAGAAGAAAGAAGAAAAUCUCUGAGAAGAGAAGAAAACAAAUUAAAAAACAGAAGAAAAAUGUUGGGGAAUCGAAGUUCAGAUAAUCACACUAAGCCACUGUUAGGAACCGGUGAUAAUAUUAAUAAUUAUAAUCUUGGAGAAGAAGAAAGGAGGUGGUGGCGGAAUUGGAAAGAAGUUUUGGACGUGGAAGAGGCCAAGAAUCAAGUACUCUUUUCGCUGCCAAUGAUUGUUGCUAAUGUUUCCUAUUAUGCGAUCCCUUUGGUUUCUGUCAUAUUUGCUGGUCACCUUGGUGACCUUGAGCUUGCUGGUGCAACUCUUGCCAACUCUUGGGCCUGUGUCACAGGAUUUGAUUUCACUGUAAGCAUUCAAUAUCUUAUUAACAUCAUCGUAUUAUACAGAAAGCUUCAAUUUUUUAAGUAGUUUAGAUUAUAAUAUACAAUUAAUUUGAAUUUGUAUUCGGUGCUGCGCUGAGCUGAGAGCUGAUCUUUAUGCUGAGAUUUUAUAACUGCGAUUGCCCGAGUAUACCUUAAUGUACACGUGUGAUAGAAGAUUACAAAAAGUUCAGCACCACUUAGUAGUUAGCACUAUCCAAAUCCAAUCAAUCUUUUGAAACGGCUAAGUCAGCGCGUGCGUGGUUCAAUUUUUAAUUUUCAAUAUGUGGUUGAUUCAUUUUCUUCAUUCUCCGUUCUCCUAACAGCAAGGACUAAGUGGAGCACUUGAAACACUCUGUGGUCAAGGAGUUGGCGCAAAACAAUACAGGGUGUUGGGAAUAUACUUGCAAACAUCUUGUAUCAUAUCUUGCUUCUUCUCAAUUAUCAUAUCUUUCCUGUGGUUCUACACAGAACCUAUACUUAUUUUACUUCAUCAAGCUCCGAAUAUUUCAGAACAAGCAGGUCUCUACAUGAAGUAUCUCAUUCCGGGUCUAUUUGCAUUCGGGUUUAUACAGAACUUUCUAAGGUUUCUGCAGACACAAUCCAUUGUCAUGCCAUUGGUCUUCUGCUCAGCUCUCCCAUUGGCAAUCCAUUUUGGCAUUGCAUAUUCUUUAGUUCAUUGGACAUCCCUUGGUUUCAGUGGAGCUCCACUAGCAUGUUCAAUUUCGUUGUGGAUCUCGACACUUUUGCUAGCAAUUUAUAUCCAUUGUUCAAAGAAAACUAAACGUACGUGGGAGGGACUUUCUUUUGAAUCAUUCAGUGUCUUUCUCACCAACUUGAAAGUAGCCCUGUCAUCUGCAGCAAUGGUUUGGUAAGUGUCAUUACUUUUCUUGAUCGUAGGUACAGCUUCAUUUGGUUAGAAACAAAUACAAUCACGGAUGGUCUACAAUGUUUGGAAAAAAAGAGUGUGAUAUGCAAACUGCUUAUUGAUGACAGGGAAGUUAAAACUCUGGACUUUUAAAAAAAUUAGUUAGUCCUCAAUUGAAGACUAUAGGCUUAAAAAGAUAACAGUUGCCUGAGAAAAUAGUUAGUGGUAUCUGAUACUCCUGCUUGCAAAUAAUUAUUACUUUAAUCUACAGGGUUAAAAUCUUGCAAAUUGAUAAUUUGGAGCAACGCGGGAGUGACCCAAUUGAAUUCAAUACAAUAUCAUGACCUUGUUAGCAUAUAUUAUUUGUAUUUUUUCAGCUUGGAGUGCUGGUCUUUUGAUAUCCUUGUGUUCUUAGCCGGGGUGAUGCCAAACUCAGAACGGUCUACUUCAUUGAUCGCAAUGUGGUAAUUAAGCUUCAGCCUUUUGUUAUUAUCAGUUUUUUUUUCUUGUACAUUAAUUUCUUUUGAUGUUAUUUAUCCUUAGACUGAUCAUUUUGACGACUUUGAUAGUUCAAUCUUUUUUAUUUUUGGUCUCAUGAUCUUCAGUGUGAAUACACACGUAAUUACCUUUAACUUCAGUUAUGGUCUCAGUGCUGCUGCAAGGUUAGUGUAGCAUAUGUAACUCCUAGUCCACGUUGUGUGGUUUCUACAAUUUUUGUGUUCAAAACCAGAAAAACUCAUGCUUUCUGACAGCACAAGGUGUCGAAUGAAUUGGGAGCAGGAAUGAUCGAUCGAGCUAAGAAUGCCAUGGCUGUGACUCUCAAGCUUGUUGUCCUCCUCGCUCUUAUAAUUGAUUUGGCUCUUACUUUUGGUCAUAAUAUUUGGGCUGGCUUCUUCGCUGACAGCCAAGAACUAGUACAGGAAUUUGCCUCAAUGACACCCUUUCUUGUAAUCUCAAUAACAUUUGAUACUCUGCAGUGCAUCUUGUCAGGUUUUUCACAUAAAAUUUUUCUGAAGUCACUUAUCUACACACAGCACACAUGUAUAAAUUAACUUUGAUUUGUGACGCAAGUAUGGUAAUUUUGCAGGAGUGGCAAGAGGAUGUGGUUGGCAACAUUUGGCUGUGUGGGUUAAUUUGGCAACAUUCUAUUUCAUUGGCAUGCCGCUUGCAUUACUUUUUGGAUUUAAGUUGAAUCUUCAUGCGAAGGUGAGACAAAAUGGAUUGUGGUUGCAGUAGCUUGUUCAUCACUCGAUACUCUCAGCACGCUAGUUUCUUUUUUCUGUUACAGGGUUUGUGGAUUGGCUUAAUCUGCGGCCUCGCAGCCCAAGCCAGCUCCCUCUUUCUGAUUGUGUUGCGAAGAAAAUUCACUAAAGUCGACAUAGCUGUGAGCAGAGAAAAAGAAGUUCCACUUUCAAUUUAACCAUAUUGAUAUUGAGACCGGAAAGGUUGUGCAUUUUGUUCAAUUCAUAAACUUUAUGCUGGAAAGAAUGCGACUACAUUUAAUGCCACUGGUUUUAACUUAUCAUUGGAAGAGCUACAUAAAUAAUGAUAAUGAUGAUAAUAUUUAAUUAUCACUCAAACAUUUGAAAACUUUAAUCUAUUCCAUUUUUGUUGAAAAGAUAAGGGGAAAUAAUGGGCGUCAAUUGGAGUAAAUUGAUAUUUAUCCACUCAUUGGUGCUGAAAGUUGAGCACACUGAUCAUCUUUACUAACUCCACGCACCCAUGACCAUUCAUAAACACACUCUCUACUAAAAAUAAGUCUCGUCUCUUGGGUGCGCUUACGUUUACUAAAGUUUAUUUAUUUAUUUAUUUUUUAAUUCACUCAAGUUUAUUUUUACAAUUAUUCCCACUACCCCCACAACUUUAAUUUUCUCUCCCACUUCCUUUCUUGUCUUCUUUGUUUUUUCUUGUGCCCCCCUUGACUUUUUUUUUUCAAUUAUUCCCUCUACCCUACAGCUCUAAUUUUCUCUCCCACGUUCUUUCUUUUCUUCUUUGUUUGUUUCUUAACUUUUUAUACCCCCACAAACAGACCCAUAAAAGGCUUUGGAGAUUGCCAAUUUUUUCUUUAAUGUAAUUAAUAUAUAUCAUUUAUCUCCUAUUAUUUUUAUAAUAAUCAAUAAUCCCCUGACAGUAUAAAUUUAUAAUAUUAUUCUUAUUUUCAAAUGUAUUUUUUAAAUUUUAUUAUAGAUAAAAUAAAUCACAUGAAUGAAAAUUAAAAUAAAAAAAUAAGUAUUAAAAAUAAGAAAUAUAUGUUUUGAUGAAAAAAAAUUAAUAAUAAAAUAAUUUUUUAUACUUUUUAGAUUUAAUUUUAAAUAUUAUAAAAUAUUUAUUAUAAGAAAGUGUUUACAAAAAUAAAAAAGAACAAGAAAAAGCUUUAUUAUUAAUUUUUUUUCUUCAUAUCAAAACAUAUAUUUCUUAUUUGUAAUACUUAAUUUUUAAUUUUAACUUCCAUUUAUAUAAUUUAUUUAAUCUAUAAUAAAUAUAAAUAAAAAUGUAUUUGAAAAUAAAGAUAUUAUUAUAAACUUAUACUAUCAGAGAGAUUAUUCACUAUUAUAAAAACAGUAAGAUGAUAAAUGGUAUAUAUUAAUUACAGUAGUAGAGAAAUUAGCAAACCCCCACUUUUUUUCUCAAUUUUUUUUCUAGACUUUUAAGAAACACAUGCACCCCCCAACAAUCUACUUCUCUUAUCCUUCUUCGUCUCCUAAGUGGCUCUCACAAAUAACUACUAAAGGGAGUAUAUAAUUGCAAGAUCAUGCAGUUUCCUAAGCACCAGCUUAGAACUAGCACCGCUGUCAUAUGCAACAAUGGUCUGGUGGGUGUCACAAAAAAUCUUUCUUCCUUCUCCCUGUUAACUAUUUUUCCUUAUCAGAUUCAUAGUCUAAUGGAAGCGCAGCUGCCACCAACAAAGUGUUGGCUCCACUGGCAAUGGAGUCUCCUUAAGUGGCUUGACUGGGUUUGCUCCCCAGUUCGAGUCGCAGGGAAGUCGCCUUUGUUGGGAGAACCUGUGCCUCCCGGUUCGAGCGGGGACUUCUAGUCUGGGUUGUGGUACGGGCUUAAAGGUGCCUCCCACAGUUGGGGCCCUUCCCAGGAUACCUCGUGGAUAAGACCAAAAAAAAAGGAAGCGCAGCUGCCUCACUUAUAUUAAAAGCAAUUUAAAAUCAUGGAUGCUCAAAUUAAAGAAUUCUAGUGGCAUGUGAUAUUCAAGCAUGAAAAUAGCUAUUUACUUUAAUUUUCAGGGUUAAAACAACACAAAUAUGUUGAAAUUAUGGGGCAAUAGGAGAACAAAAUGAAUGGUACAGAGUCUCCAUUUUUAAUAACUAAAGUGAUUAACUAAUUGAGCACAAGAUACUCAAAAGACCAUAGCUCCAAGGUGAAAAUUAAAGUAUAAAUCACAUUAAGGUAUAUUUUGAAAAUUUUUUAAACAUUUCUAAUCACCAUAAUCCUUUGUUAUUGUAUUUGGUUAAACUAAAAACAGGGGAUUCAUUUCCUCUGUUCAUGUCAUGUCCACUUUAGUCCACUUACGGCGCAAUGUAAUCAACAAGAGGGAGCUGGCUUGGCAGAAAAGGCCGCAUAUUAAGCCGAUCCACAAACCCUGAUCCAAAGAAAGGGCAUAGCAUAUGAACGAUUAAAUUGAAAAGUGGAAGUUUUUUUUUUUUUAAUUAUUUUUUUUUUCAAAUAUAUGUUUGCCUCACCUUAACAUAUAGACUCAACUUAAAUCCAAAAAUUGCUGCAAUUGGCAUGCCAAUGAAAUAGAAUGUUGCCAAAUUAGCCCACACAGCCAAGUGCUGCCAACCACAUCCUCUUGCCACCCCUGCGCCAUUAGCUCACUUGCGUCAGCAUCUACAUAUAAUGGUGCUCAGCUUCAGACAUCCGAAAUUUUAUAAAAUUCGGAUUUGAACUAGAAUCAGAGUUGUACAGCUAGUUCAAAUCCGGAGUUUACAAAUCCGAACUUCUGGACCUGAGUAUGACUAUAUAUAUAUAAAUAUAUAAGCACAUAAGUUAGCAUUUCCAUAGAAAAAAUUUGAUGUCACUAACCUGAUAAGACGCCUUGGACAGAAUCAAGCGUUAUUGAGAUAGCAAGAAGUGGUGUUAAAGAGGCAAACUCCUUUAUGAUUUCAGGGCUGUUACUAAAGAAGCCAGCCCAGAUGUUAUGACCAAAACCUAGAGCCAAAACAACCACGAGUGCAAGCAGUACAGAGAGCUUGACAGUCACGGCCAUGGCAUUCUUGGCUUGGUCGGGAUUCCCUGCUCCCAAUUCAUUUGACACCCUUGUGCUGUGAAGAGUUAAAGGUUUUUCAGUUUCCCGAACAAAAAAUGCAUAAACUGAAGAACUAGAAGUUAUACACAUAUAGUACUGACCUUGCAGCAGCACUAAGACCAUAAGUAAUCAUGUAGGCAACAGAUUCGGUAUUUACACUGUGAGAUCAUUCAAUCAGAAAAGAAAGAAACUCAAGUCAAGGCUGAAGCAAUUUAGGAUAAAUAUUAUCAAAAAGAACAAUAAACUUACCACAUUGCGAUCAAUGAAGUAGUCAGUUCUGAGUUAGGCAUCAAUCCUGCUAGGAACACUAGAAUCUCAAAAGCCCAGUACUCGAGGCUGAAAAAGUAUGAAACAAAAAUGAGUCGCAAGAUUUAAAAUGCUAUGAUGACUGAAAAUUCGGUUACACUUGGGACUUACCAUACCAUUGCUGCAGAGGGCAGGGCUAGUUUUAAGAUGGUGAGGAUGAAACUGAAUGAUUCAAAAGAAAAUCCUUCCCACGUAUGCUCAAACUUCUUUGCACAAAGGACAUAAGUUACCAGCAUAAGCAUCGAUAUCCAUAACGAAACUGAAGCUGCUAGUGAAGCUCCCUUAAAACCAAGGGAUGUCAAAUAUACAAAAACAUAUGCAAUGCCAAAAUGAAUUGCCAUUGGGAGAGCUGAGAAGAAGACCAAUGGAAUGACUAUGGAUUGUGUCUGAAGAAACCUUAGGAUGUUCUGUAUAACCCCGUAUGCAACUAGACCGGGAAUGAGAUACUUCAUGUAGAGAGCUGCUUGUUUUGAUAUGCUGGGAUCUUGAUGAAGUAAAAUAAGUAUUGGUUCUGUGUAGAUCCACAAGAAAGAUAUGAUGAUUGAGAAAAAUAAUGAUGUAAUCCAAGAUGCUUGCAGAUAUAUUCCCAACAUCCUGUAAUGUUUUGCACCAAAUCCUUGACCGCAAAGUGUUUCAAGUGCUCCACUUAAUCCUAUCUUUGGACAAGAACAGAGAUGAAAAUGUUCAAGUUCAAGAAAAGAGCCCGGCGAAAAUUGAGUCCAAACAGAAUCUAGUCACACACUUAUUUCAGUUCUCAGAAAAACAAGUCAUUUGUCCCAUCUUGCGGAAAAAAAAAAAAAUUAAGACCCUGUUAACCAGCACAAAUGCACAAUCAAUCAAGCAUUCAAUCUUCAUUAAAACCAGCACAAUCCCUGGGGGCAAACUUAGUAGAAGUUCAAGCUUCAUCUAAGGGAUUUUCAACAGCAAGAAUUUCUCCCCAAAAUCACUCGUGUUGGUUUUGGUCAAUGAUCAUGUGCCAUACAAAUUGUAUUUUUUGUGAUUGCUUAAGUUUAAAACUUUAAAUUAGAUCAAUGAGUCAUCCUCAGGUCUGGAUUUCUGGAUUUGAACUAAAUCAAUGGUGCUGUAGUUACACUCUGAUUCUAUUUCAAGUCUGGAUUUUAGACGUCUGGACCUGAGCAUUAUUAUCAACUUACUCUUUUCAUUUUAUGCACGAUUAAUUUAGUUUAUAAAUAUCCCUCCUGCACAUUACUUCAAAUGCUCGAAACAAUCAUAUUCCAUCACAAUUUUUUUUUUUUGGGGGUAAAAUAAUCUCCAUUGUAAUUAACAACAAAUAAUAUAAGCACUUUAUUAAAAGAAAAAAAAAUUAAGCACUCGACAGGCCACAUGUCACGAUUUCAUUUGUCCAGAACUUUGAGACACCAGUCAAUGAAAUAAAUGACAUGUAGCUAAUCACGCGAACAAUAAUAUGUCUGCACGCAGCUGAUCAGAUAGAUUUCUGGCAUAAAAAUACUCUUUCUAAUGAUUUAAUUUGUUGUAUUAAUCUGUAGAAGCUUGAUGAGCUAUCAGCGGCAGAUUCAAAAGAUAUAAAGAGAAAGUGUGGUUACCAUGAAAGCGAAUCCUGUGACGGUGGCCCAAGAGUUGGCAAGUGUGGCACCAGCAAGCUCAAGCUGGCCAAGGUGGCCAGCAGACAUGACAGAAACCAAAGGAAUUGCAUAAUAAAAAACAUUAGCAAGAAUCAUGGGUAGCGAAAACACCACUUGAUUCUUGGCCUCUUGCAAGUCCAAAACUCGUUUCCACCACCGUCUCCUGCUGCUGGUUGCUUCUUCUUCUCCGUGAUCAUCAUCACCACCAGCCUCUAACAAAGGCGACGUCGUAUUGUCUAAAUCGGUGUUUGCCGACAUCGUUUAGCCAAAUGCUUAGAAGAGUUAGAAGAGUCAAACUCUUGUGUGUUGUUAUUCUUUGAUGGCGAAAGAACGUGGAGGCGGUCUGCAGAAGAGUAUAUAUACAGCAAAAUAUUAUCUAAUGAUAUCAAUACUAUAACCUUUUUUUUUUUUUUUAUAAACAAAGGGCUCUAAAAGAGAAGAGCUAGAGGGGCACAAACCGGGGGUGUGCCACCCCAUACAUAUCCGAAUAUAAAAUAGAUCUCAACCCUAAAGGUGCAGAACGAAGAAAAUGUACUCCAACAGGUAAACUCAGAGCAUGCGUAGAAAGGAAAUCAGCUGCCGAGUUUGCUUCGCGGUAGAUAUGACCAAUUCGAAUCCUCCAAUCCCUCCUCAUGAGUUCUCUAAUUAUCUCGAUUAUAUUCGAAGUUUCGUUGACAUGGGCAUUAUUUUCCUUUAUAAUUUGCACCACACUACAGUUGUCUACUCCAACUUGGAUAUGUCUAUAGCCAAGAUCCCAUGCCAUUCUUAGCCCAUGCAAGACACCCCAAAGCUCAGCCUUUAGAACUGAACAAACUCCAAGAUGUGCGCUAAAGCCAUGAAUAAAAUUACCAUGACAGUCCCGCAGCAGCCCACCUGCACUCGCCUCUCCAUUUCCUUUCCUUGCACCAUCCGUAUUUAAGCACAAGAAAGGCCAUGGUGGAGGAGCCCAGUGAAUCCAUUUCUGAAUCCUUUCAUUUCUUCGAUAGCCUACGCUUGAAAGAGUAGAACAAAUACUCUCAGCCCUUGCCUUAAUAUCCCGGACUAUCAAAUCACCAUUCCAGCUCUUGUUGUUGAAAAUCACCUGAUUCCUCCAAUGCCAAAUUCUCCAAGCCGCAAUACCAAACAUAAUCGGCCAAAAUAAACUCCCCAUAUCACAGACUCUUCUCCUAAGAUUUGUCAUGAUCCAUUGCCGAAGAGGAUAACUAAAGAAGUCAUGUUGUCUAAGCGCUGGAACAAGCUUCCGCCAAACACCUCUCGAAUAAUCACAAUCUCGAAUUGCAUGCAAAGAAUUCUCAACGUCUGCAUGGCACCUCCCACAUACAGCCUCGACGUCCAGAUGCCUUCUAGCAAGCUCACAUCCCGUCUUCAAACGAUCAUGGCAUAAUAACCAAAGAAAAAUUCUUACGCUUUGAGGCCCCUUCCAUUUCCACACAUGCUGCCAGUCAUGACAGUCUUCAGCAGGGCAAAAAUUCGUAAGCACUUGGUAGGCUGAUUGGACAGUAAAAUUUCCAGUAUUUGAUGCACCCCAAUACAUCCUAUCCUCGCCUCUCAUUGCCGACGGAGGAGCCAUGGAAGCAAUCCUUAAAACAGCAUGGUUAUUCAAAAAAGAGUUGAAUUUGUUCCACAACCAAUUCCCAUUUUGAUCCACACAAUCCGCCACCAACAUAUUUCGCAUGCUAUCCGGAAUUGGAGCCACCGUAUAGUUAAUUAAGGGAUCACCAUUCGUAGCCCAAAUAUCAUCCCAAAACUUCACCCGUUGGCCACUUCCAAUACUCCACCGCAAACCCUUCUGGAAGUCUUUCCAAAUCUUACCCAUAGAGCGCCAUAAAUAGGAACCAUUUUUUAAUGAAAUAUCAGUAGUACUCAUGUCACAAGGCGCAGCAUAUUUAGAAAUUAAAACCUGGGAGCACAGCUUGCUAGGCUUUAUGAAUAAAUUCCAAGCCACUUUCAUUAGUAAGGCUUUGUUCAUAAGUUCCAUAUCCUUGAAACCGAGACCUCCAUUGCUUUUAGGCCUACAAAUGUUAUCCCAGCUAAUCAGACUUAACUUGCGUUGAGAAUCAGCCCCACUCCAAAUGAAUCUUCUACAUAAUUGAUCAAUUUUACCUCUGACACUAGAUGAGAGGUAUGUGGUUUGCAUAGCGUAAAUCGGGAUUGCCUGAAGCACCGAUUGAGUGAGAGUAACUCUCCCUGCCAGAGACAAUUGCUUUGCUGCCCAUCCUGAUAGCCGCUGAUCAAUUUUGUCAAUGAUACUCUGAUACGUUUUCUUAGAAACCCGAUCGUGUAGCAGAGGCAUGCCAAGAUAUCUUCCCAAAUUAUUAGUAACCGAGAAGCCCAAAGCCUUGCCAAUUCCACUGGCUAAAGUGACCGGGACAUUUUUGGAGAAGAAGACUUGGGUCUUUUGAUUACUAACUCUAGCGCCCGAACUCCUACAGAAAUUCUCCACCACUUCAUUCAAUACAUCAACUUGGCCGUAACUUGCUUCCAAAAAGAGAAGCAGAUCAUCCGCAAAAAAUAAAUGACUUAGAGGAGUGCCAGUUCGAGUCAGUCGAAUGGGUUUCCAUCUACCUUGAUUAACCGCCUGGAUAAUCCCAUGACUUAAUCUUUCAAUACAAAGCACAAAAAUAUAAGGCGAAAGAGGGUCUCCUUGUCGAAUUCCUCUCCCUGGCCGAAAAUCUUCAGUCAUUUCCCCAUUCCACAAAACAUUCAUUUGGGCUGUGGACAAACACUCCAUUAUGAGGUGAAUAAAUCGCUCCGGUAGCCCAACUUCCUGUAAAGUUUCCUGAACAAAACGCCAACUCAACCGGUCAUAAGCCUUUUCUAAGUCCACUUUAACCGCCAUCAUUCUUUUACCCCCCACCUUUUUCUUCAUUGUAUGGAUUACCUCUUGAGCAAUAAUAACAUUUUCUGUAAUAUGCCGACUCGGCACAAAACUGGUUUGUUGAGGUCCAAUGAGAUCUGGAAGAAAAGCCUGUAGCCUAUUUGCAAUAAUUUUCGUCACCGUUUUAUACAGAACUGUGCAGAGGCUGAUCGGCCGAAACAUCUUAAGAUUUGUUGGAUGAUCCACUUUGGGAAUGAGCACCAGCAAAGUUCUGUUGAUCUCUGCAGGGAUAUGAUUAGAAUUAAAAAUAUUUUUGAUUAAAGAACUCAAAGACAUACCAACUGUAUUCCAUUGCGCUUGGUAAAAACCAGCAUGAAAGCCAUCAACUCCAGGAGCUUUAAAAGGACUCAUACUGAAAAUAGUCCGUCUGAUUUCCUCAUCUGUUACCGCAGACAUCAAACUUAAACAGAUAUCAUCUGACAAAUCAGGGAAACACCCCCUGACAUUAUAUGGUCUAUGCACCCCUUGUUCAGGCGUGUACAAUUCCGAAAAGAAAUUGACUGCACGUUGCUUAAUGAUCUCGACAUCGUGUAUCCACUGCCCAGUAUCAUUUUGAAUUGCAGUAAUCCGAUUCUGGCGACGCCUAGUUAGCGUUUUUUGAUGGAAAUAAGUAGUGUUGCGGUCACCAUACAAAGUCUAAUCUCUCCUGGAUUUCUGAAGCCACAAUAAUUCUUCCUGAGUGAGAACCUCUUCGAGCUCCUUCUGAAGCUUAACUUCAAGUCUAGUAAGGCUAUGGUUAGGCUUGGUUUCCAAAAUUCGUUGGAUCCCACCUAUUCUAGCCAACAAUUUCCGCUUCCGAUAAAUGAUAUUUCCAAAACUUUCCUUAUUCCACCGCCUUGUUUGUUGAGUAAAAUCGGCCACCGCCUCAAGAAAAUUCACUCCCUUAUUCCAGCUAUCAUUCACAAAACUCCCAAAUCUCUCAUCCGUGAGCCAUGCAGCCAAAAAUCUAAAUGGCCUCGGGCCCCCAUGCUUGGAAUCCAUGUUUUGGAACUUGACUAGAAUAGGCCGAUGAUCGGAAUCAAUUUUUGGAAGAUGCAUGACACUACUAUUUGCAUGUUUUAUGAGCCAUCCAUCAUUGCAAACCGCUCUGUCCAGUCGUUUAGAAAGGUUUCCCCUAGACCAAGUAAAGCGAGGGCCGGAGAACUUUAGAUCAAGCAUCCUACAAGAAUGAAACCAAUGAUUAAAUAAAUUGCAAGUGCCACUUAUUCGGUUUGAGCCCCCUUUCUUCUCAUGUGCGUAUAAGAUAGCAUUGAAGUCUCCACCCACCAACCACGGAUCCGACAUUUGGGAAGCAAUACUUGCAAGGUGAUACCAUAAAUCCCGCCGGACUGUUGGAAUAGGGCUAGCAUACACUGCCGUGACCCAACUCUCCAAUCCAUUGCUAGAAACAAUCUUGAAAUGAACAAACUGCCUAUGGUUUAAGGCUACCUCGACUGUGAUAAAAUCCUUCCAUAAAAGCCAAAUUCCUCCAGAAAAACCCACCGCCUCUAUCCUGUGGGAUCUCUCAAAACCACAGCCCCGAAUGAAAUUGUCAGCUUUUUGGCCACUAAUUCUUGGUUCCAAAAUUACCACCAUAGACGGAUUAUAGCAUUGAAUAAUUACAGCAAAAGAAAGUCUAAAAUCUGAGGCUCCCGCCCCUUGAACGUUCCAAAACAUAACUGAAAUUGACAUAACCAUAAUAAAAGAAUAACUGGUUAGAGCUUCCUUACUGGCUGGAUCCAUGGAUCUUAUCCUCCUUACUCAUUGGCGUAUCCUCCACAAAGGAGUCCUCACCCUCUGUUGUAUCUUCAUCCUCCUCAUCCUCCACAUAAUUCGGAUCAGCCUCCAUUUCAAGAUCCAUAUCACCACUAUGUAAAUCUGGAGGGUCUCCCAAGCAAGGUAGGGAACGACCCUUAGUCCCCCGGUUCAUUUGUAUUACGGCAUCAUCCAGCUCAUGAGUAUCUAUAGGCUUAUUGUUUGGGUUAUGGAAGAUAAUUGUCGUAUGCCUUAGAGGGUCAAGGGUUGUAGGUGCAUGCUGAGGGAUCAUCAUGGGGCUGGUUUGGGUAUCGAGUGGCAUGGCUGACGUAGCAGCCACAUUGGGAUUCACCACAUGGUUUUGUGUGUCGGUUUUGGGAUGCAUGGCUAGCUUACUGUUUCUGGUGUCUUUGGCUGCAAUAGGAUACUUGCCCUUGUCUGUAAACUUUGAUGGAAUUCUUGUGGAGUGUCUGCGUUUGAAUUCAGAUGCAUGAGGUUGCAGGACAUAAUUCUUACGUGGCUGUUUCGGGUCUGCAUGGCUGAUCUCUUGUCCCUGAGAGUCCGUAGCCACAUGUUCAUUCUCAUUGUCCCCUUUAUCUUGCGAUGCAAGCACUGCAAAGCGAGAAUUACUUUGAUGUACAAUCGACUGCUCCUCAUCCGUGCCAUGAGCAAAAGUCUUGCCAGCAUAAUUUCUUGGUUUGCCUUUGCGUGAUACAACCAUCCAAGGACCAAACUUGCUCACUCCCGUUUCAGCUACUCUAAUAUUCUUCUCGUUGGCCACCACUGGUGCGUUAUUUGCCACUGUCUUAGCUGUACCAGUCUCCUUCAGAUUCUUCUCCUCACAAUCCUCCGUAAAAUGUCCAUAUUUUCCACAAGAGAAACAUAUCAUAGGGAGUCCCUCAUACUCCACCAGUUGGAUUUGCCCAUUCACCUUAAUUUGCGAGACUAAAGGUUUCACAAGUGAAACCCUUACCGCCAGCCUUGCAAAUUUCCCUCUCUUCGAGUCCUCUGUAUUAUAGUCAAUUUUAAUAACGUCUCCAAUUUUACUGCCGAGUCGUCGCAAGCUGCGUUUAUCAUAAUAUUGGAUUGCCAUGCCGGGCAGUCGUACCCAUACCACAGUCGAUGUUAGCUCAUUAGAGAAGCAAUCAAAAUUCGGCGUCCAAGGUUGAACAAAAAGAUUUCUACCCAUAACAGUCCAUGGUCCUUCAGUUAGGGCACGUUCUGCAUCAAUAGCAGUUUGAAACUUGACCAAAAAAUAAUUAUUUUCUAGAUCAAUGAUGGAGAAGCCAGCUACCAUCGACCGCCAUAGGAUCUCCAAUCUAUUGCAUAAAACCCUAUAGCCUAUCUGUCGUCCCAACAAUUUGACUAUUAUAGAAUAACGCCAUGGCUGCUGCAGUUUCUCUUGUACCCUGUUAGAGAAAUAUAUCGCAGGAAUCCCUUCCUCUAUUCUCUCAACCACAUCUUCAUCUUCAAUAUCCCAAUCUUCCUCUGCACUUCCUGGCUGACCUGCCAUCACCGUUACUGCCUCCAUAGCCUUAUCUCUCCAAGAGGGUUUAUGAGGAUUAUCAGCAUCAGUUCCCUCAGCUCGAAACCGGGCCUUCUUAGUCGUCCUGUCCUCUUGCAGUGGUGGCGGGUUAGAGUUCUCAAACCCUAGCCCUAAGUUUUCGUCCCUUCCAAUAUUUUCGGAGCUCAUGCCCUAUUUUUUUCUUCAAUACUAUAACCUUUUAAUUGUAUGAUAAGCAAUAAUUAAGUUACGUUUCGGAUUAAGGUUGAAAUGUCAUAAACUGCUUAUUUGAUAAGUUUUGGUAAAAAUAUUCUACAAAUUUUUUUAUUUUGACAGUGAUUCUUAAAAGCACGUAGGAGAUGUUAUUUAUAACUUACUAAAUAAACCGCCACAUCUUUUUUAAAUUCAUACUAUAACUUUAAUAUUUUAAUAAAAUGAUUAUUGUACAUGUUCAUUUGUUUAUAAAUCUCAAUAUAUAAAUAAAAAUAAAUUUUGUCUUUUUGGCCAUUAUAUAAUAAAAUAUUAUUUUCGUGAUAAAAUUUAUUGAAAAUAUGUAUUUUUCUUUUCAAACUCACAAUAACUUUAACAACAAAAUAUAUCAAAUACUAAGUUGCUUUUUCAAUCACACUUUAUAUCAACACUUUAUUUCAUUCAUAUAGCAUAAUUGUAGGGUAAAAUUUCUUUUAUUUAUUAUAUUUUGAGGUUAGUGCCCGUAUAAUUUAUGUAUUUUAAAAAAUACCUCAAAAUAUUCUUAUUAUUAAAUUAUUGACAUCCCUGUCAUUACUUUUUAUUCAUUUUGAAUUACUUUUAUAAUAUUAUCCUCUUCCAAUUAUGUUUCUUUUUUUGGACAUUAAUAAAAAAAAAUUACCAACUUAACCCCAAAAAAUAAAAUAGAAACAAAAGGAAUAUAAAUUAAUUUUUGUGGAACACUCUGUUGAGAAGUUAAUAUAUUAUUUUUUAUUAAUUUCUGAAAAACUGGUAAUUUAAUUUUUUUAGACAUAUGUGAGCUUCCACAAAAAUUAAUAUGUAUGUUUUUAAUUUUUUGGGUGCUAAAUUGGUACUUUAAUUUUUCUCAUAUUAGUGUCCCAAAAAAAUUACUAUAAGAAGGUAAUAUUGUAAAAGGAAGGAAAAAAAAAUAAUAACAGUAGGGAUGUCAAUAGUUUAAUGGUUGGGAUGUUUUGAGCUAUUUCAAAAAUAUAUGGACUAAACAAACACUAAUUUCAUAAUAUGGAGACUAAACAAACUUUUAUCCAAAACUGUAAAAACAACUUAUUUAAUCAAUUGUUGCAAUCCUAAAUUAGCCCAAGCAAUACUAGUAUACACAAUGAGUGUUUCAAACUUCCAAGGGGUUUAUGUGAUGACAUCUAAAGGGCUAUAGCAAAGUUUUGGUAGGAAUCAAAAUAAACAUGGCAAUGACAUUCACUGAAUAAGAUGGGACAAGCUCAGCCAUACAAAAAGCGGAGGAGGAUUGGGGUUUAGAGAUUUUACUAGCUUCAAUCAAGCUUUGGUGCCCAAGCAAAGAUGAAGUUUCUAUCAGUUUCCCAACUCUCUAGUAUCUAAAGCAUUGCGGGCAAGAUACUAUGGAAACUCUAAUUUCUUGAGUGCAAAUGCAAGCUCCAAUCCAUCUUUUAUAUGGAGAAAGCAUUCUAUAGGAUAGAUAACUGAUCAAGAAAAGAAUUAAAUGGCUUAUAGGAAAUGGAAAAAAGAUUUUAGUGUGUAAGGAUAAUUGUUUACCAAGGCCAGACACAUUCAAACCAAUAUCUCCACCAACUUUAUCUGUAGAUACUUUUGUGGCAGAUCUAAUCAAUUUUGAAAAUCAAUGGGAUGAGGACAAGCUAAACCAUUCAUGCAUGAACAUACAGAAGUAAUUCUCAAGCUUCCAUCACCAAACAAACAAUCAGAAGAUGAAGUGUUGUGGCAUUUUGAUAAAAGGAGAGAACACUUAAUGAAAAGUGGGUACCAACUAGCACUUAAAAUCAAGCUUCCAAAUGCUACCAACAGCUUAGAAAAUAACUCAAAACAAUGGAAUCCAUUAUGGUCUCUUGACCUACCUAGAAAGAUCAAGAUUUUCAUGUGGAGGGUAACAAAAACCCUACUACCAUCUGAUGAAAAUCUAUGGAAAAGAAAGAUUUUGCAAGAGCCAACAUGUCAAAGAUGUAGAAGGAGUGUGGAAACCAUAAGUCAUGCUCUUUUGGAUUGUAAAGGAGAGCAAAAAAGAUCUGGAUUCAAGCUCCUUUCAUAGUUUAAAUCUUUAAUGUUCAAUCUCAGGACAUUCUCAGCAUUAUUCAAGAAAUGGGAAAAAAUUAAAAGGAAAUUAAGCUGAUUUUGAACUCAUGGUAGCAUAUUGGUAGGUUGUGUGGUAUUCAAGAAACAAAUUUUUUUUUUAAGGAAAGAUAAUAGACCCAAGUAUCUCGGCAACUAAGGCAAAAUCAAUUUUGGAAGCCUAUCAAAGAGUAAGAAAAAUAAGAUAUCACACAUUGAUAACACAUAAAUGAGAAGCUGCAAAGUGGACUCCUACCCCUGAAAAUGUAUUCAAAAUCAAUGUUGAUGCAGUCAUUAGCAGCAACGAUCAAAUGAUAAGGUUGAGAGUUGUGAUAAGAGACUCAAAUGGCAAGGUGACAGCUGCUGGUAUCAAUCAGGCUCAUCUAAGGGGAAACAUUAGCUUUGCAGAAGCUGAAGCUAUACAGUGGGGACUUCAAGUGGCAAAAGCAGUCUUAACUUUACUGAGCAUAGAGACAGAUUGCUUAGAAGUGGUUGAGCUAGUUACCAAUACAAAGGGCAGUAGAACAUAAAUUUGUUGGACAAUUUCAAAGAUAUGAAAACAAAGAAGAGAUUUCCAAAAAGUUACAGUCCAAUAUGCUCCUAGACACUUUGAUGCUUAUGCCUAUUUCUUAGCCAAAUUUGCUUUAGGAAGAAAUACAAAUGCUAUCUAGUUAGAAACAAUACCAACAAAGGCUUAAAAUGCAUUUGAUGCGUUGUGAUUAAAUGAAAGGUUUACUUUCUUAUAAAAAAGAGUCUCCUAGAAUUAGUUAAGGCGGCAGUAUUCUAAUACACACCAGUGCAUUAAUUUGUGCAUGCUUGGUGGCAUUUAUCAUGUUAUCAAGUAGUACUGUACUAUUGCCAAAUAUUAAAAAAAUAAAAUCAAUUUUCUUACCAUAUUAUGUAUUAGACUGUGUCUAUUAAGUUUGUCCAUUAAAAAAAGUGUUGACUUAUAAUUUCAUAGUGUAAUAACAUAUCUUUUGACGUUCGGGGAUAUUUAUUUAGACAAUGCAUUUUUUAGUACUCUAUAUCUCAUGAUUCUAUGAGAUAGAUAUUGUUACAUCAUUUGCCAAAUCAGUUGGGAUAAAAAAUUUGUAUCUCAACUGUAAGAUUAUUAUUACUGUUAAAAUUUAAUGAGUAUAUAUAAUAUUUAAUAAUUAUAUGCAGUUUAAAUACUAAUUCCUAAGAAAAAACAACAACAAUUUUUACAUAGUCCAAUUACCCUAUUCAAAAUACAAGGUUUUAUUGAAAACAAGAAGAGUAAUGAUCGAGCAACAAGUUCUUAAUAAAAAUUUAUUUUGCGCAAACUAAUGUAACUUUGUUAUAUUACUCAAAUAAAAAUGACAUGAUUAUAAAGGGUUGAGUUCUGGACACUCGUUUCAUAAUCCCUAAUUGAGUUUAAAUUUAGAAUUUCCAACUUCUGAAUAUAUUUAUUACGUGAAUAAUUAUUCAAUUAAUCAGCUCUGAAUUAUAUUUUGGUUGAUUUAUUUCGUGAAGCAUAUGAUGUCUCAAUCUAUAUAUUUUGUUAGAUUUUUUAAGUUCUGAAUUAAUGAACUAUAGUAUUAACAAAAUCAGUUAGGAUAUACUAGUAAUAACUUAAUAUUAAAAAUAAUUUACAUGACAUAUAAUGUUAUUUUUAUUAAUUAUGUUUAUAAUGGUUUAUUUAUACUUCUAUGCUAUUUUAUUUAUUAUUUUUAUCGUAGUCUUUUAUUUAUAUUUAUUAUAAAAGAUUUGAUUAUAAUUAAAGGAUGUAAUAAAAAAAAAAGAGAUACGUGUUAUCAUUUCUGGAAGUAAAAGGGGUGUGUGUAUAAAUAUAUAUAAUGAUGACCACAAUGAUGAUGAUGACGACUACGACCAUAAUGAUAUGAUUAAUAAAGGAAUUGGAUUGGUAUUUAAAAUUUUUAAAACGAAUAAUAAACGGACGUGUUGACUGAAGACAUUACGUGUUUAACUCAAAUUAUUACCACUUUCAAAUCGACCAAAUUAAUAUUUAUCCCAGCCAAGGUACAUAAUUCUUGUGAUAAUGAAAUCCACUCGGCCACUUGACUAAGAAGUCAUUUGAAGUAUUCUUAAAAUAUUACAAUGAGUGGUUCACAGUUCAUUUUUUUCAUGCAACGAUUAGAUUAUGAUAAAAUCAUUUGUUUGCGUAUCGAAAUGUCAGAAUUGUCCUGGCAUUGUACGUGGAGAUGAAACACGAUCUGAAUAUAGAAUGUGAUUGAAAUUUAAAACUAUGCAUUUUGAGGGUGGCUAGAGAAAAUUAAAGUUCGCUCGCAGUGAAUAAAUAAAUAAAUAACAACUAAACCUAUAUAAAAAAAAAAAGGUUCAAGGAAAUUAAGAUGGUGUUAUUAAAAUUAUUGAGUACUAUAAUUUCAGAAGCGUACCUGAAUCCAUUGUUGUUGUACAAAGAUUUCUUUAUUUUAGUGAUGGUCUUCUAAUCUAAUCUCUUCUCUUUGAUUAAGAAUUUUUGUUGAGAGGUUUUUUAGAAUUAUUAAGAAUUAAGAGAGAUUGGGGACCAUAAACUCCUUUUUAAAAUAACAUAACUGAAAGUUUUAAUAAAAACCGUUAACAGUUCUCAUGUGUUUAUUAUCACUUCAGCCCCUCAUUAAAGUGAUAAUUAAAACUCUAGUAUCUAUGCAUUUAACCCACAACAAUUAUACCCUUAGCCGUUUAAUUAUAUUAAUUAGAUCACUGAAUUAUUGGCUAACUAAAUAAUAGCACACACAUUUUAUUUGUUUCAUGUGUGGCCCCAAAUAUUAGAUUAAUUAAAAAAUAAUCUAACAAUCUCCCACUGGGCCACAAAUGAAAACCAAAUGUGUUUAACUUAAUAAGCUCAUAAAAUUGGUAUUAUGUCCUUAGAGUAUAUCUGGGCAAUCUCCUCCAUUAACCAUAUCAAUAUAGGAUCAUAGCGGCCUUUGUUACAUUAGUCAUAACUCAACCCAUCCAUAGUCACAUAUAUCAAUACAGUUAAAUGACAUAGAUCGAUUGUGGAUAUAUAGCAUGGAAAUUACAUGGAAUGUGAUCUAAACAUGUCUAUUUCCAAAUGGUCCUACUUUACUUUAUUGAGAUCGAAACUUAAAUUAUCCUAACAGAGUGUAAAGAACUGAAAUACUUUAUUUCUACAGAAAAUAAUCUGAAUUAUAUAAUUAAAAUCCAAAAGUCACACAUAGUAAAUAAUACAAACUCUCAAUAAAUCUAAAUAUUCUCAAGUAAAAUCACAACCAUGAAAGACUUUAGGUGGCAAUCCUUUAGUGAGCGGAUCCGCUAUCAUGGAGUUUGUCCCAAUAUGCUCUAUAGAUAUUUUUCCACUUGCACUCUUUCCUUCACAACAAGGAACUUGAUUUCAAUAUGUUUUGACUUUGUAGAGCUCCUGUUGUUGUUAGAAUAUAAAAAUGCUGACUUAUUGUCACAAUUUAUCUUGAGUGGUCUUUCUACACCCUCUAGAAUGCGUAGUCCAAUGACAAAAUUACACAGCCAUAUUCCUUGAUUGGAUGUGUCAUAACAUGCUACAAACUCUGCUGCCAUAGUCGAUGAAGCUAUGAGUGUCUGCUUGGCAGAUCUCCAAGAAAUUGCUCCACCAGCCAAUGGGUAAAUAUAGCUUGAAGUGGAUCUUCUACUGUCUUUGCAUCUAGCAAAAUCAGAGUCAGAAUAUCCAAUGAUCUCUAAUUGAUCCGAUCUCCUGUAUGUGAGCAUGUACAUUUUUGUCCUCUGUAAGUACCUCAUAACUUGCUUGGUUGCUUUCCAAUGAUCCAUGCCAGGAUUGCUCAAAUAUCUACCUAACAUGUCAACUAUGAACGUAAUAUCUGGACGCGUACAUAUUUGAGCAUACAUAAGACUCCCUAUAGCUGAAGAAUAAGGAAUCUUUUGCAUUUCCUUGAUUUCAAGAUUGGUCUUAGGGCAUUGACUAAGGUUGAAUUUAUCUCUUUUGACGACAGGAGUGUCACUUGGUUUACUGUUUUGCAUGUCAAACCUCUUCAAAAAUUUAUCGAUAGAGUUCCUUUGUGAUAAUUCCAGAAUACCUCGAGAACGAUCAUGAUGUAUCUUGAUUCCUAAAACAAAUGAGGCAUCACCAAGAUAUUUCAUCUCAAAAUGUUUUGAUAGAAAACUCUUAGUGUCGUGUAGUAUGCCUAUAUCAUUUGUGGCAAGCAAUAUGUCAUCAACAUAUAAAAUCAGGAAUAUAUGUUUACUCUCACUGAACUUGUGAUACACACAUUCAUUGAUAACAUUUGCCUCAAAAUCAUAUGAGAUAAUUAUUUGAUGAAACUUAAAGUACCACUGACGAGAAGCUUGUUUGAGCCUAUAUAUGGAUUUGGUUAACUUACAAACCAUAUUCUUUGGAUCUCCUAACACAAAGUUUUCUAGUUGUACCAUAUAAAUUGUUUCAUCAAUGUCACCAUUAAGGAAUGUUGUCUUAAUAUCCAUCUGAUAUAACUCAAGAUCAAAAUGUGCAAUAAUUGCCAUAAUUGUCCUAAAAGAGUCUUUCGUAGAAACCGGAGAGAAAGUCUCUUUAUAGUCAAUUCCUUCCUUUUGAGUAAAGCCUUUAGCUAUAAGACGUGCUUUAUAUCACUCCAGAUACCAUUUGAAUCCCUUUUGGUUUUAAAUAUCCAUUUACAACUAAUGGGCUUCGCAAGAAGGUAAUGCGACAAGUUCCCAAACUUUAUUUUCUUGCAUCGACUUGUACUCUUCAUUCAUGGCUUCAAUCCAUUUGUGAUAGUUGGAACCUUGCAUAGCUUGAUGGAAAUUGAUUGGAUCGUCUUCCAUCACUCUAGUUUUAUCCUCAUAUUCCUGAAGAAAUACUAUGUAAUCAUUUGGAAUUGCAUUUCUCAUUUCUCUCAUGGAUCGUCUUAAUUGCACAGGCUCUUGAGGUUGUUGAGUUUGAUUCUCAUGAACAAUUAUCUCAUUUUGAAUGAGGGGUUGAAUAAUAUUAUCUGAUGAUUGAGGAUCCAAAUUUACUUCUUGCUCAAUGACAAGUAUUGAAACAUGUACAUUGUUAAAAGCAACAGUGGAUCUCUCUUCCUCUUCAAAGACAAUUGUCCUCACUGGAUUUCUCUCCCCAAACUCAACAUCUUCAAAAAAUACUGCAGUUCCCGUCUAAAAAAUUAACUGUGCACUAGGAUCAUAAAACUUAAACCCCCAUGAUCGCUCCGCAAUGCCAACAAAGUAGUUGCUUACAGUUUUGGAGUCCAAUUUCUUUUCAUGAGGCCUAUAAGGCCUCGCUUCAACUGGACAUCCCCAAAUAUGUAAAUGCUUUAGACUAGGCUUUUGACCUAUCCAAAGCUCAUAUGGCGUUUUAGCAGUCGCUUUAGUUAGCACUUGAUUUAAAAUAUAAGCUGUUGUUUUGAGUGCUUUACCCUAGAGUCAUUUUGGUAAAGUAGAAUGAUCAAUCAUACUCAUCACCAUAUCCUUAAGAGUUCAGUUUCGUCUCUCAGAUACACCAUUCAUGCUAGGCGAUCCUGGCAUGGUAUAUUGAGGGACAAUUCCACAUUCUUCUAGGUAUUUAGCAAACGGUUCUGGACGUUGUUCACCUGAACUAUCAUAUCUACCGUAGUAUUCACCACCACGGUCAGACCUGACACUUUUAAUCCUUUUGUUGAGUUGUAACUCAACUUCGGCUUUAAACGUUUUGAACACAUCCAAAGACUGUGAUUUUCAUGAAUCAGGAAUAUAUAGCCAUAUCUCGAAUAGUCGUCUAUGAAGAUAAUGAAAUAUUGUUGAUCAUUCUAAGUUGCCGUGGGGAAUGGUCUACAUAUGUCUGUAUGAAUUAAUUCUAAGAUGCUUGAAGUUUUGUAGGCACCUAAUUUUUUACUUUUGGUUUGUUUUCCCUUGAUACACUCAAUACAAACAUCAAGGUCUAUAAAAUCAAGAGAUCUUAAAAUCCCAUCAAAUACUAAUCGCUCAAUUCUAACUUUAGAGAUUUGACCUAAGUGUUUGUGCCAUAAUGAGGCCAAAUUUUCUUUCUUUAAUUUACGCUUUGUACCUCUGGAACUAAAAUGCAUGUUUUCAUUAUAACUUAAAACAGUUUCUAGAAAAUAUAGAUUGUCAUUAGCAUUAAGCAAACUGGUUCUAAUAACAUUAGAAUUGAUAGAUAAACUAAAUUGUAUGUUUACAAAUGAAUAAGAAUAACCAGAUUUGUCCAAAACCGAAACUGAAAUCAAAUUCCGUGUAAAAGACUGAACAACAAAAGUAUCUAACAAAUCCAAAUAACAACCAGUUUUCAUAAGUAAUCUAAAAUGCCCAAUUGUUUCAACUUCUACCAUCUUGCCAUCUCCUACAUAAAUGCAUUUUUUAGCAUCACUUGGCGGCCGGUAGCUCAAGCAACCCUGUAGUGAAACACAAAUGUAAGUAGUAGCACCCGAAUUUAUCCACCAUGUGUUUCUUGGCACUGAAGCUAAAUUAGUUUCAGAACAAACCAAAGUAAGAAAUGUACCUUUCUUUAUGCGCCGUGCGUAAUAUUUUUUACAUUCCUUCUUUACAUGUCCAAGCUUGCCGCAGAAGAAACAACCAUGCUCGGCCUUUGGUUUCUUUGGAUCUGGACCCUUAGAAGUAGCAGCUUUACCCUUUUUCUUUCUUUUGCCCUUAUCUUUAGAAGUGCUUACCACAUGUGCAUAUUCGGUUUUCUCUUGCUUCAAUCUCUAUUCUUCUUGCACACAAAAGGAAAUCAGUUCAUUGAGAUUCCACUUCUCUUUCUGAUAGUUGUAACUGACUUUGAACUGAUUAAAUUGUGCUGAGAAAGAGAUAAGGACCAAAUGCACAACCAAAUCAUCAGAUAGGUCGAGCCCUAAUGCCUUAAGCUUAGAAGCAAGAUGAGACAUCUCCAUGAUGUACUCCCGAAUGUUUCCCUUGCCUUUAUACUUCAUUGAAAUCAAGCUCGCUAAAUGUGUACUUGUUUCAGCCUAAGCAUUUUUUGUAAAACAUUUCUGAAUUUCGGCAAGAAACUUACUAGCACUUGUAACCUCAUCGGUUAGAACACUCCUAAAUACGUCUGGAACACUGCGCUUCAUGAUCAUAAGACUCAUCCUGUUAGAUUGAUCACACUUCUCAUAGUACAAUACAUCCUCAGAUGUACUAUUAUCAGUGAGUUCGUUCGGCUUAGGGUAUCUGAAUGAUAAAUCUAGAUCCAUGCAGCCUAAGAGAAUCAUUAUAUUCUCUCUCCAGUUCUUAAAAUUAGUCCAAUUUAGAACCGAGACACUAUUCAUAUUUGCAUAUAUAGAAGCAGCAGACAAAAAAGCUGAAUAGAGAACAAAAAUAAAUAAAAUAUAAAUAAAUAAAUAAUGGUAACAUUAAACAUCUCAAUUAAUAAUCUUUAAAAAUUUAAAAGCAAAUUAUAACAAUUCAAGAUACCUAGCACAACAUUAGUAACAAGUCUUUGGAUUAUAAUACUAACUGUAAAUGGUACUCUUGUUGCAAUGAUCAAAUUUUGACAAUAAGUUAUGUCAAAUAAUGAAUCUAUGUUUGGAUUAUUACAUUACUCACAUUAAAUUAUCCUAAUAAUCGUCACAAAUUUACCAUCACAAGUGUGUGUGCAAUUAGGCCAAAUAUUAACCUUCCUUUGGGUCGAUUAACAUCCGCAGGAAUUACACAAACACAAACAUCUAACAUCCCAAAUAAACUAAUCUACACAAGAGACAUUACUUUAGUGACUUCCUGCUUUAAUUAGUAUAUUUUCAAUGUUAUACCAAUAAUUAACAUAAAUGUUACGAAGCAUUUUAAUUUUAAAAUUAUAAAACCGGAAAUGUACAAAUUAAAUUGAUUUGAUUUCAUUAGCAUAUUAUAUAUUUGCCCAGUUUGAAACCAAUUAUAAUGCACUUAAAACAUGGCCACGGAAAGAAAUAAAAAACUCAAUUCAUGUGGUUGAAUUUGAAAUCAUUAUUAAACCCGAAACCGUGACAUACAUGGCCACUGCAUCUUUAUUGAUUUGAUUUAAUUUAAAAUUAUAAUUAAACCGAAGCCGAAAUUAGAACAUGGCCAAUUUAAAUUCAAAGUAAACUGAUAUUAUUAUUAUAUCAAAACUGAAACAAGCCACUUCAAAUUUAAUUUAUUUGAUUUGAAUUACAUAUUAUCAUUAAAACUAAAACCAAAACCGUGGCCAAUUAAACUCCAAGCAAUUUAUGAUUAUUAUUAAAUCAAAACUGAAACUUGCCAACUCAAUCAAAUCUAUUUCAUUUAAAUCACGGCCAAUAAAUCUUAAUUGAAGUGGUUUAAUUUAAAAACACUAUUAAACCGAAAUUGUAGCAUACUUGACCACCGAACUUGGAAAUCUAAAUGUUCACAAGAAUAAAAACAAAUAUGCAAUUAAGACAAUUAAGUGGUUUAAUUUAAUCUUGAACUUUGCACAUGAUUUCACGUGUGCAACACCAGUAGUUUCGUUUCGUCAUGAGGCCAACAAAACCAAUUUCAACUUUUCCCAAUAACUAAGUUAGGAUAAACAAUUUCAUUCGAAUAUAACCAUUAAUCAAAAAUUGCAACUCAAUAAUUUAAUCAUGGAUGAGGUUCUGAUACCACUUAUUAUUCCCUAAAUCUUUAUAAAAAUUCAGAUUAAAAUUAUUGAGUACUAUAAUUUCGGAAGCGUACCUGAAUCCAUUGUUGUUGUACAAAAAAUUCUUGAUUUUGGUGAUGGUCUUCCAAUCUAAUCUCUUCUCUUUAAUUAAGAAUUCUUGUUGAGAGGUUUUUUAGAAUUACUAAGAGUUAAGAGAGAUUAGGCACCACAACCUCCUUUUUAAAAUAAUGAUGGUUUUAAUAAAAACCGUUUAACAGUUCUCAUGUGUUUAUUAUCACUUCAGCCCCUCAUUAAAAUGAUAAUUAAAACUCUGGUAUCUAUAUAUUUAACCCAUAACAAUUAUACCCUUAGCCAUUUAAUUAUAUUAAUUAGAUCAUUUAAUUAUUGGCUAACUAAAUAAUAGCGCACACAUUUUAUUUGUUUCAUGUGUGGCCCCAAAUAUUAGAUUAAUUAAAAAAUAAUCUAACAUAUCGAUGUUACCUUCUAAAGCUCUGAUCAUUUGUUUGCAAAACGUGUGUAAAAGGAGAGAGACACGUGGAAGCACUUUGAAAUUAUUUUUUGCGAUUGUAUACUAAAGCUGAUCUUGUGGCUAAGUGCCUAUUUGGUAUAAUUUAUCAAAUAAUUAUAAAUAUUUAUUUAAUUAAAUAAGCUCUUUAUAUUUUUAUUUUUUAUUUUUUUGUUAUUGUACACGGUAUUUUACUUCUAACUUUUAAGAGUACAAAUUGAAUUUUUUUUUAAAUGUUCAAAUUUCGAAAAUAUCAUUCACUAGUUUAAUAAUCUUAUUUCAUUCAUUUCAUAACAUUACUUUAACAAGCCUUAACUAUUUAAGUAAUUUUAUAAUUUUUAAUAAAAACUCUUAUGGACAACCAAAUAAAUAAUUUCUUUUUACUAAAACUUUAUUUAUAAAAUCUCUGCUAAUAAAAAUUCUAUUUAUAGAAGUUGUAUUUGAAAAACUAUAACAAACGAAGUUUAAAUAUAGGACACAAGCACUAGUUUUGUAUGUGCCAACCCUAAUUUGAAAUGAGGAAGUUGAAAGCCAUUAAUUAUUAUUAAGAGAAGAGAAUCAUUCAAUAAUUGUUAUUGUUGGGGCAACACAAUAUAGGAAAAGUACUAGAGACAACAAAAAAGGUCCGAGCCCAAUCUGGCUCAGAUCCGUUAGGCCGACCCUCGCUAAGGAUUAAAGAGGCUUCACGAUUAGGAACUCAAGCUUUCAACAAAUCUGGACCUAGAGCCAGAAAAGGUUGAAAAGAAUUUCUUUUCUUUAAAACCACCAACAUGAUUGGGGGUUAGGCCGGACCUUUACCUAUAGUAUAGAUCAAAGAAUGGAGGAAAACAUAAGGAGGGGGAUAAGAAUCAAAAUCUUUAGUCACAAAGAAAAAUACAUAAUAGAGGCAUGUAAGCACAGCAAUAAACCAAAAAAGAUACGCAACACUAUUGUCUAACAUGAGGGACUUCCUGUGCAUCCAAAUGAAUAAUACUAGAUAAACUAGGUGGAAUACCCCAAGGACCCAAAAAGCAUUGAUAAACCCAAUGAGCGCAAGCCCAAUUGCUAUAAAAUUAGUAGCAAAUGUAACACCCGUUAUUUUUCUGUUUUAUUAUUAUUAUUAUAUAUCUAUUUUAGAGAAAAAAGUAUUUUAGGCAAAUAAUUCUAAGGGUUUUUUAAUUUUUCUUUAUUUAUUUGUAUUUAUUUGAUUUACCCAUUUAUUAAUUACCUUAUGAAAAAAUGAAAUAUAUUUCUUAAUAGGUAAGAGUGCUAAAAAGCUUGGCUUUAUAAAAAUUCCUCUUACGUUGCUUUGUUUCUCAAAACCCUAAAAGCUAUAUAUAUAUAUACGUUUUUUAUUUUGACAUUGAAUUCAUUAAAGGAGAUACAAAUUCUAUCCCUGAUUUUCUAACCAGAGAAUUUCUUCAAAACAGAUAAUGCCGCCCAAACGAAGAGACAAGAGCAAAGGUAUUCUUAAAGACCCUGAACCACAAACACUCUCUAAAGAAACCCAGACAACCCCUUCUAAAGACAAAUUACUCAGAAGGGAAAGCGGAUCGAAGGAUGGAUGUGAUUAGCAAAAUACAUAAAUUAAACUUCAAUUUACAGUUAAAGUGUUCUUAAUAAUUUUAAAAUUGGUACGUGGCAUUGUUACCAAAACGAUGCAGUUCAUAGAAUGCCUUUGGAACCAGAUCUGGCUUAGAACAGAUCAAUAUUCCGCACGUUCGGGUUUCCAGCUGAUAUACCUAGAAAAAGUUAAGUCUUUUAAAUAUCUUUAGGCAAACCUAAGCAACGCAAAGGCUCAUAGAUAGUAUUAGAUCUGGAUCCCAGAAAUAAUACUCUGAUUGAAUGGAGGGAGAAAAGAAAUACGACUAAGGGGAGAGAUCAGGUCUCUGUGCCUUAGAAGAAUGUAGCAGUUUAAAUAAUGCUUAUAAAUUUAAAUUGCAAAAUUUAAACAUACAUUCAAAACUUUAAAUAAAUUACAAAUUCUUUAAAGAAACUUUAAAUGCUUACAAGAAAUGCUUACAUGAGUUGCUUGAAUCCGAAAGCUUUCAGAAAUUAUUUUACAGAAAGAGAUAAAAGGAAAAAUCAGAAGACAGGAAAAUUUCGUCUAUGUCUUCAGUUCAUUUUUUCCCCAGAGAAGAUAGAGAGGAGAAAAGAGAAAUCUAAAAAAAGUGCCGAGUAAAAGAAGUGAUGAGUCUCAGUCUUCAUUCACUCUUUUAUACAAGAAUUGCUUUACAAAAGAAAAUGCUACAGCUGGUCUUCACAUGCGUUGGUAGAGAAUGGGGCCAAAAGGUAGUAUGUGCUUUUGGAACGUGGGAGACAGCAUCAUUUGAGGCAUCUUCUGCUUUGUAGACUUUUAGGAAAGCUUCACGUGAGUGGGUCCUUGAACUUUGUCAAAAGGUUUUCAUGUGGAGACAGCAGAAUGAGCUUUUGACUUGCUGGUAGAGAAGAGAAAUGUCUUCACAGUUUUUCCCAUAAAGGGUAGUGAGUAAAGGAAGACAAAAUCUCAAGAAAUACAAAUAAAAAAAGAAAUGUAUAUUAAUACAAACAAGAAAUGGAAAAUUACCUUUUUUUUUUACAUUAUUUUAUUUACAAUGCUUUAUCGGGGGCAGGAUCCCGAAGCAAUCGUCUUAGUUAUCAUUUCCAAGGGAAAUGAACGACUCAUCUUCAUCCUCCUCUUCAUCAGAAGGACUGGCAGCGGACGGUUCAGAUCUAGAAGGACUGGCAAGGAGCUACUGCAUUACUUUAAAAUAUUCAUCUUCAAUCUUUGCAUUGGCCAAAAGGGAUUGGGCCUUUGUUCUUUGAGCGAGGAAUGUGCUUUGGGCUUUAACCUCUUGAAUGCUUGGGGUAAGGAGGCCUCUUGAGGAAAGCUAAGCUUGAAUUGUGGCUUCUGACAGUUUGGAUUGUUCAUCAAACUUAGACCACCAUUUAACUUUAAAGGUUCUUUGUAAAAUAAGUUGGGCUUCUUGAGAGUGGUAAUUGAAGUUCCACAUCUAGACCCAAGGAAGAAAGAAAUUUGUAUAGAAGUAGAGAAAAUGAGGAAACUGUUAAUAUAUAUGUUUUCAUAAUGUUGAUUUUGAUGAUAACAAACAAAAUUAAGAAUGAUAAAUCUUUUAAGUUCAAAUUAUUUUUUAUCUAUUUUAAAUAAAUCAUUAUUUUUACAUUAUAAAUGUUUUAUAUUUAAUGGAAAAAUGAUUUUAUGAAAUUGAUUGUUUUUAUUCUUUUUAAAUAAAUCAUUAUUUUCACAUUAUAAAUGUUUCAUAUUUAAUGAAAAAAUGAUUUUAUGAAAUUGGUUGUUUUUCAAAGUUUAUGGUUUAAUUGAAAGAAUUUUGAAAACUUUGAAAUAAACAAGUAUUGCUUGAAAUUUUGGAGAAUAGCUUAUUUGAAAAGUGUCAUAGCAUUUUGGGCUAUACUAUAAUUUCAAAAAGUUUUGGGAUUAACAAUGCAUUACUUAGAAAUUCUGAAAUUGGACCUAUUUGUAAAAUUUUAUAACGUUUUGGGCCGUAAUACAGUUUUAUAAAGUUUUAGGGUCAAACUAUAAAUUUAGAAAAUAAUUUCACUGUAGCAAACGGCUAACCGUUUAUUUAAAACGGCUAACCGAUAAUUCCAGAAAAUAUGUUCUACAAAGAAUUGUUAAAAUGAUGAUUCUGGAACAUAAUGGUGAACCGUUUACUGAAAACGGUUAACCGAUUAUUUUUAUAUUGCUAACCUUAAACUGUUUAGUAAGAACGGUUAAACUAAAUUUGUUUUGCAGGUCUCUGAAAUUUAACGGCAAAAGGGUAAUCCUAAACGGUAAACCGUUUAUUUAAAAAUUUGCCCAACGGUAACUUUGACCGGCCUAAACGGUUAACCGUUAAUGGUUAACGAUGAACCGUUUUCGAGCAGACAGUCUAUAACGGCUAAUUUUUCAGCUCCAACUAUAAAUAUGCUCAAUCCAAUUCAAACAAGAAGAAUUCUAACGAUCAUCAUUGAGCAAAAUAUUGAGAAUACAACUUUCAUUGAGCUUUAAAUCCUUGUAUUCAUCUUAUUCAUUCACACAUUGAGCUUUCAUUUGUGAUCAAACAUAUUGUGCGAGAGAGAUUCAUUUGUAAUCCUUUUUGUAAAAUCAAGUUAAAAGAUUGUAAGUGUUUGGAUACACUUGGGUUAAGAAAUUGGGGAUAAUCUCUUGUUGUAAAGGUCCAUUGACACCUUGAAAGUCAAUUGUAAGCAUUUGAAGCCUUGGGAGGCUAGCUUAGUGAAAUCCUCAAGCCCGGUGAGCUUGGAGGCGUAAACGUAGGCGGGGAUUGUCGAACCACGUAAAAAUCAUUGUGUUUGUUUUCUAUUCCCUUACUCUUUUAUAUUGUGAUUGAUUUAUUUGUUAUUGCUUUAAAUUAGUUUUGGAUUUGCAUUGAGUUUUGUUUUAGAAUUGAAUAAUUUUUAAUAUCCCAAUUCACCCCCCUCUUGGGUUGCCUAGUUAGUAUUUCAUUUAGUAUCAGAGCGAGGUGCUCUUGUGUAGACUUAACCGUCUAAAGUUAAAGAUUCAUGGCAACCUAUAAUGACUCAACCUUUAGGGAAGGACAAUCCAUAAUUAGACCAUCGUUCUUUGACGGUAAUGACUACCCAUAUUAGAAAACUAGGAUGAGAAUUUAUUUACAAGCUUUAGAUUAUGAAAUUUGAGAAAUUGUUUGUGAUGGUCUAUUUAUUCCUUUGCCUAAAAACGAAGUUGGGGAAGAUAUUCCAAAACCUUCACGGGAAUGGAAUGAAUUGGAAAAGAGAAAAGCUUUUCUAAAUUCCAAAGCCACGAAUGCCUUGUUUUGUGCACUUGAUAAGAAAGAGUUUCAUAAAGUGUCUAGUUGUGAAAGUGCUAAUGAAAUUUGGCACAAACUUGAAGUUGUUUAUGAAGGCACGAAUCAAGUGAAAGUUGAUUAUGACUACCCAUAUUGGAAAACUAGGAUGAGAAUUUAUUUACAAGCUUUAGAUUAUGAAAUUUGAGAAAUUGUUUGUGAUGGUCCAUUUAUGCCUUUGCCUAAAAACGAAGUUGGGGAAGAUAUUCCAAAACCUUCACGGGAAUGGAAUGAAUUGGAAAAGAGAAAAGCUUUUCUAAAUUCCAAAGCCAUGAAUGCCUUGUUUUGUGCACUUGAUAAGAAAGAGUUUCAUAAAGUGUCUAGUUGUGAAAGUGCUAAUGAAAUUUGGCACAAACUUGAAGUUGUUUAUGAAGGCACGAAUCAAGUGAAAGAGUCUAAAAUUAGUAGGUACACUCGGCAAUAUGAAUUGUUCCAAAUGGAACAAAAUGAGAGUGUGUAUUCUAUGUAUACUAAAUUUACGGACAUAGUGAACACUCUAGGAGCCCUAGGAAAGACCUUUUCAAAUAGCGAGAAAGUUAAGAAAAUCAUUAGGUCGUUACCUAAAGAAUGGAGACCAAAAAGGACUGUCAUCGAGGAAGCUAAAGAUUUGAAUAUCUUAUCUAUUGAGGAUUUAAUUGGUUCUCUUAUUUCUUAUGAGGAAGACAUGGCAGCCGAAAGAGGCAAUGAGGAGAAGAAGAAAAGCAUUGCUCUCAAAGCCUCGAAACAUGAGAGUGAUGAGGAAAGCGAGCUGGAUGAGGAGGAGAUGGAUAUGCUGGCUAGGAGGUUCAGAAAACUUUUUAAGAAAUCCGGUGAGCAAAGAAAAUUUAGAGACCUCAAGAACCGAAAGGAGAAGAAGGAAGUAAUCAAAUAUUAUGAGUGCCAGAAGCCUGGCCAUAUAAGAACGGAAUGUCCUAUUCUCAACAAGCUCAAGAAGAAAGCAAUGGUAGCCACAUGGGAUGAUAGCGAUGAGGAAACAAGUGAUGAUGAAGAGCAUCAAGAAAUGACAAAUCUAGCUCUCAUGGCAAUUGGAGAUGAAUCAGAUGAUGAACUUGAUGAGGUAAAUGAUCUUUUUACUUAUGAUGAAUUAUAUGAUGCUUUUAAAGAAUUGCAUGAUAAUUGGAUAAAAAUUGGUAAAAAGAAUGCAUGUCUUAAAAAGAAAAUGGUAAAGCUCACAAAUGAAAAUGAAUCUCUAUGUGCAAAGAUUACAUGCCUAGAAUUAGAGAAUAAAACAUUGCAUGAUAGAGUUGCAUUAUCAAAUGAGAAACCUAGCACGUCACAUGAGCAUUUAGAAUCAUAUGUAGAUGACUUGAAUAAUGAAAAAGAUGCUUUACAAAAAUGCAAUAAUUCAUUAAACGAAAAGAUUAAAGGACUAGAGUUAGAUAAUAAAAUGUUGCAUGAUGGAAUUGCAUCAUUUAAAUGCAAACAAAGUACUUCAUAUGAGCAUGAGAAAUCACGUGUUGAUGAAUUAAUGAAAGAAAAUGAAGUGCUUAAGAAAAAGAGUAAUGAACUCAACGAAAUUGUGUUAAAAUUCACAAGUGGUCAAAAGAACUUAGAAAAAUUACUAAGCACUCAAAAAUGUGUGUUUGAGAAAGGAGGACUUGGGUAUAAGCCUUAUUUGAAACAAAAAUAUUAUAAGAAUUAUUUUAUUAAGGCUACCUCCACAAGUGAUCAUAAGAUUAUUUGUCAUUAUUGUAAUGGAAAUGGUCAUAUGAGUUUUACAUGUCCAGUUAAGAGAAAUGCGUAUUAUGGAGCAAAAUGUAUUUGGGUUCCAAAAGGAACUAAAUCUAACGUUCAAGGACCCAAGAGUAUUUGGGUACCAAAGCACACAACUUGAAUUUGUUUUGUAGGUACCACAAUCAAGGAAUGGUGGAAAAGUUGCUUGAUGAAAGCUUGUAAGGAUAAUCAUUUGAGCAUGAUCUAGGAGAAAAAGAUGAGGCAAGAUGAUUUAAUUAUUUUGGUAACAAUUCUUGCCAUAUUAAUUUUGUUGAAUGAAUCAUGAUAAAUGAAAUUGUGAAAGUAUGCUUGUAUGUUUACAUGAUGGAAUUAUCAUUGUGUAUAAUAGUGAGUGAUUUAUCAUGAUGCCUUUGUUUGAUUUUGAUGAUUGUAUAGUCUAUGAUUUCAUCUUCUUAAUUGUCUAUCAUCAUUGUCCAUCUCUUAUAUAUGUGUGAAUUCAUAUGCCAUUAAUUGUGUUAUAUCAUCAUUCAUUUAUAAAAUUGACAUUAUUGUUUGAUACGAUUUCAUAUGCUUGGUCUUGUAUGCAUUUAUGUCUCAUGUAUUAAUUGGCUUAUUGAAAAGUUUUAAAUCUCAAAAUGAUUUAAAAUUAAUCAAUUUUUAAGGCCAAAAAUGAAAUGGUGUGUGUAGUACAAGUCUAAGAGCUUACAAAAUUUCAAAAAUAUUUUCAAAAGAUUAACCGGUAUAUCACAUUGAUUAGACAUCAUCUCAAUAAUACUCUCUAUGAGCUUUGGAAAUAUAGAAAACCCAACAUUAGUUAUUGCAAAAUUUUUGGAUGCAAAUGUCAUAUUUUGAAUACAAAAGAUAAUCUUGGCAAAUUUGAUCCAAAAUUUGAUGUUGGUAUUUUUCUUGGCUAUUCAAUCACAAGCAAAACUUAUAGAGUGUAUAACAAAAGAACUUUGAUUGUGGAAGAAUUUAUACAUGUUAUAUUUGAUGAAUCUAAUUCUUCCUCUAUGGAGAAAGUUGUGGUUGAUGAUAAUGUAGAUGAAAAGUUACAAGAAGAUUAUCAAAGGAUAGCCAAAAGAAUGCCCCACUUGAAAAUCAAAAGGAGCAACAUGAAGAAAUAAAUGCGGAGUAAAAUGAAGGUACUUUCUCAUACAUUCCCAAAGAGUGGAGGUAUAUUUCUUCUCACCUUAAGAACUUAAUUUUGAAAGAUCCAUCACAAGGUGUAACUACUAUAUCAUCACUUAAAAAUAUAUGUGAGCAUUUGUAAUAACGGAUUUGAUCACUCGUUCUUUAACUCAUAAUUAUGGUUUUUCUUAAUAGUUAUGUUGAUUUUGAUGAUCUAUAUAUUGGCAUAUGUUGAUUUUGAUGAUUUAUAUAUUGUCAUUAUGUACUUAUGUUUUUACUUAAGUUUUGAUGAUAAAGAAUGUGCAUUGAUGAUUACAUUGUAUUUGAUGAAGCUUUGAUCUUAUGCAAUCUAUGAUUGGUGAAUGAAUGCAUUUUUUGUACUUUAUCGAUGUAUUGUUGAAUAUGUCUUACUUGUUUUAAAUGAUAUCGAAAAAGGGAGAAAUACAUAUACUUCGAGAAUUUUAAGCAUAUGAGAUUUUUUUUGUUAUAUUGAAAUGUCACAUUAGAUAUUUGAUGAGUUUAGUUGUCUUUAUUUAUAAAAUGUGAUUGAUAAUUAUGGAGCUUGAAUAUUUGAUAAUAUGUAUGCCAAUUUGGUAAAUAAAUCAAAACCUCUUUGCGAAGAAGAAUUUUCAAAAAUUCGGCAUAAACUUGGAAUGAUUUGAUUUCUUGAUGAUUUUGGUAAUUGAUGAUUAUAUGUGCGUUGCUUGAUGAAUUGAAGGAGUUGUUGGUUGGUUAUUUUUGUUUAAGCUUAUAUGGAAGUGUUUUUAACCAUGUUGUGUAUUUGAGAAUUUGUUCAUUUUCAAGGAGGAGACAAAUAUAAUAUAUUUUUGGAUAAAAUCAUUUCGGUUAAAUUUUUAAAUUGGCCAUAUAUUUAGGGAGAGCAUAUAAUAUGAUUUUGGAUAAUAUGCAUUUUGAAUUUUUUUGUUGUCCAAAGGGGGAGACAAAAUAAUAUAUCAUUUCGAUGUUAUCAAAAGGAGGAGAAUAAUAUGCAUUUUGAGUAAUUGUUUUGAUAAUUGGUAUUUGAUUAUAUGAUGAUGAUAAUUUGUGAGUAAUAUUACUAAAUUUGUAUUUGAGGUGAUGAUUGUUGUUAUGAGGAGAUUCUUUCAAAAUUUCUACUUAAACAUCAUGUGUAACAAAUUUGCUACCUUUAUUCUUUUCCUUUAUGUUUUUUUUUUUAUGAUGAAGGGGGAGAAGAAUACAUGUUUUCAAAUUUAUAAAAAUUUGCUACUUUUUUCUUUGCCAAUUAAGUUUUUCUUUUUGAUGAUGAGGUGGAGAAAAAUCCAUGUCUUUAAAUAUGUUAAUUUAGCUAAUUGGCAAAUUGUAAAAGAAGAUUAUAUUUAGAGGGAGCAAUUUGUGGAAUCAUUAUUUAAAUACAUGAAAUGUUUGUCAUCAUCAAAAAGGGGGAGAUUGUUAACAUAUAUGUUUUCAUAAUGUUGAUUUUGAUGAUAACAAACAAGAUUAAGAAUGAUAAAUCUUUUAAGCUCAAAUUAUUUUUUAUACAUUUUAAAUAAAUCAUUAUUUUUACAUUAUAAAUGUUUUAUAUUUAAUGGAAAAAUGAUUUUAUGAAAUUGAUUGUUUUUAUUCUUUUUAAAUAAAUCAUUAUUUUCACAUUAUAAAUGUUUCAUAUUUAAUGAAAAAAUGAUUUUAUGAAAUUGGUUGUUUUUCAAAGUUUAUGGUUUAAUUGAAAGAAUUUUGAAAACUUUGAAAUAAACAAGUAUUGCUUGAAAUUUUGGAGAAUGACUUAUUUGAAAAGUGUCAUAGCAUUUUGGGCUAUACUAUAAUUUCAAAAAGUUUUGGGAUUAACAAAGCAUUACUUAGAAAUUCUGAAAUUGGACCUAUUUAUAAAAUUUUAUAACGUUUUGGGCCGUAAUACAGUUUUAUAAAGUUUUGUGGUCAAACUAUAAAUUUAAAAAAUAAUUUCAUUGUAGCAAUCACUGUAGCAAACGGCUAACUGUUUAUUUAAAACGGCUAACCGAUAAUUUCCAGAAAGUAUGUUCUACAAAGAAUUGUUAAAAUGAUGAUUCUGGAACAUAAUAGUGAACCGUUUAUUGAAAACGGUUAACCGAUUAUUUCCAGGUUGCUAACCUUGAACCGUUUAGUAAGAACGGUUAAACUAAAUUUGUUUUGUAGGUCUCUGGAAUUUAACGGCGAAAGGGUAAUCCUAAACGGUAAACCGUUUAUUUAAAAAUUUGCCCAACGGUAACUUUAACCGGCCUAAACGGUUAACCGUUAAUGGUCAACGAUGAACCAUUUUCGAGCAGAUAGUCUAUAACGGCUAGUUUUUCAGCUCCAACUAUAAAUAUGCUCAAUCCAAUUCAAACAAGAAGAAUUCCAACAAUCAUCAUUGAGCAAAAUAUUGAGAAUACAACUUUCAUUGAGCUUUAAAUCCUUGUAUUCAUCUCAUUCAUUCACAUAUUGAGCUUUCAUUUGUGAUCAAACACAUUGUGGGAGAGAGAUUCAUUUGUAAUCCUUUUUGUAAAAUCAAGUUAAAAGAUUGUAAGUGUUGGGAUACACUUGGGUUAAGAGAUUGGGGAUGAUCUCUUGUUGUAAAGGUCCAUUGACACCUUGGAAAUUAAUUGUAAGCGUUUGAAGCCUUGGGAGGCUAGCUUAAUAAAAUCAUCAAGCCCGGUAAGCUUGGAGGCGUGGACGUAGUCGGAGAUUGUCGAACCACAUAAAAAUCAUUGUGUUUGUUUUCUCUUCCCUUACUCUUUUAUAUUGUGAUUGAUUUAUUUGUUAUUGUUUUAAAUUAGUUUUGGAUUUGCAUUGAGUUUUGUUUUAGAAUUGAAUAAUUUUUAAUAUCCCAAUUCACCCCCCCUCUUGGGUUGCCUAGUUAGUAUUUUAGAAACCUCUUCUCAGACUCAGAAUGAACAUAAUGGGUUUUAAAAAGAUUUAAACAAUUUAUGGCAUUUAGGGUUAGGAUGUCUAGGCUCGGCCCAAAGUAGUUUCAUCAUUGUUGGAACCAAUUUGGAAGGCUUUGUACGGUUAUUUUUGAGUUAAAGAAAAAUAACCAAGAAUGGGUCUUUUUGGGGUUUUGAAUAAAAAAUGUGUUAAACCAAGCCUGCUGGUAAUCCCAGUAAGAAAAAGAUAGGCAAUGAUUUAAACGCAUUUGGAAAUUGGCGGGAAAGGUUUUUUGUUUGUGGAGUUGAUCACCCCAUUAUUUUGGGCUCAAGACUUUUAAGAUGGUGGCUGUAGAGUAAGCCGGCUCAUGGUGAGACUCACUAAGAAAAAAAUGUUUGAAUUUUACAGACUCAGUGAACUCAAGAAUGAUUUGGUAAAAAGACUGGGGUUUUGACAAAUCCCAUGGUUUGAAAAACCAGCCUUUCGGGAAAAUCUUUGUAAUGGCUUGAAAUGGAUCAGAGUGAUAAAACCCAUCUUCCAUAGAUAAAACAAUUUGAUGAUAGGUUUUAUUAAUCCAAUCCGAAGAUUUUUGUGAAAGCUUUGAUUGAGAAACAAUAAUUUGUGAAGAGAAGCUUUCACAAGAAAUAACUUCUUUAGAAGAAGAAGGUUUUGAAGUUGCUUUAGAAACAGAUUUUUCUUUCUUAGGAAUUUGAGAAAGAGUUUUAUUUUGGAAAAUAUUUUGUAAGGCGAGCAUAACCUCUGGGGACUUUGUAAUGGAACUCAUCCAUUCUUUUACAUGUUCUUCAGAGUAAUGCCUUAGAAUUGGGCUCAUGUUCUGACAGUAUCAUGAAUUUAUAGGCAUGCAGAAAGAAAGUAACUGUCCUUAGAAGGGGUUGUCUGGGUUUCUUUAGAGAGUGUUUGUGGUUCAGGGUCUUUAAGAAUACCUUUGCCAUGUCUCUUCGUUUGGGCGGCAUUAUCUGUUUUGAAGAAAUUCUCUUGUUAGAAAAUCAGGGAUAGAAUUUGUAUCUCCUUUAAUGAAUUCAAUGUCAAAAUAAAAAACGCUUAAAAUGGCUUGCCAUAUUGCAAAAAUAUAUUUUGAUGCAAUGUUUUGAACAUCCUUUUCUAAAACAUGUUUUGCAGUUUUGCAAUCAAUUCUAAGUAAAAAUUUUUUAUUUAACAAAUCACUUUGGAAUUUAGAAAUGCAUAAAACAAUAGAAAGAAUUUCUUUUUUAAUAGUAGAGUAAUUUCUUUGACAUUCAUUCCAAUGAGCAGAAACAUAUUGUACUAUUUAUUCUUUAUUAUUCUCUUUUUGCUUUAAUAUUCCUCCAUAUCCUAAGUCUAAAGCAUCAGUCUCAACAAUUUUAGGCAACGCAGGAUUAGCAAGAAAUAAACAUGGAAUAUUUUGAACAAAAUUUUUUAUGAGCUUAACAACUUUAGUGUGUUCAUCAGUCCACACAACAAGGUUUUUCUUUAAUCUAUCAUGCAAAGGUUUUGAAAUCCUAUUGAUAUUAGGACAAAAAUCAAGAACAUAAUUUAAACUACCUAAAAAUCUCUGCAAUUGAGUUUUGUCAAGGAUUUUAUCAGGAAAUUUGUUAGCAAAUACAAGAGAUCGCUCAAUAGGUGUAAUGGUUUCUUUGGAAAUGUAAUAACCAAGGAACCUGAUUCUUGUUUGAAACAAGGAAACUUUAGAACUAGAAAUGGCUAAACCAGCCUUUCUAGUGGCAAGGUAAAACAUCUUUAGAUGUUUGAAAUGUUGAUCGAUUGUUUGAGAAAAGAUCAACACAUCAUCAAUAUAGACAAUGCAAAAUUCAGAGAAAGGAUUAUAAAUAUCAUUCAUAAUGGUCUCUAAAAUUCUGAUGGUGUAUUCUUUAAUCCGAAUGGCAUUACAGUCCAUUCAUACUGUCCAAAAGGAACAGUAAAUGCAGUUUUAUAACGGUCUUUUAGAUGAAUUUGAAUUUGCCAAAAUCCUGAUUUCAUAUCAAACUUAGAAAAUAUGAAAGCAUAAUGCAGUUUUUGGAGUAAAUCCUUUUUAUUAGGUAUGGGAUACCUAAUCCAUUUUAAUGCUUUAUUUAGGGGUUUGUAAUUUAUUACAAGUCUAGGUGUUCCUCUUUCUAUUUCAGAGUUCUUAUUGAUAUAGAAAGCGGCACAAGACCAUGGAGACCUAGAUUUCACAAUGAGUCCUUUUGACUCUAAGUCUUUGAUUUCACUUUUACAGUGUUGUUCUAAAUCCAUGUUCAUUUGGAUAGGGCGGGCUUUAGUAGGUAUUUGUCUUUCAUCAAAAGAAUUUUCAUAAGGCAAAUCUACCAAAUGUUGUUUUCGGUUCCAAAAGGCAGAUGGUAAAUCAACACAUAUUUAUUUCUCAAUUAGGGUUUUAAAAUCAGAGAUUUUUCUUUGUAUAAAAUCAUUUUGUAAUUGGUUUUCAAUUCUUUGUAAACUCAAAUCCUUUUUUAAACAAACCAAGUCAUUUUGUUUAGAUUUGAGAAGGGCAUUGAUUUGGUUCUGGUAAACAGAACAAGUUUUAACAAUAUUCAAAUUUCUAGUUUUAGGCUUUUCAAUGAAGGGAAAAAUAAGUUUUCUGUUCUUUGCUUUAAAAGAUAUACUAUCAUAAUUGACAGUAUAUGGAGUAAUGAGAUUGAUAAAGGGGGUUCCUAAAAUGACAGUAUGGUGUAUGUCAUUUGUAAGAAUAAAAGAAGUCUGAAAUUCAAAACCAUUGUUAUGAAUAGAGGCGUCUACUUUAGAUUUGACAUUAAGUUUUGAAUUAUUAGCGGCAGAAAGUCUUUCCUUCGUUUUCUCAUGAAACUUUCUCGGGACAAUAUCUUCUUUAAUCCAAUUUAAAUCAGCACCAGUGUCAAAGAGGGCAAUGGUGUCAAUUUCAAAAUCUUUAGAAAAUAUUAAGGUAAUUUUAAUCAAGUACUUUCUUGUGGUGAUUUGUUUUAAAACAAACAGAAAAUUAUUGGGUAUAGAUUCAAUGUUUUCGAGACUUUAUUCUCCGUUAUCACCAUCAGAUUCUGAUUCUUUAUCAGAAUAAUCCUGUAAUUGUCUUUGUAAGAGGAGUUGGAUAGUAUUAGAAUCAUUAUUUUGUUUUUCUUUUAAUUCUUUUAUCUCGAGUUUGAUAUCUUUUAUUUCUCUUUGAAGGUAUUGGAUAUUGGGAAUUGUUUUCUUUGUUUUCUUUUUAUCCAAGAUUUCAGUUAGAUCGUAAGUAUUCUUUUUUAUCAUUGGGGUUUUAGAAGUUUCUGUUUUAUCACCUACUUCUGAGGUUUUUAGAAGUUUAUCAAGGUAUUCUCUUUGAAGAGUAGGGUCAGAAAUGUGUUUGACUAAUUCUAGAAAAGUUUCUUGAUCUUUAGUCAAUACAUUGAUUUUCUUUAAACGAAAUUCUAUGUCAGAAUCACUACUGCUUGAUUCUGAAGUAUCAGAAUCCAUCAAUUCAUCAAUUUAUAGAGGGUCACUGUCUCCUGUCAUGGAAGACUCAGAGUCGGAAGACUCAGAGUCGGAAGACUCUACAAGUAAAGAGGCAACUUUAGAAAGUAUUUCUUCGUCAAGGCCAAGCUCAUGGAGCUUUUUGUUCAUCCUGCAAAAUUUUGCAAUAUGGCAUUUCUUUCCACAUUUGUAACAUGUGGCUUCUUUGUAGUUAAAAGGGGUUUUUUGUUUAGCCUUAAAAUCCUUCUUUUUAGAGAAGUUGAGCUUCUUAUAAGGCCUUAAAGGUUUCUUAUAAGAACGUUCUCUAAAAUCUUGAAAGAGUUUUUUAUGACCUUUUGAUUUGUAAUGUUUCUUGUAAGGUUUUGAAGAACACUUACCAUUACAAUCUUUAGAGGUGGAAGUUUUAAGGGGAUCGUAAUUGAAUUGCUUACAGAAACUGCUUAAUUCUUACUUAGAUUGUCUAAGCUCCCAUUUUAGACGUUUCUGAAGUUUCAAGUCUUGACAAAUCUUUAAACAUUCCUUAUUAAUAAAGCUAACUAAUUCACCAUAGGUGAGUUCGUCAUAAGGAAUACGGUUGUCAUACAAGGUUUUAAUAGAAUUCCUAACCUUUCUCCUAAUAAGGUAGGUAAACCUGCAAGGAAUUUUUCCUUCCAAGUUAUAUGAUUUGCAUCAUCCCUAAAGAAGAGUCUGGUAAAGAAUGUGGUUUUGUAGCUUUGGAAUUCACUAAACUUCCUACAUCUCAGGUUGUGUAGUAAGUCAGCAUUCUUGUCUCUAAGGUGUGAAGGAUCACCUAUGAAAUGAAGGGAUAUAGUCAUAAUCAGGGUAGCAACUGCAUCCUGAAUUGGACUAUUGAACUUGUCACAGAUGGGGGCUCCAUUCUCAUCUGUUUAAAUUGAAUUAAGGAUAUCUAAUUAUUGUUGUUUGGUGAGAAGAUGAUCCCACCAACCUUUAAGUUGACAAGUAAAACCAGCAAUGAGAAUUUCUGCAAUAGCUUUGUCAGAAGUUCCCGACUGAGUUUUAUAUGCAUUUGCUGCCAUGGUCAUUUGUUGUAACAAUCCUAGAAUGUUGUAUUCCGACAUCCCAUCAAUGUUCCACUCAUAGACAGAGGAUGCAUUAAAUCGUGAUUAGUUUAAUGCGCUAGGUCUAUUGUCUAUGGCUAAGUCAGGUGGAGACUUGACAAUAGGUAGGGCUAACUCACAAUGCAUUUUAUUGGCUUUAGAAACAGGUUCUUCAUUAAAGGCUUCUAUAUCAAAAGAGGCUAUAGACAUCUUCUCUUGUUCUAGUACAUAAAUUUUACUAGAUUGGGCACUAUCAGGGGCUAUUUGGACCUUACUAGACGAGGAAGAAGCUUCUAUUUUAUCCAAUUGGUCUCUAAUGGCUUUAGGAAAAUCUGAUUUUGACUCUUGAACAAGCUUUUGACUAGUUUUCGAAACUUGAAAAGGUUUGAAAAUAGGCUCUUUAAGCUUUUUGUCAGAAUCUGAUUUUGAUGUAACAGGAGAAACAGCUAUGGUUGACUUCUGGAAUUGGCUUUCUAUCCUAGUCAACUGUUUUCCUAAUGUAUUUAGGUUAGCAUUACAGAAAUUAUUCUGUUGAAUAAUACUGCCUAAAUUUGUCUCGGGAUCAUUUGGUUUAUGGAUUUUAUAGGGUGAGGCUUUUAUCUGAACAUGAGGUUCACCAUGAUCAAUGGUUAGACUCCUAAAUGGAGGAUGUUCAGAUUCUAUAAUCCUAUCACUAUCAGAAAGAUUCCAUUAAGUGAUUUUCUUCCUAACAGUAAUGGGAUUUGAUUCUUUAAAAGGAUAAGUAAUUUUGUUAUCCGAAGCAUACAUCUCAAACCAAUCAAAAAAUAAUAUAUGAAUUUUAUGUAAAUUUACAAAUUCAUAAUAGACUUGUUGGAUCUCUUUCCUUUGGUUUAAGAAAUGUUUGAAAAACCAAAGUCUUUUUUCUUUAUUAGUGUCAGAAUAAAAAUCAUUGUGAAGAAGAGUUUUAUUUAAUUCAAAAUCUUUUUCUAUGACACUAAUUACAUUUUUUGUGACAGCUGAAAAUGUAGGAGAAGUUGAAGGAGAAUGUUCCUUCUCUUCCUGGCUUUGUUCAUGUUGACGGCUAGUGUAAAUGGGAUGUGGAACACUAGUAGUAUAGUCAACAGAAUGUAUAGAAGAACUAGGUAUAUCCGAUGUGGAAAACCUAGGUUGGCUUUUUACUGGUUAGAAAGGGAGAUUUAUAACGGAAUGAAUCUUUAAAAAUUUCCUUUCUAAUGAAGGAAUACUUGAGCAUGAAUCUUUAUCAGAGAAUCUAGAUGAUGUAGAUCUCCUAAAGGAUAGUUUGACUUUACUAUCAGAAUACUAAGUCACAUUUUGUAACUCUGUAUUUGGCUCAAGUUGUUUAGGAAUCAUUGGUUUAGUGGCUCCUUUUAAGAUCCAUUCUUCAAGGAGGUUGACAUCCUUCCAUUGAAUUGGUCUAGAAAUAACAGUAUUGGCUUUAGACAAGUCAGUCUGCAAGAGAAGAGUUUCAUCUCUUUUUUACUGAUAUAGAUGUUUUGUAUUGGUAAACGCAGAUAUCAUGGCUUUGUAAGAUAUUCUGAAAAUUAGGGCAAUCGGAACAGAUCCUUCAAUCAUGUUGUAAUUAUGGGUUUUGAUCUGUAAAAUCAUGCUUUUCAGAAUGUUUUUAUCUUUAAGGGAAACUGUUAUAUUUGGAUAACAGCUAAAAGAUAUUGGUCCUUUACAAAGGCUUGAUUCUAUACUACUUAGUAAAUAAUCAUCAAAAGAGAUGAAUCGUCCAUCUCUUAGGACGGCAAGGAUAGAAGUCUUUAAACAUUCUUUAGUAAGGGGUUUUAUGCCGACUUGUAUUAAGCCGAUGUGAACAUAAUUAAAAUUCUUUUCUUUUAAUUUCUUUAAUGAAUGUUCUGUAAAUAAUUGAAUUGUUUCAAAAGGCUUUGAAAUGAUUAUGUCACGUUCUUCAGUUUUUAUGACAUAAUCAUUUUUUAGAAAGUCAAGCUUUUUUGUUUUGUAAAUCAUUUCUUUAGAAACCUUAGGAAGUUCCCAACAAUCAAUUGUUUUAUUGAAGUCUUCAAUUACGAAUUCUUCUGAAUUCAUAACAUUCUUUGAAGCACUAGUUCUUCUAGAGGAGGAGCUAGAAAAAGACGAUGCUCUACAGAGUAGAGAAUCCAUGAGUAAAAACCUAUAUUCUAGUUUUAGUUCUGUAGGUAUGGCUACAAUCCAAGGCUAAGAAUUGGUUUUACUGCCCUUCAACCAAAUCGGGACUUACGACCAAAUGCUACCAAGGCACCCAGAGGUAGCACUCACCACACAAACAAUGUUCAACUAAAACACAAGUCUUUAAUCACGAAGUCUCUAUCCUAUAUUACACUAUCCUUCCUGUGGCUCUGAUAUUGUUGUUUCAAAAAAAAAGAAAAAAAGAAAAAAAAUUGUUGUUUCAAAAAUCAAAAUAACAAUAAUAGGUGAAAUCCACCUUACAACUUCAAAAAAAAAAAAUUCUCUACAUUUUUCUCAAACAUACACUUUGUUUUCCUUAUUUCCCUUCUUUAUUAGCCAUGUCCCUAGCCUAUGUUACGUUCUAAUAAAAAUCUUUCUUGAUUUUAGGGAACUAUAGUCUGAAGUAGAAGCUAGUUAUAUGGGCUAAAAAGAUGUAGUGGUGCAUAAAAAAAUAAUAAUAAUAAAUAAAUAAAUUAGGUUGACUAGCAUUUUUUAUUUGACUUGAGAUCGUAUUAUUUCUAAACUGAGGGCAUAUUUCUUUCAUCUUGUUGAGAGCAUGUGAUAUCACUUCUUUAUUAUUUUUCUCUCUCAAUUACCAUUCAUUGUAGUGACUAUUUUUAUUAGGUUUAAUUUCUUUGUGAGAGUGUCACUAUUUCCAGUGAGAUUUUGGGGUUUGACAUCUCAUUCUUGAAAGUAGCUAUGACAAAGUCUACUGGGCUGAUUCAUGUGGAUAGUUGAUGUGGGUGUGAUGUUUCUUUAGACUGGAGAUAAUGCUUAUACUUUUAUUUGAUUGCUAUCAUUAAUCUGAUUGAAUAAAAACGUAUUUCUAAAAAAAAAAAUCAUUUUGGAUUUGAAUUUUGUUUUCGCUUUAUUUGCUAGGGACUAAAUAUAAGAUGGUUGGGGGGGUGUGUGUUAGAAAAUAUAUAUUUAUAAAGGAGAAAAUCUUCAUUUUACAUUUCAAGUCUUACUAACAACCCUUACUUUUAUGUAUUUAAGGUUAUUGUAAUUUAAUUAUGUGUAUUUUAUUUUAAUUAAGUAUUUUGUAUAUUUUAGGGGCAUCAUAGUCAUUUCACAAUAAACGAGAGAUCAAACGGCAAAACGGACAUCACUUUUGAACUCAGGACGGUCGAAAACCUUAGGAGGAGUAUAAAAGGAAAAAUGGCAUUGUUCACAUAUACAGUACUGUCUACGUUACUGUUCACAUAGACGGAUCAAUGACGUGGCAUUGACCGAUGAUAUGGCAUUGACUGAUGAGGUGUCAUAAUCCUGUUGGUCUAAAAUUCUUAUGUACUGUUGAUGGUGACGUGGCAGCAUAUUAGUGGACUAAAAAAAACGCGCGUACGGUACAUGCAACACAUGGGAUUAUUUUCAACCAAACUUCAUUACUGUUCAAACCGUGUCACUGUUCACACCGCGUGGUCAAAUCGCGUACUGUUCACGCGUACUGUUGACGCAUACUGUUGACUGAUGACAUGGCGCAAUCCUGAGCGUCCAAACUAUUUUUAAUCUGAUGGUCAUGAUUUACUCAGUGUAUCUAUAAAAAGGAGACCCCUGCCCCAUAAUUUGGCAUCUCUGAAUCCAUUUUUGGACUUCAUUUUAUGUAAUUCCUUCUCUAUCUUGUAUUUUCUAUGUAUUUUAAUAAAUUUCCAUUUUGCCCCUAGUUCAAUUAUGAGUGGCUAAUUUUCUUUCAUGGGCUUUAUUUGGUAAAUUUAUUUUCUCUUCUCCUCUAAUUUUUGUGAAUGUUUUGACUUUUCAUUGACAAAUAAUAAUAAUCUUGUCUAGUACCGCCCUGGUUUCACCGGCUCUCUAGUAUAAUGUUAUUAUUAUUUGACACAAUAAGACUUUAGCACCAUAUUGAUCAGAGCGUGUUUCAUGAGGUGUGGAUUCCCCCCUCAUGAUUUAAUUGACAUUAAUAAGGAAUAUUUAGCCCAUGGUGCAUGUUGAUACGGAUCUAGGUAUCCAAGUAUGUCAUUUCAAUAGAAUUCUCUUCAAUUUAUUCUCGUCAUUUCAAUUUCAAUUUUAAGAUAAUAUAAAUCACUUUCACCACAAAUCCAACCACCCUCAUACAAAAUUAAUUCUACACACAAUUAAAAUCCACCUCCUCGUGGGAUCGACACUCGUCACCAUUAAUCUAUACUACAAUAAAUUUGUGCACUUACGAGUUCAAUAAAAUUUGCACAACACAUGGGUCCAAGAGGAUGUAGAUGGCAGCACAUAAAUGCGUUGGCUAAUUUGGCAACAUUCUAUUUAAUUGGCAUGCCACUUUCAGCUGUUCUUACAUUUAAGUUGAAGCUUUAUGUUAAGGUUAGAUCAACUAAUUACUUUUUCAAACUUUCACUAAUUGUUUCACUUCCGAUUCAAUGACUUUAUUAGCUUUAUCAUGUUUUGAAAUGGGUUUGUGGAUUGGCGUAACCUGUGGCCUCUGCUGCCAAGCCAUCACCUCUUAGAACUCAUUGCAUCGUGUAGAAGUUGGACUAAAUUGAGUAUUCUUGUAAACAGAGAGAUAGAAAUGUCUAUUUUUGUUUAACCAAGUUUCUUUGUGAACUAAGAAACAAAAACGUAUAAAAACACAUUACAUAUUAAAUGCCUAACUAGGGGAUUUAGAAAUUUAGAGAUAUGUGUUAAUCUCAAGUGGACCUAUUGGAUGCUGAAACUUCAAUUUAUUCAUUCAUAUGAAAUAAUGCUUGAAAGAAUUUUUUAUCUAUAAGAGAGUUCAGUAAGUUCAGUAUACUAUGUUUUUGUUUCCGAAAUGUUCCAUAUAGGGCAUGUUUGGUACAUUGUAUUAUAUGAUAUUAAAAUAUUAUUUACAUUAAAAUAAUAUCAAACCCAUGUUUGGAACAAAAUUGCAAGGAAUUAAGGUGGGGGGCUAAUGCGUCGGUUGACGCAUUAGCUUUGCUUCUUUUUUUUUUUUCGUUUUGCUUUUGCUUUUAACUUUUGCUUUUUGCUUUAUUAUUAUUAUAAUACUAAAAUAAUAAAUAAAUAUAGUUUUUAAUUUAAUAUAAUAUUUUUAUUUUAUUUGCUUUUACAUUAUAAUUAUUAAUAUAAAUUAAUAAAUAAAUAAUUUAUCAUUCAAUAAUAGUAUUUUUUUAUUUUUACAUUAUAAUUUAUUAAUAAAUUUAUAACUUAUUAUAACUAAUAAAAAUAUUUAAAUUUGAAUAAAUUUGAAUAAUAUUAAUUUAAAAUUAAUAAUAAUAUAAAUAAUAACAUAAACUAUUAAUGCAAUUUAAAUAUAUUAAUAUAAUAUAAAACAUUAAUAUAAUAUAAUAUUUAAUUUAAAUUAAUUAAAAAAAUAAUACAGUACAGUGUAGCACCAAACAUUAUACAACAUUAUUAUAAUACAGUGCUAAUGCAAUACAGCAUAAUACAAUACACCAGUAUUAAAAUAAUGCAUACAGCAUAAUACAAUGCAGUGUGCCAAACGCACCCAUAAGGUAGUCAAAUUGUAAAUUAUGGACAUCUUCUCUCUACCUAGAUGAAUUUAUUUAGUUUUGAGAAAACUUUAAAUAUAUUACAAUCGAGGGUCUAGGAACCUAAAUUUAUACACUUAGGGUGCGUUUGACACAUUGUAUUAUAUUAUGUUAUAUUGCAUUAUUUUAAUGUUGGUGUGUUGUAUUAUGUUAUAUUGCAUUAGUACUGUAUUAUAAUAAUGAUGUACAAUAUUUAGUAUUACACUAUAUUGUAUUAAUUUUUAAUUAUAAAAUAUUUGGUAUUGUACUGUAUUGUAUUAAUUUUUUUGUGAUUAAUUUAAAUUAUAUAUUCAAAAAUAAUAUUUAGUAGUACUUAGAAAUAUAUUAAAUAUAAAAAUUUUAAAUUUUAGAAAUUUAAUAUUUAGAAAAAUAUUAAAUAUUAAAUAUUUAAAUUUUAGAAAUUUAAUAUUUUUAAUAUUUAUUAUUAGUUAUAUUAAAUUAUAAAUCUGCUAAUAAAGUAUAAUGUAAAUAUAAAAAAUAUAAUAAUGUAAAAUUAAAAAUAUCAUAUAAUAUUAUUGAAUAAUAUUUUAGCUUAUGGGAUUACAUUCAAUCCAUUUUCUUCCGCAUAUUCCUUCACAAGAUCCCAUAAGAAAUGUUCAGCACCAUAAAAUUACGGCAAUUUUUUUUUUUUUUUUUUUUUGGUCUAAGAGGCUAUUGACUUUUCUAGUAAAACUUUGUUAUUCAUCAACUUAGCAGUUGCUUUGCCUGAAGACUUGCUUCUACCCACACAUGAAUCCAUCGAAGAUCUAAACCAAUAAAUCUAUACAAACCAUUAAAUAAUUCCACUCUCACUUCGUUAAACUAUAUCUUGAACCAAUGCUUGAAUAGAAAUUCUAAAGUACGAGUAUCUAAACGCGAAUUUCAUUCAGGCUAUUACAUUUUAUGGCAUAAAAGUUAAUUGAACAGAAACACUAACGCUAUAUGGUGUGAUAAUAUAUCUGGAUGAAAUUUAUUAGCUACACUAUGACAAGUAAUAGUAUCUUUUAGGGCUAUUAAAAAUACCUAAAGUAAAUUUAAUUUAAAUAAAAAAAAGAAUCAGAAGACUUAAAGAAGAGAUUGUAAAUUAAUUUGGAUGGGCGAUUUAGGUGCUAAGAUAAAGAAAAUGCAAGGCCUAAGUUUGAGAGGAGCUUAUUAAUUUAUACAUAAAACCUGAAGAAGAAUUAGGGUUGGCAAAAUUUUCAUAUCCGGAUGUGGACAGAUAUUCCGGAUAUCCGGAUCCGCAAAAACUUAAAAUUAAAUAAUUUAAAAUAUAAUUUAAAAAUUCAACAGUUUAAUUAAUAAUAUCAAAUAAAAUUUAAUUAUAAUCCAACAAUUAACAAUUUAACAUAAAUAACAUAUAACAUCAACAUAAAUCCACAAAUAAAAAUAUCACAACAUAAGUCAAAUAUAAAAAAUUACUGACAAAUUAAUUCCAAUCAGGCGAGGCUUACACGGCCAGGGUUGAACGAUAGCGAGGCUUCUUCAACGAGUACCGCAAGGCUUGGACAACAAGGCUUCAACGACAAAUCAAGCAAGGCGAUAGAAGACAACGACCAGUUGAGAGCGAGAUUUGAGGGAUACGACUUAUGGCUGCUGGUGAGGUGAGUGUGUGUGUAUGAAAGUUGAAUGAAGGAAGCGAGUGACACUGACAGCUAGGGAUUAGAUUUUUUUUUAAAUUUAAGUUAAUAUAUUUUAAUUUAAAACAAAAACCAACCGGAUCUGGAUAUCCAGUUUUCCAAAUGCAAAUGCAUCUGGAUUCAUAUUCAGAUAUGUGCGGGUUUUAGUUUUUCAAAUCCAGAUCCGCAUUUUCAAAAAUAUAAAUUUGGAUUUUUCCAGAUCCAUAUUUUAUGGAUCCUUACGGAUGCAGGCCGAAUCCAAAUUUUAUUACCAUUCCUAAGGAGAAUGAACAUAUUAAACCAUAAACAUUGCUUCUUGGAUGAAUAUAUGGAAGUCAGGGUAUGUUUGAGAUUGCUUUUGCUUCCCAAAUAAUCUAUUUUAGGCUAGAUUUUGAAAUAAUCAACUUUGCUAAUAAUUUGGUUGCUUGUUUGGUAAAUUUAGAUUACAAAAUAAUUACUUCCCAAUAAAUUUGCUAUACAUGUUUGGUAAAUUGAUCUUAAAUAUAAGGUGUCUAUGUAAAAUGAUUAAAAUAUCCACAUUUUGUUAAGAAACUGGUAUUUUUAUUCAAAUUUCAAACUAAUUAUUAAAUAAUUACUGAAAUUAUAACAACUCAUCUUUUAUCAACAAAUAAAGCACAUAUGCAAUAGAUAAAAAUUGUUUUUUAAUUAAAUAAGUAUAUUAUUAUUAUUAUCAUCAUCAUCUAAUAAUUACAAAAUAUUUUUUGUUGCCAACCUUACCACCAUUGCCAACACCGGAGACAGUAAUCGUUCAUGUUCAUUCACUAUAGGUAUCAUUGGAUCGCAAAUUAAUUUUGCGAUCUACUCAAUAGUGGAACUUAAGUCAGUAUCGAAGGCUUUGUAGCGAAGCACAUACUGCCCAAGUGUAUAUGAAAACUGUGUGGCAACCGCUCAAAGGCAGUGGUAAAGAGCACAAUCCCGCCUGAUUCUUGACUAGCGUUUAUCAACCCAUCAGAUGAUAGUGGCAGGCAGCUUACCUUUAUUUGUCUCCUUUUCAUGGCAACAUUAUAGUAGCCAUUUUAUUUAAGGAACACACGAGGCACCAUCAUUUCUUCUCCGCUAACGACGGCAUAACAGAUUGUGUACGGAAGAUAGUUUGAAGUCUAAUAGGGUUUGUGGUGUCACACUAGGAAUACUUCCACUAGACGCUGAUGAUGGUGACAGAGACAUUGCUGGCACCGGCGAUGGCUUAGGUAUUUUGUUGUUUUUGAAAAAUUAAAUUUCUAAAUAUUAAUAAAUUACGUAAUUUAGUGCAUGGGUAUUUUUGGACAUAUGUUUCUAAGAUAAGGAUAAAAAUGGUAUUGCAGAUUCUAAUAUCAGAUUUUUUUUUUAAAUGUGAUAUUCCAAAGCUAAUCCUAGUAACUUUUAAUGUUUAGUACAAAAAUAAAUUAUUUGAGAAUCAAAUUUUUAAAUAAUUUAUUUUUUAAAAGUGUUUUUGGGUGCUAAAUUAUCAAAGAAUGAUAUUGAUAUGUGUAUGUAUGUAUGUAGAGAACAUGAUACAUCAUAUGCAUAAUAAAUUGCCAAAAAAAAAUAAAGUAAAAUAAUCAUCCUGAAGAACAAACUAAUUCUUGUUGGGAAUGACAAUGAGCCGGGCGGAACUCGGUUUACAAGUUCCGACUCAGGUCCGUCAUGUGGCGACGGGCUGGUGAUCCCGAUUUUUAUUGAGAAAAGAUAUUUGAUCCUUUUAAUAAAGAUUUUACCUAUUAAAAUUAUAUUUACAUAAGUUUUAAGGGCAAUUAAAGUUAGAAAUAUUUUUAAGUGCAGUAAAUGUAUUCAUGUAUAACGAAUAGUAGAAAAAUUUGUGUGUGUGUAUACAUUAUAUGAAAUCAACGUAGGUAUUGAUGGAAACAAAUAAUGUCUUAAGUAAAACUAUAUGGAAAAGUAUAUUAAUCAUUUAUACAAAUUAUGGAAAUAAAUUUGUGCGAUUCCAUAUACAUAUGUGUAUUUGUUGAAACAAAAUAAUAGAAACGUAUGAGAUUUUUGCAGUUAUCGUAUCAUUAUCACUAAUAUAUUGUAUCAGUUAUAAUAAGGCACUUGGUUUAAUUAUAAUUAAACAUUAAAAAUUGGUACAAUUUUUUAAAAAUUUUUAACACCAGUCUUACGUCGGGCUUGGGCUAUUUCUGUAAAGCCCUAGCCUGACCCCCUCAUAUGGUGCCCGGCGGCGGCCCAAGCUAUAGCAUCAUUUUAAAAUAUAUUUAUUUAUUUUGUGAUUUUAUGGGAAAGUUUUAGAAAUUUGAAGUUACUUGAUCACAUAAUUUUCAUUGUUUCUCAGAACCGGAUUAUGAUCUGAUGGAAUUUGAGAUGUGUUUGAUUGAUCUUAAUUUUUUUUUUAAAAAAAAUGAAAAUAGACAUUUCGAAUAAGUCAAAGUGUCAAACUAAAAUAUAUUAGUAGGGAAGGCUGAGAUUUUUGUCAUUCGAAGAUAGUGAGGGAAUAAUUUUAUAUGAGGAAGGGCAUGGACCAUUUUAUAUCUAAUAUUUUAUUCGAGAAAGAAAUGGGAAUUAGAUGAAUGUCAUCCCCUGUCAAUUUCUCCUUUAUCAUUUUUAAUUUUUAAUUUUUAAUUUUUUGAAAUUGUUGGUGAAUAUAUUUAAAUUUAAAUUAAAUUUUAAAAUAUGAGUGUAAUAACAAAUAUCAUAAUAUUUAUUAAAAAAAAUAUAGGUUUUAUUUAAUAUCAAGACUUUGACGUAACUUGCCACUAUUAUUUAAUGAAGAUCGAGGAGGUCAUUUUGUCAUGAUUUGAAUUGUGUGAUUUUUGUAACAGAUAAUGCAAGAAAUAUUAUCACGCUUUGUUUUUUGGGGAUAAGUUUAAAAGAUGGGAGCCCCUAUGUUACAAUUAAUAUAACAUACACACUCAACAACAACCACACAAAUAAUGGACCCACACAAUUUGUGUGGUUGUUGUUGAGUGUGUAUGUUACAUUAAUUGUAACAUAGCAUUUGCCUUAAAAGAUUGACUUGUAAUAUUGACAGCAUUGACUUAGUUUAAUAGUGAAGUAAUUUUAUAUUUAUUAUUAUUAUUUUUUUAAUAUAGUUAAAUUAUGUUAAAAAAUUAAAGAUAUAAUAGUCAUUCAGGAAUUGUGUACUCUUUAGAGACUUCUAUUCCUUUCUCUCGUGUAAUUCCAAUGGAAACGGAAGGAUAUAAGGACAAAUAGUCUCCCCUUCCCAUUACCAUCAGCAAGCAUGUAGUUAGACGAAUCAAGGUUAAUAUCGUCAUUUCAUUGUCAUUUUGUAUUAGGUUUCAUAGUUUCAUACUGCUUCUAUGACAUUAUUAAUAACACAAGCAAAGAGUAUUUAUUUAAUCAAAACCAUCAUGGAAGGCUUGAAGCUCGGUAGCCGUAACCAGAUCUCGUGUCAACUGUCAAGUGCACAGUUUCUGUAGCCAUCAACGUUUUUUUUUUUGCCCCUGUAUCUGGGUGAGUAUUUUCUUGCCCGAACUUUGUUCAUUCAAGUUAAACUUUUAGAGCUCUUGCAUUAUUCAAUCUAAAUUUUCAGUUUUGUAGGAAAUUGCUCAUGAGUAUCGCGAAUUUAUAAAACUGAGAACCAGAAAAUUACUUUUUAUGAACUGGGUAUUUACUUUUAAUAGCUAUAAUAAUGCGAUUGAAAGCAAAAUUUGAUCUUGCACUUGCUUCACCUGCAUUUUGUCUGUGAUAAUGGUAUUAUGUAUAUAUUAGCAGUAGGAUCGGUGUAGAAUUAGAUUCCUCCGUGAUUUUCAGCUUAAUUUGAGUUGCUGUUUUGUUCUUCUUUAAGCUUUGAUGGUUUAUAUGAGCAUUAUGUUAUAGAGUUUUGUUCAUUUGGUUUUGCUGUAGAGGUACUAGAGUGUUGGCACUCGAAGGAAACAUACUGUGCAUUUUAUGCUUUUUCUCAAUUCAAUUUGUGCUGGAGAUGAUCUUUGAGUCAGUUGGUCCAUUGAAAGGAAGCUUAGGCAUGAGAGCAUGUGGUGGAUGGCGCCGUUUCCUUUUCUUUCUCCCUUUGGUCUUCUUCCUCCCUUAUCUGUUAUCAGGUAAUAGUUUUGGUCUACUUCUAAUUAUUCCGUUUACAGCAUUUCAAUGUUGUAUUUAUUUAUAAAGGGAAUUUUUGCUUGAAUAAUGAUUGGUGUCCAUCUUCAGUUCUGGAAUUGCAUGAAAAGUCGGUUGUAGAAGAUCUUCCCAGGAAAAAUAGACAGAAGUUUGAUCAUCUGAUUCUUGGUCCAGCUGCUGGCCAAGGGUUGCCUAACCGUUUGCAAUGCCAAGGUAGGUUCAUUGUCCUUGUAAAUAAUAUGCUAGUAUUUCCUGCUAAUAUAGACUUACUAUUUCUAUUUUGGAUUUCUAAAAUGAAAUCCUUCUUAAUCCAUUAUUAUCUGUUGAUCAUCUACUUUAAAUUUGAAAAUAGUGGUUUCAACAUAUUUGAAAUUGAUUGGCUAAUUAGCUCCAUGGUAUUUUUCUCCCAAUUGAAACUGGCCCUGCAGUUCCGUAGCCUUUUUCCGCCAAUAAACACGUAUGUGAAUGCUCAAAUUAUGAAUUGGAUCAUAUUGUGUAUGUUUAGAGUUUAUUUAUUGAGAAGUUUCCAUAUUUUUGGAUGUGAAGGCCUUUUAAAUCUCACAUUGUAAUUUAUACUCUCACUCAUUUGGUGGUCAUAUGACAUAAUCUAUGGAAACAUCCUCUUUAAUUGUACUUGUCAAAACUUGUCUUUAACACAAUUAUCAGGCUCUUGCCUACCAAUUUAAGCUUUUGGGUCAAGUGGUUUUACUACCAAUACUAAUGCUGAAGGUUUUAUUCCAUGUUUUCUGUCUCAGGAUUAAAAGCUCUCAACAAGACCUCUUUCCAAGCCUCUAGCAUUGGAAAUAGCAUUUCCUUUGUCACUGUUUUCACAAUUUAUAACACAUCACUUGAUGUUCAUGUAGAUAGCAGAGCAUCAAACAUGGUUACAGUUGGAAAUGCUUCAUAUGGUAAGACAGAGAGGUCAAUGGCGAUACUGAAUGUCUUCAUUAACUUUAUUCAGGCAAGUCUUUGACAAAUCCAUCAGAAACUGGGGUAGAGUUCAUGUUUCUUAUCCAAAAAAAAAAAUCUGAGAAUAACGUUCAUUGAUUUUACAUGGUAAUUCAGAUAUUAACUUUGAGCUUUACUAUUUUUAGCAUCUAUUGUUGCAACUUUGGGAUGACUCAUCUAAAACUUAAGAGCGAUCUUUAUGUUGGUGUAUUUGGGAACUCUUAUCAUUGAUAAUUAUAUUUACAUUUACUUAUUGUCAUAACUACCUUUGUCUAACAUAGUAGAAUUGAGAGCUAUUUCAUCUAUUAAUGGACCUGUAUGGUUUGCAGCUUUCAAAUUUUACUAAUUCAUGACUUCAAACAUAAAAUUAUUGCAGGUGACAAUGCCCAAGAGUGAUGUUUUCAUUCUGACUGAUCCAGCUUCAGACCUCUCAAUGCCCAGAAAAGGGGUCACCAUAUAUCCCAUUCAUGGUGAAUAUUCACGAGACAAAUUGAUGCUUCAAAGAAUCAGGUCUUACAUUGUAAGAGCAAAUCGCACUGAUAAAUAGGUAGAAUGUUUUUGUUUUUCAUUCAUAUUUCUGAGAAAUAAAAAUCAUUUGCAGAAAUUGUCUAUAAUGUCUUAAUUUAUCUAUGUAUAUUUCUGCAGCUUUCUUACCAGCUUUUCAUUUGUAUUUUAUGUUCCCUUUCAAGAUUUUUUUUUUUUUUCUUGUUCUUUCUACUUAUUUUCCCCCUAGCAAUCCUUCAUUGUAGUUUUUCUUUUGCCCCCUCACCAAACUCUUGUGCAGACUCACAAAUAAAUUCAUUUUGCUUUUGGUCUCAUUUCUUGCGAGAAGAACAUUCUAUGCCCUAGUUGCAUUUGCCACAAAGAGUUAAUAGUUACUUAUUCAUAUCAGAAGAUAUCGUUGAAAAUUGUCUUAUUUUGCUUAACGAUUAAGAUUGCAAUGAUAAAAUAAUUAGUCAAGAAUUUUGCUUCUUGAACUAUGAGGGCACUGUUUUGAAUUUUAUGUUUCAAUGUUAUUCUGUUUAUGCAGACUUUUCUAGAAAGAAGAAUUCGGGAGCAUUCUCAGGGGCAAGGGCAUAUAAAUCAUUAUGUCUUCACUGACUCAGAUAUAGCCGUGGUUGACGACUUAGGACAUAUAUUUCACGAUUACCAAAACUUUCAUCUGGCUCUGACUUUCAGAAACAAUAAAGAUCAACCUCUGAAUUCUGGAUUUAUUGCUGUCAGGGGCACCCCAGAUGGGAUUUCAAGGUGCCUAAUUUUCUCCUUCUGUGCAAGGCUUUUUCUACUAGAAUAAAAUUAGGUGGUGGAAAAAAGUUUGAAAUGUUUCUAUUGUCCGUUACGGAGACUUUGAAAUUGAAAUCUAUAUCUUGCAAAUCUUUGUGGGUCAUUGGUUGGAGUUAUUGGUCCAUUAGUUCGUUACAGAUUAUAAGAUACAUGAACCAAUCUUGUCUUUUUCCUAUUUCCUUCUUUUUUUUUUGGGGUCCUUCCUUCACAAUUUCCUGGUGCAUGAAAGGCUGUAUGAAUAAUGACAAUAAAAUUCACUUGAGAAAAUUACAACCUGAAAUUGAUUUCAGGGCGAAGAUAUUUCUUGAGGAAGUAUUAAGGGUUUACAGUUCCAAAUACAUGAAUGCCUCCAGAAUGCUCGGUGACCAGUUAGCUCUUGCCUGGGUUGUAAAAUCGCACCCUUCUUUUGAUGCAAGGAGAUUUACCAAAGCACAGCCCUUUGUUGAAGACAUUAUUGGAGCUUCUGUGCUAUUUCUACCAUGCGCUACGUACAAUUGGACACCACCUGAGGGUGCAGGCCAAUUUCAUGGAAUGCCUUUGGAUGUUAAGGUAUGCUUGAAUAUCUAAAUUCAAUUGCUUAGUUUAAAUAUUUUGUUUUUUUCAUAUGACUUCCUCUUGCUGUCACAUAAAAGUUUUCAAGUGUGCAUUAUUUUAAAAUAUUGAUUUUAUUAUUGUAUAGGUUGUUCAUUUCAAGGGAUCAAGGAAACGCCUAAUGCUCGAGUCUUGGAACUUCUUCAGUUCUUCUUCUGACAUUUCAGAUAUGCUGUGUCUCAUCUUGAUGAGUGGGAGAACAAAGUAUGACUUUUGAAGAGACCUUUUUGUUUUCCCUUUUUUUUUUAAUUUUAUGAUAUUACACAUUCUCUUGAGGGAAUGGCUGAUUUCAUUCAUAUGAACUGGGUGGGGAAUUCUUGGUGCAUCAUGUGAAUUCCAUUUGAGUGAAAAAAGUUGUUUGUUUGCGGGGUAUUUGGUUCACACAAGCCCUCGACACCACCCUUUUCCCACCUAUAAUGUACAUUUCAUAUGAGUAGUGACAGAGGUAGCUGAAUACACACACAGAAACUCAAAAUUAUGGCUCUUGUUAUAGUUCUUGGAUUCCUUUACUCGAGGGUUGAAGAUUGUUUGACCAUAUUCAUUCAUUUCCUGCAGAUUACACUUUUUUUCCUUUUCCACACUUUUGUUGUUGAAUUUUCAAAAUUAGCGGACAAUUUUUAUAUACACACACACACAUGCAUGCAUGUUAUGACUUCAGUAGAUAUGGAUAGGUACAUGAAUGUCAUAGCGCACCCGUUGAUCCUAGACUCUACUAAACAGUAGAUGAGAGUAGGUACCAUUCGUCUACUCCUGUGUUCUAUGUAAGAGAACCACAGCCACUUAAUUCAGGAUGAAAGUCAUAAAAACUUGGAGGGUCAUCCUUCAUUUUAACCCAAAGGCUAUGAGACUCAGUAAACUUUCCCUACACCAAAGCAUGGUUUAAUUAUUUAUGGUGAAAGGACUAAUGGUGGCCAUGAACAGACUAUCUGUCUACUCCUGGGGCCAAGCACUGGAUAUAUGAGCCCUUCGACUUGAGCUGGUCCAAUCUUGCAUAACUGUGAAGUCAACACCAACGGACAAAGAGGCAUUAAUAGUUCAACGGGAAGAACAAGUCUUAUAAUCAAUUUUGGCCGACUAAAAUGUAUUGAUGAUCAUAAAGAUUAACAUUUUAGCCUCCAAAUUUAGCUCGGCUAAUUGUGAGUGCAAUCACAUGAGUUUUAGUGCUAAUAGGAAAGGAGUUGUGAUAAGUGUGUGCUUAGUGAGUGAAGUUUUUCAUCUCAUCCAAGCCCCUAAAUAUUAAGAGUUAAUAGCUCGAGUGAAAUACGUACCGUAUGAUUAUGAACAAAUUUAAGAUACAAUUGAAACGUGUAUCACACGGUUGUGCGAAGAGACACAUGGGAGGCUCCAAUCUACCCCACAAUUGACACUACAUUAAUUUCAAUUGCAUGAUCAACGUUCACGUUCUCUGAUUUUGCCACCUGUAAAAAGAAACAGAAGACCAAAUACUAGGCGUAGACUAAUAAGCAGACAAACAAUAACUUCACCUGGCUCGACUCUAAUAAAGUUUUGGGAUUCAUUGAUUGAUUGCUAUUACUAUUCAAACGGUAAUCUGAAUCUCUCUUUAUAUAUCAACGCCACUGCCUCUAUCUUCACUUUCCUUCUUAUCUCUGAUUUUCCUUCUCCAAUCAAAUCUCCAAAAUCUUUUACUUCCAAGUAAAAAAGCAAUACCAAUAAAAACUUCCAAUUGGCAGAUUUUCUGUGAAGCUUCUGGGUCAUCGUACAUAUCUAUAUCACUUUCAUCGCUAUAUAAAAACAGAAAACACACAAUUCUAGAGCACAUUUCUGUUCAAUGGAGUUUCAGAAAUCUCUUUGCCUUUCCUUGGCUCUCUUUGCAUUUUUCAUCUCUUCCUCUCACGCACUCAAAUUCAACGUGGGUGGCAAACACGGCUGGGUUACAAACCCUGGAGAAAAUUACAACAAAUGGUCUGGGAGAAACAGGUUCCUCGUCAAUGAUACCCUCUGUAAGUCUUAAGGUUUACUCUGUUUCUGUCAGCGUUCUUUGAGGAUUUUCUGUUUGAAUAUCACUGCUUAACCUGUGUUUGGGGGUGACGAUCUAAUGAAAGAAUGCUGAUUUCGAUUUUUUUUUUUUUUUAAUUUAUGGCAGUUUUCAAGUACAAGAAAGGAUCAGACUCGGUGUUGUUAGUGAACAAAGAUGAUUACGACAGCUGCAACACGAAGAAGCCUUUGCUGAAACUGGAUUCGGGUGACUCAGAGUUCAAGCUUGAUCGUUCGGGUCCUUUCUAUUUCAUAAGUGGAAACCAUGAUCAUUGCCAAAAGGGACAGAAAUUAAUCGUCGUCGUUUUGCAUGAAAGGCCCCCCCCUCCCUCAACUGGACCCCCCACCACGAAACCUCCACCGCAUGCCCCGUCUCCUAAGUCUCCUUCUCCGGCCACACAGCCGCCGGCGACUUCCCCCUCCACCUCACCAACAUCUCAUGCACCUUCGGCUAAUCCUCCUAAAGGGUCCUCUCCGACGCCGGCAACUUCACCUUCCACGUCUUCGCCUUAUCCUCCAAAAGGAUACUCUCCAGUGCCGGCGACUUCACCUUCCACGUCACCAUCAUCUCAUGCGCCUUCGCCUUAUCCUCCAAAAGGGUACUCUCCGGUGCCGGCAACUUCACCUUCUACGUCACCAUCAUCAUCCCAAUCACCUGCGGCUAAUGCUCCAACUGGGCUGUCACCGGCUCCGGGAACUUCCCCCUCCACGUCACCGUCAUCGCAACCACCUGCGGCUAAUGCUCCAACUGGGCUGUCACCGGCUCCGGGAACUUCCCCCUCCACGUCACCGUCAUCGCAGCCACCUGCGGCUAAUGCUCCAACAGGAGUAUCUCCCCCGCCGGGAACCUCCCCUUCCACGUCACCGCCGGCGGUUCCAUCGUCACCUGGUAAUGCGCCAUCAUUGGCGCCGUCGAACUCAAGUAAUCCGGCUGGUGGGACGCCACCGCCGUCGCCGUCGGGGUCGCAGACGUCGGGGUCGCAGACGUCAUCAGCAGUGUCUACUCCUUUGAGUUUGGGGUUGUUGGGAGUUUCUCUUGUGUUGGGUUUGGUUUCGGGUAUUAUAUUUGUUGGGGUCUAAUUAGAGAUAUUAUAUGAUUUAGGUUUAAAUUUGUAAUUUUUGGAUCCUAUUGUGGUUCGUUUGUGAAUUAUUGAUUUGUUUGUUUAUUAUUUUCGGAGAAAUAAGUUAGUUUAAUUUUUAUGUGGUCGGAGUUUGUUUUAUUGAAAAUAAUAUUGAUUUAUAUAAAUUGGAUGUUGAAAGUUAUGGAUAUCAUUGUCAUAACCAAACAUUAUUUCUUUCGAUAUAUGAUUUCUAUUAUAUAUCAUCUUAAUUGCUUAAGGCAUGAAAUUUUGAUCACUUCUUGAUAAGGUUAUCCGGUAAUUCUUGUCAAUUUUUUCCAGCUUCAAUCCAUCAAAAUAGUUGAUAGGUGUGUGAUCGUGCACAUGAUAUAACUUGACCUCAUUUGACUUUAUUGUUUCUAGUUAGACUUGUCAUUAUAUACUAUAAUUAUUUAGUUGAGAUUCAUAAUUUAUAGCUCAAAUGAGACUGAUAUUACACUUUUAAAGUAUUAUUUCAAUUUUACAAUGGUAAGUGUGGUCACAUUCAUCCCAUUUGGGUGAUGAGAUGGAAUAUAAAUUAAGUAAUUUUAUAAAUUAUAAAAUUAAUUAUUUAAUUAAUGAUUGUCGCAUCAACUCUGGGGAUCAAAAUAUUACUUGAAAAGUCUUAGUAUAAUUCUUAUGUAUAAGACAUAUGGUUGACUAACACAUUACAUAUGGAAGUCAAUGAUGAAUAUGUAUCAAUUCAAACACAAAAUAUGUAUAAUUACAGAGAGAUAGCGCAAUGAAUAUUAAUUGGAAAGUGGGUUAUAAGAAAAUUAGAAUAUCUUUACCAUUAAGGAAGUGUAUAUAAUACUAGACACUAUGAGUUGGAAAAUUUAAAGGACAGCUUGCAGCAUUAUUAAGUAUUUUAAUGCAUAAAUGGGUGAGGAUUAUUUCAAUUGAUUUGCUACCAAUUUUUUUUCUUUCUUUUUGGGUAUAGGAACGAGACAGAUUCUAAAAAAGAGCAUUUUACACAUGGGGCUUUCUUAAAAUAAUUGAUUUGCUGUCUGUAGUAUCACAGAUUCACAGUGGAUGAUGAUAUCUGGACAUACCGACAUAGAUUUAAAUUUGUAAGUUUUGGAUUUUUAUAGGGGUUUGUUUGUAAAAAUCUUGAAUUGUUUAUCUUUUUCCUCAAAAGUUUAAUCAAAUUAAAAUAUUGGAAUAUUACUUGAUAAUUAUAGUAAUAUUUGCAAGUGAUAAAUAUGCUUCUAUACACGUCAAAUUAUAAAGAAUAAAUAAAUAAAAAUAAAAGCAUUAAUAAACAUAUCUUGGCUAUAGUGAGAAUAUUCGUCCAUUUUAUAAUCCUUUUGUAAACAAACUAUAAUUGGAGGAUACAGAAAGAAAAGGGCAAGGUGAUGAUGAUAAACUUUUGAUUGUAGUUUCAAUUAUCAAAACAAGAACUAUUAAGCUUAUUGAUGAAGCCCCCCAUCUUUUUUGUGCUUUUUAAUGCAUGUUUAGUCAAAUUUUAUCAAUGCGUGAUGGUGGGGCCUAUAAUAUUUUUCCAAUAAAAAGAUUAUGAAAUUAGGGUGUGUUUGGUACAUAGAUUACAGGGUAUUAAAAUACUGUUUAUAUUAAUUUAAUACUAAUAUUUUUUUUUCUUUUUUUAAUAAUAAUAAAUAAUAUAAUUUUUUAAUUUAAUAUAAUAUUAAUUUUUAUUUCUUUUAUUUUUACAUCAUAAUUAUUAAUAAAUUAUUAUUCAUAUUUUAAUUUUUAUUAUAUUAAAAAUAUUACUAAAUAAUGUAUUAUUUAAUUAUAUAAUAAUUAAUAUAUAAAAUUGAUUAAUAAGUACUUAAAUAAUAUAUAAAAAUAAGAAUAUAACUUGAUAUUACAUUUUUUAAUUAUAUUAUAGUAAUUAAUAUAUAAAAAUUAAUAUAACUAAUAAAAAUAUUUAUAUAUGAAUAAAUUUAAAUAAUAUUAAUUUAAAAUUAAUACUAAUAAAAUAAUAAUAUAAAAUAUCAUUACGUUAUGAUAUUAUUUAGAGAUUAUUUGAUUAAAUUAUUUACUUUGAUCUUUAUUUCACAUGUUAUAUAUUUAGAAAAUACCAAAAAAUAAAUGUUAUGUUGUCGAUUAUAAGGCUAUAAACUUCAAUCUUUAUAGAAAAAUUAUUUUUUAAUAUUUAAACUAAAAAAUAAUGCUAAAUUUCUAAAAUUUAAGACUUCUAGAUUUUGUAUUUUUCUAGGUACUAAUAAAUAUUAUUUUGUAAAUAUAUAAUUUAAGUUAAUCAUAAAAAAAUUAAUACAGUACAGUGUAGCACUAAAUAUUGUACAGUAUUGUUAUAAUAUGAUGCUGAUACAAUACAUAUAAUACAUAUAUUAAUAUUAAUAUAUACAAUAUAUAUACCAAACACACCCUUAAAUGAUAAACUAUAUCAGAACGUUCAAGAAUAUCAAAUUAAAGAGAAGGUAUGCGUAGCAUCCUAUCGUUGUCUCAUUAUGAUCAAUUCUUCCAACUUAACAACAUUUGAUGCGUUGGCCGAAAGGGGAGGGUAAAAAAAAAAAAAAGGAACCCUUGGUUUUUUUAAAUAGGCAAAAAGGGGGGGCAGAAAAUCACCCCCCCCCCCCCCCCCCCCUUAUAUUAAACGUUGAUUCUAUGUUUAAGACAAAAAAAACAAUGAGGGCGGCCCUUAUCCCGAAUACUCUAAAUGCAACGGCUGUGGUUUUUUUUUUAUUUUUUAAAAAAGACAACAUUAGUUUAAAGUUUAAACCUUUUUAAUAAUAAAAGAUGAAGAGUUUAUAUUAUUUUAUCGUGCGUCAAGUUUUUUGGCCUUUUAUUUAUCGUCAGGUAUUAUAGUCAGAGUUUUAUGAUUGCCACCGACACACCUGAAAACAUCUAAUCUAUCUAUUUAUACGGAUGUGUGUGUGAGUGUGUGUGUAUUUAGCGACCUCAAGUCAUCUUAUAAAUUUGACGACAUAAAUUAAAUAAAUCUUAGACUAAUUAUUUUUGGUUAAUUUACCUCCAUUCACAUAAAUCUUUAUAAUCAUGCACCACAUAUUUCAUUCAAAAUUUCAAAGUGGAGUUCCCACGAAUGUAUGCAAACCUUUAGUUAAUGUUAUCUUUUUAGCAAAUUCACAUGGAAUUUUGGAGGAUCAAUCAUCUUUUAUAUUCUUCUUUAUCUCAUUAUCUGUCUCUCCAUUAAAAUUUUUGAACCGCUUGUUCAAAAGUGAGACUUUUUCCUAUUGAGUAGAGACACCUUACUCGCUCGUCACAAGGCGAAAACGACACCCAAAUAAGAAAAAGCCACGUAUGUGGGGUACAAAAUUGACAAAAAAGGGUGUCCCAAACAUGUUACCAUCACUCGUUUCUCCACGUAAUCCCCUCCCACGUCAAUCACAGGACAAAAUCUUAGAUUGUUACUUGCAACUCCCCCAACUGAGCUUAUAAUCACAUGCAAACGCACCUAUGUUAAUGUUCCCACCCGUAUUCUUUUUUUGAUGGGGCCCCAACCAUAUUCAAUCAUCCAUCCAUUUUUUGAAGGCUUAACUUUUCCCUGAACUACAGUUCAAAAAAAAUAUAUAUAUAUAUAUAAACUCUCCCUGAACUAACCAAUGGGCCUUUACCAUAUUCAAUCAUCCACCCGUGUUGUCUUUUUGUCACCACCCGUAUUCUUUUUUUGAUGGGGCCCUAACCAUAUUCAAUCAUCCAAUUUUGAAGGUUUAACUUUUCCUGAACGGUCUUACUUCCAUGGGAGAAUCAUUACAUUUAUAAUGGUGAAUAUAAGGGUUCGAGCUUCUAUAAGAAUUUUAUAAAGAUUAAUUUCAGUACUCUCUUAAUUAUUAGUUAAUUGAGUAAAGAUAGUCUCUUCCUUACUUAUAGUGUGAGUAGAGUAGACACCCCUCGAAUAUUAGAGAGUGUUUAAAGAAUUUGAACAAGUGCUUAAUAUUAGUAACAAUCUGUGUAUAACAGAAUUCAAAAAAAAAAUUUCACUGACUUAGCUAAUAAGCUUCAGGAUUAAGGCUAGUUUGGUAAUAUUAUAAUAUUUAAAAUAAUUGUCAUUAUUUGUAUUUUAAAAAUAAUUAACUAGAAGGGAAUCAAUUAAAUAUUUAAUAGAAUUUAUUUUAAAAGUGUUGCGAGUCUUAUUGUUAAACUGUUGUAAGAAUAUAAAUAACUGAAUUCGACAAAAUAUUGAAUAAAAUCUACUUAGACAUUUAUAAGCAUGUAUAUAAAAUAUUUUUGUGUUGUGUAUAUAUAACAAUUAAUAACUAAAAUAAAUAUUUUAUGUUAUUAAUUUUAUUUGUUUAUUUUGUUAUCUCUAGAUAAUUGGUUAUAACAAUAAUCUUUUACUAUUAAUGAUUUUAUUUCUUAAUUAAUAAGAUAAUUUUAGAUUUUUAUAAUAUACCUGAGGAUAUAUAUGAAAUUGUAUUAAGUAUACAAUAAAUUCUCAAAGUUAAAUUUUUCAAAAACUACUCAUUCCCUAUUUUUUAAAAUCUCAUAUAGGAUAAAAUAAUUUUACCAAGAGUGAUUUCUAAAAGAGUUUACUAAAUUAAAUUUACUUUUAGAUUUUCAAAAUCAAUUUUAAACUUUCCAAAAAUAAUCUUAAACAGACUCUAAGUCGAGUGAUUUUCAAAUAAUUUUUUUUAAUUAAUUAUUGGAGAUAGAAUAAGUAGUUAAAAUCUCCUGAAUUUGAUUAUUUGAUAGGACUCGAUCAGGCAUGUGCUCUCGCAACAUGUGUAAUGUAUAGAAGUUUAAAAAAUAUAUUUGAGAUGUUUAAAUUUAGACUAAUAGGAAAUUAACACUUAUUGGGAUGUCGAUCUAUUCAUUGCGUUUGUACAUGGAGUGUCGUUUUGGAGGACAAGCAGGGAAUGCCUUGGUCAAAUCAAUAAAUAAAAAGUGCCGUUUGCUUUCAUCUUCAAGACAAGAAGCUGGAUGGUCGCUUGACAGGAAGAGUUAUUUUCGGUCCAUCAGUAUGUGUCGGCAAGGGAAGGGGGUUGCAAUUUCCAGCUUUGAUUUUUCCAUCUUUGAUUUGGACAUUUCGAGGUGGCAGUCCAUCACCUUUUUAAGUCAAUGGCGUGACUGAAUGAAUGCAAAGACCAAAACAAACAUUUGCCGUCUUGAGUGUGCGCAAAAGACUUAUGAAACCGUACAAGAAAAAAGUUCUGCAAGUGUACAUCAUUAACAGUCUGCAUUUCCAAGUGCUCUGGAACUAGAAGAAAAAUGAAUAUCCUCAAAACAAGUAUUAGAUAUAAAUCCCGGCAUAUCGCAGGGGAACAAACCUUUUUGGACAGCCGGGAAGUGAAAAAUAAGGGCUCAGGGCAUUAUUGAACACCGAGUAAUAUUAAUAACUUGGAAGGCUAAAAUUCUCUAGAGAGAAAGGACACUCAUUGCAUCGUCAAAAAAUACUUUUCUGCAAGUGAGAAGAGUACUAUCACGCGGAUUACAAAUUAUACAACAUGAGGCAAAAAAUGAUACAGAAAAGAUAGAAGUAUGGCCAUGGCACUGACCGUAUGAAAAACUUGGCUGAAAUAGCCUAGCUAGAAGAACCACCAUCUCUUUUGCCGAGCCUUCUGCAACAAAAUAUAAGCAAGCACUGUUUAAGAAUGCAUAAAUAGAAAGGAGAUGAAAGUGCAAGUGUACUUUUCAUGUAGUAAUUUUUCCGAAACAUUAAAGCAAGAUCUAAAAAUUCCUAGUUACACCCAGCUGAGAAGAGACAAAUCAAUUCAAGGUAACACCCUGCCAUACUGCUUAGUGCUUACCCACCCCCAACUUAAAAGUUUAAAAAUAUAUAUAUAUAAUUGCUAAGAAGGGCAGAGAAACCUUCUGAUUCUUAUUCUUAUUUUCAUUCUGUGGAUGCAUUAGAAUAGGCCGAGAAAGGACAGCGUUGUCAAUGUUCUGCACGAAUGGCCGCACCUUCUCCUCCAACAUCUCAUUCAACUGAUAAUAACAAAAUAAUCAUACCCUACUUCAGAAUGCAACAAAAACGUAUUGACAACACUGCAAAUUAGCCCACAGAAAAUGCAGGAUAGUAUUUAGGAAAUGCAAAUCGAUGUAUAUGUAUGAUUGUAUAUGCCAUGUAACAUGCGUGCAUGAGUUCUAAAUGUCAUUCCAUCUUCUGGUAAGCUUCAUGAUUCUUCCUCUUUCAGUUCACAACAGCCAAACUUAUGAACAAGAAUGAAUGCAUAACUGAGUGCAACUGUGUGAAAAGCAAAAUAAUCAGAAAAAAGGCUAAGCUUAUCAACUUUCUGCAGCAAUCAAAUUAAAGAAAAAGUUUUUAACAUUUCUUUUUCUUUUCUAGGUUCUCUUGAUUAACAAAUCAUAGUUACCCAAAAAGACAGAUGUGCAAAAAAUUUUGCCCUGAUUUUGACAAAGAUUUGAAAUCUGAUCUCUUAAAUAAACAGAAAGCUUUUCAGUCAAGUCUUUAUAAAAUCCAUCAUGUUAUAAGCCAUAGUAAAUCUUGUCAGCAAAGCCGUAAUCUCACCCAAAAGGGAAAAAGGAAAAUAAUAUACUGAGCGUUCAAUCAGGGAGAAUAAACAUUAAGUUUUCCAAACCUUUUCUUGCCGCCAUUUAGUUUCCCACUGAGCAUCCAACAUUUUAUCAGCAAUUUCUCUUUGAGCAUUAAGAAGAACAGUCUUCUCAUAUAACUUUUUUGGGUCUUUGAGAUCAUCCUCACUCCAAGAAGAGGCAUUUAGUGGAAGGUCCAGGUCCUGCAAGUGCUCAACAGUUGGCUCCAAUAAUAUUUCCUUAAUUCUAUUUAGCACUACCAACAUGUAAUAAAAAUUCAAGCAAAUACUGGAUAUCUAAACUACAGUGUAUAGAUUAGCAAUAUAGGGUACGCACACCCCAGUUUUCAGGCCGCAGUGGAGGAUCAAGCUUCAUGACUUCUGUCUCUAGAGCCUUCUUGGCCUUGUAGUAAGGGAUGUUUUUCACUAUAACAGGGUCUUCCCUAGCACGGACAGGAUCUAUGGAGAUCAAGGCCUGCAAAUGAUAAAUGAUUUCAUAUUAGUGACUUUGAGCAAUAGUGCACAAGUAGGUAGAGUCCUGCUCUUGGAAUCCUCAAAGAGAAGGAUUGGCGAGAGCCAUUUCCCAGUAGUGGAGUGGACCGAGGAGCAUAGCAUUCGAAGGUCAGCAUAAGGAGCGUAGCGUUUGAGGGUCAGUAUCUAUCUUCUAGUUUUUUUCAUUAUUUAUUUUAUAAUCAUUAUGUUGAUUUCCGGUUGCAUUGUGCAGAAGUUCAAUUAUCAAUACACAGAUAGGAAUAGGAACAGAAAGUGUUUGCAUACAUACACACAGACAAACAAUGGAGUCAUCAACUGAUUGAAAGAUAUCAAUAUAUGUCAUUAAUCAUGAUCCUCACCAAAUAGAAAAAGGUAAAUCAGUUACAUUUCUAAACAGUAUAAAAUCCAGACAAUUAGAACAUCUUGAAUAUUGAAAUCUUUUUCACUCUUUCAUAUUCAUUCCAGGAUAAACAAAUAACUUCGUACAAUCAUGUUUGAUACAUCAAAAUUGGAAAGGGAUUCUGGAAAUGAAAUAGAAAAGGGGUGGAAAAUUAGAGCAUUAAGAAUGGAAUUUCAGUUAUUCAAUAAUAUGAAAAUAUUGCAUAAUUCAUGUGUCCUUUAGAAAGAGAUAGGCCAUAGGGGGGAGUUUCUGUCAUGUCAAGUAAUCCCCACAAACUCACAAGUUCAUCAUGUGUAAGUACUAAGGUCAAUAUUCAAAAUGUGAUAAAACUUCAGGAAAAGGAAACAAAACUGAAACCAGAACUUAAGGACUGGUUAGAUAAAUCAGGACUUGAAAAUUCAUCGGAAGUCUUUUUGUUUUAAACAGAAAAAAAUUUAAAUUAAAGUGCUUAAACUUUUUAUUCAAUAUGAAUCUCUGCAAAAAGGGAACACACUAGAUGGAAACAUAGUUUAAUAAAGACAAAUUUAUAUAAUACUGGGAAGUACUUGGAAAGUAUGAAAAGAAAUAAGAAAUAACAUAAAGUAAAUGAAAUCUUUCACAACUUCCCACAGAAUCCAAGUAUUAACCACAUUGCUUUUCAACAUCCAUCCCAUGGAAACAUCCAAUUGGCCAUGACCAUAUCAUUAUCAUUCUUUUACAGGACAUUACACAGCAGACUGCCAACUUUUUCUUUUUUGUAGAAAAGUCACAUUUGUGAACUGAAAGAGUCAGUGAAUUUCGGAAGAAGAGAUAUUUGCAGUAAGAAGAUUAUCUUACUUCCUGCAAGUGCUCCCAACCGGGACUUCUCUUGGCCACCAACUCACGAAGUUGAUCGUACCUCAUAGAUUCCUAACCAUGCAAAGACCAAAAAAAUACAAUCACCCACCAUUAGCAGCAGUAAUUUCAAAGAUCAAAAUACUGAAUAACCAUAAUAACAAUAUCAAUUCAAUUGUUAGCCUGAAUAUGAGAUGUUCAGCUCUAAGCAUACUGUUAGAGAGUUCAUAUUAUUUUUAUGUUCUUCUUUCAGCUUGCGUGGAAUAAGCAAAAUGGUGAAGCCACAACUUUAGGUAAAAUAAAUAAGAAUUAAAACAUGUGGCAUUUCAUAAAUGGAAGUUCAAGAAUUAGCUGGAACCAUAUAUCCAGUUACUGUUGGGAUGAAAAUAAAAGGUCAAUGACUCUGUGCAGCUAAUGCAUGGAUUAAAAAGAGCAUUAUCAUUAUGCUUUCAAGCUCAGGCUAAGUACUGGUGCCAAGUUUUAGCAUGCUUUUUUACAGACACGGUUUUAACCAAAACUUCCACACACUGAGCAGGUAAUAUGGAAUAUGGGAUGUCAGACUCUAAUUUCUAAAGUAUACAGCAAAAUCAAUAAUCUAGCCAAAACCUUUUAUUAGACAACGCUUAAAGAAAAUGAACAAUUUUAUAAAAUUUUAUGCAUGCAAUGACAUUUUUUAUAACAGCGGCAGAAUCUUGACUUUGAAAAAAUAAAUUUGCAAUCCAUAGUACAUAAGGUGUAGAGAGAGAAAGAGACAGAGAGACAGAGAAAGAGAGAGAGGAUGGAAAAUUGCAAAAUAAAUAGUAACCAAAUAAUAAUAGGGGGAGAAAGAAAAAAUCAUUCUGGAACCUUGUAUUGCCACCAAAUUUUCUGCUUGACCUCAUCAUCAAAGUCAAAUCCACCCACAAUUUGAGGAAAGGUCAUCAACCAGAAUGCUGCAAUACUGGGGUCUCUCAUGCUUUCAACUAUAUGCUGAAACAGUAAACAAAGUCAAAAAACAUAGUAUGAAUUAGAACAAAAUGUUGUUCUAAGGCACUAACUCUGAAAUCUGCAUUAGCUAUAUUUUUAUGUAAAAAGAAUUUAUAGACAGUAAUCAUAUUUAUACAUAAAAAGAACGAUGAUUUAAAAAGCAUUGCAUACCGGGAAAGGAAUAUAGUAACAACAAAGUAGACAAUAAAAUUGACCUUCAAGAAUGACUAUCCCAUGAAUAACAGCAAACUAUAUAUAUCCAUUCGAAAGAAUGUUACAACCCUAAUUGAACGUUUUCCCAAAUCCUGUAAUUCCUUUCCUACAUGGAGCUCCACUGAACAAUUUGAGCAUUUCUUCAGUCAGGGUAAUGCCCAUUGAGGACCAACAAAAGGAAGCCUCAAACAACGUCUUUACAAACUUUAAAAAUUCUUUUGGAGGACUGAAAGUGGAUUGUCCAAUGUUGGAAUGUUUCAAAGAACUUAAAGAAGAUUGCCCAAUGUUGAUAACUACGAUGAUUUCUAAAAUUUUUACAAUUUGUUGUUAAGUAAUCAAGAUAUGUCCUUCAAUUGUACAUUACUUCCAAAGUGUGAAUAUUAACAAAGUUGUGUGAUGAAGCUGUACAAAUAUUAUCAAAUCACCAAAAAGUUUUCCAAUCAAAACUAGAAUAUUGCAAAGAACAAGAAAAUUUGAAAAGAAUUAGAAGAGACUCCAUCAUUUUGAUAAUUACAAACUGCAGCUUCCAUUAGUACAUGAAUCCAAGAUAUGAAGCAACAAGGCUUUUUAAAUAUUCAUAACAGUGAAAGAUUUAAAACUACUGCUAACAAUAAAAUUUUUUUUGAAACGGAUAUGAUACUGACCUCAUACGGGUAAUCCAUCUUUCUCAGUACAUUGUAGGCUUUCCAUGGAGGUUCCAUGAUCUGCAGAAAGAAAACAAGGAUAAAACUGCAUCAAUUCAAAUUUAUAGCAAAUAGACAUCAGUGUAACUAAGUACAGCUCUUUUAGCAGUGUCACAAAUAUCUACAAUUUGUCGGACAUUUCUACAGUAGAAUAUUUGGCGUGUCAAAGAAUUAGUAACACAUCAAGCGUGUCCACCUUCUCCAACAUCUAUGUAGAUGGUUACAGCAUAAUGAGAUUCAUUUUUCGUAGAUUAUAGGUAAUAUUUUGAGGUACUAUGUAAACUUUGUUAUGGAACUCCUACAUACUCACAAGCUUGAUUGUUGUUUUAUUUUCUAUGAUCCUUCUAAACAAACAAAACACGAAACUUUAUGAGUGCACAAACAUAGAAGUACAGACGUACUGUAUCUAAAUUUCUGUAAGCUGCCAUGUCUGGCACUGCAUGUAUGUAUUAAACAAAAAACUCAUUUUUGUAUCCACAGACCAUAUCAUAACAUUGAAGUAUCAAAAAAUUCAUAGAACAACUCACAUCGUCGGCAGAGAUCGUGACUUGUAGCUUGUUUUUGCAUUCAGGACAGCCCAUUACGCCCUGCAAACACAUUUAGUUAUUUCAAUCAGAGAUCAAAAUAAAAAGAAUACAAGUCAAAUAUCUGUCCAGUCUCUUGGCUAUAACUUUCAUUCUUUUUGACCCAAACAAAAUAAUAAUAUGGUUGAAAUAUCUCUUUCUAAAAUGCUGCAUGGGAAUAUAUUCAAAGCAGCAAACUAUCUGUGAGACAAGAAACAUGAAUGAAGGGUGGGAAGAACUUGUUAACUUAGUCACAUGUGCUAGGAAAUAACAGCCUCACCGUUCCAUCACAAGUUGGGCAGUCUUUAGAUGGCAAUGGUGUGUUAAGAUCAAUUGUUGAAGGAAGGUGCACCAACUCAGCUCGAUUGUCAGCAAUGGCAUCUGCAACGUGUUCUGCUGUUGCCUUCUCCCCACUACAAGAAAAUUUACCAUAAACAUCAAAUUACUACGGUUGGAUUGACACUUCAUACUUAUAAUAAGAUAACUAAGAUGAUAAAUCAAUAAGACCAACAGUACUAGCUUCUGAUUCUAAGCGCACGAAACCCUACACAAUUUGCAAGCUAAAAGAAAUCAGACCUCAAGGACACCUGCAUGGAAUCCUCAUGCAUUCAUGAAACUGAUAAAGAUCACAGGAGGCAAAGCAGAGUCUUCACACCUUAGGGAUUCCUAUGCUAAUGUUGAAACCAGUAAUUACAUGAUUUAACUACAAUGUGGUAGAUAUAGUGACCAAGAAGUCAUAUUACAUCACUAUUAAACUAUAUCAGCGAAGACAUAGUAGAAAGCCAAUUAUAGUAAUUCUAAGAGAUACUUAAGAGGCGGAUGAGAAAUCAUAUGCAACAUGUCCGCUAAAAAAUGGUUCAAGAGAACAAAUGAGAGUAAUAACCAAUCUGUGAUCAUACACAUGCUUAGAAGUUAACAUACUGAAACUCUCUAGCUAAACUGACUCCCACAAACCAAUUAUUGAACCUUCCAUCUUUGUCUUAGAUGAAGAGAAUAAUAAUCCAGUAUGCUUAAAAAUAUCAAACUGAUUGGAGACCAGUCUCUACCUUCUCAAGGUGUAACCUUUUACUUGAUACUGCACCUGACCUGAUCCUCGGCACAUGGUACACCGCAAUGCCUGCCAUCCGUUGCAUGUCCGACAAUGCCUGCACUUUUUAGACCAAGUUCUUGUAAGAAACCAGGUAAUUCUUUAAACAAAAUGCAUAUAUGUACUCCCCUUCAAUUGUGAAAAGCUUGAUACAGAAAAUUCUAUCUUGAUGAAAGAACUAAAGCGAAGACAAACUAAAAUGACAAACAGAAAACGAUCAACGAUGAUAACAGAGCGCCAGAAUAAAAAAUUCAAGAAGAUAUCGAAAAGCACCUCUGACAAAUCACCUUCUUCCCCAGCUCAAAUGCAAUAUCAUAGGUCCCAAUUGCAGCAACAGCCUGCACUCAUACCCGUCCAAAAAAAGACAACAACAAUUCAUUUUAAAAUGUUCCCAAUAAUUUAGCAACCAUCCAAAUGAGAAGAGAGAAAAAAAAUAAUUUUGAAGGCAUUAAAUAUGAAAUUUCACAAAUUCUAUAAAUAGUUGUCAAUUACAAACUGUUUUAUCUUUCUAUAAACACACUGAGAAUCGAUUGAAUUUCGAGAAAAGCUAGAGAAAGAGAAGGCGCUUACGAAGACAGAAACAUAAGAGAGCUUGGAGAUGAGCUCGGGGACACCGAAGCCGCGAGGGGCGGAGCCAGCGAUGUCAAAAGCGAGUGUAAAAGGAGACAAGACGAGCUUAAUUGGGAACUCGAAUAUGUCAAUGAGUUGCUGACCGUGUCGAGUCGUGAACUGCUUGUAAUGAAAGUCCGUGAACUGCUUCACGCUCUUCAUAAAACGGUCGGAGCCUCUCGACAUUUUUCAGAAUCAUUUAAUAAGCGUAUCAAAUGAGAGUCAGUGAGGGAGAAAAUGUAGAAGAUAGGCAAAGUGUUUAUGUUGGGGACUUGGUGGGUUUAUCUUCUGGGUUUUGGAUAAGCUGAGUUCAGGGGUAAUGUAUCACUGUAACCAAACUGCAGCGUAUCAAUUCCUUGACGUGUCUUUAAGGGUAAACUGGACUUUUUGUAAUUUAUAUGGGCAUAUACCUCAAGAAGGUGAAAUUAACAAGAUAAAAAUGCCUACGAAAAAGAAUAUCCAGUUGAGUGGAAUCAUUUCUUGAUUGCUUUAUGCAAUGUUCUGUAUAAGAUCAUAUCCAAAAUGUUAGCUAACUGCAUAAAAUCAAUUCUUGAUUUGGUUAUUUUAGAUUCUCAAAGUGCUUUUGUCCCAGGUCGAGCUAUCACUGAUAAUAUAAUCAUUUUCGGCUGAAAUUAUGCACCUCUUAAAGUGAAAGCGGCAAAGAAAAAAUGGUGUAGCUGCUCUGAAAAUUGAUAUGUCUAAGGCGUAUGACAAGAUUGAGUGAAAUUUUCUUCAAGCUAUGAUGCUUAAGUUGGGGUUUGAUGCCAAGUGGGUGGAGUUAAUUAUGCUUCGUGUAUCAACUAUCUGAUAUAGUGUGCUACGGGAGGGGAAGGAAGUUGGUCCGAUUGUUCCUUGUAGGGUUCUUCGUCAAGGAGACCCAUUAUCUCCGUAUUUAUUCAUUAUUUGUGCAGAAGGAUUAAGCUCUUUAAUUCGAAGGCAAGAAAGGAAUGGCUUGCUUCAUGGUGUUAGAAUUGCGAGAGGUGCUCCAUCGGUGUCUCACUUGUUCUUUGCCGAUGAUAGCUUCCUUUUCUUUAGGGCAAAUAACAAUGAACCUUCCUUAAUCAAGUAGUUACUGGCAGUAUAUGGUCGAGCCUCUAGUCAAGAGGUUAAUUUCAAUAAGUCUUCAAUUUCAUUUAAUGCUAAUGUGCUUGACUCUGUAACUCGGCAGGUAUGUGAUGUUAUUGCGGUUAACACGACCACUAAUCAUGGAGCCUACCUUGGUCUUCCAUCAUAUAUUGGCAGAAAAAAGAAAGAAGUUUUCAGGCAUAUUCGGGACAGGCUCUGGCAAAGGCUUCAGGGUUGGAGUACGAGGAUGCUCUCUCGGGUUGGAAAUGAGAUUUUAUUAAAGACAAUGGCCCUCACUAUGCCUAAUUAUGCUAUGAGUAUUUAUUUGCUGCCAAAGGAUAUGUGUAGAGAAUUAGAAGUGAUGAUGAAUUCAUUCUGGUGGCGUAGCAAUCGUAGUGGAGGGAAAGGAAUUAAUUGGCUUAAAUGGGAGAAUCUAUGCAAACUAAAGGGGUGCGGUGGCCUUGGCUUUAAACAACUUCAUUUAUUCAAUAUAACGAUGCUAGGAAAACAAUUGUGGAAAUUGUUAACUUGUCCUGAUUCUCUUGUAGCUAAGAUUAUUAAAGCUCGCUACUAUCUGCGAACCUCUGUCCUUCAAGCUUCUGUGGGGCAUAAUCUUAACUAUGUGUGGCGCUCUAUUUUGGUUGCAAAGGAUGUGGUGAUUCAAGAGAGUCGACUGCAAGUUGGAUGUAGGCAUACGAUCUCCAUUAGUAAGGAUCCAUGGCUUCCCGAUCUCAAUGAUGGUUUUGUUUCUUUUAAUUUUAAUGCAGAGCUUGCUACAACACUUGUUAGUAGUUUAAUGGUGUCUAAUCAACAAGCCUAGGAUUAUGAUAUUGUUUAGGAUAUGUUCAACACAAGAGACAAGGAGAUGAUUCUUCAAAUUCCCCUUAGUUCCCGUUGAGACAAUGAUGUAUGGUAUUAGCUAGCUGAUCCUUGAGGCUGUUAUUCGGUUCGUAGCUGUUACAAGUUAUUUCACUCUAUUACCCUUGGCUCUUUCACACGUGUGUGGCGAAAACUAUAGAACUUGAAUGUGCCGAGUAAGGUUAAGAAUUUUGUUAGGCAAGCAGCAACAAAUGUACUGCCUACUGCAGUUAAUUUAAUUUCGAAAAAGGGUGAAUCUUAUCUCUACUUGUGUUGUGUGCCAUGCUUUUGACGAAACUGUUCUACAUUCUUUGCUUAAGUGUUGUUUUGCUAACUCUUAUUGGUUUUUUUUCCUAUGUGGGUUUUGUUGGCCAUUGCUCUUCUUUCUUAGAGUGGCUUGAUCACAUUUUUACACGAUGCAGUAAAGAAGAGUGCCAUGUUGCCAUGAUGAUUUGCUGGAGAAUUUAGGUUAAUCGUAAUGACAAAGUAUGGAAUAAUAAAGCUAGUUUAGUGUAUCAGGUUCUUAACUCUGCUGGGCAGCUUCUCUAUCAGUGGCAAGAAGCAAAGAAGCAACAUUUUUAUGUUGAUGCUGAUGUUCAAAAACUGGUUCAUGGGGCAAUGUGUUGGGAGAAGCCAAAGUUUGGUUGGGUUAAGUGUAAUGUAGUUGUUGCUAUUUUUUCAUCCCAGGGAAAGAUUGAGUUUGGUUGUGUGCUUCAAAACUCAGAGGGCGUUUUCUUGGCAGCAAGAUGUGCUGGUAUGGUUGGAAAUUUUGGAGUAAGGGAGGCUGAAGCUCUUGGCAUCCAAGAGGCCCUUAGUUGGCUUAAAGGAUUGCAGUUUCCUUGCAUUAUUCUAUAGAUGGAUUGCUUACAAGUGUUCCAAGCUUUAUUUGAGGAGUUUUCAGGGCCUAAUGGUUUUGGUUUAAUAAUUGACGAAUGUCAAGCUUUAGCUAUAUCUAUAGGAGAAGUGUAAUUCUCGUUUGUGCGUUGGUCUAUGAAUCUAGCUGCUCACUCUGUUGCGAGGCAGGAAGUUCUAUGUCAGGUUCCCAAGAGUGGAAUUUUGUUCCACCUUUGUGGUUAUUAAACAGUUUGUAAUUCGUUUUGUUUAAUGAAAUUGUUUUCCUUUAAAAAAAAAAAAGAAUAUCUAGUUGAGAAUUAUCAAACUUCAUUCUUAACUUUCAAGUAUCAAGUCGGGUACAUUUAAGUAGGUGGAAAAAAAUCAAGUCGAAUGGUAAAUAAGUCAAGUAAAAAGUUAAGUAGUAAGUUGAGAAAUAGAUCAAAUUAAUAUAUUUAAUUUUUAAAUAAUUAUAAUAUUAUAUAUCUUUAUCUAAAUGAGUAUAAGAUUUUUUUAGGGGAAAGGACCGUGAGACCCUAACGUUUAAGUAAAGAAAUAUAAAGCAUUUUAACAUUUCAAAAUAGACAUAUAUUCCCUUUCUGCUAGUAAGUUCUGUUUGUUUUAAGAGUAAAUUUAUUUUUAAUUUAUAAUUACUAUUAUAUUCUUGAAAUAAGUAAAUUGAUAUAUUAACAAAAUAUAUUUGAUUAAAUUCAAUCAUCAACUGGGCUACCACAACUCCUGACGCCAUGCGCUUUGAUAAUGAGAUCAGAGCCAAAUACACGUAGCAAAUAAUGACAGCUGCCAUAAACUUCAUAUGGAGGCUAUUCCAGCAAAACACUUAUGCCAAUGGUAGAAAUAUACCUCAAGUUGCCUUAUUCAUUGAUGACUUGAAACUCAAGGAACUUGCUUUCACAUACAAUAAUAGAAUCCAUUUCGGUGACGAUUUUAUUCAAAACAUUCAUGCUGAUUCGACAAGCAAGAGUCUAAUGGAGUUAUGUAUCAUGAUACGAUGCAUGUGUGGCUGUGAAAUGACAUGCCCUUAAUGUUGGAUGUAUGGAUGGAAAUAAAAUCCGAAUCUGACCCGCAUCUACAAGGAUCCGGAUCUGAAAAUGAAAAUUCGCAUGGAUUCAAAUGUACUUGCAUCCGAAAAACAAAUAUCCGGAUCCAUAUGAAUUUUGUUUUAAAUUAAAAAAUGUAUAUAAUAUAUUAACUUAAAUAAAAAAAAUCUAAUCCCUAAACUUAAGUCAAUAUUGCAUUCAACUUUCACACACACUCACUUACUCAUGUUGUUGUUGCCAAUGCCCAAAACCGAAGUAGCUCACCACCAAUAGUUGUAACCGGUAAUCCUCAAAUCCCUAACGCCCAAAAUCAAAGGGUUUGUAAUGCUAUCGACCAGUCGUUGUCUUCCUCGCAAUCUCACCCGAGCCUCGCGUCAAAGCUCGCCUGAGCACGUUGUUGUCACUAUGCACUACACGCCUUGCUGUCAUCUAAGCCUCACCUAUGUUGGAGCCUCGUCAUGCCACUGUUGCAGCAUUUAUCACCACCGUGCAAUCCUUGCCUGAUUGGAUCGUUCUUGCCUAUAAUUUGCUCUUUUGUUUCUAUUAAUUUUAUGUUCUUCCUAUUAAUUUCAUGGCUUUUUUUUGUUAAUAUUUUGGUAUUAUGGUUAAUUGUUUGAUUGUAUUUAAUGAGUUCAAUCUAAUAUAAAUCUAUUUAAACUUGAAAAUGUUGCUGGCUUAAUUUAAAAUUCCUUGCCGAUUCAAUUAAAUUUAUUUUUUAUUAAUUGUCUUUGUUGUUUUGUUUAAUUAUUUUAAUUAAAUGCAUUAAGUUUCAAUAUAAUGUAAAUGCUUAAUCUCAUUUUUUUUUUCAGUAUGCUAACUCAUUUUACGAAGUACUUUAAUUAGGUUUUAGGAUUAGUUGAACAUGGCCGAAGAGGAACAAGAAAGUAAUUUUUCAUUCUCUCCAAAUAGCGUUAAUAAUGCGGAUGUUAGAUUGGAGGAUGUUCACAAACUUGAAAAUGACAAUGUUGUUGAAGUUGAAUCGAUGGUAGAAAGUAGUAGUGGUCGUGGUCGUGGUCGUGGUCGUGGCGAUGCGCGUGGUGUCGAACAAAAAGGAGGUAAUGAUAGUGGAGGUGUAGCGGAAGGGUCUACAUCAGCACAAUCUAGUAGUGGUGUGCUAAUUUCUGAUGUAUGGAAUCAUUUCAAGAGGUACAAAGACGCAGAUGGGGAGUAUCAAGCAGUUUGCAACUAUUGUAGUAAAGUAUUGACUAGACAUUAUUCUAGUGGGACUACACACUUAAAAAAUCAUUUUACUAGUUGUUUAAGAAAGAAUUUCAAGGAUGUUGGCCAAAUGCCUCUUGCCAAGAACAAUGAUAGAACCGUCAUAGUUGAGAGUUGUUCUGAAGUAAAAUGUGAUAUGGUGGAUGAUCAUUUUACACGAGCUUACAUUUUCAUUUGUUGGAUAUCAAGGGUUUCGUGGUUUGAUGAAGUUGGUUUAACCAUCACUUGAUAUAAUAAGUAGAAACACUAUCAAGAAUGAAGUUUUGAAGCUUUAUGAUGUUGAGAGGUCGAAGACAAUAAAUUUGUUAGAUGCUUGUGAAAGUAGAAUUGUAAUUACUACGGACAUGUGGAAAGAUAGUAACAAAAAAAAGUUUGUAUAGUUAUUACGACCCAUUAUAUUGACAACUUCUAGGUGCUACAGAGUCACAUUAUAAGGUAACACUUAAUAUUUAUAUUAUGUUUAUUUCAAUAUUAACGCAUUUUAAUGAUUUCAAUUACAUUAUUCUUUGUUUUUUUUGUAUUAUUAGGUUUAUAUAUAUGACAACUCCACAUAGUGGUGAAGUGAUAUGUAAUGUUUUGUAUGAUUGUUUGAUGGAUUAAAAUAUUGAUAGGAAAGUGUCAAUUGUGAUUAUGGAUAAUUGCGCUGCUAAUGAUGCGAUGAUUAAUAUAUUGUUGGAUAAAUUUUCAUCAAGCUCAUUGAUUUUAGGCGGGACAAUUUUUCACACGUGUUGUUGUGGCCAAUAAUAUUUAACAUCCAAAAAACUCCCAAAUAAAAUGCGCCCCAAGCCGAAAUAUCAACUAUUCCUUAUUCCUGGUCCAACCCACCCAACUAGAAGAAAGCGGAUGGGUGGGGCAAAUAAGAAUAAAGUAGAAGCUUGCUAAUAGAAACGUAGUGAAGUAGAUUUGUCUUGUCUUUUUUAUUGAUCAAAAAGAUCCUUUACUCUCAUUGAGCACAGAUGUUUCAAUACUCUGUAGCUUGGUCGACAAUGACCAGGCCACGAAGUUUAUAAAGCCUCCUCGUAGAUACACCCACCCUCUAAGUUAGUCGACAGCCACACCAACAUAUAAAGUGUAAGUGUGAAAGUAGGCCAAGAGUUGUAGAACUCGAGCGGCUACCCAUGGGUAAACCAUACUAUGUUCGCCUUCUUCUCGCUUCCCAAACCUGAAUCACUGAAAGGGGCUUGUAUUAGUAACCACACCCAUGACUCAGUCAAGUCGUUACUUAACAAGCCUUUACAGCUCAGAUCUUUAUGCCAACCAUAAUACAAAAGAAAAAUCAGUCAAAGUUAUUUUUAAACUAAAUGAAUCAAUGCCAAAGCUUCUAAACUAAAUGAAUCAAUCUACUAAAGCUUUCAAGAUAAGAAGUCACAAGAUGUAACAACACACAAUUUUCAGUAUUUUAGAUUUUUAAGUAAUAACACAAGCUCAAACUAUAACGACUUUGUUAGCCAAGAUAAUGAAGUAGCUAAAUGUAAUCACAUUUAUGCAAUACUAACUAGGCAACCUAAGAGGGGGGUGAAUUGAGAUAUUAAAAAUUAAUCAAUUCUAAAACAAAACUCAAUGCAAAUAAAAAACUAAUUUAAAGCAAUAACAAAUAAAUAAAUCACAAUAUAAAAAGAUAAGGGAAGAGAGAGCAAACACAAUGAUUUUUACAUGGUUCGGCAAUCCCCGUCUACGUCCACGCCUCCAAGCUCACCGGGCUUGAGAAUUUCACUAAGCAAGCCUCCAAGGCUUCAAAUGCUUACAAUUGACUUCCAAGGUGUCAAUGUACCUUCACAAUAAUAGAUUAUCCUCAAUCUCUAAACCCAAGUGUAUCUCAACACUUACAAUCUCUUAACUUGAUUUUACAAAAAGGAUUACAAAUGAAUUUCUCUCACACAAUGUGUUUGAUCACAAAUGAAAGCUCAAUGUGUGAAUGAAUGAGAUGAAUACAAAGAUUUAAAGCUCAAUGAUAAUUGUUGGAAUUCUUCUUGUUUGAAUUGGAUUGAACUUUCUGCUCACUGUCAGAUCGCCGCUAAUUAGAUGUCGGAUCGCCGUUUGACUGGUCAAUAUGACCGUUGGGCUGAAUUUUCAAAUUGUCGGAUCGCCGUUUUAUAGAUGUCAGAUCGUCGUUAGCGUCCAGAGGCUAAUCUUUCAAUUAUGUGCAAUGUCGGUUAACCGUUAUCUAGAUGUCAGAUCGCUGUUAGUGUCUAGAGACUAAUCUUCAAUUCUGUUAGAUGUCGGCGAGCCGUUAUCAAGAUGUCGGAUCGCCGUUUUCUACAGUGAACUGCUACAGUGAAUUAUUUUAUAAAAUAACAGUUUGAUCCCAAAACUUUAUAUAACUGUACUAUGACCCAAAACGUUAUAAAUUUUACAAAUAGGUCCAAUUUCAGAAUUUCUAAAUAAUGCUUAAUAUUCCUAAAACUUUUGAAAAUUAUGAUAUGGCCCAAAAUGCUAUGAAUACUUUUCAAAUAAAUCCUUCUCCAAAAUUUCAAGCAAUACUUGUUGAUUUCAAAGUUUUCAAAACUCUUUCAAUUAAACCAUAAACUUGAAAAACAACUAAUUUCAUAAAAUCAUUUUUCCAUUAAAUAUAAAACCUUUAAAAUGUGAAAAUAAUGAUUUAUUUAAAAUGUAUAAAAAUAAUUUGAGCUUUUAAAAACUGAAUCAUUCUUAAUUUUGUUUGUUAUAAUCAAAAUCAACAUUAUGAAUACAUAAAUGUUAACAAUUUAUUCAUUAAUCGAAGACAAAUUAUAUAUAAAAAAAGUUCAUAAGAAAGCUUUUCAUCUAAUAAACUAUAUUCAUCAAUUCAACAAAAAUUAAACCCUAAUCUACUAAUCCCAACACCAAAAAAAAUAAUUAAGAAAAAAAAACUAAAGAACAAUAAAUAAGAAAAUAAAUUCAACACAACUCAUCUUCACGGACGUGGCAACAAUGACUGAGAGAGGCUUCAACAGGAACGAUUAGUGAUAAUGACUGAGGCGACGAGCUUAGGUGACGGAUACAAUCACAGUCACGAGAAGAUACAUGAAAUAGUGUGGCUGACUGAGUAGAAGAUGACGACUAUGAAACGAAAAGUGGAAGAGAUGGCAAGCUAGUGACGGUGGUAGAUGGGGAUUGCAAUGCAUCAACAUUGGCAUGAAUGAGAGUGAGAGUGAGAGUGAGAGAGAAUAAGUAGAGAGUUAGGGUUUAGAAAUUAGAAAAUAUUAAUUUUAGUUUUUAUGUUUCUUUACUCAUUUAUUUUUUUAGUUUUAAUUGAAAGAUCCAAUCGGUUUUUCGCUGAUGAAGAUGAUCAUAGUCGUGAGAAGUUCUAUAAAAAUUGUGUGUCUGGCUAAGUUGAAGAUGACAACAACGAGACGAACAGUAGAAGGGAUGGCAAACAAUUAAUGGCGAUAGAUAGGGAUUGGGGUGUGUCAGUGUUAGCAUGAGUGAAAGUGGAAAUGGAAGGGGGGGGGGGGAAGAGAGAGAGAGAGAAAGAGAGAAUCGCGAGUUAGGUUUAGAAAUUAGAAAAGGGAAAAAGUCAUUUUCAUCCCUAGAGUUUCAUGCAAUAGCUCAUUUCAUCCAUAAUUUUUAAAUCAUAACCCAAAACAUCAUUCCGCUAAUUCACUGUUAGUUUAAUGCCGUUAACUAGUAAUUCAUUGAGGGCAAAAUAUGAUUUUUUUUUAUUAAAGUGGUACAAACUAUAUUAAAAUAAUUUUUUUACACAACUAAAUAACACUACAAAAUAUGCAAAAUUCAUUAAUUUUUUCUUAAAUGAAAUGAACAAUGAAGUGGUUUGAUAUAGCCACUGAAUAAUUGUCAUAAGCAAAAAAUUGUAAUUAGCACAAUAUCUUUAAAUUAUUGGAAGAAAAACUCAAAAAUACAACCAAUUUUUAUGUGCUUGCAUGUGCUGAAAAUCUUCUUAAUCUUCAACCAAUUUUUAUUUUGAGUUUUACCACCACUCUUCUUUGACCAUUAUUGUCUCCCCAAGUCCUAACCACUAUCUCCCAAGUCGGCUCACAGUGUAAUUAGAGAGUAUAUUUAUACGAAUAUGAAAAUUGUGAUUAUUUUUUGUACUUCAAUCUAGGACUUCCAUGCCGCCAAAAUAUAGAGAAGUGCAAAAUAAUUGCUUAAAAUAUAAGUUUUUAUUUUUUUUCGGUAUUUCCUGUUCAGUGCGAUUAGAUAAACAUCUUUUUUAGUUAUAUGUCAACAUUUAUUUAUUUUUUCUAAUUUUCUCUUUAAUGAAAAAUCCUUUUUACCUUCAAUGAAUAACUAACAAAUGACAUUUAACUAAUAGUGGGUUAAUAAAAGGAUGUUUUGAGUUAUUGUUUAAAAAAUAGGGAUGAAAUUGGCUAUUGCAUAAAACUCUAAGAAUGAAAAGAGAUUUUUCUCAUUAGAAAAUAGAAAUUUUAUUUUUUAUGUUUCUUUACUUACUCAUUUUUUUAUUUUAAUUAAAAGAACCGAUCGGUUUGUUGGUUUGGUUUAGUUUUUAGUCAAACCUAACAUAAACCAAUCGGUUACUCAAUUUAUGGCCUUUUCGAUUUUUGGCCUUGGAACUUAACUAAGAAAUUUUGGUUUCUUUUGGUUUGGUAGUCACCCUAGGAAUAAUGGGAAUAGGUAGUGAAUGGAUUUGAUUUUUUUUUUUUUUUGGGUUUAUUGUUAGUGUUUGUGAUAGACAUGUGUUGAUAAAAUUGCUCCAAAUGUUUAAAAUUAUGAAAAAAAUAUAUAAACGAAGCGGCUUGAAAAUUGAAAAACACAAAAUAGGCCCAAUAGCCUUAUAACCAUAUAAUCGAUGAACAAAACUAGAACCGAAUGGUUGGGUUCUUUCUCUUACUUGGUUCAUGUUCAAUUAAAAAAAAAAAACUUAUUUGAUUCAGCUUGAUUUAGCACUGAAUCGCACCAUGCCUAGGAUUGACAUUUCUCAACAAACUAAUCAAUCAUUCAAGAAUAACAAUCUCUAAGAAUAAAAAGAACUAAUCUGCAAAAAGGGAAAAAAAAGAUUGUUCUCAAUUUGCGCAAACCAAUUGAAUGGACGAGAGCCACAAAUUUAAAAAAGUUAAGAAAUUGGAUUGAUGAUUGAUAUAAAUAGUUUGUAGAAAAAAUAAAAACAAAAAUAAAAAGCAUGCUUAUGCGAGUAAAAUGCUUUGAAGAGAGAGAAAAUAUAAGUUGGAUUAAUAAGAUUUUUAUUUGUUCUUACGUGUAAUUGAAAGUUCGAAACAGAAGUGGGGUUUUAUGAGAAUAAUAAACGGGUGCUAAUAGCACGACUUUUAAGCGUUCUUAAAUGCAAUUGAAAUAGUGGUUCAGUUUUAUGAGAACAACGCGGGCGCCGGGGGGGGGUUGGGGGGGGGGGGGGGGUGGGGUUGGUGGUUAUGAGGAAUCAGAAGUUCUCAGUUGGGCCCAACAAGGCUCUCUAACCCAACUAUUACAAUUGAUUCAAUCAUUUUAUCGGGUAGGAUUCCCGUAACUUACGAAAUUACCCUUUGACUGUAACAGUCAAACAAAAGAAAUGUUUGGUGCGGAAGAGUCAGCGCCAAUUUGGACAUAAAAUUCAUUUACGUGUAAAUUGAAUUUAAUCGAGGGGAGGAUAAUGAAAAAUAGCCAGCAUUGAGUGAAAAAUUGAUAAUAUUAAUAUUACUUUAGAUUUAAUUUAAUUUUUUUUAAUUUCUAGCCAUUCGUAUGGGAUCUACCUUGAAUCAACAAAUUUCAUCAAAUUGACUAACUUCGAUUCAAUUGUUAAGUAUAGGAUAGUGUGAUGCAAGAAUUUUGUGAUUCCCCAUUUCCAUGAAUAAAAUUAGAGUUUAAUUUUCAUUCAUACAAUAUUUAAUGGGAAAAAAAAUCGGAUUGUAUAAAUUAAAGUUGAUUUGUUUAAUUGUUUCCCAGGUUGAUACCUCAACAACAUAAAUCAUGGAACCUUGAACGACCAAUUGUUGAUGAUGUGUUGGUGUUGGCAUUUCCCAUGCCGCUAAAAUAAAUUAUUCCAAUUUCGAAGAAAACAACAUCGCUUUUGUAAGUGUAGAUUUAUUGAGAUUUGUUUUUUUAGGGUGUCAAUUUUUCCCUACAAUAAUUAAUAUAUAUAAUUUUCCUCUUUUCAUUUUUAUAAUGACUAAAAAUCUUCAUGACAGCAUAAGUUUAUAAUAUUACUUUUAUUUUUAAUUACUCUUUUAUUUAUAUUUAUUAUAAAUUAAAUAAAUCUCAUGAAUAGAAAAUAAAUAAAAAAUUAAGCAUUAAAAAAAUAUAUGUUUUGAUAUGAGUAAAAAAAUUAAUAAUAAUUUUUUUUUGUACUUAUUUAUUUUGUAAAAAUUUUCUUAUAAUAAAUAUAUAAGAAAAUUAUUAUAAAAUGAUAAAAAAUUAUUAUAAGAAAACUUGAAUGACAAAUAAAAAUUUAUUAUAAGAUAAAUAAUAAAAUAUUUUGCCUAUACUUUUUCCAUUUAAUUUUAAAAUAUUACAAAAUGUUUAUUAUAAGAAAAUGUUCACAAAAUAAAUAAUUACAAGAAAAAAAUUUAUUAUUAAUUUUUUUGCUCAUAUCAAAACAUAUAUUUCUUGUUUUUAAUACUUAGUUUUUUUAUUUAGAUUCUAUUAAUGUAAUUUAUUUAAUUUAUAAUAAAUGUAAAUAAAGGAGUAGUUGAAAAUAAGGAUAAUAUUAUAAAUUUAUACUGUCAAAGAAAUUUUUUGCCAUUAUAAAAAUAAUAAGGGGGUAAAUGGUAUAUGUUGAUUACUGUAGAGGAAAAUUAGCAAUCCCUUUUUUUUUUCUCCUUUUGGUUCAUAGAAACUUAUAGUGUUUGCAAAUAUAUUUUUUAUUUUGUUCAUAAAUACCACAUUAUUUUAGGUUUAAAUCUUAAAUCUUAUUCUAUAUAUUGUAUUGUAUUUGAAUUCGAUGCAGUCUUAUUUAGUUAUUAUUAGUUUCUGAAUGAAACACAUUCCUUUCAGGAAAAAAGAAAAAAGAAAAAAUAGAUUGAUUUUUUUUUAUAGUUAAAAUUCCAAACACUAUGAUUAAUAGAUAAUGAUUAAUUUGUACUUAUUCAUCUUUUUUCUGUCAUCUUUUUUCAGUCAUUUAAUUUUAGAACAGAAGUUGUUAUUAAAAAAACGUAAAAUAGAUAAGAAAUUUAAAUGACAUAUACCUACAAAUAAAAAUGGAAUUUACUUAAAGCCUUUGAUUGCAACAACUCCACAAUUAAAGCAAUGUCAAAUCUAACUACCACAUUAAUCACCCAUUUACCCAAACUUAAUUCUUGAAACGAAAUCCCAACAACAGCAAAUCUAAUUAUAAGAAUAAGAAAAUCACAUGAAAAUCCACAGAGCAGACGUGGUCAACUUUUGACAAAAAUCACAAACAGGAAUAACAUGUGACCCCUUGAGUUUUUAUAUUUUUCAUAUUUAAGGACUUAGGUUGCGAUUGUUUUUUUAUCUGAAAUCUGAAUAUAUCUGAAUUUAUCUGAAGUCUGAAUAAGUCUGAAUGACAUGUUUGUUUUUUCUUUUUCAACAUCUGAAGAGAAAAAAAAAACUUAAAAACUAGUAGUUUAACAUAAAUAUCCUUUUAAGUGAUACAUAUAUUUGUUCUUUAUAAUUUAUAAUUUUCACAAAUUAAUUAGUUUGGUGGCAUUAAAAAAGAUACUAUCAUUGUUGAUCUUAAUUUAAUUUUUUAAUAAAAGAUGUAAUGAUAACAUCAAAUUUUAUUAUAAAGUCAAUAUUGUAAUUAUAUUUUUUAUUCAUCACAAUAGAUAUAAUUUGAUUUGUUCAAUAUUUUAGUUUUGUUAAUGUUAUCAUGUGAAUCAAAAUUUAAAGCAAUUAAAAAAAAUAACUUCAAGAAUAAUACAAAAAUUAAUGUUUAUAUAUAAUGUUGGAAAUACAUAAAUUGUUAAAGGUAUUUUUGAGAUUUGAAAUUGAAAAUUUUCAUUUAAACUUCAGACUUCAGAUAAAAGUGAAAAUUUUCUACUUUUUCUAUUCAGAUAAAAUUAUCUGACAAUAAGUGAUAAGUUAAAAAAAAAACCUAAAAUAAACAAAUGUCUGAAAAAAAUUAAAUUCACAUUUCAAACUAAAAAUCAAUCAGCACCUUAGAGCAUCACCAAAAGGCUCUUCAAAUAAGAUUUUAUUACUUAUUUAAAGAGCCACAUCAAUAUUUAAAGCUCCAAAAGACACUCCAAUAAAAUUCUUAAAUAAGAAUCNNNNNNNNNNNNNNNNNNNNNNNNNNNNNNNNNNNNNNNNNNNNNNNNNNNNNNNNNNNNNNNNNNNNNNNNNNNNNNNNNNNNNNNNNNNNNNNNNNNNNNNNNNNNNNNNNNNNNNNNNNNNNNNNNNNNNNNNNNNNNNNNNNNNNNNNNNNNNNNNNNNNNNNNNNNNNNNNNNNNNNNNNNNNNNNNNNNNNNNNNNNNNNNNNNNNNNNNNNNNNNNNNNNNNNNNNNNNNNNNNNNNNNNNNNNNNNNNNNNNNNNNNNNNNNNNNNNNNNNNNNNNNNNNNNNNNNNNNNNNNNNNNNNNNNNNNNNNNNNNNNNNNNNNNNNNNNNNNNNNNNNNNNNNNNNNNNNNNNNNNNNNNNNNNNNNNNNNNNNNNNNNNNNNNNNNNNNNNNNNNNNNNNNNNNNNNNNNNNNNNNNNNNNNNNNNNNNNNNNNNNNNNNNNNNNNNNNNNNNNNNNNNNNNNNNNNNNNNNNNNNNNNNNNNNNNNNNNNNNNNNNNNNNNNNNNUAAUCGUCAAAAAUAUAUUGGAAUCCUCGUCAGCUAAAUUUUGUACAACUGUACAAGUGAUAGUCAUUUCAAUUUGUUAAGAAAUCGCAAAAAGAAAAAAAAAUUGCCCACUAUAAUAUUACUGUUUAAAAUAGAAGGCAAGUUUCAUCAUGAUUGCCUUUAAAGCCAAUCCAUCAAAUUUUUCGGUGGAAUUUAUAUGGGUCAUUCUAUAAAUGCCGUUACCUAAAUUUACCGGCAUUGAUGCCGUAAAUGGAUAUGGACCGUUAGAUUUGAAUAAAAAAAUCUCUACCAUUAAAUUUUAAAAUAAAAUAGGUAACUUGUUACCUAAGUAGCAGGUAAUUACUCUUUUUUGUUCAAGUUUCAGGUUACAUUUACUAAUUUUAUGUGUGAUUUACAAGUUUUAUGAAAUUUUUACAAGUUAAUGUUGAUUUACAAGUUUUAUGUAACAUUUACAAGUUUUUGUUUUGUUUACAAGUUCUUCUUAUAAUUUACAACUCUAACAUUAAUUUACCUAUUUUUCCAUUAAUUUACUAGUUUUAUGUGUGAUUUAUAAAUUUUUUGUUCAAUUUCACACUUAAUGUCAAUUUACAAGUUCUAUGUCAUUUUUCUAAGUUUUUGUUUUGUUUACAAGUUCUUCUUACAAUUUACAACUCCAACAUUAAUUUACUCAUUUUUCCAUCAAUUUACUAGUUUUAUGUGUGAUUUAUACAUUUUUUGGUUUAUUUCACACUUAAUGUCAAUUUACAAGUUCUAUGUAUUUUUUCUAAGUUUUUGUUUUGUUUACAAGUUCUUCUUUCAAUUUACAACUCCAACAUUAAUUUACCAAUUUUUCCAUUAAUUUACUAGUUUUAUGUGUGAUUUACAUAUUUUUUGUUUCAUUUCACACUUAAUGUCAAUUUACAAGUUCUAUGUCAUUUUUCUAAGUUUUUGUUUUGUUUACAAGUUCUUCUUACAAUUUACAACUCUAACAUUAAUUUACCAAUUUUUUCAUUAAUUUACUAGUUUUAUGUGCGACUUACAUAUUUUUUGUUUUAUUUCACACUUAAUGUCAAUUUACAAGUUCUAUGUCAUUUUUCUAAGUUUUUGUUUUGUUUACAAAUUCUUUUUACAAUUUACAACUCCAACAUUAAUUUACUCAUUUUUCCAUCAAUUUACUAGUUUUAUGUGUGAUUUACACAUUUUUUGUUUUAUUUCACACUUAAUGUAAAUUUACAAGUUCUAUGUCAUUUUUCUAAAUUUUUAUUUUGUUUACAAGUUCUUCUUACAAUUUACAACUCCAACAUUAAUUUACUCAUUUUUCCAUCAAUUUACUAGUUUUAUGUGUGAUUUACACAUUUUUUGUUUUAUUUCACACUUAAUGGUAAUUUACAAGUUCUAUGUCAUUUUUCUAAGUUUUUGUUUNNNNNNNNNNNNNNNNNNNNNNNNNNNNNNNNNNNNNNNNNNNNNNNNNNNNNNNNNNNNNNNNNNNNNNNNNNNNNNNNNNNNNNNNNNNNNNNNNNNNNNNNNNNNNNNNNNNNNNNNNNNNNNNNNNNNNNNNNNNNNNNNNNNNNNNNNNNNNNNNNNNNNNNNNNNNNNNNNNNNNNNNNNNNNNNNNNNNNNNNNNNNNNNNNNNNNNNNNNNNNNNNNNNNNNNNNNNNNNNNNNNNNNNNNNNNNNNNNNNNNNNNNNNNNNNNNNNNNNNNNNNNNNNNNNNNNNNNNNNNNNNNNNNNNNNNNNNNNNNNNNNNNNNNNNNNNNNNNNNNNNNNNNNNNNNNNNNNNNNNNNNNNNNNNNNNNNNNNNNNNNNNNNNNNNNNNNNNNNNNNNNNNNNNNNNNNNNNNNNNNNNNNNNNNNNNNNNNNNNNNNNNNNNNNNNNNNNNNNNNNNNNNNNNNNNNNNNNNNNNNNNNNNNNNNNNNNNNNNNNNNNNNNNNNNNNNNNNNNNNNNNNNNNNNNNNNNNNNNNNNNNNNNNNNNNNNNNNNNNNNNNNNNNNNNNNNNNNNNNNNNNNNNNNNNNNNNNNNNNNNNNNNNNNNNNNNNNNNNNNNNNNNNNNNNNNNNNNNNNNNNNNNNNNNNNNNNNNNNNNNNNNNNNNNNNNNNNNNNNNNNNNNNNNNNNNNNNNNNNNNNNNNNNNNNNNNNNNNNNNNNNNNNNNNNNNNNNNNNNNNNNNNNNNNNNNUUCGGGUCAAGUCAAUCUGACUAAAAAGUCAGGCCAAGUGUUUCUUGCAUGUAUAUAUGUUUGCAUCUUAAUUUUAAUUUUUAUUUAUCAUAUAAACUAUUUUAUAAAUUUGUUUUCUACAAACUGAUGUAACAUAAUUCAUUUAGUUAAGUUAUGCCAUCAAAAGUAUCUAAUUUCAAAAUAUAUGAUCUCUUUUCAAUUUUUUUUGAACCCAAGAAAUUAGAAAAAUACGCAAUCAUAGUUCAAUAUAAAUAAAGUAUGAAUAUAAAUGUCUUAGGAGUAAGGUAAAAGAUUGUAUAAUUUUUAGAUAAAGAUCAAGUAAUUAACAAUUACAGAAUUUUUAGAUAAAGAUCAAGUAAUUAACAAUUACAAGUUCGGUAGUUAUUAGCCAAGAAUUGGUAAUGGUUGGGUAAAGAGAGAUGGGUAAUGAGCAGGUAAAAUGGAGAAUAAAUAUCAUCUUUUAAGGAUGUUUACGACUUAUUUUUAAUGAAUUGUUAUAUUACUAGAAUUACUCAGUGUGAUGUCAUAUUUAUAGAAUUAAGUCACUUUUAUGGCAUAAACAAUAUAAUUUCCUCAGCGUGCAAGAGCAUGUUAAUCUGAACAAUAGAAAUGAAACCAUCCUCAUUACAAACCAACCGAAAAGAAAAUAUUUUAGUACUAUUAUAUCUUGUUAACCAAUGAGGACCAUUAUUGUUAACCAUUCAAUCAAGCCACCCUCCCUCUUUUACAAUUUUUUUUCUUAAAAAAGGGAAAAUAGCAUUUAAAAAUAAUGGCAAAAAUACUCAAAUCAUGGAGUUAAGCCACUAUUAUGCUUGUAAUUAUGGAAACAUUACUCAAUAUGAUGUCAUAUCUGUAAAAUUAAGCCACUUUCUUGAGAUAAAUAGUGCAAUUUCCUUAGAAUUUUAAUAAUUUCUAUUAAAAUAUGGAAACAAAAUCAUAAUAUUGAAGAAAAAAGAAAAGAAUAAAUCAUUCACCAAAAUAAUAGCUAUAUCAAAAUUUGUAGAAAAAUUCCUCAAAGAGCGACAAAAAGUUCACUCAUACUGCAUCAUUUAUCAGCUCCAAGCUUCUUUUGUAACAUAAAUUUUGUCCAUUUCCUUUCAUGCAAUCAAACAAAGCCCAGUUCUCUAAGCUCCUUGUGCACAUUUUAAAUACUGCGGCCGUGGCAUGGUUUUCACGAUAAUUUCUCUUUAACUUGUAGUUGUAGGCAAAGUUGAAGUACCUUAAGCUUGCGAGGAGGAAAGCUUUUGAAUAAAUUUACCUAUUUAGCUAAAUUACAAAGGUAAAUUUGGAAGUUAGUCUAAAGUUAAAUGGUUUCUUCUCAAAGAAAAGAAAAAAAGAAUGCAAUGGUAAUAACUUAUUAAAGUGUUAUAAAAGAUCUUUCACCUAAAUUAAUUAAUAAUAUGUUCAAAGUUUUACAGCCAUUCGAGUUUUGACACUUUCUUGAAUGAUAAGUCUAAAGUAGAAGAUCCAGAAAGAUGAACUUAAAUCUUUCCCACCAACUGCCGAAGGGUAAUCUCCUUUUAAUCAGUUUCAACUAAUGAAAUAGGAUCUUAACAACCAGUUCUUUGUGAAAAAAUACAAAAUAAAAAAAAAAACAUAUGAGAGAAAAUUUGUACCUCAAAUAGAGGAUUUACACAUUUUCUUAGGCCAAUGGCUUAUAACAUUGUUAUCAUUUGCAUUUUUCAAGAUCUAAUCAUAUGGAAGUUUAUGUAGAAUACAGUUAGAAUUGCCUACAACAAACCAGAAAAGCUAUUAUAAUAGGCACCUAAUUAAAUCAAAUUAACUUGCUCACUCUGGAAGUCCAACAAAUAGAUUAUUUACAAUACAAAAUUAAUUAGCAGGAAAUAAUAAAGAUAACAUGUGAAAACAGUAAAUUUUGAUGAAGAAAACCAAAGAAUACAAAAGAGUGAAAGAAAGAAAAUCAAGCAGAUAUAAAAAAAUUCAAAAGAAAAUCAAGGUGAAAAAAGGAAUUCCCCAAAAAUCAAUACUAAAAGACAAAAUUAGUACCAAGAAUUGGCUAACUUGGUGGGCAGUCUGGCUCGAAAAACAGGAAAAAAAAGCACAAUUCAAAGAUAGCCUUUGCCCGUUCUAGUUUGCAAGGAUUAUGUGUUUUGGAAUUUAACGAGCUUUAGCCUCUUCGAGUUGGCCACUGGGAAACAACCUCUGCCCUUUCCCAACACAUGAUGAAACAAAACGGCGGAACGGCGAUGACGUGGAGUUGGUAGUGGAGAAAGACUCAGUUGCUCUUUUCCUCUCAAUAUGAAUCGGCUGAAGUUUUACUUCGGUCCUAUCAUAAUCCCUAAUUAACGUGAAUGAGUGAUUUUAAAAUAAAUCAGUUAUAAUAAUUUUCUAAAAAAAUAUAAUAAUUCUUUUUAAUUUUAAUCGGUUAACUUUUACUUAUAAAAAAAUGUUAACCAGCCUGUUGAAAAAAUAAAAUUUAUAUGAUUAUAAUUAUUAUGUGCCGUUGAUCUAAUCUAACGGUACAUAAUAACUACGACAUUGAUACCGUAAUUUUAAUCACAGCAUCAUAAAAUUUUUCGGUGGAAUUUAUAUAGAUAUAUAUAUAUUAGAAAUGAAAGUUUUGGUGGUAUAAAAAAUGAUUCCAAUAGAUUUGGAUAAUCAAUGGUUAACGGAAAAUAAAUAUUAAUUUUAAAGGGGAUUUGCAGGUUAUUUCGAUAUUGGACUGAGCCUAUUGUGGCACUGACGUAACCAAAAAUUCAUAUUAGUAGAGGGAAAAUGGGUCCGCCUAAGUUACAGUUAACGCAACGUACUGCCUUAUAAAAUUUCGUUCAGCCUCUUAUACUCUACAUUAUUUAUCAUUAAUUUAUAAGUAUUACAAAACUUUCUUGAUUAUAAACUUUCGUUCAAUCCCUUGUACUCUAUUUUAUUUCAUUGAAACUCCUAAAGUACCAAUUCACCCCCUAUAAUUUUAAAUUUUCAAAACAAUCUCCAUUUAAUUAAAAAAUAUAAUUAUUAUUAAAUGAAUUAUAAUUUUUAAAUAGAUUAUUAUUAUUAUUAUUAACAAGAAUCAAAGUAUUAUAAUUAAUUAAUCUAUUAACAAUAAUUAAUAAUAAUUUUUUGUUAAAUUGUUAAUGAUAAUAAUUAAGGAUAAUUAUUAUUAAUAAUUUAUUUUUGAAUAAUAAUAACAAUAAAAAUAACUAAAAUAUAUAAUAAUAAUUAUGAUAAAAUUAAUUAAGGAUUUUAUAGUAAUUUGUUACAAUUUAACUCACUCUGAUUUUUAUUCUAAGACAAAGUAAACACAUAAAUUAUAAUAUAGUUCAUUUUAAUUUCAAUUUAUACAAUUCAAGUAAAUAAAUUAUUAUGAUUCAAAUUUCUCAUUUCGAUUCUAGCUAUUUCGAUUCUAACUCAUUAUGUUUCUAGUUAGUUUUUAUUCCUUUUUAGUGAACGCACUAUAAAAUUGUAAACAACUCUAUAUUCAAUUAGGCAACUCUAUAUUAUUUACAAUUUAUUCAUAAGUAUUAUGAAUUUUAUAGUGAUUUACUAAAAAUGAAUCGAAAUUAUCUAGAAACAUAAUGGGUUAGAAUUAAAAUAGUUAGAAUCAAAAUGAGGAAUUGAAAUCAUAAUAAUUUAUUUACUUGAACUGCAUGAAUCAAAAUUAGAAUGAAUUAUAUUAUAAUUUAUGUGUUUAUUUUAUCUUAGAAUAAAAAUCAGAGUGAGUUAAAUUGUAACAAAUUACUAUAAAAUCUUUAAUUGAUUUUUAUCAUAGUUAUUAUUUUUUUAUUUUAUUAAUAAUUAAUUUUUGAAUAAUAAUAACAAUAAAAAUAAUUAAUUGAUUUUUAUCAUAGUUAUUAUUUUUUUAUUUUAAUUAUUUUUAUUGUUAUUAUUAUUCAAAAAUUAAUUAUUAAUAAUAAUUAUCGUUAAUUAUUAUCAUUAACAAUUUAACAAAAAAUUAUAUUUAUAUUUAUAAUUAUAAUAAAAUUAUUAUUUUAUUAUAAUUAUAAUUCAUUUAAUAAUUAUUAUAUUUUUUAAUUAAAUAGAGGUUGUUUUGGGAAUUUAAAAUUAUAGGGGGUGAAUUAGUACUCUGGAGUUUCAAUAAAAUAAAACAGAGUACAAGGGGUGUUACGAAAUUUUAAAAUUCAAAAAGUUUUAUAAUACUUAUGAAUAAAUUGUAAAUAAUAUAGAGUAUAGGGGGCUCAAAAUAAAUUUACAGGGCAGCUAUGUAACUUAGGCAGGCCCGGGCAAAAUUUAUGAUUGCACCUUGAGAAACCAAAUUUUUAAAAAACACUGAAAUCUUAUAUAUUGAAGAGCAAAUACAUAAUUUUGGAUAUUUUCUAUUUUAAUUUUUAGUGAUAAAUUUAAUUUAAAUCAAUUUUUAAUAUUGAGUUACACAUUUGGACUAAACUAGAUCAAAUUUUAAAUUAGAUAUUAGGCCUUAUUUUAAUGGAUUCCGAGUCAAGCAACUAGGCUUAUAAAUUAUAAAUGAAAGAAAUAUGUGUGUGAUUUUAAAAUUAAUUUUGAACUUGAAUUUAUACAUUUAAUUAAUUCAAAGAGGUUUGGAAUAUAUCAUCUGAAAUUUUUGGAUGGGACUUGGUUAAUGGUUGUUGGUUAGGGACCUAUUUGACACAUAUGGACAGCAUUUAUCAUAAUUUGGUAAAUCAUAAAGAUUAAGGAUUGGACGUUGUUACCGCAAUCAGAAAAUAACUUUCAUCGCAAUAAAUGUGCAUUUUUGUUUUAUUUUUUUAAACCUUAACAGAAUCAAACAAACAGUUUCAGUCAAAAAAAUCACCAGUGUCUCUUUUCUAACAAAAAGAUAUUUUUACAGAACAGAAACAGAAUUAGAUUCAUCAUCAAUCACUUGCCAUUAGUAGUCAUUACAAUUGGAAAAGCUCUCAAAGAGAACAGCUUCCUAUCAAGAGCAAAGCAAAUGGCAACGUUGGCAGUGAACGGAGGAGGAGGAGCAGCAGCAGCAACGCAUACGCAGGCUUAUUUGGAGGGCAGAGCAGUGAAGGAGACGAGGGUGUUGAUAUCAGAGCUCUGCCGUCAUUUCUACACCCUUGGAUGGGUUUCUGGGACAGGUGGCAGCAUCACCAUCAAGGUCCAUGAUGACUCCAUCCCUAAACCUCAACAGCUCAUCCUCAUGUCACCUUCUGGUCUCUACUCUCUACCCUUUACUCACUCUUUUCAUACCCUUUUACUUGUAUUGCUUUCUGGGUAUAUUUUUAUUUGAUGCAUCAAUUUUGUGUUUUUAGAGUUGGGUUGGUGAAAGUUUGUAUUUUGAUUUACUUUAGCUAGUCAAAGUUUUUUUUUUUUUUUAAUUAACUUCAGUUGGUCAAGUUUAUAUUUUUGAUUUACUUUGUAUUGCUUAGCGAUGUUCAUUUGGUUAUUUGUCUGUUACUAUGUAUUUCUUGUAUUCAUUUGAGCUAUUUGAUUGGUUUCUUGGGUAUUUCUUUUGAGCCAUUUUACUUGUGCAUGCUUCAUUCCUCGUUAUCUUAUUUUUUUUGUUUUUCCUUUUCUUGACUUAAUACCUGGGUAGGUCUUUGAUAUCUGGGUAUGCUUUAUUUUUAGCCCAGCUGUGUGAUUCUGACAUUCUGUGUUCUUGAUAAGUUAAAUCCUAUAGCUCAAUUCUUACUUUUGCCAUUUGGUCUAUUCAGCUCUAUGUGUAUUUCCUCUUUUUUUAAAUCUUUUGUUACACAAUUUAAUCCCACUGUGUGUUGGGAUUGGCAUGUGAAUAGGUGUGCAGAAGGAGAGAAUGGAACCAGAGGACAUGUAUGUGUUAUCUGGAAAUGGGACUACGUUGUCUUCACCAUCUCCAAAACCGUACCCACAUAAGCCUCCCAAGUGUUCAGAUUGUGCUCCUCUUUUCAUGAAGGUAUUAGUUAAUCUUCGUCUUCAUUUCAAUAUUAAUAGGCCAGUACGAAGCUUGAUUUGCUGUGAAAGCAAUUUAAACUUGAAUAGGGCCAUUCUAUUGGUGUAAUUUGAUGCGCACACAUUAGUGUUUCCUAUUUGUAUUUGAUUAUUGUGAUAAUAAUGGGAGCAUAAGCUAUUGUUUAAGCCUUUUGCUCCUCCUUCACUUGAAGUGUGAAAAUUUAUGGUAAAUGAGCACUGAUUUUAUCUGAUGUUUGAUGAACACGUCAUCAUCAUGAUCCUAGAGUGAAAAAUAGUUUAUGCUAAAUGGUCGUACACAAUCCUCUAAUCUGCAGUUUCUUUGCGCUCCAAUUAACGAAUGAUUGCUUGACUUACUUGAAUAGUUAAGAAACCUAGUAACUUUAAGUUGUUGUCUCGUUUGAGGCAUUUGAAAUAUCCUCGUUUACCUUCCAUGCAUUUGUAUUGGUGAUUCAGUGAGGAAAAAGAAGAAAAAGAACAUGCAGACUAAACCAUAGGUAUUUGUCCUGGUUUAGUUAAAACAAUCAUUUAAUGCCCAGUUUGUGUAUGACUUUUUCUCAAUCUUUAUAAAGACCUUAGUUAUGGGAAGUAUGCUUAGUAAAUAUGUAUUUCGUCAAUUAUAGUUGCUUUAUUUUCAUUAGGAUAGCCUUUCUUCAUAUUUCUGUUUGGGUUAUUUAAUUUCCUUAUAAAGUGGCAAUAGCACUUGUUUUCUUUGUCAUCCAGGCAUACGAGAAACGUGAUGCAGGGGCUGUUAUCCACAGCCAUGGCAUAGAAUCUUGCCUUGUGACAAUGAUCAAUCCAAUGUCAAAAGAAUUUCGUGUAAGUCUGUACAAUUUUCUAUUUUCUUUUUCUGCAUUUUUUCCCCUCAUGUUCCUUUCUUCAUUGUAGCAUCUUUAUGUUCUCUUUUCCUACAAUCCAUGCCCCCCCCAACUCUUCCCUUCUGAUGUUGUUUGGCAAGGUUUGUUUUUGAUGAUGAACUGUCUUGUUGAGGAACUUGUGGAAUCCUUUGUGAAAGGGUUAGAAAGCAUGAGUUAUCCACAUAUGUGAGGACAUUGUCCAGAAUAUGGUACUUUUGACACGCAUAUUUUACUUUCUCAGUAGUACACUGAUUAAUCUCAAUGAUAUCAGCUCAGGUUUAUGCCAUCACUGUAUUUCCAAAGAAUCAACUAAUGGUUCUGAUAAAGUACUUAAAAAGAUGGUGAUGUUAAGCGUCUUAAGAAGGAGCUGUUCCUGUGCUAGGAGAGACCAGAUCAUAAAUUGAUGUGUGAUUACACUCUUUAGCAUACAUAAAUGCAUUCAUCAAUUCAUAAUGUUGCCUCUUUUAUGUUUUGAUUUGCUUGUGCCUUUUGCAACCUACAGAUAACUCACAUGGAGAUGAUAAAAGGAAUCAAAGGGCAUGGUUACUAUGAUGAACUCGUUGUUCCAAUUAUAGAGAACACAGCUUAUGAAAAUGAGCUCACUGAUUCUCUUGCUAAAGCGGUAUGCUUAGUUUGUUACAUUUAGUCCUGCACCGUGAUUAUAACAAUAAUCUCUCAUCUUAUAUAUUGAGUUUACAUGACACUGCAAAUAGGGACGUUUAGUUUUCCUAUGGAUUGGAACCUGUCAGUGGCCCUAUCCUAUGAUGGCUUCUUAGGCAAUUGGUUUUACAAUAAAUGGUUACCUUAGUAACCUUUCUGACAUUUCUUUCUCAUUGUACUUGAUAUGUGUGGGCAAAUAUCAAUAUAUAUAGUCUGCGCAUCUCACUGGUCAAUAAGAUUGUUUCUUCUGUGAGAAUAUCUUUAGUUGAUCGCAGAGAAACCUGCCCUCACUAUGAGUUGGUUUGCUUUUAAUUAUUUUUCCAACAAUAUUCUUCAUUUCCAUGUAAAACUUUGCAUAGACUGAUCGGAUUUCCCUUUCUGGUUUUCCAGAUAGAUGCCUAUCCAAAAGCAACAGCUGUGCUUGUUCGUAAUCAUGGCAUAUAUGUUUGGGGAGACUCCUGGAUCAAUGCUAAAACUCAGGUUUCCAAUAUUUAUGAAUGGAUUUGAAGCAAAUUGAUCUUUUGUGCUAAAUUUUACCAGGAUUUUAUUUGUUCAUUUUUCUUUUUCCCUUCUGUCAGUUUUUCUAUGAAGUUUACUUUCAUCUAUAGAUGACAAAGUUAGGCCAUCAACCUUUUCCUGUGUUAAUAAUCACAUUAAACUUUUCGUUGAGUGUGUCCAAAAACUGAGAAGAUUCCUUUGAGUAUUAUAAUUACCCACUUCUUGCCUCUGUACUUUUAACUUGUUCAACUCUAUACUCUAAUACUUCCCUUCUAGAAGGAACAUUGGCUGUAACAGCUUUGUUUGCGUACAUGAAACAUCAAUUUCUUAAAAAGUGUAGGCAUUUAAUGUUCAGAAUGAUCAAGGCUUUCUUUAUUGCUAAUGGUAGGUGUUUUGACUUCCUCAUAAGCAGUCCAUCCCUCUUACCUUCUUGAGCAUAUUUAUUGAUGUAUUCUUUAUGGUGAAAGUAGUAACUUGAUUUCCCAUGUCCAUAAAAAAUUUAUAGAAAUAUAACAUGUGUAUUCUUUCUUUCUCUUACUUGGUUGCAUAUUCUUCAGGCUGAAUGUUAUCACUAUCUCUUUGAUGCUGCUAUCAAACUCCAUCAACUGGGCCUGGACUGGUCUACUCCAAACCAUGGUCCAACUCGUAAUUUUAAGUUAGGUUUAGGAAGCAAUGGCAAUGUAAAUACAUCUGCAAAAGCAGUGACUGAAGGCUCAGAUUAUGGUUCUGGCCUAUUCCCAGUAAGAAUUUUACCUUCUCUAACUUUUAAGAGGCCUCUCGAGGUUUUGGACUCAUCGAUAACUCUUCUUCUCUUCUAGAAGUAAAAAUCAGACUGGCUCUGAAGACUGUCCAUGUCUUUGGGGUUGGCCAAUUCAAGAAAUUUAGAAUUAUACUUUACAUUGCCAGAAAUACUUUUUAAUUCUUGAUAUGGUUGCAGCGUUGCAUUGUACUUGACAUUGAAGGGACUACCACUCCCAUAUCAUUUGUUUCUGAGGUUCUCUUUCCAUAUGCUCGUGACAAUGUUGGGAAGCAUUUGUCUGUGACAUAUGAUACUCCAGAAACUCAAGAUGAUAUCAAGUUGUUGCGCUCUCAAGUAAGUUCUUCCCCCCACCCCCACCAAAAACACCAAAUUCAGUGGAUUAUAGUACUUGUGAAACAUCCAUAUCUGGAUUCUCUUUUGGAAUAUCCAUAUCUUUUCUGCCUCAUCAUUUCAAAAUGCUUGUUGCAGGUUGAAGAUGACCUGAAACAAGGAGUCGCUGGUGCUGUACCUAUCCCUCCCGGUGAUGCUGGGAAAGAGGAGGUAAUAGCAGCUUUAGUUGCUAAUGUGGAUGCAAUGAUAAAGGCAGAUCGAAAAAUCACUGCUCUAAAACAAUUGCAAGUAAGCAAAAUAUGAUUCAGAGAAAAAAUAUUUUUGCUGUGGAGCUUGGCUUUCAUAUAUGGUAAUUAUUUAUGCAGGGUCAUAUAUGGAGAACUGGAUUUGAGAGUAAUGAAUUGGAGGGAGAAGUUUUUGAUGAUGUACCAGAAGCCCUUGAAAAGUGGCAUUCUUUGGGAACAAAGGUUUUUAGUUUUUCUUUCUCAUUUUCUUGCAGAUAUGGCUCUCAAUUUUGUGUUUACCAUCUCUUUGUGUGUGCUAUCAUGUUAUUUCUGUUGAAUGUUGUGUGAUAUAUACUACCAGAAGGCUUCUGGUAUUUUUUUUACUAACAUAACCAUGUCAAUGUUUGUGUUACAUGUACGAUAUACCAAUAUCAUAAAUACAACUAACUGUCAGUUCUAGACUGUUUAGACCACUUUCAGUAAAACUUUUCUUGAUAUGAUCAAGCUAAAAGCUUUAGCUUUUAGGUCGUGAAGCAGUCAUCAUUCUUCUUGCCAUAGAGUUAUACGAUUCCAUGAAUACAUUUUAAAUUCUAUUGGCAAGAUAGUGCUUAGUGUUUGAGCAUGCAUAGAAGCUUCACCAGCAAUGUUAUUCUCUACUUGGUGACAGGUGUACAUAUAUUCCAGUGGUAGCAGGCUGGCACAAAGGCUUAUUUUUGGAAAUUCAAAUUAUGGGGAUUUAAGAAAAUAUUUAUCUGGCUUUUUCGACACUGCAGUGGGGUUGGCACUUCUUUCUCUUAACUUUCUUGCUGUCUCCUAAUUUUUGAGCAAAACUAAAUCCUCCUUAUCUUGGUUGCAGGAACAAAAGAGAAACACGCAGUUAUGUCGAAAUCACAAACUCAUUGGGAGUUGAUAAGCCAUCCGAGAUCUUAUUUGUGACAGAUGUAUAUCAAGAAGCUACAGCUGCAAAAGCUGCGGGUAAGGAGUUAUUUGUUAUUUUAGAUGGUUGGAUGCAGGUGCACAGUCAUUGAAAGGUUUGCACUGUACGCAUACCUAAGCAACUUAAAUAAUUAAGAAGUCAAGAUGCACUGUUUUUAAUUUAUCCUCCUUUUGAAUUUUGAGUCAUGAUAUUAAUUAAACUUUAUCAAAAGUCGUUCCUAUCAUGUAAGCAACCAUUUUGAAAACAGUCUUACAUAAUGCUGUCAUGAAAGCAGCCUUUCUUUUCCACUUUAGGGUACUUUUGCAAUCCCUAUGAACUUCUAGCUUUAGUCCUCAGAGAGAAGGUAGUUUCAUGUUCAUUUUAUCACUCAGAUGUUGAUAUUUAUUUCGGUUUUGUUCGAUCAUUUAGGUUUGGAGGUGGUAAUUUCUAUCCGGCCAGGAAAUGGACCUCUUCCAGAGAACCAUGGCUUCAAGACAAUCAAUUCUUUCGCGGAAAUCUAAAAGCAGAAAUCUUCCAUAAUCAUUUCAAAUGAGAUAUGUGUAGUUAAACUAUAAGAAGAUAUAAUGUGAUUACUCUUGUUGUGAACUCUCUCUUUUAGUCUCAUAAGAUAUUUUAAAAGAGUCAAGGGUUCCUCGAAUAUGUUUUGUGCGGAUCAGGGUCCUCUCCUGAUCUGAUCAUAUAUCAGGAGAGGAUCCUAUUCCGUUUUGUGCAUAUUGGGUGGAAAUAUCUUUUGCUGAUACCUUGAGUGUGUGAAUUUCUCUUAAACUUUAGCAAGUGUUACUCCCAUGAAAUAUGAAUCCUAUUAAUUGCUUUUCUAGAAUUCAACAUUUUUCAGAAAAACAAUUUUGAGAUUCAGAAGUAGUGGGUAUGAGGUAGAGACUUCGGCAGCCAAUCAAUUGUGACAAGAAAAACCCACGUCUUUGCUUGUCUAUUUAAGACUUUGGCAGCAAAAUACAAAAAAAAAUGUACAAACACAGCUUUUGUAUUACUUUUAUAAGUUAAGAUAAUAUCAAUAAUCUGCUAAUUACCUGCAGUGUGUCAGUGUUUCAUUUGGCGAGCUUGGGGCCUGCUAUGUAAUCUUGAAAAGUUUGGGACACAAAAGUGUCUUUGAGUUUCUUAUCACCCAGAACCUGUAGCCAAUAUGACCAAAUCUGUCUGUAGAAGUGUACUACUAGUCUCACCAUUAAGUGUAGCCAAAAUGCCUUUGAUCACAAAAGCAGAAGCUUUUGGCUUUCAUAACAAUGCCACCCUCUUCAACUUUGUUGUAGAACUUUUUCGGCAAUGUUGAGACUAAACAUGAAUUCAACUGUUGGAGGAAACUAUGUUUUGGUACCAUUCCUUAGUUGCCAAAGGAAGCUUCUGCCUAAAACAGUUUCCACAAAUUUUGAAAUAAUUUUAACUUUGGAAGCUUAAUGUCAAAAUAUAAAAGAUGUCAUUGCUAAUGCUUGGAACAUCACCGAAUCUCCUCACCCAGAGAGUUACGAAUUCCACUUGGUGAACCUCAUGAAUUGAAUGGUGGUUUUCUUUUUUUUGGUGUGUAUCCUCUACUACAAUCUUCAGUUUACCCUAAAAGUAAGAGUGACUCCUGAAUCCAAAAGCACCAAUUGAGGACUAAGAAAUUACCGGACCCCAGACAGUUGUCGCAGUCACAAUUGUGUUGUUAAAAACUUACUUGAACAUGAAUAAUGCUCUUUGGUAUUCGAAAUCCACUUUUUACGUUAACUAAUUCAUCCUGGCCUAUAUAAACUACUUCGUACUGGAGAUUUUACCAUAUUUGAUCAUUAUUUAUUUUACCAUAUUAAAUCAUUUCAUAAGUCAGAGAUAUAUAAAUAUAUCCAUUUCAUGUUAAAACCGAUCUUUUAUUUUGAUUACCACACCAAAACCUCCAUGACUUAGAGAGUCUUCAUCAGAAAUUAACAAGCUAAUUGGUAUUGAAUAUAAUGCACUUAAUCAGUUGAAAAUGACUUGCAUAUAUAAGAUUGAUGAAUAUAUUCCAACACUAUUUGAAAAUUGUAGCUUUGUAAUCUUUAUAGCUUUUAUCUAUACUCCAACGCUACUUCAACCAUCGUGAACUAUAUAUAGGAUCACUUCACACGCAAGAAGCCCACUAAUAGCAGCUCCAACAACGGCUGUCAUGAUCCAAGUCAGACGUGACAAGAUAUUGUCCGCUUUAAACCUUAAUAAGACUUGCACCAUUUUGUAGCUGUUAUGAUCCAAGCUAGAUGUGCCAAAUUUGUCUGCUUUGAGACUUAACAAGACCUGCACGGUUUUUGUUUCUGGAGUGACCACACACUCCCAAACACGUCUUUGUCAAUUAAAGUGUGGAUUAUCUCUCACAAACCAAACAUCUAUCUCGUGCGGAUCAUCCCUUACAAACAUAGCAUCUCUCGACAUGUGAUUUGCUCAGGGUGCUACAUACACUCCCCUUAGGGACUCAACAUCCUUGUUGAGGUUUGCCUCACCAUCGUUCAAGAGAGAGUCAUUGCUGAGGUUUGUCUCACCAUCGUUUAAGAGGACACACGAAGCCGCUCUGAUACCGUCUAUUAUGACCUAACUCAGACCUGACAAGAUGUUAUCCUCUUUAGGCCUUAACAAGACCCACAUAAUUUUGUUUUUGGGGCGUCAAUACACCUUAAAAUGCAUCUGGCCAAUUAAGGUGUUGAUCACCCCUUACAAACUCAGUAUUUCUCUUGUACUUUGUUGACGUAAGAUUUGUCUAGAGUAUUACCGUGGUUAUUUGUUUUUCUCCAUUGCGCAGUUUGCACCCUUUUUACUGUUUUAUUUUGACUCGAUUAAUAAACAUUACAUUUGCUAGCUACAAGCUAGUCAUUAAUAAGACGAUACAUACUACUUGAUCAAGAAAUUGUCAAAUUGACCUCUUCACUAUUAUAUUCUUUCAUUCGAAUUAAAUUAUAUAAACUAAGAUAUAAUAUGUUAACUUAAAUAUAUUGGAGCUUUAUACCCUUUAUUAAUUAUAUCUCGAACUUCAAUCAUUUUGUUUUUUCGAGUUAUCAUGGCACAAGAUUUUUAGAAGAGCACAGGAGAUCUUAAAAUAGAUCAGGAAAGAAUUUUAAUUUUUUUACUUCACCUUAAUUUAAUUUCUCUUUAUAAACUAUCCUCUGAAAAAAUAAAAAUAAAUUGUACCCUAUGAAGUCAUGAUUUGUGACAUCCCAUUUAAAAUAUAAGUUUCUUAAACGCAUGGUUACUCUUUAUUAAAACUUAAUUUAUGUAAUAAAGUGUUUUCAAAAGCUCUUCUUGAAAUAAUUAUAUUCUAAUAAAGAUUAGACAAAAGAAUCAAAAUUAGAAUUUUCUUAUACUCUGUUCUCUUCUUAAGUAAAAUUACUUACGGAUAAUUAAUGGUUAAUGUAAUUACACAGACUAGGAUGAAUAAUUUAUGUAUGUUUUAUUGAUGAGAAUUACUCCUGUUUAAAUAUAUUACAGGGGAAUAAAUCAAAUCCCACAAAAUCAUAGCUAUAACAGCUAGAAAUCUAAUUCUAAGGAAACAAAUCAGUAAACCUAUUUAAGGAAACAAAUCUUGCUAAAUAAUAUAGAUCCUAAUAUAUACAAUUCUAAUUAUGUAUAAUUAUGAUUUCAUCCACCCUCCCCCUCAAGCUUGGCUAUCGAUGUUGAUGAGACCAACCUUGCCUUUAGGAAACUCAUGAGUUUGUUCUGAGAGUCCUUUUGUGAGGAUAUCAGCGAGUUGGUGAGAUGUAGGCACAUAUUCAAGCUUGAUAAUGUUUCCAUCAAGCUUUUCUUUAAUGAAAUGUCGAUCAACCUCCACAUGUUUGGUCCUAUCAUGAUGAACAUGAUUGUGAGCUAUACUAAUUGCUAACUUAUUAUCACAAUAGAGUAGCAUAUGUUCUUCAAAUCCAAUCUUUAAUUCCUUCAACACCCUUCUUAUCCAGAUAAGCUCACAAACUCCAUGUGCCAUAGCUCUAAACUCGGCUUCCGCACUACUUCUAGCAACCACUGAUUGUUUUUUGCUACGCCAAGUCACCAGAUUUCCCCAUAGCAAUGUGCAAUAACCAGAUGUUGAUUUACGAUCAUUAAUUGAUCCAGACCAAUCAACAUCUGUGAAUGCCUUCACUUUUCAAUCAUUGGUCUUUGCAAAAAACAAGCAUUUUCUAGGUGUUCGCUUCAAGUAUCUCAGGAUUCUAUAUACUGCAUACAAAUGACCUUGGCAUGGUCUGUGCAUAUGUUGACUUACUAAACUCACUGCAAAGGCAAUAUUCGGUCUUGUAUGUGAGAGAUAGAUGAGCUUUCCAACUAGGCGUUGAUAUUGUCCUUUAUCGACCGGACCUCUUUCAAGCAUUUUUCCUUUGUUACCAAGUUCAACUGGAGUCUUACUCGGCUUGCAUCCCACCAUGCCAGUUUCUUCCAACAAAUUUAAAGUAUAUUUUCUUUGAGAGACAAAGAUCCCCUUCUUACUCCUUACAACUUCCAUUCCUAGAAAAUAUCUUAGUGUUCCAAAGUCUUUAACUUCAAAUUCCUUUGCCAUCAUCUGCUUGACUUUUUCUACUUCUUUGUUAUCAUUUCCAGUGACAAUGAUAUCAUCAACAUACACUAUAAGAAUAGUAAUUUUUUUCUUUUUCAACAUGCUUAACAAACAAUGUGUGAUCAGCUUGUCCCUGGCCAUAGCCAAAUUCCUUGAUAACUUUGGAGAAUCUGUCGAACCAAGCCCGUGGAUACUGCUUCAGACCAUAAAGGGACUUGUUGAGUUUAUAAACACUGUGACUCCCUAGGUUUUCUUCAAAUCCUGGAGGUUGACACAUAAAAACUUCCUCCUCAAACUCACCAUUUAGAAAAGCAUUUUUUAUAUCAAGUUGAUGUAGAGGUCAAUCAGAGUUUACAGCCAAAGAUAGAAGAAUUCGGAUAGUGUUGAGUUUGGCAACAGGAGCAAAGGUCUCAGUGUAGUAAAUCUUGUAUGUUUGAAUAAAGCCCUUGGCCACUAGAUGUGCUUUGUGUCUUUCAAUUGAACCAUCAACCUUAUAUUUGACUGUGAAUACCCAUUUACAACCCACUGUAUUUUUUCCUUGUGGCAACUCCACCAGGCUCCACGUAUUAUUCUGUCUAAAGGCGUGCAUUUCUUCAAGACCAGCAGCUUUCUACUAGGGAAUAGUUAGGGCCUCUUCAAUUGAUCUAGGAAUCAAAACACUAGACAAACUCAAGGUCAAAUCAUAGAGUGAAGGAGACAGAUUUGAGUAAGAUAUGAAUUUAGAAAUGGGGUGAUGAGUGCAAGAUUUAACAUUUUUUCUUAAUGUUAUUGGCAUAUCUAGAUCAGGAAUAAGACUGAAUUUACCUGACUCGUUUGGUGAAUGAGACUCUACCAUCGGUUCAUCCUCGUGACUGUGAGUAGGAUUCAUGAUUUCUUUAUUUGCUUGAGAUUUUUUCCUUCUAGAGUAGACUUGCAAUUCCGGCUGUUUAGAUAUUGAAAGUGUUGAAUCUCCUCUUGUUUCCAAUACUAGUGAAAUUGGAUCAAUUACAAAAAACUUAUUUUAGUUGACUCAGGAAUAGAGACAACGGUAUCCAACUUACUAUCAAGUAAAGGCAGGUCAUGGAUAUCCCAAGAACAGCAAGUUUCAUCCCAUUUCUCCCCCUGAAGCGAAGUUGGAGAAAAAUAUGGUGUAUUUUCAAAGACUGUGACAUCACAAGAAAUCUAUGUUUGUUUUAGUUUUUGGAUAGUAACACCGAUAUCCUUUUUGGGUUGGAGAAUAACCAAUGAAAACAGUUUUGAUUGCCCGAGGGUCAAGUUUACUUUUAUUAUGGUCAUGAAUAUGGACAAAUGCUGUGCAACCAAAAAUUCUUAAUGGAAGUGUAUUCGACUUAGAGACAUGUGCGUAGUUUUUUGAAAGAACAAACAAUGGGGUUUCAAAAUUGAUAGGAUGACUGGCCAUACGAUUUAUGAGGUAGGUAGUAGUGAGGAUAUCAUCCCCCCACGAGUACUUUGGGAUAUGCAUGGUAAACAUGAGAGUCCUACCCUAACAAAUGAUGAUUUUUUCUUUUCGAUACUCCAUUUUGUUGUGGAGUAUCAACACAAGAGCUUUGAUGUUGAAUUCCAUUUUCUAACAAAUAAUCACCAAGAAUGGAACUAAAAUAUUAUUUUCCGUUGUUAGUUCUUAGAACAUGAAUUUGGGUUUGAAAUUGAGUUUGAAUCAUCUUGUGAAAAACUUUGAAUAUGCGACUGGCUUCAAAUUUGUUAUGUAGGAGAUAAACCCAUGUAAUCUGGGUGUGAUCGUCAAUAAAUGUAAAAAACCAUCUUUUGCCAUGGCAAGUUGUAAUUUUUGAAGGUCCCCAUAUGUCACUGUGGAUCAAAGAGAACGGAGUGGAAGGAAUGUAAACCUUUGGAGGAAAGGACAUGCGAGUAUGUUUACCUAAUUGGAAAAUUUUACACUCAAAAGAAACAAGAUUUUUAUUAUCAAACAAAGACGGAAAUAGACGUUUUAGAUAUAAAAAAUUGGGAUGGCCAAACCUAUGAUGCCAUAACAUUAUUUCAUUAGUACUAUAAGCAAAUGUAAAAGCAACACCAAACAAAAAAAAAUUGUUAACUCUUUGAGUGAUCAUCGUCAAAGUAAUAAAGACCAUCAUGAAUCCUAGCACUGCCAAUCGUCUUCCCUGAUGAUAAGUCCUGAAAUUAAUAAGAAGAAGACAAGAAAUUAGCAACACAAUGAUUAUCACGUGUGAUUUUGCUAACAGAAAUCAGGUUGCAUUUUAGGGCAGGGACAUGGAAGACAUAUUUGAGGAUUAAAUUUAGAGAUAGUUUUAUGUCACCAAUUCCAACUACUAGUGUAAAAGAUCUAUCGGCAAUUUUAGCAGUGAUAUGUUUAUAACAAGGGAUAUAAAAGUGAAAAAAAUUAGAACUACCUGUCAUAUGAUCAGAGGCCCCAAAAUCAAUUAUCCAAGGGUCCGUAGAUUGAAUCAUAGAUUGGGAAUUUAGGACAGAGUAGAGUUUACCAGAUUUGGCAACAGAACAUGAUCCACUGGUGGAGUUUGCAUAGUUGGGUAGAUGGGUAUGAGAGGCAUUGACAGAAGAUAAAUUAAGGAGUUUGCAUAGUUGGUCAAUUUGUUCCUUGCUGAAUGGAAUAGAUGCACCAGAGUGGACUUGAUUGGAUUGGGUAUAGUGUGCACGUCCUUCAUUUUUUUUCCGAGGCUGCCAAUUUGUUGGUUUCCUAUGAAUCUCUCAGUACUUGUCCCGAGUAUGUCCAGGUCGAUUACAAUGAUCACACCAUGGUCGCUUGCUCGAACGAUGAUCAGGAUGUUGCAGUCUAUUUGAGUGAGUUUUAGUAGUCAUUAAGGUAGAUACUUCUGGUGCGGGAGGAGGUACAGAUUUGUCAUCUGAGAGCAUCACCUUUUGCCGGGCUUUCUCAUGUCGUACUUCUGCGAAGGCUUCGUCAAUAGAAGGGAAAGGCUUUUGAGCCAUCACUCGACCCCCUACCUCAUCUAGAUUUUUAUUAAGAUCAGCAAGGAAAUCAAAUACUCUUUCCUUUUCAAGGUUAUGCUUUUUCUUGACACUGCACUUAGCACAAAAUGAGUCAUCUCCAAAAAACAUAUCUAGUUCUUGCUAAAGAUCUUGGAGAUCAGAAAAAUAUUGGGUGACAGAGUUGGAACCUUGUUUCAUCUCCUUCAGUUUUGAACGAAUCUCAAAAAUCUGAGAAGCAUUCCCAAGAUCAGAGUACAUCCGUCGAGCUGCAUCCGACACAUAUUUGGUUGUCUUGAACCAGAGAUAACGACGACUAAUCUGUGGUUCCAUCGAAUUGAUGAGCCAUGCAAGAACAAUAGAACAAUUAGUCCUAAGGCUCUGAUACCAUGUAAAUACAUAGAUUAGAAUGAAUAAUUUCUGUAUGUUUUAUUGAUGAGAAUUACUCCUCUUUAAAUAGAUUACAGGGGAAUAAAUCAAAUCCCACAAAAUCAGAGUUAUAAUAUAUAGAAAUCUAAUUCUAAGGAAAAUCAGUAAACCUAUUUAAGGAAACAAAUCUUGUUAAAUAACAUAGAUCCUAAUAUAUACAAUUCUAAUUAUGUAUAAUUCUGAUUUCAUCCACAGAUAAUAAAUAAAGAAAAUAAAAAAAAAUCCCAUCCAUACGUUAGAGCAUCUAAAAGCUUUAACUUUUCUGUGAUUUUAUUUUUUGUCUUAUUAUUUAUUUUGUUUACUCCUUGGUAAGCUAUUAAUUUUAGGCAAGUGCUAAGUUACAUUCAAUGUAACUUACACAAUUCAUCUCAACCACAUAAAAUUAUAGGACCCACAAUUUAUGUAGUUGAGAUGAAUUAUGUAUGUUACAUUAAAUGUAACUUAGAGACUCCCUUAAUUUUAACAUAACAAAGUUGAAAAAAAAAAAAGUCAAAAAGUAAAAUGCCCAGUACAACUCAAUCAAAGUAUCAAACCAUAAAAUUUGGCUUAUGAAAUCUAUGAUUCAUGCACAUAGUCCAUAGUCCAUCCACUUAACCAUAUGCCAUGUCUUGUAUUCAUAUAAGCUGUGUGAUUCGAUUCAGUAUCUGGGUAAUCUCUUUAUGUCAAAUUUGCUGGCUCCAUUACGCAUUGUUUGAUUUCUGAUUAUGUUAAAUUUACUGACUCCAUUAACUGUAUGUUUGCGUUGGUAUGUGUGGAGGUGUGCAGAAGGAGAGAAUGGAACCAGAGAACACGUGUGUGUUAUCUGGAGAUGGGACUAUUUUGUCUUUGCCAUCUCGGAAGCCAUACCCACAUAAGCCUGUACGCCUCUUUUCUUGAUGUUAUCAAUUACUCUUUAUCACCAUUUCGAUAUCAAUAAGUCAGUAUGGAUAUCAAGUAGCUAUACAGCACAUUUGAAUUUGAAUAAGGUUGUCUAUUGUUGCCAGUGAAUACUCGCGCAUCGAUCUGUUUUAUUGCUGUUUGAAUAUUAUGACAGUAAUGGGAGCUUAUGUUGUUGCUUUUAGUUUCAGCAUUUGAUUGUAAAUGCACAUGUACGUAGAAUUUACUGUGGAAUUCAAGUGAUGUUAUCAGAUGUUUGAAUGAACAGGUUCGCGAUAAUCCUGUGAUUCGUAGUUUCUGUGUGCUCCUAUUAAUUGAUCAUUAUUCAAGUAAUUUACAAGUUUACUAACGAUUAUCUUGUUUCUGGUAUUAUUUUGCACCUUCUUGUAUUAACGAGAGCAUGACUCAGAAUAAGACAUGUGAUUAUCAAUUAUUAUUUUGUUUAUCAUGAUUGGUUUUAAUUUUUUUUCUAAUUUCUGUGUUGAAUUUUUUUCUUUUUCUAAUUUAUUCAUAAAGUUGCAUUAACAGUUGUUUUCCUCAUCUCAUGAUCCAGACAUAUGAGACGAGUAAUGCUGGAGCUGGUAUCCACAGCCAUGGAAUAGAAUAUUUUCUUGUGACAAUGAUCAAUCUAAUGUCAAAAGAAUUUCAAGUAAGUUUUUAACUGUUGACAAACUGUAAAUGUUUCCAAUUUGUUCUUUUCUGCUAUUUUUCCUCGUGUUCCUUUCUUCACUACAGCUUCUUUGUGUUCUCUUGUUCUACACCCCUUACCUUUCGUUUUCCCACUGAAGUGGUUUUGUGAGGCUUUGUAAUGGUGAACUAUCUGGUUGAGAAAUGUGUGAUCCUUUGGGAAUGAUCUAAGCAUGAUUUGUUACAUAUGGGAGGACAAAGUUUGGGCUAUGGUACUGGUAACAACCAAUGAAUUCAGGCUGAUGCCUUCACCCUAUUUCUGGCUAAUAGAGGAUCAAUUACAUACUCUAUUAAAUUAUAUGAAUGGUGGGGAUUCCUAAAGUUUCUUUAAAAAGCUUUUCAUCUGCUGGAAGAUACCAUGAUAUAAGUUCCUACGUGAUUAUACUUUUUAGCAUGUAUAAAUUCUUUCGUCCACUCAGAGUUGUUACCUGUUUUAGGUUUUGAUUUUCUUCUGCUUCUUGCUCACUUAUAUACAAAUGAUAAAAGGAAUAGAAGGGCAUGGUUACCGUGAUGAACUUGUGGUCCAUUAUAGAGAACACGGCCUACAACAUGAGCUUAUUGAUUCUCUUGCAAAAGCAUAUGAUUAGUGUUCUUACGUUUAGUUUUGUAUAGUGAUUAUAAUGCUAACUUUUUGUGUUACAUAUUACACUUUCGUGAUACUGCAAAGGAUGGUAUGAUAAGUUUUCCAAUUGAUUGGAACCUAACAACGGUACUAAUAUGCGGGCUCCUUAGACAAUUAGAUUCCCGAUAAAUGGUUACCCCAAGUAAAAUUUUUGACUUUUCCUUUCUUGUAGUACUUACCUUAAUAUAUGGACUCGUAUUAGUAUUCAUCAUCAGCAUGUCCUGUUCUGGUCAAUCAAACAUUUUCUACUGUAUCUUUGGUUGAUCUCAGAGAUACUUGCCUUCUCUAUAAAUUCAUUCAUAGUUAAUUCUUAUCCCAAGAUUUCUUCAUUUCCAUGUAGAAAAUUUGCAUAGGCUGAUUGGAUUUUCCUUUUUGGUUAUUCAGAUCAAGGCCUAUCCAAAAACAACAGCUGUUCUUGUUCCUAAUCAUGUUUGGAGGGCCGGGGAGGUGAUCAGCAGGCAGCUUAAUGGCCUUCACAUCCGCUUCUGCCGUGAGGCUCUAGCAAGACCUCUGCGCAUUCUAUGAGAUUCUUCAUGGCAUAUAUGUUUGGAAAGAUUCAUGGAUUAGCGCUAAAACUUGGAUUUCUUCUAUUUAUGAAAGGAUUCGAAUAAAGUUGAGAAGCAUUUGUUUGCGACACAUGAAACUGCAGGAACUAAAGAUGAUAUCAAAAUUUUGCACUCUCAAGUAAGUUUUUUAUAUGUUUUCAGUAGAUAAUGGUACUUAUGGAAUAUCCAUAUCUUUUCUGCCUCAACAUUUCAAAAUGCUUGUUGCAGGUUGAAGAUGACCCGAAACAAGGAGUUGCUGGUGCUGUACCUAUCCCUCCCAGUGAUGCUGGGAAAGAGGAGGUAAUAGCAGCUUUAGUUGCUAAUGUGGAUGCAAUGAUAAAGGCAGAUAGAAAAAUCACUGCUCUAAAACAAUUGCAAGUAAGCAAAAUACUAUUCAGAGAAAAAAUAUUUUUGCUAUGGAGCUUGGCUUUCACAUAUGAUAAUUAUUUAUGCAGGGUCAUAUAUGGAGAACUGGAUUUGAGAGUAAUGAAUUGGAGGGAGAAGUUUUUGAUGAUGUACCAGAAGCCCUUGAAAAGUGGCAUUCUUUGGGAACAAAGGUUUUCAGCUUUUCUUUCCCAUUUUCUUUUGAAUUUUCUUGUCGAUGUGACUCUUUAACUUUUGUAUUUUUCCAUCUAUAACUUUGUGGGUGCUAUCAUGAUGUUACUGUACCACAUCAUAUGUGUGGCACAAAUAAUUGAUAUAUCAAUAUCAACAAUACAACUACUGCAAUUGAGUUUCUAUUUAGACCAUGCAGGAUCAUUAGAAUUGUUCUUGAUACAGUCAAGCUAAAGCUCUUAGGUGCUGAAGCUGUUAUUUUCGUCCCCUUCCAAUGCAACUGUCUGGCUUCCUGAAUUUAUUUGAAGUUUCAUUCUCUUGGCAAUAUUUUGCCCAAUUGUGAGUAUGCAUAGGAGGUUCAUCAGCAAUAUUAAUUACUAAUUCUGUAUCCGGUGCAGGUUUACAUAUAAUCUAGUGGCAGCAGGUUGUCACAAAGGCUUAUCUUUGGAAAUUCAAAAUAUGGGGACUUAAGAAAAUAUUUGUCUAGAUUUUUUGACAGUGCAAUGGGGUAAGUUCUUUAACUUUCACUUUUAUCUCUCUUGCUGCCUCCUACUUCUUGAGCAAAGAGGUAAAUCCUUGUUUGUCCUCUUGCUUGCAGGAAAAAGAGAAAAACACGAAGUUAUGUUGAAAUCACAGUGUUGGUGGGAGUUAAUUAGCCAUCUGAAAUUUUACUCAUUACAGAUGCUACCUAGAAGCCACAGCCGCAAAAGCUGCAGGUAACAAGCGGUUUGUAAUCUUUUAUUUUUAAAUGGUUGGAUGCUCGACUGUUAUUGAAAUGGUUCAUUUGCAAUUCAUAUGUCCAUAAGCAAGUUAAAGAAAUUAAGGUGCCCAUAUUCACUCUUUUAAUUUUUUUAACUUUCUGAAUAUUCAGUAACAAUAUUCAAAUUUAUGAUGUGCCCCUGUACCAUCCCUUUGAACUCUUACUGGUAUUCCUGAGAGAAAAGGUGGUUCCGUGUUCAUAUUCUAUGUCGAGAUUGAUGUUUAUUUCGGUUUGAUUUAUCGUUUUGGUUUGGAUGCGAUAAUUUCUGUCCAGCCAGGAAAUGGACCUCUUCCAGAGAGUCGUGGCUUCAAGACGAUCAAUUCUUUUGCAGGAAUCUGAAGGCAAAUAUAAUUCUAUGAGCAUAUAGAAUGUGACAGUUGUAGUUGAACCGUAAACAGAAAUAAUGUGAUCACUCUUCUGUAAUGAGCCUUCUCUAUUUGUGUGAUGCAUGCACUUAAUGCUUGUGUUCUUGGAUUAGAAGCCAGUAGUUGCUUGUUCUAAAGGGUGUGCUUCUUCUUCAUACUCAAUUUAUAUAUGGGGCUGAGGAAAUAUCGAUUGUUAUUUUAUGAGCAAGAUAAGUUUUGUUCUUAUCAACCACCGAUGGGUGGAUUUGAAAAAGACAAGCCGAAGGCGAGAUGAGUAAAGAAUUUGAAUCCUUAAAUGUGCCACACCGAAUGUGGCAAGCCCAUAUGUUAGAUUUGGGUAACUUUCAAGCAGAGAACUUUAAUCUUAGACUUAUUAUAGAGUAAACAUUAUUUUCCCAAAAAAAAUAAUGCACAGAGCCAAAUAAAAAUCUCAUCCAUGAAUUUUUUUUGGAUAGCCAAAAUUUAAAUUUAAAAGCUAAGACAUGGUCAUUACGCUAUCCUUUUAAUAUUUAUCUCACUGUCUGAUAGAUGAAUUUAAUGUUUCAAAUGUUUUUAUUUAUAUCAUUGUUGUUGAAUUCAAAACAGAAGAUUGGUAAUUGAUCCCACGGUCCCCAUAUUGAACAUGUUUUAUGAUAACAUUGACAAAUAUAUCUUCUAUAGGUGGACUAGUCUUCAAAACUUGCCCAAUCAAACUCCAAAUUUGGGCUAUAUAUUUAAUUUUAAAUGAUAGAUGAUAAUUUAAAGUAGGAAGAACAGUCAUAUAGUUGAUUGGUAAGUUCGGGCAAGAAUUGACCAAGUCCUUGAUAAUUUGAUCCAAAACUUUUGUUUUCUUCUAUUAACGAUAAUUUUUUCUGGGUCUCACAUUGGUUGAGCUCAAAAUUAGUAUCCAAAACUUUCUUGGGUUCGCAUUUUCCAGGAAAAUUAAUUAGAGAAUCUAUAUAUAAGAUACUGACCACAGAUAGAGACCAGCAUAUACAGGGAGGAGGCAGGUGACAAAGUGAGUUGCAAAAGGUAUCCCAAUUGCAUCUAAAGUGAUAUAAAAGAGACUUUGGCAGUUUUUGUCCGAUGUUUGGGUCCAGUCCAAAGAUACUCUCACAGGCGGUCAUCAAUCACACUGACACAAAAGUAGAACCCCAAAGCCAAGCAAAGGCAGAAUUUAAAAAGGCCUCUCACAUUUUCUCUGCUUUUCUAAUUUAAUUACUUAGACCAUACUCUCUCUCUCUUUUUCUUUCUUUUUCAAUCAUCAUCAUAGCAAUUUUCCCACUUUUGUUUUAACUUUUUACAAACUGUGAUGAUCAUCUCUUUCUCUUUCAAGUCAAAAAGGAAAAUAAAAGGACGACAAAGAAUUGCAUACCAUAGCUGAACAGAAACAACAUUACAUAACCUAGGACGGUGACUUCCCUUUCAAUGAGAAAAAAACUUAUUGAGAUACACCAUUUUUUUUAAAAAAAUUUUAAACCUUCACGGUUCUAAGUUUCUUACCAACUCUACCAAUUGUUGUUAGACAUCUGAAAUGUUCUAACAAAGACAGCCCAAAUUGUUGAACAUGAAGAUUAGGAUUAGGAAAUUGCUUUAAUUGAAAAAAUGGCUAUUGGUUUUCAAUUCUUUGAGGGCAUAGGGAGGGUUGGCAUAAAUUGCUGUAGCUAAGUCAACAUAAUAGAUAACACUGUCUUGUCUCUUUGUCGAGUUUUGGUCCGCAUAGUCUUUUCGGCUAGGUCAUUUUCAUACGGAAAAUUUGGAAAAUAAUGUCUUCCUAGAAAAUUCCAUGAUACUUCUACGCUGAAAAAUUUCACUUGAUAUAUAGAUCCAAAUCUGUGAUGAUUUAAUAUCAUGACUUGUAAUUACUAAAAAGAAAUUAAAAAUCUUAACUAUUCAUUAAGAGAGGUAAGAUGAGUAGAGGAUCAGAAUUUUAUAGGACAACAAAGUUAACACCCAUUCUAGCACAGCAUUAAUCUUGAAUGCUAGUGCAAACAAGUUGGGUAAAAUCUAUUGAGGAAUAUUCAAAGCGUAUUGGUGCUCUAUACACAACUUAUGAGCUUGGUCACAUUUCAUAGAGCCAUAAAUAUAGCAGAAACUUUCUUUUCAAGGCCCAGACAGUCAAGACCAUCGAAACAUAUUGUUGAAAUAAUUUAUUAUAACAAAAUUAAAUUAAACCAAACACUAAAUGGUAAUGAAUUUUACAUUCAAUUUUUUGAGUUCAAAUUUAGAUAGAAGAACAAGAGAGAAACAUAGAAAGAUUAUAUAGCUGAUCAUUUCUUUUGAGACCAUGCAAAUUAAUCCAUAUAUAUAUAUAUAUAUAUAUAUGAAUGACAGAUAUAUGAAGAAAGACCAGUACCUCAGCAUCAAGAAAUUCAUUUUUUUUAUUUAUAAUUUUAAAUGUCAGACUAAUACCCAAAUUAAGAAAGAAAAAAGAAAAGAAAAAUAACAAGCUAUUACCAUAAUAUGAAAAAGAGAUGAAAUUGUACAAUUGAAACAAGAUUCUUCUUCUACCCGUGAUCAGUACUCAGCAGUAGCCUUGCUCAUACAAUACACAUAAUACAGAACCAGUAGUACCGCAGUCUUCGUAUACGGUUCUUCAAGAAGAUGAGCCAGAGACUCUAGGUGAAGUCAAAGGAAAGAGAGUCAAAAGCUGUGGCUCAUGGUCUCUAGGAGUUGACAUUGGAGAUGGAUGCAAAUAAAAACCCUUCUCAGCAAUUGCUCUCUCUUCCUCUGAUGAUGACGACGAUGAUGAAUUUCCUCCUAAAGAAUAAGGAGAUGAUUUGUUAAAAGGGUCUUCGUUUAGCGGUGUAACAGGACUACUGAGUGCAAGUUUUGGAAAGUCAAGCAAGCUUGGUGACAAAAUCUCUGGCUUGUUAUUUCCAUUCCUUGGAGAGAAGGCACAAUUAUUAGCCAAAGUGUUGAUCAUGAGACUGUUCUUGAAGUUGUUGGCUCUUCUUUCAUAGAGCUUGAAAUUUUGCUUCUUUGGAGUGGUGGUUUUGAUUGGUGGGAUAACAAAAGAUUUGUUGUUGUUGUUGUUGGUGUUGGUGUUGGAUGGAUCUGUUGUUGUUGAUGUAGAGGCUUGUUUGGCAGCCGUCUCAGAGGAGCCAGUGAGCAGUUGAACAACUUGUUUGAAGCUGUUGGUGUCAGCUUGCACAAAAGUCGUUGGGUAAGGAUUGGCUUCAGUAGAUCUGGAGAUUGGAAUCGGUGUGAGUGGUGGGGUGUGAUUGUUGUUACUGUGAUGGAUUUGGAGUUGCACUUGGACCACCCCAUUGUUGUUAUUGUCGUUGUUGUUGCUGCUGGAAGCACCUCUUGGUGAAUUUAUGGGAGAUGGAUGGUUCCUUGUUGAUGUAUUAUUCUUCUCCAUUGAAGCAAAACAAGAAGUCCUUCUGAAAAAAAGGUGCUUUUGGGGUUGUGAACAACUGAAGAAAGGAGGAGGAGGAGGAGAAGAAAGAAAGAGUGAAAAACAAGGUUUGAUGAGAGAAAGAAGCUUUGGCUUUGCUAUUACUUUAGUUUUGUUUUGUUGUGCCACCAAGCAAUUUUAUUGUUGACUCUUAAUUUACCUUUUCUCUCUCCUUGAUGUGUUUAGUGAGAAACAUUGGGGGCGUUUCAGCUUGAGACUUAAAAGCUUAAAAAUGGGUUUAGGUUAUACGGCAUUGGGAUUAUAAAGAUUAAGGAAAAUUAGGGUAUUGGUUGUAAAUGGAAUUUGUUUGGCCAUUUAGCAUAUGUGCUGCUGCCACCACCACCAUUGUCAUUUGUCAAGUCUUUGGACAAAAGAAUAUCAAUUUAUAGAUUUUAUGGCAUGGACUUCAGAGCCCUGAUUGAAGACACUUUGUUUGAUUUCAUUGGAAAUUAUAUUGAUGAUGAUGAUGGCAACAAAUUGUAUUAUAUCACAACUUUUGCCACUCUUAAUUAAGCAUCUUUAUCUGGCGCGUGUACUCCAAGCGCGAGAGAUUAUUUUUGUGAACAACAGAAGCGCUUCUAUAAGAAAAUGUGAUUUGUAACAAAAGCAGUUUUCUAUAAAGAGUAUUAUCAAGUGUUUUUCCUGUUAACACUUAAUAAGUAAGUAAUAGGGUUCUAAUCGCCUACUCUUUACUCUUAUGAAACACUUUCUCUUUUUAGAAAAAUAUAUUAUUUUUUAUUUUUAAAUUAAUAUAUCAUUAAAAAUUUCAUAUUUAAAUUCAAUACUGAACUAAUAUUAUAAGAAAUGAAUUCAAAGAUAUUGAUAUUUUUAUACAUAUUUUCACUCUUACUUUCACUUUAGAAUUUCGGUAAACGUAUACUUUUGUACCCAUACAAAUUAUGUUGGUCCUCAUUUUAUAGAUUUCAUCUAAUAGAAUAAUUAGGGUUGGCAAAAUGAGUCACCGGGUCGUGUUCUUGUCGUGUCAGUUUCGUGUAGUGUUCAAUUUAAGUCAAUCCAAACACAACCCAUUUAAUAAUCGUGUCAAAAUAUUGAGACCCAAACCCGACACAAAAAAUAAACGAGCUACCUAAUAACUCAUUUAAUAUCUAUAUAUUUAAAAAUAUAUUACACACACCCCAAACUAUCACACAUUUACACUAUUAAAUUCUAAAUUUAUAUAAAAUUUUAUAAAUAAACAUUGUGCAUAUGUCAGUCUUCCAAAGAAAAUUAAAAAGAGAGAAUGAUAUCUAAUAUUUGAGUUUUAAUGACAAAAAUCUAAAAAUUAAUUUAAAAUAAAAAAUAUAAUCAUAUCAUUGUUCGGAUAAAUGGGUCGAGAAUUUUAACUCCAGCUCAACAUGGAAAAAAAAAUUGUGUUAAUCCGAACCCGGCCCAUUUAAUAAUAAUGUAAAAUUUGACAAUUCAUACCAAUUUAUUCGUGUCCUGUUCGUAUCAAGUAAUCGUGUCGUGUUAAAUUUUGCCAACUCUAAUUAGUAAUAAUUAAGAAAUGCAAACUUCAUGAGUGUUGGUUUAUUCAACCUCUAAGAUCGCUUGAAAUAUUCAUACGACUUAAAGUCUAAAUUUCGCUAGUAUGCGGAUUGAAAAAGAGUUUAGUAGAAUAAAAGAAGUCAUCAAUCCAUUAUUAUACCUUUUAUGCUCCACAUCACUCAAAUUACUCAUAAUCUCUCCUAAGUGGUGUAAGACUAUCGAGAAGAUGCCAUUAUGACAUCAUUUUGAUGGUGAUAUUACAUUCAAAGACCUAUCAGAAACCAUUAGAAUACCCAUGGUAAAUUCAUAACAAACUAUACGCGAAAUAAUUUCUUUAGAAUUACCCUAAAGAUCAACAUUUUUUUUAUACCAAGCAUUUUAAUGUGAAUUUGUUCUGUUCCUAAAUUAAUGUCAAUGAAACUAACAAAAGCAACGGGUCAUUGGAUGGAUUAUAUAUAUAUUAUAGACGAAUCUAAUUUUUAAAAUAUUGUUCUAUACCGCAUUAACAAAAAAGAGUUCUUAGUUGUAAGAAAAUAAGAGAAAAGAAAAGAAGAAAAGAAUCAAAUUCUCAUUUUAUUUUUAGAAAGAUUAACAAAAAAUUUCGAGAAAAGGUGAUGGGGGGGGGGGGGGGGGGGACCAAUUGUCCAUUAACAGAGGCCAUUGUUGCUGCUAAAGGGAUCAUAUGCUUUCAUAAACCAAAAGCAUUAUUGUCUAGAUUGUGGAGUGCUUAACAAAAGUCUAACUACUAAUUUUAUAUUAAGCAUAAAGCAAAAUGAUUAAUUAACUAGCUCCAGUCGUACAAACAUUUGAUUAAAGCACAAGCAAAUUUGGAGGGAGAAAAAAAGAAGCUACAAUUGGUGAGUGAUCCAUCAUAUAAUAUCAUGAAGACAUGAUAUUGUAAUUGAGGACUUAGAGAUCUUCAAUUAUACCCAAUAGUCCAAAAAAUUAAUUGAUUAGAUAUUCCAAAUAUUUAUAAUAUUUUACUUCAAGUAUGUUACAUAAAAACAAAAUAUGUAAGCAUGGAUUAUUACAUUACUCUCUUAAUCAGCUAUGAUAAAGUCUCUGUUUGUUUUAUUGUUUGGUUAUAUUAUGAUUUGUUUUUUUUUAAAUUAAUUAAUGAAUUUAGUUUUAAAAAAGUCAAAACUAGCGCGCAAUAUAAAUUCAUAUUUUCUUAAUAAUUGUAGGAUACCAACCUAUAUGGACCACUUUAUGAUUUAACCUAUUUAGUUUUGAAAAUAAAAAUAUAUCUUUGAGUGUUUUCAUAUGCACUUAAUAAUAACUUGGUCUUAAAUACUUACAAAAAUUUCUAACUUUUCCAUUGUUUCUUAUGAGUUACUAUUGAUUUGAUCCGCUUAUGUGAUGUGCUAAAUAAUUCCAAUGAUUUUUCCUUCAGAAAUUUUUUUUUUUUCUUCAAAAUAGGACCACUAGGGGGGGGGGGGAUUAAAAAAUUUAAUUUUUUUUUUAAAAAAACCCAUCAUGCAUGCAUGUGUUGAAAUUCUUAGGAAUUACAUUCAGUGAAAAAUUUUUUGCAUGGUUAAUUUAGAAAGAAUUGUAGUAAUUCUCAAGUAAAAGAUUAAUUGGCCGGCUUGACUAAAGGCUAAAAAAAUGGGAGUAUUAGGUGUCGUUUAGCUAAUAAUCCUUUUUAAAAUUAUUUGUUUAAUUGGAUUUUGCUGACUUUUUGAUAUAGUAGGGUCCGCCAAACGGGGUCUUUAUUUAUUGUUUGAGCUGCUCAAAGUCACAGGUUCCGGCUACAGCUAGCAAGCUGCUUGUGUUGUGCACAACAUUAGUCUAAGAAACCGGCUGUUUUAUUCCAUUUCUAAAUAAUUUUCCUGGAAAGUGAUAGAAAAUGAAACUCAACAAUCGAACUUUACCUUAGUCAGGGGUGUGGUUAGAUCGAAUUUCACUUUUUUUUUCUAUUUUAUAUUUUCUUUCUAAAUAAGAGUGAUACUCGAAUAUCACAACAUAUUGAUUGACAUGGCUAAAAAUAUAUAUUUGUAAAAUUGUGUAAAAAAAAAAAUAUUUACCAAAACAGAAGAAAAAAAUUAUAUUUACACGUAUGAAAUUGAGAUGAAAUAGAAAAUUCAUUUCAUAAAUCAUGUGGCAGAUGAUGUGACAUUUAGACAAAACUAUGCGAAUGCAUAAAUAUGAGUAAAUCACUCCCUAAUAUAUGGUGCUACAAGCUUGAUUGUGUCACAUAAUUUGCUAUAUUAUUUGAAAUUGAAAAUAGAAAUAAAAACUUUAUCACUCAAAUUUAGUGUAUCGUAUUAUUUAUUUUAAAAUUAAAAUCUGAUUGAAAAUGAAGUUAGAAAGUAAUUUUCAUAUAUUACAAUUGUGAUAUUUUUAAUAUUAUUUUUAUUUACUUUUUAAGUUAGAUAGUGUCGAUCUUAUUUAGAAUCCUACAUUUUAUUAAAGUCCAAGAAAGUUAUAUAUAUAUAUAUAUAUAAACAAACAAAAUCUGGAUGACGGGCUUAUCCUAGAAAUAUUUUUUAUUUUCAUUCACGACUUUUGUAACAAUUUCUGUUGGCAUUUGUUUUGAUUCUAUUUCAAGUCAUUGUUAUAAAAUUUAGAUCAUGAACAAUAUGGUAAAUGAUGUAAAGCUCGAACAAAAUAAGCACGAUGAAUGUGGGAAUAAUAAAUUUAAAUCCAUCUACGUCGUUUAAGGCUAUACCCUGCUUGGACAGAAUCAUGUGAUUUGUCAUAUUAAUUCAAAUACAAAGAACCCUAUCGUCAAUUUUCAUAGAUAUACAGAAGUUAUUAAUCUUAACUUUGAUAUGGGAUUGAUACGAUGCUCUGAAGCAAUCUUGCAUGCUAGAAAUUGUAGAUCUAACUUCAUUUCUUUUUGUUAUUUGCUUUCCGAAAUUGUCGCUGACGCGUGAUGANNNNNNNNNNNNNNNNNNNNNNNNNNNNNNNNNNNNNNNNNNNNNNNNNNNNNNNNNNNNNNNNNNNNNNNNNNNNNNNNNNNNNNNNNNNNNNNNNNNNNNNNNNNNNNNNNNNNNNNNNNNNNNNNNNNNNNNNNNNNNNNNNNNNNNNNNNNNNNNNNNNNNNNNNNNNNNNNNNNNNNNNNNNNNNNNNNNNNNNNNNNNNNNNNNNNNNNNNNNNNNNNNNNNNNNNNNNNNNNNNNNNNNNNNNNNNNNNNNNNNNNNNNNNNNNNNNNNNNNNNNNNNNNNNNNNNNNNNNNNNNNNNNNNNNNNNNNNNNNNNNNNNNNNNNNNNNNNNNNNNNNNNNNNNNNNNNNNNNNNNNNNNNNNNNNNNNNNNNNNNNNNNNNNNNNNNNNNNNNNNNNNNNNNNNNNNNNNNNNNNNNNNNNNNNNNNNNNNNNNNNNNNNNNNNNNNNNNNNNNNNNNNNNNNNNNNNNNNNNNNNNNNNNNNNNNNNNNNNNNNNNNNNNNNNNNNNNNNNNNNNNNNNNNNNNNNNNNNNNNNNNNNNNNNNNNNNNNNNNNNNNNNNNNNNNNNNNNNNNNNNNNNNNNNNNNNNNNNNNNNNNNNNNNNNNNNNNNNNNNNNNNNNNNNNNNNNNNNNNNNNNNNNNNNNNNNNNNNNNNNNNNNNNNNNNNNNNNUUAUCACGUGAAUGUGGAAUAAUAAGUUAAAUCAACUACAUAAUAUAUGGCAAUACGUACUUGAUAGUAUCAUGUGAUUUGUCAUAUUAAUUAAAAUAUAAAAAUACUAUCUCAAUUUUAUAAAUAUACAGUAUUAUUAAUCUUUAAAUUGAUAUUUGAUUGAAUAUGAAGCUUGAAGCAAUUUUCAUGCAAGAAAUUGUAGAUCUAAUUCAUUCUUUUUUAUUUGCAUUCCAAAUGUCACUGACGCGUGAUGACAAUAACAUAUCAAAUGACUCAAUCAAAAAGUAUAUUUAUAAAAUAGUAGAAGAAAAUUUUGUUUGAUGAAAAAAUAAUAUUCCAACUAAUAUGAUAAAUAGGUAAACUACCAGUCAUCUAGAAUCUUUACAUGAAGGUGAACUGAUUAAAUAAAUAAUUCAUGAGUGCUAGUUAUUUGUCUUGUUAAUUGAGAUGUAACUUUUCUCUCGACUUUAUAAGUACUGAAUUAUUAAUCUUGAAAUUAAGAUGGGUGGCAAGAAAAUUUUCACUAGGGAGAACGAGAAAAAAAAAAAAGAAAAAGAAAAAAUCGUGGGUAGAAGAGAACAAAGAGGCAAGUUCCUGGCGGGUGAGUGUUUUGGUUGGAGAUUAACAUUUUGAUUGAGAAAUGAGAAUGGGAAAAGGAACUUGACUUUUAUUCCUUCAUGAUUAUAUCAAGAAGGGAAAAAAAAAUUUGUCUGUAGGUUGUAAAUGAAAAAAUUGGUAGAGAAAAAAAGAGAGUUGUUUCUUUACAACUUGUUUGGUUACAAGUCAAAGUUGCUUGGCCCUACAAUUGUUUCUUUGGUUGCCCUCAUCAAUGAUGAUGAUAUGUAUAAUGCCUUAUUUCAUCAAUAACAGUUGACUAUGAAUAUAUAUUUUGAAAGAAAAGGGAAAACUACAGAAACCUUUGAAUAUUUAUAAAUCAUUUUGAUGGAAGAAAAUUGUUUCAGAAAUGUUGUAUGCUGUUGUUUUCUCUGCACAUUUUUCUGUUAUUUUCUUAAUAAUGACAUCAAAUACAUCAUGUCGCACAGCAAUGCUACAGGUGUUAAUAAUUGAUGAGAUGGGUCAUAUUUGAUUAUAAUUGAUUAUAAGCCGUUUAUUUUAGUUGAUUAAUUCGGAUCAGAAUUCUCCCAUGAUAUGAUAUUUUAUUUGAGUAAAUAUGAUUGUAUGAUUAGUAGCUAAUAAAUGAGAAAAUAAUAAAUAAGUAAAUUUGUCAACGCAAAAACAUAAAAAUAUUGAUAACUAAGGGAAAUGAAGUUUUUUGAAUAAUGUGAUCUUGAUUGAAAAUUUUGAGUGAACAACAUUAGGGUUUUGGAGUCCUUUUAUACUAACCCUAAAUUUUGUGAAUUUACUAAAAUAGGCAAAUCUAAAAUAUUAUUUCAUAAUAAUAUUCUCUUAAUCUAAAUAAGAAAAACAAAAUAAAUGGCAUCCAGAUCCGAUAUCUAAAGAAAAAAGAUAAAAAUCCUGAAAGCAAUAGGAAAAAUAGAAAAACAACUUAAAACUAUAAAAUGAUUAGAAAAAAAAUGAAACUUUUGGCUCGACCAUGGAGUAAAACGAAGUUGCUUUUCUAGGUUUAGUUUGUCUCAGUUUAAGUUUCAAAAUUGUAUAUUAUACGCCGAAAACAGACACCUAUAGCCCGAAUUAUGACCUCUAAUUUAUACUUUACUCAUCCUACGCAAUCGUCCUACAUCAAAAAUCUUGAACAUACACAAAUAAAAGUAUAUAUAUAUAUAUAUAUAUAUAUAUCAAAAGAUCCUUCAAAGUUUAGAUAUAAUCACUAUAUCCUUAUCCUUACAACUCAUGUUUUAUCGAAUUUGUUGAUUGUGAGUGUGGAAUUUGAUUCUAAUAUUCUCCACGUGUUAUUCCAAAUUAAAAUGUUUUAUUUUGUGUUGAAUUGGUAUAUAGUGCAUCAACUACACCUUGCAUCCACCAGUACUAGUCUGCUAUCCGUAAUAAAUAUUGCAAAUACGAAAACAUAAAUUGUAUAUAUAAUAAAAAAGUUGUUAUCAAUAAUUUUAAAAAAAUAUAUAAUCAAAUAUGAAAAAUAGUUACACCCCUUAAUUAAAUUGAGAACAUGUGCUUAAUUGAUGAGUUUUGUUAUAUUUAGGUCAACUAGCUAGAUAUAUUGCACGUCAUCAUCGAUUAAGUUUGUGCAUGAAAAAUAUCUACUUCAUAAUUAAACUCAUAAGAAUGAUGUCACAAACAUAUGUGGCAUGGAAUCUUAUCAUGCUUAGAGGUUGAAGAAAGGAAAUAUCAAAAAUAUAAACAAGAAGGUAUCUUGGAUUUGCAAGUGGUACCAACCACACACUCAAAGGAGUCAAGUUCAAGCCAAAAAAUGAAUUUUGUGAUAUGAUUGUUGAGUAGUUUCCAUCAAAACAAUGACAUGAGUUUAUAUAUAUUUGAAAUUCCUCUUAUUCUUGGCAAUGCAAGAAAGGUUUCCACGAUGCAACCCAUUUUGUUAAUAGAAGUGCUAAAGAAAACACAACCCAAAUGGUUGGCCAACUAAAUUGUAUCAAAAUAAAGAAAAUUGAUUUUGGAUCCAUUCGAAAGUUACUCGAAUAGUGUUACAAGUUUUUUUUUUUUUUUUUUUUAUAGAUUAUUGUCAUUUUCCUGCUAUAACAGUGACCAAAUACUAAAUUAUUAUAACAGUUAUUGAAGUUUAAUAGACAUUAACAAUGAAAAGUAACUUUCCACUAAAUUUUUCUUACCAAUGGUAAUAUGUAUACAAAAAGUAAUACAAAAAAAUGCACACUAUCACUACAAUAUUUACAUAUACACACACACACAUACACUACAAGACAAGAUUUUUCUGUCUUUUUGUGGCUUUAAUUCUAAAUUUUGUGCUAUUUUCUAUACAUACAUCAUUAUUCUUCCGUUGCUACUCAUAGAUAAAUUAUGACAUCACAACAUCGAAUUUGUCUUUGGAUCAAAUCCAACUCAAGCUUCUAAUAUGCCAUAAGCAUUCAAGCACAAAACAGUCUUCUUAUCCGCAAAUACUUAUCUACUAAUUUUUAUUUUAUUUAAAAAAAUUGAAAUAUUUAAAAAAAAUCUUUUAUAUAGAUUUUUAAUCUCUUGUUUAUUUAUUGGACAAUAUUGGCAUUUUACAAGUGGGCAAAUGAAAAAGGAAGUAAAAUAUUGCUGUUUCAUAGUUAAAAAUAAUAAAAUGUUAUUUUUUUUUUAUAAGUAACGUGUAAAAAUGUUAUGCCUGUAAGAAUUUGGUUGAAUGAUUUUUAAACAACUUUACGACGACUAAUCCGAACUGAUAAUAAACACAAGAACACUUUAAUAAUUAUUCUAAUAGUUUAUAAUUUCAACGUAGGUGGAAUUUAUUUCUUUUAUAUAUGUGUGUGUGUGUGUAUAGCAUUACCCUCCAUUGAGUACGGUGUGUGUGACAAACGGACAAUUGAUACUAACACAACUCAAAUACUUUUUUAUAUAAAAACUUGCACCAUAUUGAUGGGGGAGACCAUGCACAUGAAUAUUAAUUAUAAUUUUAAUUAUGUAUGACUAGGAGACAUUGAAGAUAGAAAAGGGACCACCUUCGUAGCCAUGUUCUGAGGUUCAUGAAUAGUUGCUCUGUCUCAUACUCAUAUGCUGCUGCUUACAUUAAUAAUCUAAUCCAUAGCUGUCUGUCUUUCUUUAUUUUAUUUACUCUUUUGUCGUUUCAAUUCAAAAAUAUUAUCAUCAGUAGCACAUUAAACAUCUAAGCGUUUAAAAAAAAAUGAAAAAAAAAAUGCACCCAAUUGAAGAUUUUAUAUACUCAACUUUCCUGUGGCAAGUUACAAGCACAACCACUGAAAGAGAAGUGGUUGUUAUUCAAGACCAAAGUAAAAUGGUAACAGAUUGAAGAUUACAUUCACUGGAUGUGAAAUCUGCGGAGGAACCAUCUUCAUUCUUCGUACUGAUGCAUACAGAUACAAAUCAUAAAAUGUGUCACUUGGGGGGAUAGAGUUGUCAUCAAAGUGCCCGAGCAACAUUCUUGAACUCGUUCAAGCAAGAUUGGAGUAUCUUCUGGCGUUUUUCCAGAGACUUUCUUUCGUUUUGUAGCACAUCAAUGGCACCUGGUGCUACAAACAUGUCCAUGAAUUUUUCAUCAUUCACGGCGAACAAAUCCAACCCGAUUGCCACCACAAGCCUCUCCCGGCUGUACAAGGAAGACAGAAAACAAAAUUCUUGCAUCAAUCUAUCAUCCAAAUCCAAAAUAGUAAAACCAAGCACACGAAAAGCACACAUGCAUUAAACAUCUACUCUUGUGCUUCAGUGGUGGAAAAAAAAAGUGUCAAAUGUGAAUGAAAUAUUGGUGCAAAAUGCCAACACUUCCAUUUUAACAUUAAUUUGGAAAUACUAAUAGUGACAGAGGUACUAGUUAGUUCAGAACUUGUAAGGCCUCUUGGGGUGGUACAAAGGUUUGGGGUUUGAAUAUGUAACACCAAUACCGUUCUCAAAGUUUAGUUCAUAUUUUAUGUGAUUGAAUGUGCUAUGAGAAGCCAACUACUUCAAAAAGAUAAGGAAGCUUACCAUGGGGUUAAAAAUCCGGAGUUUAAAGUUGAUGCAACACUUCGCUCUACAAGAACUUCACGUAUUCUUGCAAAAUGCUGUGCAGCUGAUGAACAGAUUUCUGAGAAUGCUGAGCUUGAUCGUCCACCACUAUCACCAUUUCCAAAUAAAAGACCACCAUUUUGAACUCUUAAAAGUUCAGCAUUCUUACCGCCUGCUAUUCUUGAAACCCUUUUUUUGGGUCCAACUUCAUUGUAGUUUCCUAGCUCCUUUUUGACAACACACACCACUUCACAUGGCUGGUCAGGAGAAGGUGUCUCAGGAAUAGUCAAUUGGCAUUCUUGAAGAGCAGCUCUGCCCUCCUCACCUUUCCCCGGAGUGGUUUGCUGCGUGCUCUUUUGUGGGGGUACAUUUUCCUGAUCUCUCAUUGUUUCAUCACGGGAUGCAGCUGUGCCAUCAGAUAGUUCAAAACAAAAUGAACUAACUGAAGCUUGGUUGAAUCUAUAAGAAGUUGCACCUGAACCAAAGCCUCCUUGACAGUCAUUUUCAUAACAAACCAGAGAAUAUGGGCUUGUAACAGAAUCAAGGUGGUGUCGGACUAGUUGCUUGCAAUGCUUUGACAGAUCCUUCACAAAUCUAUUGUAAGCUUGCCUUAAAGAAGCAUGAAAACUUACGUAUCCAUCCAUAUUUCCAGUUUUAUUCCCAUCUGAAAAUCAUAAAACAACAACAUUUUGAAGCUACAAAAAAUGAAGAUCAAAAGAAUGGCAUAAAUUGCACAAGUUGCUCCAAAAUUUUAAAGGUUCAAUUAUCAUUUCCAUCCAACCCAUCUGACAAUCUGGACUCUAAACACCAACCCUUCCCUCCUUUUAGUACUUAAACUUAGGUGACUGCCGGCACAAAGUGCAAUCACAGACAACUAAGAAACAGCAGCUACUGGUUUUCAUAAUAAAGUGGGGUAAAGAAACAACUACAUGACUACAGAUAUCAUGAAUACGUGGAGAACUAGAGGAUUCUUACAUUCAGAAUCUUGGUUGCAAUGUCUUUCAAGAGCAAUAUCAAAGAGGUUUCCUAGGACAAAGGCCAGCCGAUCACAAGCCGUGUCAAGAAGAGGGGCAAACCAUGACCGGGCAGCAGCACGUGCAAUCUCUGCAGCAGCCUCCAUUACUCCUCUACCACCUCCUCGACCAGCAUGGGCAAGUAAUAUAUUUGCUACCUGUUUCAAGAAGAAUAAACAAAUUUACUAGAUCACUGUCAAUCAUAAUCAUAUCCUUUGACCUGCAUGUUCAUGGAUUGUAUUGGCUCUAGAUAUUUGUACCUUCUCCCUUGAUACUUGGGGGCACUCAAUGGAAUAUGCAGCACAACGGAAUUCAUGCAUUACCCUCUCAAAAGCGGCUCCUCCAUAGAGCCGAAGCGUUGCAUUAGGAGGUUUUAUGUCGAUACUAACACCAGGCCAACUCCCAAUACCACUCUCUGACUGUUCCUCCUCUGUUGAUUUUCCCCAUUGCUCAGGGGCAGGAUCUGCUGCUCCAUCAAUCAAAGCUCCCUAAUUUGAUGACAUGCAUAGCAAAGUUUUUAUAUGAUAUUUCAAUUUCAGGAAAGACUUUAUAUUACUAGAGAUGAUUCCAACUAAAGAAUCUAUGAAUCUGGAAAUUAAAAUAAUUGUACAGAUCAGAAAUUUCAAAUAAAGCCAUGAACGAUAAGAUAUGUAUAUGAUGUUGACAGUAACUACAGUCUUGUGUUACGCAAGUGGCUAUAUACACUAACCAAUAACUAAUCUGAAUGACCACUCACCACAUGAGUGCUGAUAGAAGCUGCAUACAUCAUGGCAAACCUGCGAAGCUGAGCAACGUCAGAAGUAGCCUGUAUUUUAGAGUCCAUUCUUGACAUCUCAGUGGUGACUUCAUUGCAACGCUGCUCAAGCAGAGCUAGAGUUGCUGGAGCAGCUUCUUUGUAUCUCUUCUGAAGUUCAGAUUCCAAGUAGUCCCUCAGACAUCCAAAACCAAUAUAUGGCUUGAACUUUUCUUCAUCAUAUCCUCCCUUGAUUCCAUCACGUAGAUGACGUAGAACUUCUACAUCCACCUGAGAAAUUUGCCUGCGGAAUUCAUCAUUUGAAACAGUGUUCCUGUCUUUCGGCAAGGCCACAAAAAAUGGGCGAGUAUUCUCCCCAAGGUAUCCACUGGCACUCAAAUACCGAUCUACUUCCCACCUGUCACUAAAUUCCUACAAUGAUUUACAAUGAAUCAUAAAUAAAAUUCAAGUCUGUCAGGUAGAAAUAUGCCAGACAAUGUGAACAAGGCAUCUCUACUCACUCUGUCAAACAAUGUAGAAGGAAACAAGAUUUUUCAGUCAUUCAUAGACUAAAAUUAUCCCGCAUAUAAUAAUUAAACCACAAUCAACAAUAUUACCAGCGCUAUGCAUCUGAUUGCAAUGAUGUUCAUUUCUUUAAGCCCCAAAUUGGCUUCUAAGAAGGGCAGAAAAAAAAAAAAAAAGCUUUUUACCUUGAGCCGAUUAUCAAACUUGGAGACAACAAUUACUGUUCUUCUAAAGGUUGGAUCAAUUUCACGAAUGGCAUCCAACCACAAUGACGAGCACCAUUCCACACUACUCUGUUGGAGAAACACGAGAAUCCUAUGGGGAGGACUAGCCAACGAUUUAACCAUUGAAAGAAUUUCAUCUGGUGUAUUUUCAGGCUCUCCCUUCUUUGCCUACCAAAAAUUUUUCAAAACAACAUACAUUACAUUCAACUGGCGACUAAUAGUUUUCAAGCUUUAAAAUUAUUUUCCUAGUGUCUAAAAUAUACUACAACCAAUGAAGUACCUUCAGAACAAAGCCUGGGGUAUCUAUUAUGGUAAGAUUUGGACAAUGUGCAUAUUCAGCUCUCAUUACAAUCGGCUUAGGAGAAACCGAUGUUUUCGUCUUCUUCAAAAGUGCCUCAGUUCUUGAUUUUAUGAUAUCUGCAAUCGCUGAUGCCAAAACAACAGGGCUUCCAUACUCUUCAGAGUCUUCUUCCUGUUUUCGACGGUCAGUUUUCAGUAUUGCUUGCAAAUACAAAGUCAUAUAAACAUCCAAACAUAGAGCACUAGUGGUAAAGGCAAUGUUUUUUCUAACAAUCUACCCAUCAAUUCGAACUAACUAUAAAUUAAAAGCCACAGCACCUCAAUCUCAUUUUCAAACGAACCCUUAAUACAUUGGAAUUGUUUUUGACAAACCUAACGUACGCAAAUACUGUAAAGGAAAUAAUUAAAGAACAUGCAACAAAAUUAUAAAAAAAGAAAAUCCCAAACCCUUUGCUUACUUAGCAAAUAGCAGGUGCUUAUCAAACAUUUUAAUUAUUGUGCUUUCAAAAUUAAGCGGAAGUGCUAUUGCUACAAACUUUAUCACAAUGUACAGCAAAUAUUACCAAAAUAAAAAUUAAAGAAAUACUAAAAUAUUAUCAGUAAAUGAUUAACCUGGAAGCGGCAACGGGGGUCGAGGGCCGUGGGAUCGUGAACCAUUUGCAAAAUGAGGGGCCGUCGAGUACCCAUCUCGACUUCACGCACAUUGAAGCGAAACCCGAGAAGGGCUUCGAGGAGAGAGCUUUUGCCGUCGGAUUGGCCGCCGAGGGCGACGAUUUCUGGGAUCGGGAGCUUCUCUCCGAAGGCGACGGCGGCGGCCUGGAGGCGGUUGUAGGCCUCGAACCGGGAGGCGCGAGUGGAGGCGGAGUCUGUGGCGGAGAGCUGGUGGUGGCGCUUUGAGUGUGAUUUUUCCGAGGGGGUCUUUGUGGGUGUUGUUAGAAAUGAGUUUGGUGUCGCCAUUGAUGGAGCAAAAGCGAUGCGACUGCCGUAGAUGCCAAAAGGAGAGGGGGAGAGAGAGAGCGUUUUAGAAGCAAUUUGAAUUUGAAUUUUUUGACCGGUGAAGUUGAAGCCGGGAAAUUCUGGGCCGGGCUUUUCUCUGCUCCAAAAUAUGGGCUGGGCUUUGCCGGUCACAAAACAAUGGACUACGCCUUAUUCCUGUGACUUCUAAAUACACCCAGGAAGUUUUUUCAAUGUUGAACUCUCCUGGUAGCCCAAAAAGCAAGGCAAGGGCCUUUUAAAAUGGACCACUCGCUUGCCACCACUGACCUAAAAUCACACCAGCAAUGGGAAUAAUAAGAUGCAUGUACGAUCUGCCAUUAUUACAAUUCUUUGAGCUUUUGAUGGAGUAAUGAGAAACUCCACGUUCUCAGCAAAGAUGUGGGAGAGGAAUUAAGAUGAUUAGGACAUCUUCAAAAAGAAUAAAGAAUAUGAAAAAUGGAAACCGAUUCAUGUUAUGGAAAAUUUGGACAAUUUAGGGUUUCAAGUCACAUGCAAACGCACGGUGAUGGAUCAUGGAUACACAGUAUUAGACUAUUGAGUAUUAGACUUUCUUGGCUUGCGCCCGCACGGGCUUGUUUGUUUCAUUGGCGAAGCCAGCAUAUGACUUCAAAAAAGUUUGAAGAGUAAUUUUAUGUAGUGUUUAUUUUCUGGAGUGAGAAUAAGAAGUGUAAAUUCCUUUUACUCCACUAUUUACUUAUAAUUUUUAAGGGGGAGUGAGAAUCUCACUCUGUGAGUCCCACUUAAUUUUGGAGUGGGGAGUGGAUCUCUUUUUAGCCUUAUAUUUAAAAUAAAAUAAUUAAUAUUUAAUAAAAUAAAUAAUAUUAUAUUUAUUUAAAUAAUAUUAUUUUAUUAUUUUAUAAAAUAAAACUAUUAAAUCUAUUAAAAAAUAAUAAUAAUAAACAUAUUUAUUUUAUUAAAAUUAAUAAAAUAAAAUAAAUAAUAUUAUAUUUAUUUAAAUAUUAUUAUAUAAAUUAAAUUUAUUAAAAUAAUAUUAUUAAACAUAUUUAAAUAUAAUAUUAUUAUAUUUAAUUAAAUAUAAUAAUUUACAUUGAUUCUAAGUUGAAAUUACUUAAAAAUAAUAUUAUUAUACUCAUAAAGAAUUCAUAAUCUUACUAUAUUAUAUCUUUAUUUGAAAAUAUAAUAUUAUUAUAUUUAUUUAAAAAUAAUAGUAUCAUAUUUAUUUAAUUAAUAAUAAUAAAUAUUUUAUUCUAAGAAAAUAUUAAUUUUGUACUAUUUAUCAAUAAUAAUAUUUCAUUUGUGUUGCUAUUAUUAAUAAUUUUUUAUUUACAUAAUUCACAUUAAAAUUAAUAAAAAAUUAUGAUUUACAUAAUUAAGAAUAUUAAUAAUUAUUAUUAAUUUUGUAAUUAAAAAUUAUAAUUCUUUAAAUAAGGGUAAAAUUAUAAUUAAAACCAUUUACUCAUAAUCUAAAACAAUGUAAACACAUAAAUUGAAUUUUGGUUUUAAUUCCAUUCUCCUAUUCCAGUGUAAGUAACAACCUACUCACACUCCCACUCUUCACUCCUAAUCUCAGGAUUCCCACUCUUCAGGAUUCUCACUCCAAUUCAAAAUGUAAAUGCUACCUAAAUCAGUCUAUAAUUACUUUGAUUUAUUGAAAAUGCCCUAACUUAGUAUUAUAAUUAUUAAAAAUUUCUAGAUAAUUUUGAAGAGUUUGAAAUUUAACUCUCGUUAAAAAAAAUUAAAAAUUUAUUAGUUAUUUCAAUUCUAUAACCAUGAAUUAGCCAUAUCUAAAUGAAGACAAAAAAAAUUUUGAAAAAAGGGUAAUAAAUAAUAAGCAUGAAACUAUAAAAACAUAAGUUUCUCUAUUUUUUCCUCAUUUUCUUCUUCUUCUCUUCUUAGUUGUAUACAUGAAACUGUUGUAUGUUAUCGUAUUUAACAACGAAAUCAUAGCCACUCGGCAUUUGGUCGAGUGGUCAGGGCUGAUGCCCUCCAAGUUGGAGGGCAGCAGUUCGAACCCCCACAAUGCAUUGUGGGGUAUUUCCUUCCUCAAUUAAAUUUGAGUGAAGGCAGUCUUCUUCCUUACCCAAGAGUGAGGAGUGGAUAUCUCUCGAAUAGUCGAAUAUUUGAGAGGGUUAAAAUCUGGGCAGCGCUCCAUUAGCAUUGAUGUAAGUUGGUUUCAGUCAUAGUCUGAUUUGUAAAUAUUAGUUAUAUUCUCAUGUAAUAUGAGUUGUAAUCUGAGCAAUAGUCUCAUGUAAUAAAAAAAAAACAACGAAAUCAUCAUACAUCGUUUCCAAAACACAAAACCUUAUAGGGACAAAAGUAAUCAAUAAAAACCUAUCAAUAAAUAAUAAUAUAAUAUAGUUAUAGUGUCAUAUAUAUAUUUUUUUUGAAUAUUUUGAAAUUGUAACGUAUCCUUUUAUUUACAAAAGAAAAAAAAAAUUUGUUAGGAAUGAAAAACUUCACCCGCUAAACAUAAAUUCUUACUCUCUAUUAUAUAUUACUACUGUAUAUUAUUCAGACUCUGCCUAACGUCUUCACGGUCAAUUAAACUGAAUUCGUGGAUAAGCCCCCGUUGAAUCAAUUUUCCGACUACGUCCCGAGGCUUCUUGUUAGACUGCCAAUUGCGUACACUCAAAAUUGGGUGCACAUGUUAGAAUGCCGGUGAGGUAGGAGCUCUCCGGGCGGCGUCAACUGCUAAUCUCAUAAUUUUCAUAUUAUUUAUAGAAUUACACUCCAACAUUUAACCAAAAUGAUAAUCUCAUGAUACAAAAUAUUCGUAUACAUAAUAUAUUGUUAUUUUAAAACUCUUAGAAUUAAUAUGUUGAUUUUUACUAUCAAAAGUUAUUUGAUGAACAUCAAUACAUCGAUAACAUCUUCAUUUUCAAAAUCUUUUUGCUUGUUAUGUUGUUACGUUCAAAGCAUUGUUUUUUUUUUUUUUUCUAAAAUUUAACUUGCAUACUUUGACGUGAAAGUAAUUGAUUAUCAAAUAUGAGUAGUUUUCUGGUAAGGGAUUUUAAAGUGCGGAAAAAUAUGGAAAAAUUUUAAAACCGUAUGACUUUAAAGACUUACAGUUUUAAACUUUUUAAAAUCAUGCAGUUUUAAAACUUUACUGCACUUUCUCGCAUUUUAAAAUUUCGGACCGAAACAUUUCUAUAUCAAAGAUACGUAAAUUCAUAAUUAUUCUAGGGACCUACUCAGGAGACGCAAUAUUAAUUUUAUUUUUUUUGGGUUUAAACAAACAAUGAAAGACUUGUUCAUUUUUUUCUCCGUACUUGCAGGAAGUUGAGGACUCGAGGCAUUGUAUGAACUAAGGUCAUGUUUGGGAGUUAGGAUUAAGCAUGAGAUUGGAUUAACUUUGGGAUUAAAUAUUUUAUCCCAUGUUUAGUACUUUGUUUGGAUUGGAUUAGGGAGGACUAAAUUUAAAUUUAGUCCUUAAAUCAUGGGAUUAACAAUCCCAAUUUAUAAGUGGGUUUAGAUGGGAUUAGGAUAAGAGAAAAAGAUUUAUUCAUAUUUCUUUCAUAAAUAACACUAUUUUUUACUUGUAACCUAAAAUUUAAUUAAUUAAACCUAAAUUUUAAUUAAUUAAUUAAUUAUUUUAUUCAUGAUUUACUUCAAUUUAUUUUUUAUUUUAUUUUUAUAGUCUAAUUAAAUUGGUAUUUUUACUCCAAUAAAAUUAACUAUUUAAUAAUUCGUUAUAAUAAUUGAUUUUAUUAAAUUUAAUAAUCACUAAUGUAAUAUUAAAAAUAAUCAUGAAAAUUAAUAAUACAAGUAAAUAAUUGAUUUUAUAUAUACAUUAUUUGCUAACUUUUUGAUAAAAUAAAAUAUAUCUAAAAUAUCUAAUAAAAAUUAAUUAAAUAGUUUUAUUAAUUUAUAUUUGUUUAUUAUAAUUAUGACUACCCAAUAACUAAUUUACUACAUAUUUAAUGCUCUCACUAAUUACUUUUAAUAUACUCUUAAAUAUUCAUAAAUAUUUUUUGUAUUUAACUAUAAUUUAACAUGUCUAAUCCGAUAUUGUCCCAACAUAAUACAUCACAUAAUAUAAUCCAGCUUAAUCCAAUCCAACUUAAUAUAGCUCAAUCCUAAUAAUUAGUCUAAUCCAAUCCAGCGUACCAAACGCAACCUAAAUGAAAAUGCCAUAAAGAAAACCUAGAAUUACGAAAAUCCAAAAAUUCAAAAAAAAAAUUAAAAAUACUCAUAUAAUAAUUAAGAAAGCGAUUGUUGAGCCAACACGCGGAAUCCCGGUUGGGGGUUGGUGAAAAAUUAGUGGGCAAUUUUUUUUUUUUUGAGAUUAGUGGGCAAUUGAAGCAAUGCAUGUGUGAUAAAUAAUAUCACAAAUUAAUUAAUUAUAACUCACAAAGUCAAGUCAAACAAUAUGCGGUCAUCAAUUCGUGCGUUCUCGAUGUGUUUACUAAGCGAUGUGACUCCCGUAGAUGCCGAAAGGAGAGGGAGAGCGACAGAGCGUUUUAGAAGUAAUUUGAAUUUUUUGACCGAUGAAAAGUUGAAGCCGGGAAAUUAUGGGGCGAGCUUUCCCGGUCUCAAAACAAUGGACCACGCUUUAUUCCGAUAACUUCUAAAUUAAUUAAUUAGCUUGCCUCUUUUUUUUAAAAAAAAAAUUCUUUAUAAUAAUAAUAAUAUAAAAUUUUAAUUUAAUCUAGUAUUAUAUAAUAUUAAUUUUAUUUUUAGUUUUUUACAUUAUAAUUUAUUAGUAAAUUUAUAAUUUAAUAUAAUUAAUAAUAUUAUUAAUUUAAAUAAUGAUAUAAAAUAUUAUUACAUACACUAUAGAACUCUUACUUGGAUUAUUUAGCACAAUUCAUUUUGUUAGUGAAUAUAUUAUAACAUUUGUAUCACUUUAUUAUUUUGUUAUUAUCUUGUGGUAUACUGGUAUGUAUAAAUUUUGAUUCUAUAUCCUAAGAUGACUUUUGAACUAAUGUUGUAGGUUUUAACUAUUUAUUUAUGUUGUUAUAUUAUUAGAGAUUAUUUGAUUAAAUUAUUUGCUUCGAUCUUUAUUUCACGGGUCAUAUAUUUAGAAAAUACUAGGGGUGUUAACUGUUCAAAAUCCAAUCCGAUCUACUCAAUCCAUCUGAUCCGUAGAAAUUUGAUCCGUAAAAAUCUUAUAAAUGGAUUGGUGGAUUAGAUUGAAUUGAAAAUUUGAAAAUCCGCAGUCGGUAGAUUAGAUAUGAAUUUACUUCUGUAAAUCUGCAAAAAUCCGCAAAUACGCCAAAAAAAAUUAUUUAAUAAAAAAAUAAACUUGUAAAUGACAUUAGUAUUUACUAAUAAAUAAAUAAGUUGCAAUAUAGUUACAUUAACAUCAUAUUAUAUCUUAUCCGAUAAUAAUAUAAAAUUAAAAUAAUUAAAUAAAUAGAUAUAGCUUCCUAAGUAAUUAAUUUUCACGUACUAAUCUAAACAAAUGAGAUUUUUUUUUUCUUUUUGGUGUGUUAUAUUAUGAAACUUUGAAUGUAAUUUUCUAGCUUUAUUUAAACAAUUAAUUAAUUUAAAUCUUAUUUAAUCUUGAAUUUAAUUGGUAGGAAAAUUAUUUUUAUAUUAAUUUUUUUGUUUAGUUAAUUCAUGGAUAGGACAUAAUUAAAAAUUUUUAGUCUGCAAACCAAUCCUCAAAAUGGUGGAUUGGAUAUGGAUUGGGUCAAAUCCAUAUCCGAUUUGUAAAUGUAUGGAUUGAAUUUCACCAAUCCAUGGAUUGGAUUAGAUUAAAAAUUUAUAAUCUGCAAAAUCGUGGAUCAGGUAUGGAUUAAUGUCUAAUUUACAAAAUUCGAUCUAUGAACACCCCUAGAAAAUAAUGAAAAAUAAAUGUUAUACUUUUAAAAUUUUAAGGAUAUAGGUUUCGACCUUGAUGAAGAAUUAUGAUAUUUUUUAAUAUUUGCACUAAAAAGUUUUUGUUAAAUUUCUAAAAUUUAAGACUUAUAUAUUUAGUAUUAUUCUAAGUAUUAAUAAAUAUUAUUUUCUAAAUAUAUAAUUUAAAUUAAUCACAAAAAAUUAAUAAAAUACUAUGCAACACCAAUUAUAGUAUAAUUAAAAAUUAAUGCAGUACAACGUUGUACCAAACAUUGUAUAAUAUUAUUAUAAUACAAUACUAAUAUAAUAUAUCAUAAAAUACAAUACACCAGAAUUAAAAUAAUUAAAUACAGUAUAAUACAAUAUAAUGUGUCAAACGCACCCUAAAAUCACAUAAGUUGUGGGAUAAAUAAGGUAUACUUACGAUAUGACAUAAUUACAAUUCUUUGAGCUUUUGAUGGAGUAAUGAGAAACUCCACAUUCUUAGCAAAGAUGUCGGAAAAAAUUUUUCAAAAUAAUUUUAAAUUUUUAGACUUUCUCGCCUUGUUCCUGGCGUGGGCUUGUUUCAUCGGCGAAGACAGUACAGGACUAGUUGGGACACAUGCCCCAACUGACUUCGAAAAAAAAUUUAAAAAUAAUUUUAAAUCAAUUCAUAAUUACUUUGAUUUUAUGAUAAUGCUCCGGCUCUGUAUUAAAUUAUUAAAUUUCUUAGAUAAUUUUAAAGAAUUCCAAAUUUAACUAUCGUUAAAGAAAUAAAUUCUCAAAAUUUAUUAGUUGUUUUGAUUCUAUAAACAUGAAUUAAUCACACCUAAAUGAAGAUAAAAGAAAUUUAACAAAAUUAGGUAAUAAUUAAAAAACAUGAAAUUAUAAAAAUAUAAGAUUCUUAAUUUUUUUUCCCUUGUUUUCUUCUUCUUCGUACCCACUAAACGUCAAUCAUUAGUUUCUAUGGUAUUGAUUAGUAUUAAAAAUUGUUUAAUUAUCAAGCGAUAAUAAUGUUAUUUUAUGCUUAUGUUAUAUUUUAUAUUUGUGUUUAUGUAAUAUAUUAGGAAUGAUUAAUUAUGUUUUAAAUAUAUCUAAUUUUGUGUAUUUUUGCGUGUUUAUUAGGUAAAAUAUUAAUUUCAUAUAAUUCGAGACUCCAAAUAGAUAAACAAAUGUCAAAUUUAGAUUUUGGAGGUUCGAAAACCUUAAGAUGAGUCAAGAUCGGCUUAAAAUUAGGCUUAUGUAAAAUGAGUUGACUUAGCCAGUUGACCGAACACUGAUUGGAUGAUAAAAUAAGCUUACAAUAGAUAUGAGCACAUUAGAUAGUUGGUAAUUUUGACUAAAUCUCAACCGUUCAUGAUUCAAUGCCCAGGAUUGUGCCACGUGGCAAUGGUUGGUGAAGCAAGUUGUAGGAUCCGAAUCUUUGUAUUUGGGUCGACCCGAUCCACCCAUUAACCCGCCAAAUUUCAAUCGUUCUUUGACCGAAUCAGACGAGUCAAAUUAUGCCACGUGUGAUGUUGACUUUUGAAGUUUGACCAGCUAUUGGAUCUUGAUCUAGUGGUUAUGAGGAGCGCAUGCAUAAAGCUUAUGAUGAAUCGCAAAACACUGGAUUAUGAAUUUAUUUUUCUAUAAAUAGAGCCUCAUUUUUAUGUUUUUAAUCAUCUCUCUACAUAUCUCUUCUUCUCAAUUUCUCUCCAUCUACCUGUAAUCUUGAUUUUCAGGUGUGUUUUUAAUAUUUGGUAUAAUAAUUUUUAUAAAUAAAUUUAGUUUUAUUUUCAAUUUUAGUUGUUUUUAUUAUUUUUAAUUAUAAUUAAUUUAAUUUAAAUAAUUCUUUUUAUUUCAAUUAUGCUUAACUAAAUAAUAAUAGUUAAGGUAAGGUGAAACUCUUAGGAAAUAAAUAUGAUUUAAUCAAAUUCUAUUUUUAAUUUUAUAAAUUAAAUUAUUUUCUAUUUAAUUUUAUACAUAUUUUAUAUUUUGAAAUUUUGAUUUAUUGUAGACAAACAAGGGAGUUUGACACAAUAAAUUCUUAAUAUAUAAAUAUAAGGUAUGGUAAAAUGACAUUUUGACUUAUUGUAGACAAAUCAAAUUUUGGCACAAUAAAUACUUAAUCCAUCAUAAAAUUAAAGGGAAAUAAUAAUAAUUUAUAUAAUUAAUCUUUGGGGUAAUAAAUCUAAAAACAAUGGCAAAAAGAAUUUAUUAAAUUUUAUUUACUACUAAGAGUGGAUCCACAACCCUAAUUAGUUCAAUUUCAUAAUUUUAUUUAAAUUAAACUGCUUAUAUUCAAGUUUUAUUUUUAUUUUUAGAUAAAAUAAAAUAAAUAAAUUAAAUCUUUUCUCUAAGGAUCGACCUCGGACUCAUUGAGCUAUAAUAUAAUAAGAUACUCUUAUAUUUGGGAGUUAAAAAUUACUUUUAAUUUAUGUCAAAUUUUUAGCGGCGUUGCCAAGGAAAAGUUUUUAUUUUGCUUUAUUUUUCCGAUUUUGAUUUUUCUUGUUUGUGUAAAGUUUCCUUUAUAUGCCUUUUCCUUUUCCCAAAUUUUGUACGGGCCCCAAAACUGUUCAGAAUCUUCACUUUCAUCCCACAUGGCUCAAUUCUAAACUUCUAACAAUUGCGGUGUAGCCAUACACUUAUAAAUAAUUUGCAAUAAGAUUCACAGAUGAAAUUUCUCAAAAUAAUCGGGCUUGGACUUGCAUCUUGGACUUUUUUUUUAAAGAUACUUACAUCUUCGACCUAUAUAGACUUAUUUGGACUUAAUUUGGACCAAACAAACAAACUACUAACUUUUUUUUUAAUUUCAGUUAUUUAAUUUUCAGUAUUUAUUUAAUUUCGUAUUUAUUUAUUUUUUUGCUUUAUUUUAUUUUGUUAAUUUAUUUGGUGGGUUCAACCACCAAAAUUGUUAUUUAAUUUUCAGUUAUUUUAUUAUUUCACAUUUUAUUUAUUUAUUUAAUUUAUUUGCUUUAUUUUAUAUUAUUCAUUUAUUUGGUGGGUUCAACCACCAAAAUUGUUAUUUAAUUUCAGUUUUUUAAUUUUGCAUUUAUUUUAUGCUUUAUUUUAUAUUUUUAAUUUAUAUGGUGGGUUCAACUACCAAAAUUGUUAUUUAAUUUUAAUCUUAAUUUUUGUACACUUUUAUUAUUUGCAUAUUUAAUUUUCAUUUUUUGGGUGCAAUUUUCAUUUAGUUUUUGUAUUGCUAAUUUGUUUAAAUAUUAUCUUUGUGACAUAACCAUUGCAUGAGACGUUGGUCACAAACUUCAAGUGACAGGUUAAUUCGUAGAUCUCAAUCUCCACCACUAAUCAUGGACGAGAACCAAGAUGAAAAUUUUUUGGGCAAACCUAAUCGUCAGAUUGAUCAGGAAGACAAUCAUUCUCAACAUGGACGUGAUCAAAAUCAACCAAGAACCUUGAGGGACUACAUGAAUCCAACCAGAACCGGAGCACCAUCGUGUAUAGUAUUUCCUCUAGAAGCAUCUCGAUUCAACUUCAAACCAAGUAUUAUCCAGCUUUUACCAACAUUUCAUGGUUUAGAAUCUGAGAUCCAUACUUGCAUCUAAAAGAUUUUAAAGAAGUUUGUAAUACAUACAUAGACCAAAAUUGUCAUAUGAACAUAAGAACUUGGAAUAACAUGUAAGAAUGAAUUUUGAAAAAGUUCUUUCCACCUCAUAGAACCAAUUCUUUUAAAAGACAAAUCACUUAUUUCACUCAAAAAAAUGGAGAAACAUUAUGUUCAUGCUAUAAUUUUGGUCUGUGUAUGUAUUACAAACUUCUUCAAAUCUCUUAGAUGCAAGUAUGGAUUCUCAGAUUAUAAACCAUGAAAUAUUGGUAAAAGUUGGAUAAUACCUGAUUUGAAGUUGAAUCGAGAUGCUUAUGGAGGAAAUAUUAUACACGACGGUGCUCUGGUUCUAGUUCGAUUCAUGUAGUCCUUAAAGGUUCUUGGUUGAUUUUGAUCACGUCCAUGUUGAGAAUGAUUGUCUUCCUGAUCAAUCUAACGAUUAGUUCGCCCAAAAAGUUUCCAUCUUGGUUCUCGUCCAUGAUUGGUGGUGGAGAUUGAGAUCUACGAAUUAACUUGCCACUUGAAGUUUGAGACCAACGCCUCAUGCAAUGGUUAUGUCACAAAGAUAAUAUUCAAACAAAUUAGCAAUACAAAAACUAAAUGAAAAUUGCACCAAAAAAAUGAAAAUUAAAUAUGCAACUAAUAAAAGUGUACAAAAAUUAAAAAAUUAAAAUUAAAUAACAAUUUUGGUGGUUGAACCCACCAUAUAAAUUAAAAAUAUAAAAUACGCAUUAAAAUAAAUGCAAAAUUAAAAAAAACUGAAAUUAAAUAAAGAUUUUGGUGGUUGAACCCACCAAAUAAAUGAAUAAUAUAAAAUAAAGCAAAAAAUAAAAUAAAUAAAUAAAAUGUGAAAUAAUAAAAUAACUUAAAAUUAAAUAACAAUUUUGGUGGUUGAACCCACCAAAUAAAUUAACAAAAUAAAAUAAAGCAAAAAAAACACUGAAAAUUAAAUAAUUGAAAUGAAAAAAAAUUAAAAGUUAAUAGUUAGUUUGUUUGGUCCAAAUUAAGUCCAAAUAAGUCUAAGAUGUAAGUCCAAGCUUGAUUAUUGUGAGCAAUUUCGUCUAGGGACCUUAUGAAAAAUUAUUUAUAAUUUUAUAGCCACACUGCAAUUUCUAGAAGUUUAGAAUUGAGCCAUGUGGGAUGAAAGUGAAGAUUCUGAAAGGUUUUGGGGCCAGAACAAAAUUUAGAGAAACGGAAAAGGGGUAUAAAGGAAACUUUUCACAAACAAGAAAAAUAGAAAAUGGAAAAAUAAAGCAAAAUAAAAACUUUUCCCAAGUAAUGACGCUAAAAAUUUGACACAACUUAAAAGUAAUUUUUAAACCCUAAGUAUAAGAGUGUCUUGUUAUAUUAUAAUUCGGUGAGUCCAAGAUCUAUUCUCAGAGAAAAGAUUUAAUUUGUUUCUUUUUAUUUUAUCUAAAAAUAAAAAUAAAACUUGAAUAUAAACAACUUAAUUUAAAUGAAACUAUGAAAUUGAACUACUUAGGGUUGUGGAUCCACUCUUAGCAGUAAAGAAAAUUUAAUAAAUUCUUUUUGCCAUUUUUUUAGAUUUAUUGCCCAAAUAUUAAUUAUAUAAAUUAUUAUUAUUUUUUCUUUAAUUUUAUGAUGGAUUAAGUAUUUAUUGUGCCAAAAUUUAAUUUGUCUACAAUAAGUCAAAAUACCAUUUUACCAUACCUUAUAUUAAGAUAUUAACAAUUUAUUGUGCCAAACUCCCUUGUUUGUCUACAAUAAAUCAAAAUAUAAAAUAUGUAUAAAAUUAAAUAGAAAAUAAUUUAAUUUAUAAAAUUAAAAAUAGAAUUUAAGUAAAUCAUAUUUAUUUUCUAAGAGUUUCACCUUACCCUAACUAUUAUUAUUUAGUUAAGCAUAAUUGAAAUAAAAAGAAUUAUUAAAAUUAAAUUGCUUAUAAUUAAAAGUAAUAAAAACAAUUAAAAUUGAAAAUAAAACUAAAUUUAUUUAUAAAAGUAAUUAUACAAAUAUUAAAAACACACUUGAAAAUCAAGAUUACAGGGAGAUGGAGAGAAAUUGAGAAGAAGAGAAAUGUAGAGAGAUGAUUAAAAAUAUAAAAAUGAGGCUCUAUUUUUAGAAAAAUAAAUUCAUAAUCCAAUGUUUUGGGGUCUAUUAUUGAUGAAGAGUAGGAAUCCAUAUUAUACUAGGAUUAGUUUCCUUAUUAACUAAAGUUUAAGACUUUUAAAUUCCUUUCUAAUUUAGAAUUUUGUUUCCCUUUCAAUUUAGGAUUUUGUUUUACUUCAUGAAUUAGGAUAAUUACUACUACUAUAAAUAGCUCCCUCUUGUAGCCUUUGAGAGAAAAGAAUUUUGAGUUCAAUAAUAUUUCAAUUUUCAAAUCUCUUUGUGAGUAUUUGAAUAGUUAAUUCUCGGUAUUCUGAAUCAACGAGUCUUAACCCCUAAGUUCGCGGUAUUCUUUUGAAUCAACGUGAAUUUAGUUGUUCUUUUAUUCCGGUAUUCUCUAAAAUCAACGGAAUAUUUUGAACAUUAAACUUCCGCUGCAUCAGCUUGGUAUCAGAGCCAAAACCUGGUAUCACCAAUCUAACUCCAUCUACCACCAAACCUUUCCUUUUUCCCUUUUUGAUUUUUUCCAUUUAGCUUAAAAAAAAAAAAAAACCCCACUUUUUCAGACAAACCACCACCAUCAUCUUACCAACCCAAAAUCUUUCAGAUCCACCCACCCUUACUCGAUUUCCGACCACCAUCAUCGGCAAUCUAAAACGUUUUGCUUAAUUACAGUUUCGGCCUAAAAUUUUAUUUACUUUCAGUUUAACCCCACUACCUUUUUAAACCCGAAUUUGAAAAAAUGCCUCCAAGAAAAGCUCGUGAUGCUCAUACUACAACUUACAAUCAAGAAGAUGUUUCGAAAGAUGAAUCCCUGGCUAGUAUGACAGCCAGAAUUGAUAUGUUAGCUGCACAAAUGGCACGAAUAGCAGAGUUACUUGACGAACGCCAUCGUACUCCAGAACGUGAAGACAAAUCAAGUGUAAGCUUUGCUAACCCAUUCUCUGGGCGUCGACCUAGAACUGAGUCUACUGAUGACAGAAGAUGGGAAUCUGGGUUGAGAAUUGACAUUCCCGAAUUUCAAGGAAGUGGUCGACCUGAAGAAUUAUUAGACUGGAUUAACGCCAUUGAGGAAGUUUUCGAAUACAAAGAAGUUCCUGAAAAUAAACUAGUUUCGCUUGCUGCAACUCGAUUUCGUGGAAGAGCAGCAGCUUGGUGGCAACAAACUAAGCUCACAAGGAUUAGGCAAGGCAAAAAGAAGAUUGAUUCUUGGGAAAAGUUCAAGAAGCACUUGCGUGGAGCAUUCUUGCCUCAUAAUUAUGCCCAACUGUUAUACCAACAGCUACAGAAUUUAAGGCAAGGUAAUCGAUCAGUGGAUGAUUACACUACAGAAUUUCAUUGGUUGGUGGCCCGCAAUGACUUGACAGAGACAGAAGAACAACAGGUUUCCCGCUACAUUGGAGGCCUACGAUCUCAAUUUCAAGACCAAUUAAAUUUACUUGACCCAUACUCUGUUUCAGAGGCACACCAACAAGCCUUGCAGUUGGAGAAGCAAUUUAGUUGACGUACUAAUGACUCAAGCUUUCGGGGUGCUCGAAGUGUUGUUCGUGAUAAUUCAAACCCAACUUCCCAAUUUCGUAAUUUCACUCCUCCAAAUCCUCCAAAUAAAACUAGUAAACCUAGUGAAAUCGGUCAAAGCAGCAAAACUCAAUCAUCGGGUUCGGGAUUACGCUGUUUUAAUUGCGGAGAAAAUGAGCACCGAAUGAGAGAAUGUAAAAAGGGAGGAAAAUAUGGUAAAGGCUUAUUCGUAGGCACAGAGGAAAGUGAAGACUACCAGGAGGAAGAAACUGAAGAGUUCGCUGUAGAGCCAACUUUUGAUAGUAGUGGUAGCGCUCAAUCUGUUGAAGAACAUGGUGAUAGCGGGCCAAUGUUGAUCGUGAACCGCACAUUCUUCACUCCUAAAGGUCAAGACAAAGACAAGUGGCUACGACAGAAUAUCUUUCAGACUACUUGCACAAUCGGGGGUAAAGUAUGUCGUAUGGUCAUAGACUCCGGCAGUUGCGAGAAUGUCAUUUCGGAAGAAGCCAUAACAAAGCUAAAUUUAAAGACAGAACCUCAUCAAACUCCAUACAAGCUCACAUGGCUGAAGAAGGGAAAUCAAGUGACAGUAUCGAAACGUUGCUUAGCUUCCUUAUCCAUUGGUUCAAUUAAUAAAGACAAAAUUUGGUGUGAUGUUGUGGCUAUGGAUGCUUGCCAUCUAUUACUGGGUAGACCUUGGCAAUAUAAUCGAAACGUAGUGCAUGAUGGGAAGAGAAACACCUACAGCUUUAUGUUUAACAACACCAAGAUCGUUCUCCUACCUAACAAAGAGUUUACUCUCCAGCAAGACUUGGGUAAUUAUUUGUUAGGAAAGAAGUAAUUUAUAGAUGUUGUAGCAGAGACAAAGAGAGUCUACAUUUUAUUGGGAAAAGAGAGUAACGGUGAUUUGAAGAUUCCUGAAGCUGUGACACCUAUUCUGGCGGAAUUUCAAGAUUUGUUCCCUAAUGAGCUACCACAGGGUUUACCACCUCUUCGAGAUAUACAACACCAAAUUGAUUUGGUACCAGGUUCUACAUUACCAAAUCGACCUCAUUAUCGUAUGAGUCCUACAGAACAUGAGGAAUUAAGGCGCCAAGUGGAAGAGUUACUAGAAAAGGGAUUUAUCCGUAAAAGUCUUAGUCCCUGUGCAGUCCCUGCUUUAUUGACUCCAAAAAAAUAUGGUUCUUGGAGGAUGUGCGUGGACAGUCGAGCUAUCAAUAAAAUUACAGUUCGAUAUCGUUUUCCAAUCCCUCGAUUAGACGACUUGUUAGAUCAACUCAGUGGAGCAACAAUUUUUACCAAACUUGAUUUGAAAAGUGGCUACCAUCAAAUUCGAAUACGGCCUGGAGAUGAAUGGAAAACAGCUUUUAAAAUUCGCGAAGGGUUAUACGAGUGGUUGGUAAUGCCGUUUGGCUUAUCUAAUGCUCCGAGUACUUUUAUGCGACUCAUGAAUCAAGUUCUUCGCCCUUUCAUUGGAAAGUUUGUGGUUGUUUACUUCGAUGAUAUACAUAUAUAUAGCACCAGUCACGAGUUACAUCUACAACAUUUGAGAGAAGUGCUUUUAGCCUUAAGAGCAACAAGUUUAUACACAGCAGUAAACAAGUGUAUUUUCUUGACCGAGAAAGUAUUAUUUUUGGGAUAUGUGGUGUCGAAGGAUGGUAUAUCUGUUGACCAAUCAAAAGUGGAUGCUAUUCGAGAUUGGCCUCAGCCAACUACUUUAUCCGCCACCAGAAGUUUCCAUGGAUUGGCCUUUUUUUACAGGCGAUUCAUUCCUCAUUUCAGUACUAUUAUCGCACCAAUCACAAAUUGCAUGAAAGGAGGACAAUUCUCUUGGACAGAGGCAGCUACUAAGGCAUUCAAGAUUAUCAAAGAAAAGUUUAUUACUGCCCCAGUGCUUGCCCUACCAGAUUUUUCGCUCACUUUUGAGGUACAUUGUGAUGCUUCUAAGGUCGGCAUUGGAGCUGUUCUUAGCCAACAGGGUAAGCCUAUAGCUUAUUUCAGUGAGAAGUUGAAUGGAGCAAAGGCACACUACAGCACUUAUGACGUGGAAUUUUACGCAGUAGUCCAAGCGUUAAAACAUUGGCGACAUUAUCUAAUUCAUAAAGACUUUGUUUUAUACACUGACCAUGCCGCGUUAAAGUAUCUCAAUAGUCAAGACAAGCUCUCUCACAGACAUGCCACGUGGACAGCAUUCCUUCAACAAUUUACCUUUGUGGUGAAGCAUACCUCUGGUGAAUCCAACCGGGCAGCAGAUGCACUUAGUCGACGAACUUCGUUAUUGACACAGAUGCAUAAUCAAGUUCUUGGAUUUGACACAUUUCGAGAGUUAUAUGCUUCUGAUCCUUACUUUGCUCCUAUAUUAGAAGACGUUGUUGCAGGGUUUCGCUCAGAUUAUCAUUUACAUGACGAAUUCCUUUUCAAGAGUAAUCAGUUGUGUGUUCCUAACUCAAGUUUGAGAUUGAAAAUCAUUUCAGAGUUACAUAAUGAAGGGCACAUGGGUCGUGACAAAACUCUGGCUCUAAUCGCCAACACUUAUUUUUGGCCUACUAUGAGGCGUGAAGUCUAUCACUAUGUUGAGACUUGUCGCAUUUGUCAAGUUUCCAAGGGUGCAACAACUAAUGCUGGGUUAUAUAUGCCGCUGCCAAUUCCAACACAACCUUGGGCUGACAUUAGCAUGGAUUUUGUUUUGGGAUUACCCCGCACUCAGAGGGGUAUGGAUUCAAUAUUUGUUGUUGUUGAUCGAUUCUCGAAAAUAGCUCACUUCAUUGUUUGCAAGAAGACUACAGACGCUUUGACUGUUGCUCGCCUAUUCUUCAAGGAAGUCUAUAGAUUGCACGGUUUACCAAGUUCUAUAGUAUCUGACCGGGAUACACGAUUUCUUAGCCAUUUUUGGAAGACAUUAUGGAAGUUGACUAACACUCGCCUGAAUUUUAGUAGUGCUUACCACCCACAAACAGAUGGUCAAACUGAAGUUGUCAACCGCUCUUUAGGAAACCAUCUACGUAGUCUAGUUGGUGAUAACUUGAAGAUGUGGGAUCAGAAGUUAUAUCAAGUCGAGUUUACUUAUAACCGUGCAGUUAAGCGUAGUACUGGUUUAAGCCCUUUUCAGGUGAAUUACGGAUAUAAUCCACGAGCUCCUAUUGACUUGGCUCCAGUUCCAGAUUUAGUUCACAAAAGCGGUAAAGCAGAAGACUUUAUUGAGCAGCUUCAGCAGAUUCAUGAAACUACGCAAGAGUCUUUGAAGCAGACGACCGAAGGUUAUAAAAAUUAUGGCAGACAAAAAACGUCGAGCUUUAGAAUUUCAAGUAGGAGAUCUUGUUUGGGCUAUCUUAACUAAAGAUAGAUUCUCAGUUGGUGAGUACAACAAGCUUUCUGCCAGGAAAAUUGGCCCUUUGGAGAUUAUCGAGAAGAUAAAUCCUAAUGCAUACCGAUUACAGCUUCCUAGUCAUAUCCGCACCGCAGAUGUCUUUAAUGUCAAGCAUCUUAUUCCUUACAGAGGUGAUCAUGAUGAAGAUGUUAUUGCUGACAAUCUGAAUUCGAGGGCGAAUUCUCUUCACCCUGGGGGGAAUGAUGAAGAGUAGGAAUCCAUAUUAUACUAGGAUUAGUUUCCUUAUUAACUAAAGUUUAAGACUUUUAAAUUCCUUUCUAAUUUAGAAUUUUGUUUCCCUUUCAAUUUAGGAUUUUGUUUUACUUCAUGAAUUAGGAUAAUUACUACUACUAUAAAUAGCUCCCUCUUGUAGCCUUUGAGAGAAAAGAAUUUUGAGUUCAAUAAUAUUUCAAUUUUCAAAUCUCUUUGUGAGUAUUUGAAUAGUUAAUUCUCGGUAUUCUGAAUCAACGAGUCUUAACCCCUAAGUUCGCGGUAUUCUUUUGAAUCAACGUGAAUUUAGUUGUUCUUUUAUUCCGGUAUUCUCUAGAAUCAACGGAAUAUUUUGAACAUUAAACUUCCGCUGCAUCAAUCAUAAGCUUCAUGCAUGCGCUCCUCACAACCAUUAGAUCAGGAUCCAACAGCUGGUCAAACUUUAAAAGUCAACAUCACAUGUGGCAUAAUUUGACUCGUCUGAUUUGGUCAAAGAACGGUUGAGAUUUAGCAUGUUAAUGGGUGGAUCGGGUCGACCUAAAUACAACGAUUCAUAUCCUGCAACUUGCUUCACCAACCAUUGCCACGAGGCAUAAUCAUGGCCAUUGAAUCAUGAACGGUUGAGAUUUAGUCAAAAUUGCCAGCUAUUCCACGUACUCAUAUCUAUUGUAAGCUCAUUUUAUCAUCCAAUCAAUGUUUGGUCAACAGAAAAAGUCAAUUCUUUUUACACAAGCCCAAUUUUAAGCCAAUCUUGACUCAUCUUAAGGUUUUUAGACCUCCGGAAUCCAAAUUUGACAUCCGUUUAUCUGUUUGGAGCUUCGAAUUAUGUGAAAUUAAUAUUUUACCUAAUAAACACACAAAAAUACACAAAAUUAGAUAUAUUUACAACAUAAUUAAUAAUUCAUAAUAUAUUACAUAAAUACAAAUAUAACAUAUAACAUUAGCAUAAAAUAACAUUAUUAUCGCUUGAUAAUUAAACAAUUUUUAAUACUAAUCACAUCCCCCAACCAGCUUAUUGCUAGCCCUUUAGCAAUUAAAGCGUUAUAUUAAAUUAAGAUUUAUAAAAUUCACAUGCAAGUUAAUAGUUGUUCAUCUAUCUUCUAAACUACCAAAUAAAUAAACUCUCCUAAAUUUCUUUACCUCUUUGGUGUUCACUCAUUAUCUAGAAUAUUAUCAAACCUUCUUUUGUGCUUAAGUAAUUAACACAAUACUUAUGGAGCUUUAUUAAAAGAAAAACAACAUUUUUGUUCCAAAAUUCAUUAGAAAUUCUAUCUUUAGGCAGUAGAUUAUUCACACAUGUAAAUUAAAAAUAUUAAAUUUUUAACCCAUGUAGCGAGCUUUAAGCCAGUGACUCCCAGACCAGUUGGCCUUAGGGCACUAGGUUUUGAAAUACCUCUACGGACUUAAUUACUCAGGUUUCUUAUAAGCAAACAAUAUAUCUAUUACCCAUGUAGCGAGCUUUAGGCCAGUGACUCACAGACUAAUUGACCUUAGGACACUAGGUGUUGAAACACCCCUAUAGACUUAAUUGCUCGAGUUCUAGAUAUAGCAAAAUUAAAAACAUUCAUUUUUUUUUUGUUUUUACAAUAUGCAAUUUCUACUACCUUAGAUAUUAUCCCUAAUAAAUCAAAAGAACUAACUAUGCCAAAAUUUUAACUUACAACCCACUAGUAUGUGUCAUAGUGUAUGUGUGAAGAAUGAUUCAACAAUACAUGUUAAAUGAGUAAAUAAUUAAAUGACUUAAUAACCAAUUGGAGAGUUCACAAAUUUGAGUAAUUCAAAGAAAAGGGAACAAAAACAAAUUUCUAUGAAUUUCAAAAUAAAAAUAUAAUACAACAGGACUAUUAGGAUGCGUCUCAAAAGUGGUGACUCUUUACACAGCCAUCCUAGACACAAAAAAAAUUAGAUUUUUUUAAAAGAAAAGAGAAAAACGAAUACACAUAUUUAAAAACACACGUCAACUAUCCCCACCCCUAACCUAAUCUAAACAUUAUCAUUUUAUAAUUUUACCGAUAUGCAUAAAAAAUAAUAAAAGAGAAAAAUAAUAAUGAUAAAAGAAGAAGAAAAUGAGAUCUCACCUAAAAUCGAUGCAGAAGCUUAAAAACAGAUAACAAAGAAUAAGAAAAAUUUAUUUAAAAAAAAAUAAAACUCUAAGAUUAAGAAGAUGCGUUUCUAGAGGUAUUGCACUCUUCAUAUGCAGCCAUCUAGGACUCAAAUUUAGUCCAAAGUUAGUCUUCACAUAAUUUUUUUUUGUAAAAUUAUUAUCAUGACUAAGACAUUCCACAAUUAUCAAUUGUUCCCUCCCCCCCAAAUUCAAAGAGACUUUGUCCUCAAUGUUUUAAAAGGAAAGAUGAAGAGUUUAGAAGACAUCACAUGACCAUUGCAGGGAGAUGGAGAGAAAUUGAGAAGAAAAGAGAUGUAGAGAGCUUGAAGGUAAAAAAUUCUUUUUGCUAUUUUUUUGAAGUCAUAACUAAAUUGUACUAAAACAAUUUACAUAUGAGUGUCUUAGACUUGAUUUAAUUAGAAAAUAAAUUAAUUUUCUUAUUAUGUGACGAAAAUAAUGAAAAAAUAAUGAGGAGCACAUGCAUGAAGAUUAUGAUGGACCGCAAAAUACUGGAUUAUGAAUUUAUUUUUCUAUUAUUACUAUUCGAAUGAUUAUUACUAUUCGACUCAAAUACAAAGAUCAACCCCCAACUUGAAACAAUUUUGAUUCUCAUUAUUUUUGUCACCAAGAUCAUUAUAGUUUUUAUGAUAUAUUAUGUGAACUCUGCAAAUCGCUUUCACAGUUAGUUAAACGGCAUUAUGGUCUCUAUUAUAAGUUGAAACAAUUUUCUGGCCAUGUCCUUCGGCUUUGUCAUUUGUCAAUUGCUAAUCUGCUUUCCUUUUUUCUACAAAUUACGGUGAGAGAAAUUCCUAAUUUCCUAUCCUUAUGCUGAAAAUUGGGUGCACAAGUUAGAUGCCACUGAGCUACGAGGCCUCUUGCCGUCAACUACUAAUCUCAUGAUUUUCAUAUUAUUUAUAGAAUUACACUCCAACGUUUAACAAAAAUGAUAAUCUCAUGAUACAAAAUACUCGUAUACAUAACAUAUUGUUAUUUUAAAACUCAUAGAAUUAAUAUGUUGAUUUUUACUAUCAAAAGUUAUUUGAUGAACAUCAAUACGUCGAUAACAUCUUCAUUUUCAAAAUCUUUUUGCUUGUUAUGUUGUUACGUUCAAAGCAUUGUUUUUUUUUUUUCUAUAAUUUAACUUGCAUACUUUGACGUGAAAGUAAUUUGAUUGUCGAAGAUAUAUAAAUUCAUAACCAUCCCAAGGGCCUAUUGAGGAGACACAACUUUAAUUUUAAUUUUUUUGGGUUUUAAACAAACAAUGAAAGACUUGUUCAUUUUUUUUCUCCGUACUUUCAGGGAGUCAAGGCAUUGUACAAAAAAUGAACAUCCAAAAGAUGAACUGUUCACACAAAUUCAAAAGAAAAUAAGAAAGCGAUUGUUGAGUCAACACUCGUAAUCUCGGUUGGGGAUUGGUGAAAAAUUAGUGGGCAAUUGAAGCAAUGCAUGUGUGAUAAAUAAAAUCACAAGUUAAUUAAUUAAAAUUCACAAAGUAAAGUCAAACAAUAUGCGGUCAUCAAUUCGUGCGUUCUUGAUGAGUUUAUUAAGUAAUAGAAAGGUAAAAACCUCGAAUCAUCCAAUAGGAUUGAGACGCGUGUCAAUUCACGGCCGCCGGCCGGAAUCCAGUGCGGGGACGUGUAAGUCCGCUUUUUGUGGCGGGAAAGAAGAUCCCUCUCGCGUGUAGGCGAUAGUCAAGCAAGCAAAUGUGGGGCAAAUGGGCAUGGUUUUAUAUAAUUAACAUUGUUAUUAAUUAGUAAAAGGGCAUCUCUAGGCAUUUUAAUCUUUAAGUUACAGUUAAGGAUCGUGAGUGAUGCUUAAUCAACUUUGUCAAUAUAUCAAGCUCUACUUGUCUUUUCUAAUUUAUCUCUUAUAUAACAAAUUCUUAUAAAAAAAUAAUUUAUCAAUUAUAAAAAAAUAAGAUAAAAUAUUUUAAUGAAUGUUGUUGAUAAUAAAAAGUGUUUAAAUCGUAAUUUUUGUGAAUGUAGCACUUUCCGAUAAAGUUAUUUCUUAAAGAUCACUCUCAGUAUAACACUUUUUUUUAUGUUGCUUUAAUUAAUAACCUUGAAGAGUCACUCAAACAGACGAUCAACCAAAUGCUCUAGACAUUCAUUAAUUAUUUUUCCUUGAUUAAAACAACUAUCAAGUUUGUUUGUGGAAACAUUAGUAAAUAAUUUAAAAAGCUUGCAAAAUCAGUACUUAUGAAUUAACCUACCUCGAUUCUUUAGCCAAAAAAUUAAUCUACGUGACAAUCGGCAAUAAUAAUCAACAUGAACCAUAUAAAUGAAAUGAAAUUAAUCAUAUAUUACUAGGAUGAACCAUUAACUAAUAUUAAUUGAUCCGAGCUUUAACAAUAUCAAAUAUAAGUUGGUAAUUAGUUAUUAAUAAAAUAAAAAAAAUAAACUUUGAAUAAAUCUCAUUCAUAUAUGUACACGUACUUGUAAGUGGAUAUUCAAAAUUAAGUUUAGGUAAGCUCGGAUUAAGAGAGGGUCAUAAUUUUACUUUUAUGUCAUUCUUCGACUAUAGAUACCAUGAUAAUAAUGUAUACUAAUUUAGUUAUUAAUCAAAUUAAUCAUAUUCUAGAGCUCUAAAAUGCAUUCAUUUAGGAUAUUUUACUAUAGAUACCUUAAAAAUAAUGCGUGCCAAUUUUGUUGUUCUUUUUUUUUUUUUUUUUUUUUUGGUGACAGUAUUACUUUAGCUAUUCAAAGGCAAUAUGUCUAGUAAAUUCGUCAAACUUCAAUUGAAUGAGCUUAUUCAAAGGAAUCUAGAUAAAAAAAUUAUUAAUAAUAAUAAGUACUUAAAAAUAAGCACUUGCGUAGUUGCGUUGUUAUAAAAGGUGGUGACACCAUAUCAGUUUCCCACCCCUUAUAUCAUGGAAUAAUUUAUCAAAACUUAGGAGUUUAAAUUAGCCCUUUUCAUUCUCAUUCAUUCUCCCUUAGCUUGCUCUCUUGAAGCCAAACCACUUUCCGUAGCUUGAGACAGAAUUAAUGGGUACUUCUUCUCGCAAACUCAAAGCCAUUUUCUCCUCUCUGGCCGUAACUCUACUGUUCAUGAUUUCACACUCUCAAGUAGCCUUCUCUUUUGAUUUUGAGGAUGUUGAUGAAGAAGAAGUCUAUGUUCUCGACCGCCCGGUUCCUGAUCAUAGCCCGAGGAGCAGGCUCUUGCUCAGUUCGAUAAGAAAAGGUGCACAGUGCAGUGCCGAUCAUAAAAACAUUUGUAAUGGUGUUUCGGCAAACAAUGGCACAAGCUUGUUGCAUUGUUGCAAGAUGCACUGCCGCAACAUUCUUGGUGACAAGAACAACUGUGGCAAAUGUGGCAGCAAGUGUAAGUUUGGACAGCUUUGUUGCAAUGGGACUUGCACCAAUGUGUUUGACAAUGAAGCUCAUUGUGGCAAGUGCAACAAGAAAUGCCCUCGUGGGGUUCGAUGUGAGUUUGGAAAUUGUGGCUAUGCUUAAAGAAUUUUAAAGGAUUUGUUUGGUAUUGAAAUGUUAUGAUUUGAAAGUGAUAUUUAAUGUAAAAGAAAAGUUUUAUUUUUAAAUAAAAGAAUUAAAAAUGUGUGGAAAAUAUAAAUUUUAAAUAAUAAUUUUUAAUAAAAAUAAUAAAAUUAUUAUAAAUUUUUUAUCAUAUAAAUGUAAGAUCAAUUCAAUCUUAAUUUACAAACAAUAAUUAUAAGCGUAUACUAAAUAUUUUAGUAGCAAAAUCAUAAUUGUUCAAUCAUCUAACCAAACAGAUGUUAGAUUCAUCAACAUUAACUUUAAAAAGAUGAUGGAAGCCAUGAUGAGUUUCAUUGUUAAGCAAUAGGAAAAAUAAAAAACUCUCACACUCUAAAUGCAUGCAUUGCUAUGGAACAUGUGUAAUAUCUUCUUGAUUUUUGUUCUUUUUUUUUUUUUUUUUUGAACUUACCAUGAGUCUCCUUAAAAGUUAGAAUUAAACGUUUUCACGGGUUCUACAAAAAAAUUAAAAAGAAAAAGAAAAAGAAAAAACGCAGCAACAAGUGCAAUUUUGGACAGCUUGCAUGCAAUGGAACUAGAUUUCACAAAUUAAUGUAAUCUAACAAUCAAUGGCAAUCCUCUGCGAAAAGUGCAACAAUUUAAAUAUAUAACACAUCCAGCAAUUUUUUAAAAUCUAAUCCAUUACUUUCUAAAAUUUUAAAUAUAUAUAAAACACAUCCGGUAAUUUUUAUAAAUUUAAUCCAUUAUUUUCCAACAAUUUUAAUAAAAAAAGUUCUAACAAUUUAAAUAUAUAAAACUCAUCUAGAAAGUAAUUAUAUUUGAAUGUAAUAGGAAAGAGAAAAUUACCAAUUAUAUGUUACAAUAUCAUCAACGUUAUUGGCAUGGUCUUUGGCACCAAAUUUAGAUCUCCGAGAUAAUGGCCGCUGGUUUUAUUUCAUUUUUUUUCCUAUUAAUGCAAAUGCAAAUCUGAGUUCGUGUUUGGGGGAUAAUGGCACUUUUUAUCUUUUAUCAUUACUUUCUUAUUUUAAUGUUUCCUUCUCAAUUCUCAUUACUUUUAUGUUAUCGUUUCAUUAUUUUAAUAUUUUCUUUUCAUUAAUUUAAUUUUUUAAAUGAAAAAAGAAAUAAAAGUAAGACCCACAUAAAUAGUAACUCCGUUACCGUUUCUGUCGUCCUUCCUUCGUUCCUUUGUUUGUUUAGCACUAUUGAUAAACAAAUGAUGUUAUCAUAUAAAUUACCAUAACGUAGAUGACAAAAUCAAUCAUGAAAUGGAGUAAAUAUAAUUAAUUAAGUUCAUGCCUUUAUGAAAUUUGAGCUUGAACUAUUGCACGUGUACCUCAAGAAACAAUUAAGUGUGCAACUGUUGAAGGCUUAACAAAGGCUUGCCAUGUGACACCAGCAUACAUGCAAAUUUCACGCCUCUAUAAUCUUAUCUGUAACUUGCAUGCAUCGAGUACUUAUAAUAUUGUCGCACUUUGUUGGUUUAUGUGAUCGACCUAUCACCCACAUAACCUGUAGCUAACACAUACAAUUUUUGCCAAUUUGUCUCAAACAUGUGUCUUCAUCCAAUACUUCUUUCAGUUUUACACAUUAUUCGCGUCGCUGGUUUGUGUGUUUGCAUUUUUUAUGAUCAAAUUGUUAUAUUUUGCUCUCCUGUUAGUUUAGAGACAACCUUAAUUAUUAGUGGGUAAAAACAAAAGUUUUCAUGAAAUAUUGAAGGAAACUAAAUAAAUUUCAUCGAGUAGCAACUUUUAAAAAAAUACUCGAGAAAUAAUAAAAGCCCAUUUAGCUCAAAAAUGAAUAAGAAUGUUGAUAACCUCUACCACAUGAAUCUGCUUACACCGGAAUUGACAAUGGAUGGGAGCUUCAUCUUCAGAUAGUUUCAUCAUGAAGAUGACAAAAAUCAUUAUCUCGAGUGAGGAAGUGGGUAGUACAAUAUUAGCCUGUAUAAUACAAAAGCUUAUAGUCACAAAGAUGGGAAGACAAAGGAAAAGUCAGUAAGUCUUAAAGAGGAGAAAGCUGUGUUACUUUUUUUAAGAAGGAAAGCAAAGUAAUAAACUGUAAUAAAACAUGAGAUUGAUAUAGAUUCACGUUUAAGCAAUCUAACAUGCAAAUUUAAUUGAAAAAUGGUGAUUUCUAAAUGAAUUUUAAAUUUUUAAAAAUAAAUAUUGAAUAUAUUGCUAUAUUCAUUAAAAAAAAAUGUUCUCUAAAUGAAUCAAACUCUUAACACGAUAAUAAUGAAAAUACAGAAAAGAUGGAAUCAUUUCUGACAAGAAAGCAAUUAUAUUUAAUCUUUGAACCAAAGGUUGAUUAAAUGGAGAAACGUAAAGAAAAUUAACUUUAAAUCCAAACCAAUGUCAACCUAAAGCAAGCAAAAUAUAUAACAAGAGGAUUGAGCACUGUAGCAAGGGCAAACAAUGAUCAAAUCUUGCCACGGAAUUCAAAUAGCCACCACAUAUAUGCAAUAACCUCAUAAAUUUAAUCAUGAUGCUUUAUCAUUUUAUUGUGCUUCGAAGUUAUACACAAAAACAAAACAAAGUUUCACAAAUUAAAAUAAAAAUUAGAAUAAAAUAAAAAAGAACACCAAUAUAUUUCUUUCAAGAAUGUCUACGAAGUUCACACUGUUGAACAAAUUACUAUAAGAUUUAACAUAUAAAUCAACAAAUUGAAAAUUGCAUAAAGAGAAAAAGAUAUAGGCAAGAAGGGAAGUGUUAUUAUCAAUUUGAUAACAACAUUAUAAUGGCCACAGUUUGUUUUUCCUUUCCUUCUCUCUCAAAUCUCAUGUCUGAUAGUGGAGCUUGCGAACAACUGUCUCACCAUAAUGCAACUGUAAUCUCAAUUUUCAUAAGAAUUUCCACGUCUUCUGGCAAAGAAAAAUCUAUCUUUAGGUGUAAAAGGACCUACCAUCUUUAAUGGCAAACCCGCUUAGCUCAAUGGUCUUGAAAUAAUACCAAGUUGAGGCUUCUCACAGUCAUAGAUAUUGAAUCAGCUCAACUGCAAACUUUCCUUUCCUUGUAGAGUUUAUUUCUCCUAUCUGAAAUUAAAGGAUAUUUGAUCAUCUUAAAUGCUUAGCUAAAUACUGUUUUAAGGGUAAUUUUUGUUAUAUCAGGGCAGUGGUUCAUUGAAAUCUAAACUUACCUUUAUUCUUCCUUUGCCACUUACCGAGACGAUAUCACCAGUCCUAAGAGUAGUACCAUUUUUUGUAACAGUAGUCCAGUUAACACGAACAUCACCAUUACUAUCAACAAAAUAGAACUUAAGGUCAUGCAUAUGUUUAACUAACUACAGGUCACAUGUCAAAUUAAUAUUAAUAUGACCAUAUUUAUAAUGAUUUUCUUACAAUCAAAUUGCCAUUCCUGAAAGGGAUGCACAAUAUGACUAAAGAAAUGCAUAGUCAGAAAAGAUCUUUCAAUAAAGCUAAAAUAAGUCAUUUUAUAAAGGAAGAAUGGUGCGAUAUGGAAUGAAGAUCCAUUGUACUUAACUGCAGAAAGAUGCGGUCAAAGACAUACGUUUGGGAGAUCUGAGAGAAUCGCCAAACAUGGAUUCAAUUGGAAACUUCGGUAAUUUGAAUAAGACCAUGUGAGUAGCUGUAGAUCUCAGGUCAAAAGGCCAUUAGGAGGACCUAAUGGCAGAUGCUUUAGCAGAGAUUUGAACCAGUGAAGCUAACGAGGAGUAUCUACAAUGUACCCAAGUGGCCAGCCUCUAUUAUUGAUUUAUAGAGCAUGCAUAUUUAGUGUAUCAGUUUUUGACUUCAUUCAUGCAUAUUUAGUGUAUUACUGGAGAUUGUUUCUAUGACAGAUUGCCUCCAUCCUAACCAGGAAAUCUAGAAACAUGCAGUAACUGAUGAAUACCCGGAAUCUACUACCAUAAAAUCAAAAAUAAAUAUUAUGAAAGAAGAGUAGGCUGUACCUGAUCAAAUUAACUAAUUUUGACCGUGAUAACUUAAAUCCUGCACUAGCUAAUGCAUCGACCCUUAGUGAUGCUUCUAUGGUUUUGAAUGACUUAGUCCUGAAAAAGAUCAAAGAUGUCGUACGGUCAUUGACAAAUACCAGAUGAAGAUUAUCACAGAAAUGAAUCAUUAAUAUGAUGGUUCCUACCUUGGUGGUUCGUAUUCAAGAGCAAGCAAUGGUAUCCUUGUACAAGAGACUGAAACAUUACCAACCUUCAAGAAAAAAAAUGCAUUAAAAUGGUGCGGGCAAUGCAGCACUACAUUACAAAUACUGAUUAUUUUGCAUUUUCUCAUCCCCCUAGGAGCCUUUCACUUUUUGCGCAAAAUACUGAGCCAGGUGACACUGUAUUAAAAAUUACUUAACAUAUUGUUAAUGCAGUGGAACAAAGCAGAAUUUAAGCUAAUUACGGCAGUUCUGUUAAUUACAAUGACAUACAAGUGGGAAAGAAAAAUAUUUUCUGCUUUUAUGUGUAACACAAAAGAUGUAGUUAUUUUCAGAAGGGAUAUUAUCAUUUUCCCACUAAAGAUAUUCUGACAUAUCAUGUCAGUACCACGGUUUGGUAAAACCAUCAAUUUACCACCAAACGUUUAAACUAUUAUCAUUUUCCCACCAUUCCGUUAAAACUCAGUUAAUAUGUAACGGAAAAUUCAUAAAAGGUCAAUUUUACCCCUGGAGCGUAAAAGACUAUGUAAUUAACCUUUUGUGAAUUUUGUAAUUAAAUCAUCAUUUAUUGUUCUUCCUUCUUAAAGGGCAAAAAUUGCCCUUUAUGAAUUUUAUAAAAUUGACCGUGUGGUGCUAGGCACUUUAUAAAUUGAUUUAAUUUAUUUAAUUUUUAAAGGACAAAUUUAUUUAUUUAAUUUUUUGUGUAAAAUUAUUAUCAUCAUAUCAAAGAUUAAAUUGCUUCUUUUGCACAUUUUUUUUUCCCUUUCAUAAAUUGAUUUUUAGUAGUAGAAUAAAUUGUCUUUAGCUCGUCAAUUUAAUAAAUAAAUUUGCCCUUUAAAAUUAAAUAAAUUAAAUCAAUUUAUGAAGUACCUAACACCACACGAUUAAUUUUACAAAAUUCAUAAAGGGUAAUUUUUGCCCUUUAGCAAGGAAGAAUAACAAAUGAUGAUUUAAUUACAAAAUUCAUAAAAGGUUAAUCACAUGGUCUUUUACGCUCCAGGGGUAAAAUUGACCUUUUAUGAAUUUUCUGUUACAUAUUAACUGAGUUUUAACUGAAUGGUGGGAAAAUACUAACAGUUUAAACGUUUGGUGGUAAAUUGAUGGUUUUACCAAACCGUGGUACUGACAUGAUGUGUCAGAAUACCUUUGGUGGGAAAAUGAUAAUAUCCCUUUUCAAAAAAACAGUAUAUCAGAAAGUAAAUACAACCUU